This 344868-nucleotide long non-coding RNA is filed under the name Triticum aestivum (bread wheat). Its description in RNAcentral is "long non-coding RNA (TAES_LNC022809)". The stretch from base 341650 to 341784 matches the Rfam family "MIR1120/MIR1122 microRNA precursor family". Lineage: Eukaryota; Viridiplantae; Streptophyta; Magnoliopsida; Poales; Poaceae. The record is from RNAcentral.
GAAGAUCAUCACAGAACAUUCAGAAGAACUAGUGAAUGUUCAUAAAUUCAGAUAUUGGAUGAGUAUCCAAUCGAUACAUGCAGGAGAUAUGAUCAUUCUUCCCCAAAAGACACCAUAAUAUCUUUAAAAACUACAGGACAUGAAAGACUAUUUAUAUUCGAAAGAUUCCAAUGAUCUCUGCAAACUAAGGACAAGCCUAGUUCAGGUGGCUAUGUAUUGAGUAACUUGCGGAAGCUGACACAAGAAUCUAAGAUGAGCAUUACUAAGACUUUUUUUUAGAACGAAGAUGCCAGCGGCAUCCGGCUUUAAAUUAAUAAAGCCACGAAACGGCAUAGUCACAAACACCAACAAGGUCUCAGACGCACACAGCAACAGAGACGAAAACAGGGGGUUCCAACAAGUGACAUAACAAGGCAAGCGCCACCCCAAGCACACAGGUUACUAAGACUUCCAUGCCUUCUCCAACAUAUCUGCUACGAUAGUCUCCUCCAAAUUAUCUCUAGAUAGAAAGUGAAAAGUGAAGCAUACACUACCUCGUCUCAGGUGGCUACAUGUUAACUAAGCCAUCUAUUAUAACCCAGGAUGGACACACUAAAAUUUGAGAAGCUUCAUAAGUCUCUCCAAGAUAUUUACUGAGGCAGCAGGGCAUGAUUUCUUCAGGUGCACAUACCCUUGGCUUGCCAACACAUCAUCCAAUCUAUUUGAAGACAUGAUAAAUUCAGCACAAGCAUCUUUUAGCCUGCUGCAGUUAUGCUGAUCAGCUAGAGCCAACAUUGUCGCCACAGUCUCAACAUCAAGAGUUUCACAAAGAAUGUCUUCACACAUCAUCUUCAUCCUUUCCAUUGCAUACCGAUCUGCAGCCAGUAGUAAGUGCCUGACCAUUUCUUUUUUCUCAUCAUCAUCAAGGUUGUCCAUGGAAGGCAAUGAAUCUGUGUAGAUAAAGUGAAGCAAUGCCUUGAAAACAGCAGGCUGCAUUUCUUCGACGGUGAUGUUCUGUCCACACUUGCCUCUCAUCGGUCCAUACAGCUCCGCCUUGAAGACUAGAGACCGUGCUGCGAGCACAAUCUUAUGUGCAGGAAAAAUCUCACCUUCAACCUCGAAUGCCACAUCUGCUUCCUCGGCCGCCUCUAGCAGUUUUCCAAAAAUUUCUGCCAAGUCUGAGGGUGGCAUCUGGACCUCAGCUGUUAUCGCAGUGUCCGCAACAAGUGGUUCCUUAAUGACAGUUAGAUCGCACUCAAUUACAAGACGGUCAUCCCGCAGGUAAUCCGACUUCUCUAGCUCACUCUUCUUCUUAAAAUAUGGAAGACCCCAACUAUAACUGGUCCCACUGGUGCUGAGGGAAUCGAACACCAUUGGGGAUUUCAAGACUGAGAAAACCGAUGACGACAACCCAGUGGUGUGGUCGACCAGCCUCAAGUCGUAGAGCGCCCUUACCUUGGCACCCUUGCUCAGGAGCUCCAGGUAGACUGAGACGUGGCCCAGGCUGUUGGCGUGUGUAUCUGCCCCGUCUGGGUAGUAGCGGAUGCACCAUUCGUACCCGCCAACGGAGACGGCGGUGGACCGGAUGAACUUGUCGGCGCCCAUGCCCUUAUGCAGACUGUACCCGUCGAUCUCGAACACGAGCGUGGCCGGCGCCGUCACUGGGGUGCACCUCGACGCCCUCCUUUCUGUUGGCCUCUGCAGUGCUGCCAUCGUGGGAGCUUCGGUGGGGGACGGGGAAUGGAUCAAGGGCGGUGGCGAUGGGGGAGCCCGGGGAGGGGGAAACGUCGGUGUGAUCUGGGCGUGGAGAGCGGCGACAGAGGGGGAAGGCAGGGGGGCGGCGCGAUCCGACCGGAAGAUCGACGAGGGUUUGGGCGCGCGCCGGAGACGAGGGUGUUAAGCUCCUCGAUCUAGGGUUCCGCUCGAUGCAAGCCACACGAAUGUCUGAGCCGGGGAGGAGCAAGAACAGAAAGGGGAAAGGGUGGAAGCCGCAAGACAAGGUUCCUGGUCCUUGGAUAACCCCACGCGCUUCACUCGCUGCCUCCUUUUCGUAUAUAAGUUUUUUUUUUGGAAACGUUUGGGGCCGGGGCACCGGCCGAAGCUUUGGCCGGUCUAGCCCACGCGCGCACGCCGCGACCCAGUCGCAAGCAACCACGUGGCGCUGCGGAUCUCGCGAAUCUCGCUUCAUUCCUGUCUCGCAGCUCCGCGGAGCUCGCCCCCAUCCUCAUCUCCUGCAGCGCCGACGCCCACAUCUCGCCGUCGCCAUGGAAGGUCGAAUCCCCCGCGCGUCCAUAGUUGUAGAUCUCACCCCGCCAUGCUUUUUACAGCCCGUUUCGCCAUUGGAUGCAGCCCGUUGACCAAUCCCCAUCCCCGGCGGUUGCAACUCCCACACGUCUCGUGCUUCUGCCUCGCCGCCGACGAGCCGGACGGCGAUGGUCGACACCGGAGGCUUCUGCAGAAUCGGCGCACCCCCUCAUGUUGCAACCGUUUAAAAAAAAGCUUCAUCCAUAGAUGAAAAAGCUUCAACCGGAUGUAGAGAAAGCUACAAGCGGUCAGCGCCAUCGCCGGAAAGCUACAACCGUUGACAUGAAAUGCUACAUCCUUCGAUUAAAAAAGCUUCAACCGAAACGACACAAAAAGCCUUGACCAAGUGCUGCUAAAAAAGAAAAUAGCUACAACUUUUGGUAGAAAAGCUUCAACGGUUGUUGGAAAAAGCUCCAACCAUUGAGAGAGAAAGCUACAACUAGACACUAUGAAAAUAAGAAAGCUUCAACCAGCGACGGCUGGAGGUGAAAGAAGAUGAUAAAAUGCUGCAGUUUUGCUACAUGCUUCAACCGGCAUAGAUUUUUGCUACAACUGGCAUAGCAUUUUGCUACAACUAGCGUCACGUUUUGCUACAACACACAACCGGCGUCGCGGUUUUGCCACAAAUAGCAUCGUUUUUUGCUACAACCGGCAUAAUGUUUUGCUACAUCCAUCACGGCCGAGCUGCGACCCGGCACGGGUUUCCGUGAAUUCCGGCAGCGAGAUCCAGCACAGGGGGCAGGGGCGGAUGCUGCAACCGGUCGCCGACGAGCUGCUACGGGCUCGCGGCGGGCUGCAACCUCGACCGGCCGUAACCAUGGCCGCACGCUGCUGCAUCCACGGAGGCUUCAGAAACACACGAAGACGACAUAGGUGAGGGCGGGCGACCAGCGGCGAGGGCGGCGACCGUAGGCGACCGACGGCGAGGGCGACCGGUGGUGAGGAGGCGAGGCGAGGCGGUCGGCGCGUGCUGGGGCAUCGAUGCGCACGAGGGGGCCUAUCCUUUUUCCCGUGCGGGAGGUUGAAGAAGGAGGUGAGGGGAGGAAGGGAUCUGACGGUGCAGGGGACCAGAUCUGACGGCUGGGGCUGGACCGGCCCAACCGUUGGGCCGGUGUGCCGGCGCAGAUCACUUCCCUUUUUUUUGGGAUAAACCAAGUUUUAUUGAUCAAAUGCCACAUAGAGUGAAAUACAUCUCAGGUCAUAGGUUGCCCUAGCCACACAUGACGUCGCAAAGCUAAUAAAUGCGAAAACUUGGCUAGAUUAUGAGCUUCUUUGUUUGACUUACGACUCUCAAAAAUAAAAUUACUAUUAAAUAUAGAUGAUCGCUGUUGAAUCUCUUUAAUGAUGGUGCCAUAUCUCCCUUGAUUGUCUUUGAGGAUAUCUCCUACUACUUGCUUGAAAUCUGAUGCAAUUACAAAGCUAUGCAAGAGUUGGUCUUCGGCUAGGGAAAGGGCCUCCCUGCAUGCUACUGCUUCUAGAGUUGCAGGGUUAUGGACGCCAUGAAUUAUGAGUGUUGAGCUUCCCAAGUAGUACCCCUGAUCAUCGCGAGCGACCGCUCCUGCUGUGCAUCCUCUUGAUGGCGUGGACAUGCCCGCAUCUACAUGUACCUUGGCAAAUCCCACUGGCUGUGCCUUCUGCCUUCUCUCGCCCCUUGGUACAUCACUUGGGUUAGCAGUUUGUGUUGGCUUCGUCUCUCUUAUGAUCUCCAAUUCCAAUAUGUAUCUAUCGAUGAAACUCUGGGUAGCUUGUGGACUUUGAAAAAUGCCCUCAUGAUUUGCUUUCCUCCUAGACGACCAUAUCGCCCAUAAUGUGACAGCUACUCUGAUGAAUUGCGUAUGUGUUAGGCCAUCAAUUAAUGAGAAUAGCCAAUGCUUCCCCCGAGGCUCCGUAGUGAACACAAGGGUGCUGCGCUAGAUCGUCAUCCACUAGAGCCCAUAUGCACCUGGCUACCGUAGACUCCAGAAGCGAAUGCCUUCAUGAAUCUUGGCUGCCACACAACCCACAUGAACUAGAGUUUGACAUAUGUCGGUGAGCUCUGACAUCUUUUGUUGGGAUGGAAUGCUUGGACAAUCGCCAAAGAAACAUCCUUAUCUUGGCAGGCAUUUGAAUUUUCCAAAGCAUGUUCCACGACUUCUCAUUAUUUGUGAUUGAAGAUGCGGCGGUACCUUCUAACCACGCCUCCCUUCUUUGUUUUUGUGGACACGAGCAUUCUAUAAGAGGAUCUUACAGAGAAAACACCGCUCCUCUCAAAAUUCCAAGCCCAAAAGUCCUCGGUGUCCAUGGUACAUAAAGGUAUUCCCAAGAUAAUUGGCACAUCCUUUUGGCAUGAACACUUGUUGCACAUGCUGCCUAUCCCACAUAGCCGAUGUGGCAUCAAUGAGUUCGGCCACCUGAACUAGCGGGUUUGGAACCAAACAUCCAUACGGCCUCAACAUCUCAUUACGUGGUAGACAAUUUUCCUCCCAUAUAUUUGUUGUUGAACCAUGGUCAAUUCUUCUAAUUAGACCUUGUUUCAAAACAACCAUACCUUCGAUGAUGGAUCUCCAAAUUUGACUAGGAUGACUACCAAGGCUUGCAUGCAAAAUAGACGAGUCUGGAUAAUAAAUGCUCCUCAGAACCCUGGAACUCAGACUUCCAGGUUGUUGCAAGAGACGCCAUGCUUGCCUAGGUAGCAGAGACAAGUUAAAUAACUCAAAAUCUUUAAAGCCCGGGCCACCCAUACCUUUUGGUUGUGUCAUAACUUUCCACGAUACACACCCUACUCUCGGCUUCGGGUCAAUUCCCAGUGAUAGCCAUGGGGCUUUGGAAAGCUGGUCUGCAUCUCAAAAUUAAUGUUUUCCCUUUGGCAAAUGUUUCAGAACCGUAUUCCCACGCCCAAUAACAUGGCUAAGAGACAUGCUUCUGAUGGUACUUGCGCCAUAUGCAGAAACGCUGAAGAUGCUAAACAAAUUUUCUUCCAUUGUCACAUAGCACGUUUUGUGUGGCAUGCUGUGCGAGAGGCUUUCGAUCAUAUCUAGAACCCUUCCUCGGGUGUUGAUCUGCUCAGCGUUCUAAAGGCGCACAGAGGCCCUUUCGGCAAGGUUCUUUGGCAUUGCAUUAGGGGUGCUUUUAUGGGCUUUAUGGUCUAUUAGGAGAAAAAUUACCAUUGAGAAGUGCUUCCCUUCUCACCUAGUUUUUGUAUUUUGAAAUGCCACCUUUUUCUACAUCAAUGGGUGCCUCUAGGUAGACACUGGAUGCUGAGAACAUGCAAUAAGCGAUAGAGAAAAUCAGAAACAUUCAAGUCAUCGCUUGGCAGCCGUCCCCGCCCGUUAGAUUCCCUGUCGGUUCCUUUUGAGCCUGCACACUCUUUUGAGGAUUAGGGAUAGUUGACCCUCCAUAUCGUUCUAUCUGAUCUAGAUUUGUUCCUGGUCUGAUGUUGUAUUGCACUUUUUGUAUGACUCUAGGCAUGAUGUGGGCUUUAUUAGUUUAAUGUCAGACGCUUCUUGUGUCUUUGUUCUAAAAAAACUUGUACACCACCACGGCAACGCACGCGGAGAUGGUGCAUGGGCUGCAGAACUUGAAGGAAAGCUUGUGGUUGGCAUGAUGCCACACAGAGGAUUUGAUGUAAGAUUCACUAGAACUAGACCCCCUUAUUAGGUGUGUUUGCUAUACCCAACUAGUUGUCUCCGGCUUACACACUGCUUGUACGCCGCCGCUGGUAACAGUCUACUAGCAAUGCUCUAGCUAAGCGCUCCUAGUAUGUACGGAGCUUAUGAGAUUUCUUGUUGAGUUUUGUGUUGUGAAGUUUUCAUGUUUUGGGUAAAGAUUUGAUGGACUAUGGAAUAAGGAGUGGCAAGAGCCUAAGCUUGGGGAUUACCAAGGCACCCCAAGAUAUUCAAGAAUAGCCAAAAUCCUAAGCUUGCUGAUGCCUCGGAAGGCAUCCCCUCUUUCGUCUUCGUCUAUCAAUAACUUUACUUGGAGCUAUAUUUUUAUUCACCACAUGAUAUGUGUUUUGCUUGGAGCGUCUUGUAUGAUAUUAGUCUUUGCUUUUUAGUUUACCACAAUCAUCCUUGCUGUACACACCUUUUGGGAGAAACCCACUUGAUUGGAAUUUAUUAGAAUACUCUAUGUGCUUCACUUAUAUCUUUUGAGCUAGAUAGUUUUUGCUCUAAUGCUUCACUUAUAUCUUUUAGAGCACGGCGGUGGCUUAAUUUUGUAGAAAUUGUUAAUCUCUCAUGCUUCACUUAUAUCAUUUUGAGAGUCUUUUAGAACAACAUGAUAUUUGUUAUGGUUAUAAAAUUGGUCCUAGAAUGAUGGGCAUCCAAGUUGGGUAUAAUAAAAACUAUCAUAGAAAGUGAAUUGGAUGCUAUGAUCAAUUUGAUACUUGAUAAUUGUUUUGAGAUAUGGAGGUAGUGAUAUUAGAGUCAUGCUAGUUGGGUGAUUAUGAAUUUAAAAAAUGAUUGUGUUGAAGUUAGCAAGUCCCGUAGCAUGCACGUAUGGUGAAAGUUGUGUAACAAAUUUGAAACAUGAGGUGUUCUUAGAUUGUGCAUCCUUAUGAGUGGCGGUCGGGGACGAGCAAUGGUCUUUUCCUACCAAUCUAUCCCCCUAGGAGCAUGCGCGUAGUGCUUGGUUUUUGAUGACUUGUAGAUUUUUGCAAUAAGUAUAUGAUUUCUUUUUGACUAAUGUUGAGUCCAUGGAUUAUACGCACUCUCACCCUUCCAUCAUUACUAGCCUUUUCGGUAUCGUGCAUUGCCCUUUAUCACCUUGAGAGUUGGUGCAAACUUCGGCGGUGCAUCCAAACCUCGUGAUAUGAUACGCUCUAUCACACAUAAACCUCCUUAUAUCUUCCUCAAAACAGCCACCAUACCUACCUAUUAUGGCAUUUCCAUAGCCAUUCCGAGAUAUAUUGCGAUGCAACUUUCCACCAUUCCGUUCAUCAUCAUGACACACAUCAUCAUUAUCAUAUUGCCUUGCAUGAUCAUGUAGUUGACAUCGUAUUUGUGGCAAAGCCACCAUGCAUAAUUUUUCAUACAUGUCACUCUUGAUUCAUUGCCCAUACCGGUACACCGCCGGAGGCAUUCUUAUAUUAUAUGUUGUUCUAGUUUUGGGUUGUAAUUCAUGAGUUGUAAAUAAAUAAAAGUGUGAUGAGCAUCAUUAUUAAGAGCAUUGUCCCCAAAUAAAAAAAAUAAAAAAAAAGGAAAAAAGAAGAAAGGCCAAAAAAAGAAAGGCCAAAAGGAAAAAAAAGAAAGGCCAAAAAAAGAAAGGCCAAAGAAAAAAAGAAAAAAAAGGGGGGGGGCAAUGUUACUAUCCUUUUCCACACUUGUGCUUCAAGGUAGCACCAUGUUCUUCAUAUAGAAAGUCUUUUAUGUUGUCACUUUCAUAUACUAGUGGGAAUUUUUCAUUAUAGAACUUGGCUUGUAUAUUCCUACGAUGGGCUUCCUCAAAAUGCCCUAGGUCUUCGUGAGAAGGCAAGUUGGAUGCACACCCACUAGUUUCUUUUAUUGAUCUUUCAUACAUUUAUAGCUCUAGUGCAUCCAUUGCAUGGCAAUCCCUACUCCUCAUGUUGACAUCAUUGAUGGGCAUCUCCAUAGCCCAUUGAUUAUCCUCGUCAAUGUGAGACAUUCUCCUUUUUGUCUUCUCCACACAACCUCCAUCAUCAUAUUCUAUUCCACCCAUAGUGCUAUCCAUGGCUCACGCUCAUGUAUUGCGUGAAAGUUGAAAAUGUUUGAGAUUACUUAAGUAUGAAACAAUUGCUUGGCUUGUCAAGAUGGGAGCAUUUUUGUGUGACGAAAAUGAAGCAUAGCCUAACUAUAUGAUUUUAUAGGGAUAAACUUUCUUUAGCCAUGUUAUUUUGAGAAGACAUGAUUGCUUUGAUUACUAUGCUUGAAGUAUUACUAUUUCUUAUGUCAAUAUGAACUUUUAUCUUGAAUCAUUUGGAUCUGAACAUUCAUGUCACAAUAAAGAAAAUUACAUUGAGAAUUAUGCUAGGUAGCAUUCCACAUCAAAAAUUCCAUUUUUAUCAUUUACCUACUCGAGGACGAGCAGGAAUUAAGCUCGGGGAUGCUUGAUACGUCUCCAACGUAUCUAUAAUUUUUGAUUGUUCCAUGCUAUUAUAUUACCCGUUUUGGAUGUUUAUGGGCUUUACUUUACACUUUUAUAUCAUUUUUGGGACUAACCUACUAACCGGAGGCCCAGCCCGAAUUGCUGUUUUUUUGCCUAUUUCAGUGUUUCGAAGAAAAGGAAUAUCAAACGGAGUCCAAACGGAAUGAAACCUUUGGGAGCAUGAUUUUUGGAACAAACGUGAUCCAGAGGACUUGGAGUGGAAGUCAAGAAACAAGGGAGGCGGCCACGAGGGUGCCCGGCGCGCCCCCUAAGGAUGGGCGCGCCCCCCACCCUCGUGGGCCCCUCGGGAGUCCACCGACCUACUUCUUCCUCCUAUAUAUACUCAUGUACCCCGAAAACAUCAGAAGCGACCACGAAAAACUAUUUCCACUACCGUAACCUUCUGUAUCCGUGAGAUCCCAUCUUGGAGCCUUCGCCGGCGCUCCACCGGAGGGGGAACCGAUCACGGAGGGCCUCUACAUCAACUCCAAGGCCUCUCCGAUGAGUUGUGAGUAGUUUAUCAUAGACCUUCGGGUCCAUAGUUAUUAGCUAGAUGGCUUCUUCUCUCUCUUUGAAUCUCAAUACCAUGUUCUCCUCGAUCUUCUUGGAGAUCUAUUCGAUGUAACUCUUUUUGCGGUGUGUUUGUCGAGAUCCGAUGAAUUGUGGUUUUAUGAUGAAGUUUAUUUAUGAGAAAUAUUUGAAUCUCCUCCGAAUUCUUUUAUGUGUGAUUAAGUUAUCUUUGCAAGUCUCUUCGAAUUAUCAGUUUGGUUUGGCCUACUAGAUUGAUCUUUCUUGCAAUGGGAGAAGUGCUUAGCUUUGGGUUAAGGGCGGUGUCCUUUCCCAGUGACAACAGGGGCAACAAGGCACGUAUUGUAUUGUUGCCAUCAAGGAUAAAAAGAUGGGGUUUACAUCAUAUUGCAUGAGUUUAUCCCUCUACAUCAUGUCAUCUUUCUUACUGCGUUACUCUAUUCUUUAUGAACUUAAUACUCUAGAUGCAUGCUGGAUAGUGGUCGAUAUAUGGAGUAGUAGUAGUAGAUGCAGGCAGGAGUCGAUCUACUUGUCACGGACGUGAUGCCUAUAUACAUGAUCAUGGCUAGAUAAUCUCAUAAUUAUUCGCUUUUCUAUCAUUUGCUCGAUAGUAAUUUGUUCACCCACCGUAAUACUUAUUGUAUCUAGAGAGAAGCCACUAGUGAAACCUAUGGCCCCCGGGUCUAUCUCUUAUCAUAUAAGCUUUCAAUCUACUUUUAUUUGCAUCUUUACUUUUCCUAUCUAUAUCAUAAAAUAUCAAAAAAGUAUUUAUCUUAUCAUAUUAUCUCUAUCAGAUCUCACUUUCGCAAGUGGCCUUGAAGGGAUUGACAACCCCUUUAUUGCGUUGGUUGCGAGUUCUUGUUUGUUUUUGUAGGUGCGUGGGACUUUUGAGGAUCCUCCUACUGGAUUGAUACCUUGGUUCUCAAAAACUGAGGGAAAUACUUACGCUACUAUUGCUGCAUCACCCUUUCCUCUUCAAGGAAAACCAACACAAGCUCAAGAUGUAGCACUGCUCGGGCCAUCGGCCAAUAGAUACCUGUGCAGAAGGGCUUGCUCACAAGGGCCCGAGCUGCAGCGUGGUGACCACCGAGGCCGGCAUGAAUUUCAGCCAAGAGCUUCCGCCCCUCCUCCUCGGAGAUACAUCGUUGAAGUACUCCGGUAGCGCUUUUCUUGUAGAGUUCUCCCUUGUGAACCUUAUAGGCUUUAGAUCGCCGCACAAUGUAGCGCGCCACGUUCUGAUCCUCAGGGAGUUCUCGCCUAUUAAGGUAGGCCAAGAAAGGUUCGGUCCAUGGGGCAAUGACUGCCAUGAUGAGAUGGGCCGACGGUGUAAUUUCGGUGGCUGAACCCCCGAUGAUGUCGGUGUGUUCGGAAUCUGGGGUUGUAGUCCGAUCCGGAUUGGUGUUGCCGCUCUCCCCUUGCCACACAAUGGAUGGCUUGAAAAGCCUUUCCAAAAAGAUGUUAGGUGGUACGGGGUCGCGCUUGGCGCCGAUGCGAGCAAGGACAUCCGCCGCUUGGUUACUUUCUUGAGCCACAUGGUGAAACUCGAGCCCCUCGAACCGAGCUGACAUUUUGAGAACGACGUUACGGUAAGCCACCAUCUUUGGAUCUUUGGCAUCGAAAUCUCCAUUUAUUUGAGAUAUUGCGAGGUUUGAAUCUGUGCGCACUUCUAGGCAUUGUAUGCCCAUGGAGACGGCCAUCCGAAGACCAUGCAAUAAGGCCUCGUAUUCGGCUGCGUUGUUGGAGUCCGUGAAUAAUAUUUGGAGGACGUACUGAACUGUGUCUCCCAUAGGGGAUGUUAGGACAACGCCUGCCCCUAGGCCUGCCAGCAUUUUGGAGCCGUCGAAGUGCAUGACCCAGUUGGAAUAUGUGCUGUACUCUUUAGGGAGUUCGGCCUUGGUCCAUUCGGUGACGAAGUCGGCCAGUACUUGAGAUUUAAUGGCCCGUCGUGGUUUGUAUGUUAUGUCAAAUUGGAGGAGCUCAAUGGCCCACUUGGCAAUCCGGCCCAUGGCGUCGCGGUUGUUUAUUAUGUCAUUGAGUGGUACCUCAGAGGCCAUCGUGAUUGAGCAUUCUUGAAAGUAGUGUCGUAGCUUUCGAGAUGCCAUGAAGACCGCGUAUGCUAUUUUUUGGUAAUGAGGGUACCGGGAUUUGCAUGGUUUGAGGACAGUGGAUACGUAGUAUACCGUCUAUUGAAGCGGGAAUUUGUGUCCGUCCUCCUCUCGUUUGACGACGAGCACCGCACUUACGACUUGGUGUGUGGCUGAUAUGUAUAAUAACAUGGGUUAGCCAACGUUUGGGGCGGCCAAGAUUGGGUUGUUUGCUCGAAGAGCCUUUAUUUCUUACAGUCUGGCCGUUGCCGCGUCUGUCCACUCAAAGUGAUCGGUACGUCGGAGUAGGCGAUAGAGUGGCAACGCCUUUUCUCCUAGUCUGGAGAUAAAGCGGCUUAAAGCUGCCACACAUCCGGAUAAUUUUUGGACUUGUUUGAGGUCCAUUGGCGUAGCCAACUGUGACAAAGCUCUGAUUUUAGCUGGGUUUGCCUCAAUUCCUCUAUUGGAAACGAUGAAGCCCAGCAGUUUUCCAGCGGGAACGCCGAAAACACACUUUUCCAGAUUGAGCUUGAUGUCACAUGUUCGGAGGUUGUCGAAUGUGAGACGCAGAUCGUCUAUUAAUGACUCGACGUGCCUAGUUUUGAUGACUACGUCAUCCACGUAUGCUUCAACUGUCUUGCCGAUUUGUUUCUCCAGGCAUGUUUGAAUCGUGCGUUGAUAGGUGGCACUAGUGUUUUUGAGCCCGAAGGGCAUAGUGUUGAAGCAGAAAGGUCCAUAUGGGGUGAUAAAUGUCGUUGUGGCUUGAUCGGAUUCCUUCAUCUUGAUUUGAUGGUAUCCGGAGUAUGCGUCGAGGAAACACAGUGAGUCGUGUCCUGCGGUAGCAUCGAUAAUCUGAUCAAUGCGGGGGAGGGGGAAGGGAUCUAUCAGCGUUCUGGGAACGGGGGUCCCCAGACUUGCCUGCCUGCGGCCUGCGGCAUGGCUCAAGUGGUGGCCCAGCACGGCCCGUCUUCAUUAGCACAAGACUCAAGACCCUCGCGAGGGGCCAAGCCUCGCGGGGCGGACGAUGCAAGGCUUCCUCAGGGAUGGCCUCGCCAGGCAGGCUCGCGAGGAGGUGGAGAGAUCAAGGCAGGGUACCUCGCGAGGUGCUCGUGACGCAAGCCAUGACGAUCGAGACCAGGCGGGCGCCAGACGGGCGCCGGCGUGCGCAGUGUCCUUAUUUCCUCUUUGAUGCAAAGGGGGCAAGCACAGACGUGGAGUACCGAGGCAUCAGGCAAAGGUUGCCAUUUCAGUGCAAUGAGACCAAGACCAGCGGAGCGGCAGGAUGGAGGUCACCGUGGAGCCCAAGACGGCGUCAUCGCCAGUGCAGACCAACUUUAGUCAGGAUAGCUUGUACUAGAUGUUCCCCUUCAAAAUGGCCGUUGUUGGCGCCCUUCCUGCUUAAUAUUUGGGGAAGAUGCCCAGGGCCUCUAUAAAUAGAGCUAGCCACCACUGAGUAGGGGGGAUUCAGAUUUUGGGAAGACUAGAGAGAGAGAUGCGAUCGAACUCACCCAGGCAGUUCAUCGCACCAGCUCAAGAACACCUCUCGCGAGGCCGUUCUUCCCCUGUAGUGUUCAUCAUCAGCCCCUGAGGCAAUCCACCACACCACACACUGGAGUAGGGUAUUACACCACAACAGUGGCCCGAACCAGUACAAAUCUCGUGUCCCUUGUGUUGUUCAUCAUUUUCAGCUUAGAUCUCACGAGGCGAUCGGACGUAGAUUGGUAGGGGAGAUAUCUUCGUGCGCACCCCAGUGUUCGAACCUUAAGGGUCUGCAGGAACCCAACAUCCAACAUUUGGCGCAGGUAGGGGUGCGCUGGAAUCUUCUUUCCUCUGUCCUACGUUCCGCCACGUCACCGCCUCCAUGUCCGGUGACCUGACGGCCAACUCUGACCGCUGGGCGGCAUGGCCUGCCCAUGCCGUGCCGCCUGCCCAAGGCGACCUCAACCCUGCACCUCAGGCAGCCCGUGCCCCGCAGAACACUACAGGACACGGGCGACACGGUUAGGCAUCCCCUGCCCUCACUCCACGACAAGUACGAUCGGCAGCAAGGGCCUCAAGCCACGCUGCGGCCACGACGCCGCACACCCGACGGGAGCAUGCAAACAUGAAGGCCGCACUCAUGGUGGCGCGGGAGCUGCGGCGGUGCAGACUGCAAGAAAGUGGUUGUGACGUGCUGCUGGAACGUGUCGCCGAGCUCCUGGAUGCCGCCGCGUCAGGGGCUCCACCGUUCUGCGUCCAGCUUCGACCCCAGGCCCCGGGAGGAUCACGGAGCGGGCCGAUCCGCGCCCACGCGCCCCCGAGUGUGCCUCAAGGCUUCAUCAACACCGGCUUGGCCAUCAGCGUUGAGCAGCAGGCUGCCCCGGCACCACCCCUGGUAAGCGAGGGCAUGCGCAACGCUGCCUUUGGCCCCAGCGGGCUGCCACCUUACCGUCCCUAAGAUGGAGCUUCAAGUCGAGCUGCAUGGCAUGCGGAGCACCACGGCGAGGGCUUUGGGGUGGUGGGCCCGUAAGCCUAUGUGCCCCACAUGGUGGAUCAAGGGUACACGUUGGAGGAAGACCAUGGCUCAUUCCUCGGGUCAGGCUAGGAGGAAGAAGCUCCAGAAGCCGAGCUCUUUCAGGAGCCUCACGGGAGCCUCGACAACUACCGGGUACCGCUAAUUCCUCAGGAGAAGGCUUAUGCUAACCAUGGGUCCAGGAGGUUCAGGUCACCGCAGCGGAUGGCUGCCCUAGUGCGGCGAUCUCCUUCCCCUCAGGCGGAGGGCACUGGGGGCAGCAGGAGAGGGGUCGGGAGCCAGGCUCCUCCCCGCGGCGCGCAGAGCAAGGUGUUCUUCGGAGGUAGGCCCUCUGCCGGGGAGGUGCCCCAGGGCCUGCCCCCGGCAGAGGACCCGUGGUCGUCGAGGGAACCACUGGCGUCCCCUUUUCCCCAUUGGCGUCGUCCUGGUUUCCGGUCGCCGUCGGUGGGGUCAAGGGUGGCGCAAGGUGGGGCCCUCAUCUGGCGAUAUGAAGCAAGGCCGGUAACUGUGAAGAAGGCCCAGUGCCUGUGAAGCUCGCCGCCCGUGACACUCUCACGUAAUAAUGAGUUGGGGCUGUACACGCCCCGCAGUCUCCGAAGAGCCGCCCUCGGGCCUCGGGGGCUCCCUCCCACGCCCACUGGCAGCACUUAGCUCCGCGAUGGUGAGAAGACGUCGAAGACUAGACUAGGUGCCGGACGGGGCCAUUUGCUCUUGUUUUCUCCUUUCGUCCGAACAAGCUUUCUUGCCUCAGAUCUAAGUUGAAGUUGAAUUUGUGUUUGCGUAUGCGGGAAGGGGUGUUGUGUCUUAUUCGCGUGCUUUCUCGUGCUCCUAUUUCCGCUCAAGUUGGAAUUCACACUAGCUGCCUCCCUCUUGCGGGCCCCUCACGAGCAGGGCAGGGCCCAGCACGUGUGCUCGCCAUCCCGCAGCCAGAGUUUGCUCCAGCCAGGCUCUCGCCGCAUGGUCGAAUGGGACCCCCAUGGGCCCUCGAAUGUACACCACAAGCCCGCUCGAGGCACGCCAAGACAAAGGUAAAACCACAAUGACCUAUUCAUCAUGACGAUCACGGCGUCAUGCAGGCACUCGUCCGGCCCAAUCUUGACGACACAUAGGCAACCAUUUUCUUACAUGAGGGGCUUCCCCUCCCAAAAAUGCUCUCACAACCUUCAGGGCCACGCCCAAGUCUCUUCCUGCGCAGGGCAAGCAGCGGGAGGAAGCACGGGGUCAAUCGGACAAAUCGCUCGCCGCAUCCCCGGAGGCGUCGCUGGCACCACCAUCGUCGUUGCCACCCCGCGAUAUGACCCGACCGGAGAUAUGACCCGGCUGGGACUUGAUGUUUCAUUGAUGACCCGGCAGACACAGUCAUAUAACCCGACAGGCACAGUCAUAUAACCCGGCAAGCACAGUCAUAUAACCCGGCAGACACAGUCAUAUAACCCGACAGACACAAUUAUAUAACCCGACAGACACAGUCAUGUAACCCGGCAGACACAGUCAUGUAAGCCAGAUGGUAAGCCAGGUGGUAAGUCAGAUCGUAAGCCAGACCGUAAGUCAGAUUGUAAGCCAGGUUGUAAGAAUCCCAAGACGUUAAGAAGCCCAUGGUAAGACAUCAAAAUAGGUUAAGUCUUAAGUCCGAGUUGGACUCUACAUGUAACCCGCCCCUUCAGCUUAUAUAAGGAGGGGCGGGGCACCCCAAGAGGGACAGGUUGAAUAAUCUCUAAGUUAGACAUAACCAGGAGAGUCGGCUUACGGUGACUCCUCUCAUAUCAUAAUGAGACCUAGACACAAACAACAUGUAGGGUUCUUACCGGAUGAUGUUUCCCGGGGCCUGAAGCUGUCUAAAUCCUUGUCUUGUGUUGUGUUUCUCGAUUCCGCUCAACCCCUCUCAAGCUACUACAUAGAUGUGUUGGCCUCACGACUAAGUCCUCACACUAGGACAUCUGACGUGACAAUUCCACGACAGUUGGCGCCCACUGUGGGUCCUGCGCACGGUGGUGUUGAGUUCUUGGAGGGAUCUCUCAUAGGGAUUGAGAAGCUCGUGAUGUGUUGGAUGAAAAAGACCCGACGCAGAAAGAUAUACAUCACAUCCGUGUCAAGCAGUCGGAGCGACAUACAAGAUUGAGGUUAAUAGAAAUUAGGGGUUUGCGUUCUGUACCUUGCCGACAAUCUGUUCAAACCGCCACUGGUCUAAGCGAGCGGUCAAAUCAAGAGUUGCCUGCACCAUCAUCUUUGACUAUGGCCUGUUUUUAUCGGUAGGUUAAAUCUUGAUCUGCAAAUCACGUGAUGGGGGUCUCCGUUUUGUUCGGCGUUGUUUCGCCGAGUCGGAUGGGUGCACAUCACCAGCCAUGUACAAAGCCAAAUCCCCAACCGAGUCAUAAUCAGAUUAUGGAUUGGGUAUCGUUUGGGAAGAUUAAUAAGGAAAUUGAUGGAUAGCUAUUUGGGAAGGAAGGAUUCAAUUGGCCGAGUCUGAAGCAACAACACGCCGGGUCUGCCUUGCUGCCAGAGCUGCCUCUCCUUUAUUGAUGUGAGCCGCCACCGCUCCUCCGCGGCUGACCAUGCCGAGUCGCCGCUCCUGCCUGAGUCGCCACCGGCGUGGGCCGCCGCGAGUCGCCGCGCUGCUGGCCUGCUGCUUGUGUCGCUUUGAUCCGCCCGAAUGUGAGCCGCUGCUGUCCGCGAGUUGCUAUUCACCUCAGUCCCGCGCUGGGGCCCUGCUGUGACCCGCCUCGCCUGCUGCGAGCCGUCUCCGCCGCCUCGAGCCCCCACUGCGGGCUCACCGGCGCGCUGCCGCUCCUCACGGCCGUGGCUCCGCCUCCGCUGUAGCCACCUCAGCGGGAUCCCAAGCCGGAUCGGAUCCCCGCGGCCUUCCUCGCGCGACGACGAGCCGGCCUCUGAGCCGCCCGACCGCGUCCGCCCUCGUUGUUAACCCGCCCAUCGUCGCAAGCGGGAGAGUCGCCGCCACGUUCUGACCUGGCCUGCCGCCUCACUGGCGUCGUCCGUGAGCCACCCCGCUUCGCCAAAGUUGUUGUCCCCACGGCCUGAGUCGCCUCUUGUCUCUGCUGGGCCUCUGCUUUGUUCUACUCCAAGUUUCUGCCACAAACCGGAGAAGGGGCAAAAUCGCCUGUCAGAUUUGCACUAUCGCCUUUGCUGAGGUUCACCCUUGCGAAAGCGCGCCUUGUGCCACCGGCUCAAUGAGGGAGUCACCGGGUCACCUUCGAUGCCGCCGAGGCCUUGGCCCCGUACCUCCUCGCCCUUUGGCUUCCAUCUCAGCUGACUCGCCGCGUCGAGCACCCACCCCCGUCGUGGGUUCUUUCUGAGCUUCGUUUCAAGCCGCCUCUGCUGCAACCCGGCCCGACUCUUUCCGCGCGCACGUACUAUCGUGGGUCGGCCGCUAGCCGCGCCGCAUCAUUACUUCAACCGCGGCAGGGACGAGCCGCUGUUGUUUCUGUUGUCGUUGGCUUGCCCCUCGCGCCGUGGCCGGCACUAAGAGCAGUCGCCGCUCCGCCUCUGUCAAGCAGUCACCGUCCCGCCUCGCCGAACCACUGCAUCUACUUUCAAACCCGCCGCUCACUUCUGCCUACGUGUGGCUUCUGAGCCGCCGGUCGCCGCGGUCUUCGUUGCAGGCCGCCGUCACUUCGGCACGAGUGCCUGCCUUGGAUGUUUGUCAUAAGCAAGGUGAGCCGGGGAGGUAGAGGCUGUUGCAAGCCCCAAGCCGGAUGACUUCAACCCGCCGUUGCGGGCCGACCUAGACUUCAAUGUGAGCCGCCAGUGGCCGGAUCAAAUCGCCAGCGCCAAGUUCUACAGCCAUGGGAAAAUUCUGGCCAAGCUCAUUUCCGUGGCCUGCACGCCCUCGCCCAUGUUGGCUAGCUAGUGCUAGUUGUGUUUGCGUGUAUAUGGUACAGACAGAGCAGAGCGGAGGCCGGGGGCAGCACAUACGCCUGCAAGUAAGUUUUCUGAUAUUCUGCUAGUCCUUGGAAAGUGCUAGAUGAAGCACGUAUGCAAGUCAAAUGCAUUUUCAUCCGAAUUUACUAUGAGUGCAAGGCAAAGACUACAUGGAUAAGUGCUAAAGGUAGUACUCUCAGUCAAAACGUCUACAGAAUACCAAUGCAAUUACCUGCUGCUGCAACACACGAGGAGCAGAGAAAUAAAGCACGCGAAGAAGGUUGCGCCAAGGACAAGUCUGGAGGCGUUAUUUCUCCUAACCUGUUGACGAGACUGAGGAGGUACAGAUUUUAAACAGUGCAAACGGAGGAUGCUUCAGAAGAAAGUGCUGCAGGCGCUCUACUGCAGAGAGCUCACACCAAAUAUGACCCCAACUCCAGACGCCUGCAGUCUAAAUCCGUUUGUCCAGCUUCAAACAUAGUUUUAUACCAUUGGAAGGAAAAGUGACUACGAUUGUUUUCAAGAGAGAGGGUCAAACUACGUUUGACUCCCAUAUACAUGCAUGGAAGCAAAAUCAGUUUAGUACUACAGAGUACUACUACGACCCAUGCAGAGAUCAAAUGAAAAAGAAGAUAGGCAGCAUCAACACAAACAUGCUUUGGAUAAAUAUAUGGAUCAACAGGAAUUCAGUAACAAUACUGAAAAAUUAUCUACGAACAGAUGAUCCGUCGUAGAAAAGAAUCAGAUGAUAUCGGUCUAAAUCUAUUUUAUUAGCACAAUAUUGUUUUCAUCAAAGAAACGAUUACUUUGGUCUGUAUCUUUUUGUAUGCAGGGCAAUUAUUUAUUUCCAAAUGACGUUAUAUCAUAGAAAUUUGUCCUUGCCGUGCCACUCAAUAGAAGCACCCAAGCUGCUGCCCUUGCAGACCAAUCCAUAUCGGCAUAUCAGGGUCGCACCCGCUCAUACAAGCUGCCCAAAGGACGUUUGUAAACCGCCGCCCGCGGUCCGGUUUAUUCCAACAAAAUCUAGAGCAAUUAAUGAUAUCGGCUCCCGCUUAUACCGGACACCACUGGAGUUUGUAUAAACAUCAACAAGCAGAUGGGAUGAACCAUUGGCCGAGUUGCUGACACAGCUCAUACGGGAUUAUUUAUAACCCACCGCAGUCACCUCAACAUUCUAUGGAUUCACAUCGUGCUAUCGACGCCAAUAAUAUACACCUUCUGCUAUGGUCAAAUAUGGAGAAUCUCAAGACAACUCCUCGAGUCGUCCUAAGACUCGGGGGCUACAAUGACAUGACUCAACAAAUCUUGCCAGUUUCAGCAGGCUCAAGAACUCCGGAUCAUUGGAGGGAAGAUAAACCGGUUCCGGAGGACACCGCCAUAUUGAUGAAAAUUUAAAGGCCGUCAGAAAAUUAUCGGUCCAAAAUAAAAAUUCCGGUUUAAAAUCUGGUUCAAGAGACAUCUCUCUCCCGCAAAGCUUUGAAGCUCUCAAAACCGGUUCAACAUCCGGAUCAAGGUAAAUUUGUCCCUUACAAAGCAUUGAGGAUCUAAAUAUCCGGUUUAAGAACUUCCGGUUCAAAACAUGGGUAUCCUGCCUUACGGCUUAUCUUAUUAUGGUCACUUGGGGGCUUCCUGCUCAUCGGGCAAAGCUAUCAGUACCCUCUUGAUCGGCCCAAUGCCAAAAAUUUAUAUGGUCACUUGGGGGCUUCCUGUUCAAACAUAGGUCAUAUUCGAACCAAAGAGAACAUAGCUGUUGAUACCCUUUUGAUUAGCAAACUGCUGAACCUACUUGGAGGCUUCUUGAUCGUAUCCGAAUCAUAGCUCAACCCCUUUGGGAAUUGACAUGGAUCAUAUUCGAAUCAGCGUCGUUAAACAACUUUUAAGGUCAUUUGGGGGCUUCCUGUUCAAACAUAGGUCGUAUGUUGGAUAUGCCCUAGAGGCAAUAAUAAAAGGGUUAUUAUUAUAUUUCCUUGUUCAUGAUAAUUGUCUUUUAUUCAUGCUAUAAUUGUAUUAUCCGGAAAUCGUGAUACACGUGUGAAUACAUAGACCACAAUAUGUCCCUAGUGAGCCUCUAGUUGACUAGCUCGCUGAUCAACAGAUAGUCAUGGUUUCCUGACUAUGGACAUUAGAUGUCAUUCAUAACGGGAUCACAUCAUUAGGAGAAUGAUGUGAUGGACAAGACCCAAUCCUAAGCAUAGCACAAGAUCGUGUAGUUCAUUUUGCUAGAGCUUUUCCAAUGUCAAGUAUCUUUUCCUUAGACCAUGAGAUCGUGUAACUCCCGGAUACCGUAGGAGUGCUUUGGGUGUACCAAACGUCACAACGUAACUGGGUGACUAUAAAGGUGCACUACAGGCAUCUCCGAAAGUGUCUGUUGGGUUGACAUGGAUCGAGACUGGGAUUUGUCACUCCGUAUGACGGAGAGGUAUCUCUAGGCCCACUCGGUAAUGCAUCAUCAUAAUGAGCUCAAAGUGACCAAGUGUCUGGUCAUGGGAUCAUGCAUUACGGUACGAGUAAAGUGACUUGCCGGUAACGAGAUUGAACAAGGUAUUGGGAUAUCGAUGAUCGAAUCUCGGGCAAGUAAUGUACCGAUUGACAAAGGGAAUUGUAUACGGGGUUGCUUAAAUCCUCGACAUCGUGGUUCAUCCGAUGAGAUCACCGAGGAGCAUGUGGGAUCCAACAUGGGUAUCCAGAUCCCGCUGUUGGUUAUUGACCGAAGAGCCGUCUCGGUCAUGUCUACAUGUCUCCCGAACCCGUAGGGUCUACACACUUAAGGUUCGGUGACGCUAGGGUUGUAUGAAUAUGAGUAUGGAGCAAACCGAAAGUUGUUCGGAGUCCCGGAUGAGAUCCCGGACGUCACGAGGAGUUCCGGAAUGGUCCGGAGGUAAAGAAUUAUAUAUAGGAAGUGCAGUUUCAGCCAUCGGGAGAGUUUCGGGGGUCACCAGUAUUGUACCGGGACCACCGGAAGGGCCCCGGGGGUCCACCUGGUGGGGCCACCUAUCCCGGAGGGCCCCGUGGGCUGAAGUGGGGAGGGGACCAGCCCCUAGUGGGCUGGUGCACCCCCCUUGGGCCCCUCCUGCGCCUAGGGUUGGAAACCCUAGGGUGGGGGGGGGGCGCCUCCACUUGCCUUGGGGGGCACUCCACCCCCCUUGGCCGCCGCCCCCCCUUGGAGAUGCCAUCUCCUAGGGCCGCCCCCCAAGGGGGCCUAUAUAAGGGGGGGGGGGGCGGAGGGCAGCCGUACCCUGAAGUCUUGGCGCCUCCCUCUGCCCUGCUAUACCUCUCCCUUUCGCAGAAACUCGGCGAAGCUCUGCCGGAACCCUGCUGCAUCCACCACCACGCCGUCGUGCUGCUGGAUCUUCAUCAACCUCUCCUUUCCCCUUGCUGGAUCAAGAAGGAAGAGAUGUCAUUUGCUCCGUACGUGUGUUGAACACGGAGGUGCUGUCCGUUCGGCACUUGGUCAUCGGUGAUUUGGAUCACGACGAGUACGACUCCCUCAACCCCGUUCUCUUGAACGCUUCCGCUAGCGGUCUACAAAGGUAUGUAGAUGCACUACUAUCACUCGUUGCUAUAUGAACUCAUAGAUGGAUCUUGGUGAAAUCGUAGGAAAUUUUUUAUUUUCUGCAACGUUCCCCAACAGUGGUAUCAGAGCUAGGUCUAUGCGUAGUUCUCUAUUGCACGAGUAGAACACAAAUCUGUUGUGGACGUAGAUGUUGUCAACUUUCUUGCCGCUACUAGUCUUAUUUUGCUUCAGCGGUAUUGUGGGAUGAAGCGGCCCGGACCGACCUUACACGUACGCUUACGUGGGACAUGUUCCACCGACUGACAUGCACUAGUUGCAUAAGGUGGCUAGCUGGUGUCUGUCUCUCCCACUUUAGUUGGAGAGGAUUCGAUGAAAAGGGUCCUUAUGAAGGGUAAAUAGAAGUUGACAAAUCACGUUGUGGUUAUUCGUAGGUAAGAAAACGUUCUUGCUAGAACCCAAUUGCAGCCACGUAAAAGAUGCAACAACAAUUAGAGGAUGUCUAACUUGUUUUUGCAGAAAUUGCUAUGUGAUGUGAUAUGGCCAAAAGUUGUGAUGAAUGAUGAAUGAUAUAUUGUGAUGUAUGAGAUCAUGUUCUUGUAAUAGGAAUCACGACUUGCAUGUCAAUGAGUAUGACAACCGGCAGGAGCCAUAGGAGUUGUCUUAAUUAUUGUAUGACCUGCGUGUCAAUGAUUUAACGCCAUGUAAUUACUUUACUUUAUUGCUAAACCGUUAGCCAUAGUAGUAGAAGUAAUAGUUGGCGAGCAACUUCACGGAGACACGAUGAUGGAGAUCAUGAUGAUGGAGAUCAUGGUGUCAUGCCGGUGACGAAGAUGAUCAUGGAGCCCCGAAGAUGGAGAUCAAAGGAGCUAUAUGAUAUUGGCCAUAUCAUGUCACUACUAUAUAAUUGCAUGUGAUGUUUAUUAUGUUUAUGCAUCUUGUUUACUUAGAACGACAGUAGUAAAUAAGAUGAUCCCUUAUAAUAAUUUCAAGAAAGUGUUCCCAAUAACUGUGCGUCGUUGCUAAAGUUCGUCGUUUCGAUGCACCACGUGAUGAUCGGGUCUGAUAGAUUCUUACGUUCACAUACAACGGGUGUAAGACAGUUUUACACAUGCAAAAAACACUUAGGGUUAACUUGACGAGCCUAGCAUGUACAGACAUGGCCUCGGAACACAAAGACCGAAAGGUCAAACAUGAGUCAUAUGGAAGAUACGAUAAACAUGGAGAUGUUCACCGAUGAUGACUAGUCCGUCUCACGUGAUGAUCGGACACGGCCUAGUCGACUCGGAUCGUGUAACACUUAGAUGACUAGAGGGAUGUCUAAUCUGAGUGGGAGUUCAUUAAAUAAUUUGAUUAGAUGAACUUAAUUAUCAUGAACUUAGUCUAAAAUCUUUGCAAAAUAUGUCUUGUAGAUCAAAUGGCCAACACUCAUGUCAACAUCAACUUCAACGCGUUCCUAGAGAAAACCAAGCUGAAAGAUGAUGGCAGCAACUAUUCAGACUGGGUCCGGAACCUGAGGAUCAUCCUCAUAGCUGCCAAGAAAGCAUAUGUCCUAGAAGGACCGCUAGGUGAAGCACCCAUCCCAGAGAACCAAGACGUUAUGAAUGCUUGGCAGUCACGUGCUGAUGAUUACUCCCUCGUUUCAGUGCGGCAUGCUUUACAGCUUAGAACUGGGGCUCCAAAAGCGUUUUGAGCGACACGGAGCAUAUGAGAUGUUCGAGGAGCUGAAAAUUGUUUUCCAAGCUCAUGCCCGGGUCGAGAGAUAUGAAGUCUCCGACAAGUUCUAUAGUUGUAAGAUGGAGGAAAAUAGUUCUGUCAGUGAGCACAUACUCAAAAUGUCUGGGUUGCACAACCGCCUGUCCCAGCUGGACAUUAACCUCCCGGACGAGGCGGUCAUUGAUAGAAUCCUUCAGUCGCUCCCACCGAGCUACAAGAGCUUUGUGAUGAACUACAAUAUGUAGGGGAUGGUGAAAACUAUUCCUGAAGUAUUUUCAAUGCUGAAGUCGGCAAAGGUAGAAAUCAAGAAAGAACAUCAAGUGUUGAUGGUCAAUAAAACCACCAAGUUCAAGAAGGGCAAGGGUAAGAAGAACUUCAAGAAGGACGGCAAAGAUGUUGCCGCGCCCGGUAAGCCAGUUGUCGGGAAGAAGUCGAAGAAUGGACCCAAGCCUGAGACUGAGUGCUUUUAUUGCAAAGGGAAGGGUCACUGGAAGCGGAACUGCCCCAAAUACUUAGCGGACAAGAAGGCCGGCAAUACUAAAGGUAUAUUUGAUAUACAUGUAAUUGAUGUGUACCUUACCAGUACUUGUAGUAACUCCUGGGUAUUUGACGGUGCCGCUGCUCAUAUUUGUAACUCACAGCAGGAGCUGCGGAAUAAGCGGAGACUGGUGAAGGACGAGGUGACGAUGCGCGUCGGGAAUGGUUCCAUGGUCGAUGUGAUCGCCGUCGGCACGCUACCUCUACAUUUACCUAUGGGAUUAGUUUUAAACCUCAAUAAUUGUUAUUUAGUGCCAAGUUUGAGCAUGAACAUUGUAUCUGGGUCUUGUUUAAUGCGAGAUGGCUACUCAUUUAAAUCCGAGAAUAAUGGUUGUUCUAUUUAUAUGAGAGAUAUGCUUUAUGGUCAUGCCCCAAUAGUCAAUGGUUUAUUCUUAAUGAAUCUCGAACGUAAUGUUACACAUAUUCAUAGUGUGAAUACCAAAAGAUGUAAAGUUGAUAACGAUAGUCCCACAUACUUGUGGCACUGCCGCCUUGGUCAUAUUGGUGUCAAGCGCAUGAAGAAGCUCCAUGCUGAUGGACUUUUAGAGUCUCUUGAUUAUGAAUCAUUUGACACAUGCGAACCAUGCCUCAUGGGCAAAAUGACCAAGACUCCAUUCUCCGGAACAAUGGAGCAAGCAACCAACUUAUUGGAAAUCAUACAUACCGAUGUGUGCGGUCCAAUGAGCGUUGAGGCUCGCGGAGGAUAUCGUUAUGUUCUCACUCUCACUGAUUACUUGAGUAGAUAUGGGUAUGUCUACUUGAUGAAACACAAGUCUGAGACCUUUGCAAAGUUCAAGGAAUUUCAGAAUGAGGUAGAGAAUCAACGUGAUCGAAAGAUAAAAUUCUUACGAUCAGAUCGUGGAGGAGAAUAUUUAAGUCAUGAAUUUGGUACACACUUAAGAAAAUGUGGAAUCGUUUCACAACUCACGCCGCCUGGAACACCUUAGCGUAACGGUGUGUCCAAACGUCGUAAUCGCACUCUAUUGGAUAUCGUGCGAUCUAUGAUGUCUCUUACCGAUUUAGCGCUAUCAUUUUGGGGAUACGCUCUAGAGACAACCACAUUCACUUUAAAUAGGUCUCCGUCUAAAUCCGUUGAGACGACACCGUAUGAAUUAUGGUUUGGGAAGAAACCUAAGCUGUCGUUUCUAAAAGUUUGGGGAUGCGAUGCUUAUGUCAAGAAACUUCAACCUGAAAAGCUCGAACCCAAGUCGAAAAAAUGCGUCUUCAUAGGAUACCCUAAGGAAACCAUUGGGUAUACCUUCUACUUAAGAUCCGAGGGCAAGAUCUUUGUUUCCAAGAACGGAUCCUUUCUGGAAAAAGAGUUUCUCUCGAAAGAAGUAAGUGGGAGGAAAGUAGAACUCGAUGAAGUACUACCUCUUGAACCAGAAAGUAGUGCAGCUCAGGAAAAUGUUCCUGUGGUGCCUACACCGACUGGAGAGGAAAUUAAUGAUGAUGAUCAAGGUACUUCGGAUCAAGUUGCUACUGAACUUCGUAGGUCCACUAGGACACGUUCCACACCAGAGUGGUAUGGCAAUCCUGUCCUGGAAAUCGUGUUGUUAGACAACGGUGAACCUUCGAACUAUGAAGAAGCGAUGGCGGGCCCAUAUUCCAACAAAUGGCUUGAAGCCAUGCAAUCCGAGAUAGAAUUCAUGUAUGAAAACAAAGUAUGGACUUUGACAGACUUGCUCGAUGAUCAGCGAGCGAUAGAAAACAAAUGGAUCUUUAAGAAGAAGGCGGACGCGGAUGGUAAUGUUACCAUCUAGAAAGCUCGACUUGCCGCUAAGGGUUAUCGGCAAGUUCAAGGGGUUGACUAUGAUGAGAGUUUCUCUCCUGUAGCGAAGCUAAAGUCUGUCCGAAUCAUGUUAGCAAUUGCCGCAUACUAUGAUUAUGAGAUAUGGCAGAUGGACGUCAAAACGGCAUUCCUUAACGGCUAUCUUAAGGAAGAACUGUAUAUGAUGCAGCCGGAGGGUUUUGUCGAUCCUAAGAAUGCUAACAAGGUAUGCAAGCUCCAGCGAUCCAUUUAUGGGCUGGUGCAAGCAUCUCGGAGUUGGAACAUUUGCUUUGAUGAGAUGAUCAAAGCGUUUGGGUUUAUGCAGACUUAUGGAGAAGCCCGCGUUUACAAGAAAGUGAGUGGGAGCUCUGUAGCAUUUCUCAUAUUAUAUGUAGAUGACAUACUUUUGAUGGGAAAUGAUAUAGAACUUUUGGACAGCAUUAAGGCCUACUUGAAUAAGUGUUUUUCAAUGAAGGACCUUGGAGAAGCUGCUUACAUAUUAGGUAUCAAGAUCUAUAGGGAUAGAUCGAGACGCCUCAUAGGUCUUUCACAAAGCACAUACCUUGAUAAGAUAUUGAAGAAGUUCAAAAUGGAUCAGUCCAAGAAACGGUUCUUGCCUGUAUUGCAAGGUGUGAGAUUGAGCUCGGCUCAAUGCCCGACCACGGCAAAAGACAAAGAAGAGAUGAGUGUCAUCCCCUAUGCCUCAGCCAUAGGAUCUAUUAUGUAUGCCAUGCUGUGUACCAGACCUGAUGUAAACCUUGCCGUAAGUUUGGUAGGAAGGUACCAAAGUAAUCCCAGCAAGGAACACUGGACAGCGGUCAAGAAUAUCCUGAAGUACCUGAAAAGGACAAAGGACAUGUUUCUCGUUUAUGGAGGUGACGAAGAGCUCGUCGUAAAGGGUUACGUCGACGCUAGCUUCAACACAGAUCUGGAUGACUCUAAGUCAAAAACCGGAUACGUGUAUAUGUUGAAUCGUGGAGCAGUAAGCUAGUGCAGUUGCAAGCAGAGCGUCGUGGCGGGAUCUACAUGUGAAGCGGAGUACAUGGCAGCCUCGGAGGCAGCACAUGAAGCAAUAUGGAUGAAGGAGUUCAUCACCGACCUAGGAGUCAUACCCAAUGCCUCGGGGCCAAUCACUCUCUUCUGUGACAACACUGGAGCUAUUGCCCUUGCCAAGGAGCCCAGGUUUCACAAGAAGACCAGGCACAUUAAGUGUCGUUUCAACUCCAUCCGUGAAAAUGUUCAAGAUGGAGACAUAGAUAUUUGCAGAGUACAUACGGAUCUGAAUGUCGCAGAUCCGUUGACUAAACCUCUUCCGCGAGCAAAACAUGAUCAACACCAAAACUAUAUGGGUGUUCGAUUCAUCACAAUGUAACUAGAUUAUUGACUCUAGUGCAAGUGGGAGACUGUUGGAAAUAUGCCCUAGAGGCAAUAAUAAAAGGGUUAUUAUUAUAUUUCCUUCUUCAUGAUAAUUGUCUUUUAUUCAUGCUAUAAUUGUAUUAUCCAGAAAUCGUGAUACACGUGUGAAUACAUAGACCACAAUAUGUCCCUAGUGAGCCUCUAGUUGACUAGCUCGUUGAUCAACAGAUAGUCAUGGUUUCCUGAGUAUGGACAUUAGAUCUCAUUGAUAACGGGAUCACAUCAUUAGGAGAAUGAUGUGAUGGACAAGACCCAAUCCUAAGCAUAGCACAAGAUCGUGUAGUUCGUUUUGCUAGAGCUUUUCCAAUGUCAAGUAUCUUUUCCUUAGACCAUAAGAUCGUGUAACUCCCAGAUACCGUAGGAGUGCCUUGGGUGUACCAAACGUCACAACGUAACUGGGUGACUAUAAAGGUGCACUACAGGCAUCUCUGAAAGUGUCUGUUGGGUUAACACGGAUCGAGACUGGGAUUUGUCACUCCGUAUGAUGGAGAGGUAUCUCUGGGCCCACUCGGUAAUGCAUCAUCAUAAUGAGCUCAAAGUGACCAAGUGUCUGGUCACGGGAUCAUGCAUUACGGUACGAGUAAAGUGACUUGCCGGUAACGAGAUUGAACAAGGUAUUGGGAUACCGACGAUCGAAUCUCGUGCAAGUAACGUAUCGAUUGACAAAGGGAAUUGUAUACGGGGUUGCUUAAAUCCUAGACAUCGUGGUUCAUCCGAUGAGAUCAUCGAGGAGCAUGUGGGAGCCAACAUGGGUAUCCAGAUCCCGCUGUUGGUUAUUGACCGGAGAGCCGUCUCGGUCAUGUCUACAUGUCUCCCGAACCCAUAGGGUCUACACACUUAAGGUUCGGUGAUGCUAGGGUUGUAUGAAUAUGAGUAUGUAGCAAACCGAAAGUUGUUCGGAGUCCCGGAUGAGAUCCCGGACGUCACGAGGAGUUCCGGAAUGGUCUGGUGGUAAAGAAUUAUAUAUAGGAAGUGCAGUUUCGGCCAUCGGGGGAGUUUUGGGGGUCACCGGUAUUGUACCGGGACCACCGGAAGGGUCCCGGGGGUCCACCGGGUGGGGCCACCUAUCACGGAGGGCCCCGUGGGCUGAAGUGGGAGGGGACCAGCCCCUAGUGGGCUGGUGCGCCCCCCUUGCUCCCCUCCUGCGCCUAGGGUUGGAAACCCUAGGGUGGGGGGGCGCCUCCACUUGCCUUGGGGGGGAACUCCACCCCCCUUGCCCCCCCCUUGGAGAUGCCAUCUCCUAGGGCCGGCGCCCCCCAGGGGGCCUAUAUAAAGGGGGGGGGGAGGGAGGGCAGCCGUACCCUGAAGUCUUGGCGCCUCCCUCUCCCCUGCUAUACCUCUCCCUCUCGCAGAAGCUCGGCGAAGCUCUGUCGGAACCCUGCUGCAUCCACCACCACGCCUCGUGCUACUGGAUCUUCAUCAACCUCUCCUUUCCCCUUGCUGGAUCAAGAAGUAGGAGAUGUCAUCCGCUCCGUACGUGUGUUGAACGCGGAGGUGCUGUCCGUUCGACACUUGGUCAUCGGUGAUUUGGAUCACGACGAGUACGACUCCCUCAACCCCGUUCUCUUGAACGCUUCCGCUCGCGAUCUACAAAGGUAUGUAGAUGCACUACUAUCACUCGUUGCUAGAUGAACUCAUAGAUGUAUCUUGGUGAAACCGUAGGAAAUUUUUUAUUUUCUACAACGUUCCCCAACAUCGUAUUCGAACCAAAGAGAAUAUAGCUGUCGAUACCCACUUUGAUCGGCAAUGCCAACGCCAUUGGGGGCUAUAUGAUCGUAUUCGAAUCUUAGCUUAACCUCUGUGGAACGGUUUACUGAUCGUAUUUGAAUCAGAAGCCUCAAUUUUUUUAUCUGUUUUUAUACAAUCGCAAGUAUUUGAGUUGUCACAAGUAUCAUAUGUGCCGGCUCUUACAGAGUUGAGUUAUCAACUUCAUUGUCCUGGUCACAUAAACCGGCGGUAUCAUUCAAAGGAUCGUAGGGAUCUUGUGAUCUACUUGUGUGCAGGGUAAGACUACAUUUGGGUGGUUACCCGCCCUUGCCCUUGAUGUUAAGUUGCGAGGGCAUAUGUUGUUUAAACUCUGUGCAGGAUUUGCAGAAUUAUGACAUAUAAAUGCUUCAGUCCAAGCUCAUCACUGAAAUUGGUGUCUCAAAAGGGUUAUCAAUUAUUUAUUUUCUCAAGGGCUAUAGGUCAUCGGGUUACAAAAAUUCCGGCUUACAAUGAAUGUGCAUUAAGUCAUCAUCGUCCAAGAGCCGCCAGGUAUUUAAACUCCGGAUUUACUUGUCAACCGAUGAGGUAUUCAAAUCUUUUAUAGCCAAAACUGGCUGGAUUUUCAUGAUGAUAUUGAAUGAUUGAGGUUUUCAUACCGGAUUAUAUUAUUCAAAUCUCGAAUAGCCAACAUGGCUGGAUUUCUAUUGUGAUUAUCAAUAACCAGUGUUAUGAUUGAGGUCUUCAAAGUCGCUUUAGCGCAAUGGCAAUUAUAUUAUCAAUGGAUAGGAUUUAUUCUACAAUUGGAGGAAUAGUCCCGAGUUGCUGCAGGCUUACGAGCCGGCACUUGGGGGCGUACAUUAUUUAAGUUGAGAUUAUAUCAAAUAUGCAAGUCUCAUGUCACUACAAGCAUGCACCAUGACACUUGGGGGCUAAUGCAAAGUCAUUUUUACUGGCCUUAUUAAAGACCCGACUCAUCAUAUCAUAAUGAGCCGGCCCUUGGGGGCUACACGUUGUUGUUCAAGUCUACAUGAUCAUAUCUACAAAGUCCCUGCUCAUUAUUGCAUAAUGACUCGACCCUUGGGGGCUACACUGGUUGAAGUUUUGAUUAGCAUAAAGCAAUUUCAAGUCCCAGGUUAAGCAUGACAACCCGGCACUUGGGGGCUAUAUAUGUGGAAUACUCAGUUUUGACUAGUGAUUGAGAUAAACAACAUGGAUUUCUUCAAAGUGAUAAUAUUUUUAUUGAAGCAAGUCUUAAGUCAUUACUUUGUUUUGCUCAAGACUUGGGGGCUACAGGUAAUAUGGAUAUGAGGGAGAGAAAUCUUCAAAAUUCUCAGUUUUGACCCGGCAUCGGCAACAAUUAUGACUUGGCAUCAUCUAUUUUUAAACCCGUCAAGUUUUUUCAUCUUUAAGCCGGUUGAAGGUCACAUGAGUAUUUCAAGACCAAUAUUUUUAAGCAUUGGGAGCUGAGUCAAAUGAGUUAUUCUUCAGUCUUCCUCUGUGAUAAACCAACGUCAGCAAAUUGAUUAUGAAGUUUAUUGACCCGGAUCUUCGAAGGAGAAAAUAACAAGGAGUUAAGGAUGAUCAGGUUCCGGCGUACAAGAAUAUUUAACCCGGAGCAUAACCUGCUAAAAUUGUUCUUGUGUUUUGUUUACAGGAUCAGUUUAACAUGGAUAAAUCCAAAUUAAACUGGGGGCUAAUGUCGGGGAUAUACCCCGCGAUAUGACCCGGCCGGAGAUAUGACCAGGCUGGGACUUGAUGUUUCAUUGAUGACCCGGCAGACACAGUCAUAUAACCCGACAGGCACAGUCAUAUAACCCGGCAGGCACAUUCAUAUAACCCGGCAGACACAGUCAUAUAACCCGCCAGACACAGUCAUAUAACCCGGCAGACACAGUCAUAUAACCCGGCAGACACAGUUAUAUAACCCGGCAGACAUAGUCAUGUAACCUGGCAGACACAGUCAUGUAAGCCAGAUGGUAAGCCAGGUGGUAAGUCAGAUCGUAAGCCAGACCGUAAGUCAGAUUGUAAGCCAGGUUGUAAGAAUCCCAAGACGUUAAGAAGCCCAUGGUGAGAAGCCCAUGGUAAGACGUCAAAAUAGGUUAAGUCUUAAGUCCGAGUUGGACUCUACAUGUAACCCGCCCCUUCAGCUUAUAUAAGGAGGGGCGGGGCACCCCAAGAGGGACAGGUUGAAUAAUCUCAAGGUUAGACAUAACCAAGAGAGCCGGCUUACGGUGACUCCUCUCAUAUCAUAAUGAGACCUAGCCACAAACAACAUGUAGGGUUCUUACCGGAUGAUGUUUCCCGGGGCCUGAAGCUGUCUAAAUCCUUGUCUUGUGUUGUGUUUCUCGAUUCCGCUCAACCCCUCUCAAUCUACUACAUAGAUGUGUUGGCCUCACGACUAAGUCCUCACACUAGGACAUCUGACAUGACAAUUGCACGACAAUCCCCAUUGUUGGCGCCAUCUCCACCAUCGUUCACCACGACGCCUUCAUCGGCAGCAACGAUCACCCCGUCGUCGUCAGAAGUGAAGGCCCGGACGAGCGCAUCAACGUUGUCCUCCACCCAUCGUGCUAGGUCGCCUCGAACGGCCUCAGGCACUGGGGCGAUGGCGGCAUCAAAGUCGAAGAGGGGAUCGAGGUUCUGAGGAUGGCUGAAGACGCGGGAGAAUGCCCGCGCGAGCAGGCCGCGACUCCGUUCCUCCACCAGCUGGUGAGACCUCUCAGAGCGGUUCUUCAGAUGCGUCACCACGUCAGUGAAGAACUGGAGGUUGCCGGCGUAGUUGGUCACGUGCGGCUCCUCGGCGGCAGCCUCACAGAUGUUGCCCAAGGCCGUGUUAGCCCUUUCCCUAAGCGUUCAGAGCAUGGGGCUGUGCAUGUGCUCCAAUGUCUGCUGCUGGCGGAUCUCGUCCGCAUUCCGCUCCGCGACGGCCUCGGCAUCAUCAACCCGCCAUUGAAGAAGAAGUAGCUCGGUGCGGGAGGAGGCUAGCUCGGCCUGCGCCGAGCUUAGCGCGACAACAGUGGCCUCAGCUCUGUGCGUGGCUUCAGUCAACCUCGUCCUGAGGGCAGCUGAGGGAGUCCUGGACUAGGGGGUGUCCGGAUAGCCGAACUAUCAUCAUCGGCCGGACUCCAAGACUAUGAAGGUAUAAGAUUGAAGACUUCGUCCCGUGUCCGGAUGGGACUUUCCUUGGCGUGGAAGGCAAGCUUGGCGAUACGGAUAUGUAGAUCUCCUACCAUUGUAACCGACUCUGUGUAACCCUAGCCCUCUCCGGUGUCUAUAUAAACCGGAUUGCUUUAGUCUGUAGAACGAACAACAAUCAUACCAUAGGCUAGCUUCUAGGGUUUAGCCUCCUUGAUCUCGUGGUAGAUCUACUCUUGUAACACACAUCAUCAAUAUUAAUCAAGCAUGACAUAGGGUUUUACCUCCAUCAAGAGGGCCCGAACCUGGGUAAAACAUCGUGUCCCUUGUCUCCUGUUACCAUCCGCCUAGACGCACAGUUUGGGACCCCCUACCCGAGAUCCGCCGGUUUUGACACCGACAUUGGUGCUUUCAUUGAGAGUUCCUCUGUGCCGUCGCAAUCAAGAAGGAUGCCUUUUCCCGUAUUUAAAGACGGCGCCGUCGUCAAGGGAGCUUUGGCCGCCGACCAAACUAUCCGGCUAGUUGGUUUUCUUAUGACCGCCUGUUCGGCCACCGCCCCGACGAUGACCUCUCAGGUCAUCAAAAGCGAUCUUCACGCCAGCUCAGAAUUCGCCGAGCAGCUAGAUCCGAUUGAGCUCUCCUCCGUAAACAAGCUCUUGGAUCGCAUCGCCGCCCUAGGAGUCGCUACAGACUACGAUCAGAUUGGUCUUAGAACCGAUUUGAGAGAAAUUAACUCUCCCCAGGCUACCCACCACGUUGUUGUGGUAGAGGAACAAUGCAACGACUCUUCUUCUAUGUUAAAAACCAGCUAUGUCCGGAUUCCCGAUCCCUCCAUGCCGGUUUCCCGCGGAGGGACGGACGUCAAUCAAAUACUGAACCUAAAGUCAGGCAUCGGACCAGAUUUGUCGGAAAACAUCCAACAAACCAAGCUUCCAAAUCCGGAAACCUCUUGGCCUUUGAGCCUCAGAUCGGGCGGGGUUCCGAACUUAAUUCCACCAGCCCACCCAAACAUAAUCGAUCUAUCUCAAAUACGGCAAGAGCCCAAUGAAAUAGUACAUCAUUACUGGGCCAGAUUCCUCCUGGUUAUGAACAGGAUAAAGGACUGCCGUGAAGAAAGCGCGAUUUCAAUUUUCUGCAACAAUUGCACGGACAAGGGAAUCAUGAACGCCAUAAGUCGUCGCGAAGUUACAUGCUUCACCGACCUAGCGACCAUUGUACAAAAAUACUGUGCGAUGGAGAGCGCCUGGAAAACCAAAACCAGGUUUUGGGACAAUCCGGCCCUGAAUACAACCCCAGUCCGAAAUAAAAGGGUGCGUCAUACUCAAGCACCUGGGUUAAAAACCAAAAAGCAAAAAACCCCUAAAGGGCACGGAACCGUACUAGAGGGAUGGCUCAACGGACCCGGCAAAAUCCACAGUACGGAUGGCGCCACUCCAACACAUAGCCUCCGAGCAUGUUGGAUACUAUGGCAGGUGGCCAAAAGUGGCGAAGGCUUUCUAGCCCCGGGCAACCAGCCCAGCAGUACCAGUACGGUAUUAACAGUCUUCGAGACUUUCGCAUCAAAUAACAUGCGGAAGUGAACAAUCCGCAGCCUCACCGAAGUCUACCAAGUAGCAACAACAAAUCCAUGGAGCGACACGGCCAUCACCUUCAAUGCCAGCGAUGAGCCUAAAUUCAGAACAGCUCGAGCACCAGCCGCAUUGGUCCUCAGUCCGAUAGUGGACGGCUUUCGUCUUACCAAGGUACUCAUGGAUGGCGGCAGCGGACUAAACCUCAUCUACGAGGAAACCCUUAAAAAAUGGAAAUUGACUGGAGCCGCAUUGAGCGAAGAAGCACAACCUUCAGGGGAAUAAUCCCUAGUCGAGAAGUACGCUGCACAGAAAAAAUCACACUAGACGUCGUGUUCGGCUCGCCGGACAAUUACAGGUCCGAAGAGGUCACGUUCCAAGUGGCCCCAUACGGCAAUCACAACCUUCAGGGGAAUAAUCCCUAGUCGAGAAGUACGCUGCACAGGAAAAAUCACACUAGACGUCGUGUUCGGCUCGCCGGACAAUUACAGGUCCGAAGAGGUCACGUUCCAAGUGGCCCCAUUCGGCAGCGGAUAUCAUGCCUUGUUAGGGCGAGAGGCAAUCACAAUCUUCCAAGCUAUACCCCAUUACGGGUACAUGAAGCUCAAAAUGCCCGGGCCCAAUGGAAUAAUCACUCUCACCAGUGAUCCAGAUAUAGCACUCCGCGCUGAAAAUAAGACAGCCGCACUGGCCCUAGAGGCAUUAUCCGAAGCCCUAGCGGCAGAGGAACUCACUGCGUUGGAACAUUUGCUUUGAUGAGAUGAUCAAAGCGUUUGGGUUUAUGCAGACUUAUGGAGAAGCCUGCGUUUACAAGAAAGUGAGUGGGAGCUCUGUAGCAUUUCUCAUAUUAUAUGUAGAUGACAUACUUUUGAUGGGAAAUGAUAUAGAACUUUUGGACAGCAUUAAGGCCUACUUGAAUAAUUGUUUUUCAAUGAAGGACCUUGGAGAAGCACCUUACAUAUUAGGCAUCAAGAUCUAUAGGGAUAGAUCGAGACGCCUCAUAGGUCUUUCACAAAGCACAUACCUUGAUAAGAUAUUGAAGAAGUUCAAAAUGGAUCAGUCCAAGAAACGGUUCUUGCCUGUAUUGCAAGGUGUGAGAUUGAGCUCGGCUCAAUGCCCGACCACGGCAAAAGACAAAGAAGAGAUGAGUGUCAUCCCCUAUGCCUCAGCCAUAGGAUCUAUUAUGUAUGCCAUGCUGUGUACCAGACCUGAUGUAAACCUUGCCGUAAGUUUGGUAGGAAGGUACCAAAGUAAUCCCAGCAAGGAACACUGGACAGCGGUCAAGAAUAUCCUGAAGUACCUGAAAAGGACAAAGGACAUGUUUCUCGUUUAUGGAGGUGACGAAGAGCUCGUCGUAAAGGGUUACGUCGACGCUAGCUUCAACACAGAUCUGGAUGACUCUAAGUCACAAACCGGAUACGUGUAUAUGUUGAAUCGUGGAGCAGUAAGCUAGUGCAGUUGCAAGCAGAGCGUCGUGGCGGGAUCUACAUGUGAAGCGGAGUACAUGGCAGCCUCGGAGGCAGCACAUGAAGCAAUAUGGAUGAAGGAGUUCAUCACCGACCUAGGAGUCAUACCCAAUGCGUCGGGGCCAAUCACUCUCUUCCGUGACAACACUGGAGCUAUUGCCCUUGCCAAGGAGCCCAGGUUUCACAAGAAGACCAGGCACAUCAAGUGUCGUUUCAACUCCAUCCGUGAAAAUGUUCAAGAUGGAGACAUAGAUAUUUGCAAAGUACAUAUGGAUCUGAAUGUCGCAGAUCCGUUGACUAAACCUCUUCCGCGAGCAAAACAUGAUCAACACCAGAACUCUAUGGGUUAAGUCUUAAGUCCAUGGUGAGAAUCCCAUGGUAAGACGUCAAAAUAGGUUAAGUCUUAAGUCCGAGUUGGACUCUACAUGUAACCCGCCCCUUCAGCUUAUAUAAGGAGGGGCGGGGCACCCCAAGAGGGACAGGUUGAAUAAUCUCUAGGUUAGACAUAACCAAGAGAGCCGGCUUACGGUGACUCCUCUCAUAUCAUAAUGAGACCUAGCCACAAACAACAUGUAGGGUUCUUACCGGAUGAUGUUUCCCGGGGCCUGAAGCUGUCUAAAUCCUUGUCUUGUGUUGUGUUUCUCGAUUCCGCUCAACCCCUCUCAAUCUACUACAUAGAUGUGUUGGCCUCACGACUAAGUCCUCACACUAGGACAUCUGACAUGACAAUUGCACGACAAUCACCAUUGUUGGCGCCAUCUCCACCAUCGUUCACCACGACGCCUUCAUCGGCAGCAACGAUCACCCCGUCGUCGUCAGAAGUGAAGGCCCGGACGAGCGCAUCAACGUUGUCCUCCACCCACCGCGCUAGGUCGCCUCGAACGGCCUCAGGCACUGGGGCGAUGGCGGCAUCAAAGUCGAAGAGGGGAUCGAGGUUCUGAAGAUGGCUGAAGACGCGGGAGAAUGCCCGCGCGAGCAGGCCGCGACUCCGUUCCUCCACCAGCUAGCGAGACCUCUCAGAGCAGUUCUUCAGAUGCGUCACCACGUCAGUGAAGAACUGGAGGUUGCCGGCGUAGUUGGUCACGUGCGGCUCCUCGGCGGCAGCCUCACAGAUGUUGCCCAAGGCCGUGUUAGCCCUUUCCCUAAGCGUUCAGAGCAUGGGGCUGUGCAUGUGCUCCAAUGUCUGCUGCUGGCGGAUCUCGUCCGCAUUCCGCUCCGCGACGGCCUCGACAUCAUCAACCCGCCAUUGAAGAAGAAGUAGCUCGGUGAGGGAGGAGGCUAGCUCGGCCUGCGCCGAGCUUAGCGCGACAGCAGUGGCCUCAGCUCUGUGUGUGGCUUCAGUCAACCUGGUCCUGUGGGCAGCUGAGGGAGUCCUGGACUAGGGGGUGUCCGGAUAGCCGAACUAUCAUCAUCGGCCGGACUCCAAGACUAUGAAGAUACAAGAUUGAAGACUUCGUCCCGUGUCCGGAUGGGACUUUCCUUGGCGUGGAAGGCAAGCUUGGCGAUACGGAUAUGUAGAUCUCCUACCAUUGUAACUGACUCUGUGUAACCCUAGCCCUCUCCGGUGUCUAUAUAAACCGGAUGGCUUUAGUCUGUAGAACGAACAACAAUCAUACCAUAGGCUAGCUUCUAGGGUUUAGCCUCCUUGAUCUCGUGGUAGAUCUACUCUUGUAACACACAUCAUCAAUAUUAAUCAAGCAUGACAUAGGGUUUUACCUCCAUCAAGAGGGCCCGAACCUGGGUAAAACAUCGUGUCCCUUGUCUCCUAUUACCAUCCGCCUAGACGCACAGUUUGGGACCCCCUACCCGAGAUCCGCCGGUUUUGACACCGACAUUGGUGCUUUCAUUGAGAGUUCCUCUGUGCCGUCGCAAUCAAGAAGGAUGCCUUUUCCCGUAUUUAAAGACGGCGCCGUCGUCAAGGGAGCUUUGGCCGCCGGCCAAACUAUCCGGCUAGGUGGUUUUCUUAUGACCGCCUGUUCGGCCACCGCCCCGACGAUGACCUCUCAGGGCAUCAAAAGCGAUCUUCACGCCAGCUCAGAAUUUGCCGAGCAGCUAGAUCUGAUUGAGCUCUCCUCCGUAAACAAGCUCUUGGAUCGCAUCGCCGCCCUAGGAGUCGCUACAGACUACGAUCAGAUUGGUCUUAAAACCGAUCUGAGAGAAAUUAACUCUCCCCAGGCUACCCACCACGUUGUUGUAGUAGAGGAACAAUGCAGCAACUCUUAUUCUAUGUUAAAAACCAGCUAUGUCCGGAUUCCCGAUCCCUCCAUGCCGGUUUCCCGCGGAGGGACGGACGUCAAUCAAAUACUGAACCUAAAGUCAGGCAUCGGACCAGAUUUGUCGGAAAACAUCCAACAAACCAAGCUUCCAAAUCCGGAAACCUCUUGGCCUUUGAGCCUCAGAUCGGGCGGGGUUCCGAACUUAAUUCCACGAGCCCACCCAAACAUAAUCGAUCUAUCUCAAAUACGGCAAGAGCCCAAUGAAAUAGUAUAUCAUUACUGGGCCAGAUUCCUCCUGGUUAUGAACAGGAUAAAGGACUGCCGUGAAGAAAGCGCGAUUUCAAUUUUCUGCAACAAUUGCACGGACAAGGGAAUCAUGAACGCCAUAAGUCGUCGCGAAGUUACACGCUUCACCGACCUAGCGACCAUUGUACAAAAAUACUGUGCGAUGGAGAGCGCUUGGAAAACCAAAACCAGGUUUUGGGACAAUCCGGCCCUGAAUACAACCCCGGUCCGAAAUAAAAGGGUGCGUCAUACUCAAGCACCUGGGUUAAAAACCAAAAAGCAAAAAACCCCUAAAGGGCACGGAACCGUACUAGAGGGAUGGCUCAACGGACCCUGCAAAAUCCACAGUACGGAUGGCGCCACUCCAACACAUAGCCUCCGAGCAUGUUGGAUACUAUGGCAGGUGGCCAAAAGUGGCGAAGGCUUUCUAGCCCCGGGCAACCAGCCCAGCAGUACCAGUACGGUAUUAACAGUCUUCGAGACUUUCGCAUCAAAUAACAUGCGGAAGCGAACAAUCCGCAGCCUCACCGAAGUCUACCAAGUAGCAACAACAAAUCCAUGGAGCGACACGGCCAUCACCUUCAAUGCCAGCGAUGAGCCUAAAUUCAGAACAGCUCGAGCACCAGCCGCAUUGGUCCUCAGUCCGAUAGUGGACGGCUUUCGUCUUACCAAGGUACUCAUGGAUGGCGGCAGCGGACUAAACCUCAUCUACGAGGAAACCCUUAAAAAAUGGAAAUUGACUGGAGCCGCAUUGAGAGAAGCAGCACAACCUUCAGGGGAAUAAUCCCUAGUCGAGAAGUACGCUGCACAGGAAAAAUCACACUAGACGUCGUGUUCGGCUCGCCGGACAAUUACAGGUCCGAAGAGGUCACGUUCCAAGUGGCCCCAUUCGGCAGCGGAUAUCACGCCUUGUUAGGGCGAGAGGCAAUCAAAAUCUUCCAAGCUAUACCCCAUUACGGGUACAUGAAGCUCAAAAUGCCCGGGCCCAAUGGAAUAAUCACUCUUACCAGGGAUCCAGAUAUAGCACUCCGCGCUGAAAAUAAGACAGCCGCACUGGCCCUAGAGGCAUUAUCCGAAGCCCUAGCGGCAGAGGAACUCACUGCGUUGCGCUCCAUGGUGGAUAGGGACGAUGUGAUACUCGAUAAGAGGUCCAAGUCCACCCCCUUUAAACCAGCGGACGAAGUAGUCAAAUUCCAGGUCCAUCCAACAGACCCCACAAAGACGACCUCCAUCGGGGCACAAUUGAAUCCUGAUGUAGAAGCCGCACUAUGAGAAUUCCUUCGGGAAAACCGGGAAAUUUUCGCCUGGCAUCCUUCAGAUAUGCCAGGAAUCCCACGCAGGCUAGCAGAACAUAGCCUAAACAUCCUAAAAGGAUUCAAGCCAGUCAAACAGGCUCUUCGGCGAUUUUCCGAACCCAAAAGACAGGCAAUGGGAGAGGAGCUAGCCAAACUCUUAGAAGCCGGAUUCAUCAGAGAUAUAAAACAUCGGGAUUGGCUAGCCAACCUAGUAAUGGUACCAAAAAAGGACAAAUCCUGGCGCCUUUGUGUCGAUUUCAAAGACCUUAACAAGGCCUGUCCAAAGGACCCUUUCCCCCUCCCUCGCAUCGACCAAAUCAUCGAUGCUACCGCAGGGCAUGAUUCAUUGUGCUUCCUCGACGCAUACUCCGGAUACCAUCAAAUCAGGAUGGCGGAAAAAGACCAGGCCGCAACGGCAUUUAUUACUCCAUACGGACCAUUCUGCUUCAACACAAUGCCCUUCGGACUCAAAAACACCGUCGCAACAUAUCAGCGCAUGAUUCAGACAUGUCUGGCCACCCAGAUAGGCAAACACGUCGAAACUCUAGUAGACGACUUGAGGGUGACAUUCGACAACCUCCGAGCAUAUGACAUUAAGCUCAACCCGGAAAAAUGUGUUUUCGGCGUACCAGCCGGAAAGUUCUUGGGCUUCAUUGUAUCUGGUAGAGGAAUUGAAGCAAACCCGGCCAAGAUCCGAGCUCUGUCACAAUUGGAUAUCCCAAAAGACCUCAAGCAAAUACAAACACUAACUGGAUGCGUGGCGGCUCUAAGCCGCUUCAUCUCCCAUUUGGGAGAAAAGGCACUGCCCCUCUAUCGCCUCCUCCAGCGCACCGAACAUUUCGAAUGGACGGAUGCUGCCACGGCCGGACUCGAAGAAAUUAAGGCCGUAUUGGCAACAAAUCCGGUCCUGGCUGCGCCCAACCUGGGCGAACCGAUGUUAUUAUAUAUCGAAGCAACACAUCAAGUUGUCAGCGCGGUACUCGUCGUCGAACGAGAAACAGAAGGGCACAAAUUCCCUCUUCAAAAACUAGUGUACUACGUAUCCACUGUCUUAACUCCAUGCAAGUCCCGGUACCCACACUAUCAAAAGAUAGCGUAUGCGGUGUUCAUGGCAUCCCGGAAGCUGCGACACUACUUUCAAGAGUGUUCCAUAACGGUGGCCUCCGAAGUACCUCUCAACGACAUUAUAAACAAUCGCGAUGCGACGGGCAGGAUUGCAAAAUGGGCCAUUGAGCUCUUACCAUUUGAUAUAACCUACAAACCACGACGAGCUAUCAAGUCGCAAGUUCUGGCUGACUUCAUCGCUGAAUGGACCGAAGCCGAACUCCCUAAAGAGUACGGCGCAUACUCCAAUUGGAUCAUGCAUUUCGACGGCUCCAAAAUGUUGGCUGGCUUGGGGGCUGGCGUCGUCUUGACGUCCCCAACCGGAGACACAGUCCAAUACGUGCUUCAAAUAAUGUACAUGGACUCCAACAAUGCAGUCGAAUACGAGGCCCUUCUACAUGGCCUCCGGAUGGCAAUCUCCAUGGGUAUUCAAUGCCUAGAGGUGCGCGGGGAUUCAAACCUCGCAAUAUCCCAAGUAAAUGGAGACUUUGACGCCAACGAUCCGAAAAUGGCAGCCUACCGUAACGCCGUCCUAAAAAUGUCAGCCCGGUUCGAAGGACUCGAAUUCCACCAUGUAGCCCGGGAUAAUAACCAGGCAGCAGACGUGUUGGCACGCAUCGGCGUGAAACGCGACGUCGUCCCUCCAAACAUCUUCCUGGAGCGGCUCUUUAAGCCAUCCGUAUUAUGGGAAGAGGAGUCCGGAAAUAACAAUCCGGAACCAAAUGCAUCACCUAACACAGAACAUUCUGACACAAUCGGUGGCUCAACCAAUGAAAUAACAGAUUUAGCCCAUGAAAUACUGGCAGCAAUUGCCCCAUGGACAGAACCAUUCCCGGCCUACUUAAUCAGGCAGGAACUUCCCGAAGACCAAAAUGAGGCCCGCUGCAUAGUUCGGCGAUCUAAAGCCUACAAGGUCCAUGAGGGAGAACUUUAUAAGAAAAGCACGACCGGAGUCCUUCAAAGGUGUAUCUCCGAAGAGGAAGGGCGAAAUCUCCUGGCUGAAAUUCACGCCGGACUCGGCGGGCACCAUGCCGCCGCCCGGGCCCUUGUAGGCAAGGCCUUCCGUACAGGAUUUUAUUGGCCGACCGCCCGGGCAGAUGCUCAGGACUUAGUCCAACGAUGCGUCGGUUGCCAGCUCUUUGCUAAUCAGAGCCACAUGCCACCCACCACCCUCAAAACUAUACCCAUCACUUGGCCGUUCGCGGUCUGGGGGCUUGACAUGGUUGGGCCCCUUAAAGGGGGAACCCACAAGCACAAAUACUUAUUGGUCAUGGUGGAUAAAUUCACCAAAUGGAUAGAAGCCAAGCCGGUUAAAACGGCAGAAUCCGGACCUGUGAUAGACUUCAUAUCCGGGGUAGUACACCAUUUUGGCAUCCCCCACAGCAUCAUCACUAAUAACGGCACGAAUUUCACGGUCGAUGAGGUGAAACUCUGGUGCAAAAACAUGGGCAUCAAGCUCGACUACGCUUCAGUCUACCACCCUCAAACUAACGGUCAAGUGGAACGAGCAAAUGGUCUAAUCAUGAGCGGCAUCAAACCCAGAUUAGUGCGGUCCCUCAUGGAAUCUAACACACACUGGGUAGAGGAGCUCGACUCCGUACUCUGGGGGCCGCGAACCAUGCCAAACCGCACAACCGGAUUCACACCAUUUUUUAUGGUAUACGACGCUGAGGCAGUUUUGCCUUGCGAUAUAAUUCAUGACUCACCUCGCGUGCGCAUGUACGAGGAAAGAGAAGCCGAGUUGGAUCGGCAGGACAGUUUGGACGCUUUAGAGGAGGAGCACGACGUGGCAAAAUCCCGUUCCGUAUUCUAUCAACAUCAGGCUCGAAGAUAUCAAAGCAGGGAAGUACGGGCCAAAACUUACAAUGUUGGCGAGCUAGCUCUAUGCCUGUCGGACAAGAAAAAGGACAAACUUAAGCCCAAAUGGGAAGGUCCCUUCAUCAUCGACCAAGUCCUUACCGGCGGUGCAUACCGUCUAUGCAACGCAUCUGACAACCGACUCGAGCCAAACCCAUGGAACGCAGCCCGUCUCCGAAGAUUUUAUGCCUAGCGCCGGACUCAGGGUUCGUCUCCUUCCUCCGUCCACCUUUCAUAUUUUUUCGCUGUCUUUGUUUCCCCCCUUUUUUCCUCCCCCUUUCAGUACAAGCCUCUUUAGGGCUGAUCUGCGCUUUGUUCGCACUCACUUGAUGUGCUACUCGCACUCGUUAUACGUGGGGGCUUCUUUAACAGAAGCUUAUUUAUAUGGGCUUCAUGCCCAACACAUGUGUCACACUUCCGCAUGUGCCUUUUGAUCACCAUUAUAUGCAUCGAUAUGAAUUAAGUUUUGGCCAAGCCGGGUUGCCUGGCUCCUGUGCUUACCCCUACAUUCCCGAUUGUUCUGCUAGGAGGUAAAGGGAGCACCUCUGCGAUUGUUACUGCCGGGUCAGCCGGGUGUGUACCUCAGACUGGGUGAAGCCGAAGGCUAGCGUUCUUAAGGGAAUAUUCGGUCGGUGACCUGAAAGAUGAUUUAUUACUUACUUAUUUAUCAGCCCCCAGAUGCUUUUUCUGCUAUUUUCGCAGUCCGGACAUGCACUUUAGGGCAUGCCUCCCAGGGAAAGGAACCCUUAACGGAACUAUUCUCCCUGGAAGAUAUUUCUUACUAACCAUGUAAUAUAACAUAGCUAGUUGGGCACUUGUCUGAUAAAGCAAUUAUGACCCCUAUGCCUUGUCUCCAUGCAUGCCCCGGUUCUUUUAUAACCAUAAGGGUAUUCAGACACACUCCGGACUGUUGGGUCCCGAGGUUGAAGCGAAAAGGUCCGCAAAGGCAAACGAUCUACAAUCCGGCUAGAAGGCAUUUUACAUGUCAUUUUAAAAUUACAUCGUCAAACAGACUGAUUGUACUCCUCUUCAAUCCCAUCUAACAGGCUGUCUAAUUUACAGUCCUGUUGGGAAUAUUUCGCAGCCAAUUCUACUUGGCCAUACAUCAGGCUCACAGGGAUCUCCUUCCCAUCGGGCCGCACAGGUCCGACCUCGGCCAUGUGGUUUGGGUCAGCCUUCGGGUACCGCGUCUUCACCAUGGCCCAGGCCUCCCUUGCGCCCUGACGGCAGGCCGAUAUCUUCCACAGACGGAGAUGCUGCCGUACUCCCUGAAGCUUCUCAGCAAGCCCUCCAAGGCCCUCGGGUAGGGAGACAGAAGGCCAUAGGGCCUGAACGACGCCGCUCAUCGCCUGCCGAACAUGUACGUGCAGUUGCAACAGCUCGGGAAGAGGGUCUCCCGUGGAACAAGGCAUCUCCUCCGCCGAACGACCCGUGAGCACACCUACAGACACAUUUCUGUCAAUCGACUUCCUCGCUGAACUCUUCUUUUCAAAAGAGUUUGCUCAAGCACUUACUAUAAAUGCCACGAUGAAGCCGCCGAUUCUCCUUUACGGAGUUAGACAGCUGGACCCGAAUAUCUUUUAGUUCUUCGCCCAGCUGGGUGUUGGCAUCUUGGAGUUUGUUCCUCUCCUGCUGCACCUUCAUAAGCACCCUCUCGCCGGCCUUCAACUGGCGCAGCAGAUGUUGCUUGUCCGGAUCUAGUCCGGCACCCUCUACAAUAUUAUUGUCAGACUAUACACACACGUCGCACUUCAUAAACUACUUCAUUUCAAAAUAUGAAUUACCAAAGGGGGUCUCCGUGGCUCCCCCGGCAGCGGAUAGUGCGGCCUCAAGUUGGGCCUUGCAUUCUUGAAGCUCCUGGGACAGGUGGGUAUUCUUCUCGGUAAGAUCCUGCAUAACAAAUGAUCCUUAAAUCAGUUAGUUUAACUAUUUUAAGUCUCGGGGGCUACUGGCAUAUAUAACUAUUAAAAUUCCUCACCCAUAUGUCUUUUACAUACUGCUCCGUGGCUCUGGUUAAACCAUCUUGAGCAGCACGGAGGUGCGCGUCUCCCGCAUUAAAGGCAUUCAACGCCUCUGGGGAGAAACACGCGUCACAAAGAACUGUCCGACGGCGCCUGUGAUUCAUGGCGCUCUCCACCUCAGACCUGGUGGUGGACAACCUGUCGGCAUCCUCUGUUGGAGAAGCAUCCGGCUCGCGCCUUGCGCUCGCCUCCCCCUCCGGACCAGGCGUUGGACCUGGCUGGCGGAGGCUUGGUUGGCACCCUCCCCGGACUCAGUCCGGCGAGCGCUCUUUCUCCUGGAAGAAUCAUGAGCAUUAAUAUACCUCCCAGGAGUCUUUCCCUUAAAAGACAAUGGUGCACCAUACCUUUGCGGCGACGUUUCGAUUCGCGCCGCACUCCUCUUCUGCCUGCUAGGCCGCACUGGCCUCGUUUGGUUAGUCGCCGCGGGCUCGGCUUCCCGCCGUAAAGGCACCUCCUGCGAAGCACCAUUGGUACACGGUGGUCAGAAAUAAGCAUUAAAAAAGUAACGGUGUCAGGACUUCAGUCGUACGCACCUGGGAAGCCGGACAUAAACCGGGGUAGUCAGCCGUAAUGGCAACUAAAGCAUUGUCUAUGCUGAGCUGGUGGAACACCCCGUCAAUCAAAUCCACCUUUAUGUCCGGAUCCUCUUCGGAGGCUGGAUCAAGGGAUCUUCCCGGAUCCUCGGGUUGUGGAGUUGGGCUUUCUAUGCCCGCCACAUCCCGGCAUAUUUCCUGCGUCGAAAUCAUAAAGUAAGACACUUAUCUUUGAAAGCACGGAUCAGAUAUAUAAGCGUCCGCUUACCCAGCUCCGAGGGUUAUUCAUGGAGAAUCCAUUCAAUGGAUUCAUGCGGAGGAAGUCCUCCUUCUCCCCCUUGUACAAGCCGGACAGGAUCUUCACCAGAUCGGGGGCCGAUCCCGGCACGGUGCGGCCAUGACGGGUGGCGUCAUUCUGCCCCUUGAAAUCCCACAUGGGGUGGCCCCUAUAUUGGAGCAGCUGCACCCCUCGCAUAAUGCAUGUGGCCAUGACUCCAAUCAUGAUUAAUCUGGAAUGGGCUAGUAACCGUAUCCGUCCCAUCAGAUAGUGGACGCUCCUGUCGUCUUCCCGUUGAGGGCUCCGUGGGCGCCAACUCAGGCGUUUCUUCAGAGGAGUGUUGCUAAACUCCGGGAGGCCGAUCCGAACUGGAUCCGGUAGCGGGGCGUCUUCCAUAUAGAACCACUCCGAAGGCCAGUCUUCGGACGCCUUCUUCGGGGUUCCGGAUAGAUAUCCGGUCCCGGCGAUGCGCCAUAUUUCGGCUCCGCCCACUUGAUAUAUCGACCCCUCGUGAGAACGGGGUACAAGGCAAAACAGCAUCUUCCACAACGCAAAAUGGGGCUCGAUGCCCAAGAACAACUCGCAAAGAGCUACAAAGCCCGCGAUGUGCAAAAUGGAGGCAGGCGUAAGGUGGUGAAGUUGGAGUCCAUAGAACUCCAGGAGCCCCCGGAGAAACGGAUGUAUGGGAAAUCCGAGUCCCCUUAUUAGGUAGGGGACAAAGCAUACCCGCUCUCCUUUGGAGGGAUUGGGGACGCUCUCCGCCUGUUUCCCACCCUUGUAGGUGGCCAGUCCGGCUCGAACCGGAACCAUAAAGGCUGGGGGAAGGUAUCCCUCUGCUUGGAGCGUCACUAACUCGCUAUGCGGGACUGAGCAUCUCCUCCAAUCUCCUGGCUGAGGACUGGGAGCGCGAGAAGAGGAGCCGCGUCGACUAUCCAUGAUGGAAUGGAUUUCUUGUCAGAUGCGCCUUGAUGAGUACUUGCGGAAGGAGGAUGGUGUGAUUUGGAUCUGGAUCCUCGCCUCUCUUAUAGGCAGCUUAUUCGCGCAGCUAGGAGGUAAAACGUAAGAAUACCCUGGCUUUUCGCAUUCGUACAACACGUGGAAGAAGGCCAUUAUUGGACGUGGAAGCCAAGGAGCACAACAUUUAUGAAGCAACCGGACACUAUCCGGCAAACACAUGGAGCGUGAAGGAGAACCCGCCUUGCAAACGCCGAAGACAACAUACGCGCCGGACUCGUCAUCAUUGAAGCCUGGUUCGGGGGCUACUGAGGGAGUCCUGGACUAGGGGGUGUCCGGAUAGCCGAACUAUCAUCAUCGGCCGGACUCCAAGACUAUGAAGAUACAAGAUUGAAUACUUCGUCCCGUGUCCGGAUGGGACUUUCCUUGGCGUGGAAGGCAAGCUUGGCGAUACAGAUAUGUAGAUCUCCUACCAUUGUAACCGACUCUGUGUAACCCUAGCCCUCUCCGGUGUCUAUAUAAACCAGAUGGCUUUAGUCCGUAGAACGAACAACAAUCAUACCAUAGGCUAGCUUCUAGGGUAUAGCCUCCUUGAUCUCGUGGUAGAUCUACUCUUGUAACACACAUCAUCAAUAUUAAUCAAGCAGGAUGUAGGGUUUUACCUCCAUCAAGAGGGCCCGAACCUGGGUAAAACAUCGUGUCCCUUGUCUCCUGUUACCAUCCGCCUAGACGCACAGUUCGGGACCCCCUACCCGAGAUCCGCCGGUUUUGACACCGACAGCAGCAGUCAUGCCCGUGGCUUCGGCCCUGAUCAACUCCAGCCGCUCUUCGUACUCGCGCUCAAGGACGGCGUGAGCCUCCGCCACGCGAUGGUCGAUCUCCUCCUGGAUCCGGGCCUCCCGCGUGCUGACGUCGUCCUCCGCCUGGGCAACCUGGCGCUCCCUCGUCUCCAACCGCUCCAGAUCAAGGUUGCGCUCGGCAGUCUCCAGCGUCAGCGCUUCCUCACGCCUCCGGAGUUCCUGCUCUUCAGCGACCCAUCCCUUCAGCAGUGCGAGGGCGGAUCGGCGCAACUCCACCUGCUACUCCAGGGAGUUGCACCAGUCUUGCAGCUCCCACGCGCGCUGCUCCGCAGCUUCAUGUCGCUUGUCAGCCUCCCGAGCUUCUUCAAGGGCCCGGGAACAGGCCUCCCGAGAGGCUGCCAAGGACACUUCGGCCUUGGCAUUCUCGAGGUCACGCUGGUGACGCGCGAGACCAACAGCCGCCUUCAACUUGCGCCGCUCCUCGACCAGCCUCAAGCCUUCAGCUUCGAGACGCGCGUCUUCAGCCGCCAGCUCUACGCCGAGCUGGCUCACUACAUCGACUGCCCUUCGGAGGAACUCUUGGCGGAGAACUCUGCGCUCCCGCGCACGCCUACAUGUCGUGAACACCUAUUGGCGGCCUGACGGGGCCUCGGGGGCUUCUGCCUCGGGAGCGGCAGGCCGUGUUCCCUCGCCAGCCACCACCUCGCGAGGGGUGCCAUCAGCUCCGGAGGAUGGCGCCUCGGGAGCCCCACGGGACAUCAGCACCUUGUCAUCAGGCCCCUCGGCUCCCGCCAUGUCACAUCCCUAGCUUCUGGUUUGCUCUGAGCUAGCUAGUCAUGUGUUGCAUCAUGUUUAAAUUUUGCCUAAAAUUGAAAUGGGGAUGUUCAAACCCUAGCAUUAAAUCAACUCAACUAGGGUGAAUUAAAAUCUUUUCAAUAAACCCAAAAGGUUCCUAAGAAAAGUUCAUGAUUUCUGGUUAAGGUGGAAACCUCUGCCAAAAAUGAUGAAUAUAUUCUUAGGUCAUUUUUGGAUUUUUGAAUUAAAUCAUAUUGUAUUUGACUUUGGGCAUUUAAAUACUAUAAAUAAUUUAAAUGUUCAAAUAAAUGUUGGAAAUUGUUAAGGGUCACUGAAAUAAUUCAGAAAACACCCAUAAUUGUUUCCAGGAUUUUAUUAAAUGAUUUGGUAUUUUAAAUCAAAUCAAAAACAAAAUAACAGAAAUAGAAAAGAAAUAAAAGAGAGAGAGAGAAGGAAGUUACCUGGCGCCCACUUACCUGGCCCAGCACGGCCCAGCCCAUCUCCACUCCCCCCCCUGUCGUCUUCCUCUGCCAGUAGGCAGAGGCGAGGUGUGGCGCGCGCCCGAGAGGCCUCGGCCACCUCCUGCUUCCCCCUGGCCACCUCCUGCUUCCUCCUCGACGCCGGAGACACCACGCACCUCCCUGCCUCUCUCCCUCACUCUCCCGUGUCCUCAUCCUCUCCCCGGAACACUCUCCCCCUCCUCUGUUCUCCUCACCCGAACGGAGCCGCCGCCACCGACGAGAGCCACCGUGGCUACCGGCCACCCCACGGCUGACCGACGCCCCAGGAAGCUCCGCCGGUCCUCCCUCUUCCUCCUCACCAAGACGGAAGGCGCCGGAAGCCCUGGAUGGGACCAGCUUCGCCGUUCCCCUCCUCGGCCACCGCGGAUCGCCGCCGUCAAAUCCGUCCCCGUCCGGCCUCCCUCAAGCUCGCCGUCCACCUCUACAGGGUCUACGUGAGCUCUCCGUCCGUUUCCCCCUUUCUGUUUCGUCGUGCGCGCGCCGUAGCUAGGUUAUCCACCAAGGCCGAAACCCCAUCGCCACCGGCCAUGGCGCCGCCGUGGCCAGGGCCACCGCAGCCCGCGCCUGAGCACGUCACCGUGCUCGGUGAACCCCCAGGAGCACGUAGCCCUCCUCGUUUUCUCCUCUAGUGCGCCGUAGCUUCGCCACCGUUCGUGCCCGAACUCCGGCCACCGCGGAAGUGCUCGCCGCCGUCGUCUCCGGCCACCCCACGGCCCCUCGUGCAGCCAGCUAGGUGCGGCCGUGUACGGGCUACCUUCUGGUGGCCUUCGCGUGUCCAGCCGCCGCCCGUAGCGCAACCCUGGUGAACAUCCGCCGCGUUUCGUGUCGCCGCCGGCCGAACUCCGGUGGCCAGUGACGUGGCGCUGUCAUUAGCCACUAAUGACGCACUAACCAACCCCCUAGGCCACUGACAGUGGGCCCCACCCCUGGUCAAACCCCAGUCAGCGCUGGGUUUGACCGGGAUUAGCUCCUGUGUCACUGACGUGUGGGCCCCACACGUCAGGUUUGACCUGGGGCGCCCAGUUGACCCUGCUGACGUCACCAUGACGUGGUGCUGACGCCAUAAUUCAUUUCUGGAUUUAUAUUAUUCAGGAAAUUCCAGAAAAUGCCUAAAACUUCUAAAAAUCAUAGAAAUUUAACCGUAACUCCAAAUUAAAUAAUUUAUAUAUGAAAAAUUAUCAGAAAAAUUCAAGGAAUCCAUCUGUACCAUUUUCAUGCAUGUUAGAACAACUUAUAGCUGCUGUUUAGCACAAAUCAAUUAAAUGGUAUUUGAAUAAUCACAUAUGGAGUUUGAAUUUGAAUCUUGUAUUCAAACCAACUUCAUUUAAUCUGUUGCUAGUUGCAUUAGCUCAAAACACAUUCAUAUUGCCAUGUCAUGAGCAUGCAUCAUAUUGUGCAUUGCAUUGAUUGUAUUUCUUCUUUGUUGCCGGUAUCUGUUCCCUCCCGGUAGACGAUGUUCCGAUGUUGUGAUCGUUGACACUGAUGAAGACUCAAUGUUAUCUUCAGAAGUGCCAGGCAAGCAAAACCCCCUUGUUCAUUCCGAUAAAAUCCCACUCUCUCGCUCCUGCUCUCUUUUACUGCAUUAGGACAACAACGACAUAUUUGUUACUUGCUGCGGUAGCUGAACCCCUUUAUCCUUUGCAUGACCUGUCAUUGCCACAGUAAAUAGAUGAAACCCACUAGCAUGAGUAGGAGUUGUUUGAGCCCUGAUGUGCCUACUCAUUCAUGCUUGUUGUCAUGCCUGCUAUUGCUUAGAGUUGAGUCAGGUCUGAUUCAUCGGGGAUGAAUCAGAGGCGUGUGAACAUGUCCUACUGUGUGUGAGAUAAGUGUGUGAACACGAUUUGGUAAAGGUAGCGGUGAGAGGCCAUGUAGGAGUACAUGGUGGGUUGUCUCAUUGCAGCCGUCCUCAGGAACUGAGUUCUGUGUUUGUGAUCCAUGACCAGUUACUACCACACAUUGGGUUCCGGUAACUCGACCCCUCUCGACUUAUUAAUCAACAUGAUCUCUGUCCAGGAGUUGCAACUAGUUUCUGGUGUUUGUAGGUAGUGUUAGUAGUCUACCAAGUGGCACCCGGUACAGGUGGGCUUGGGACAGACUAGGCAUAGUGGCCCGGUGUACCAAGUGGCACCCGGUUGGUGGGCUUGGGAACCCUGCACACAUCGUUUGGGGCCGUAAGCGACACCCCGGCCGGAUCUCCUUGCGGAUGGAACCCGAAUAGGCGAUAAACCUGGACUAGAGACUUGUUCGGUUAGUCAGGUCGUGGCCGACUCCCUCGCCCGGCUUCCGCUUGAAGGUUGCCGAGGUACAUGACGUGUACAGGGCGGUAAGUGGCGAGAGCGUGUGUGAAGAAGUACACCCCUGCAGGGUUAUCAUCAUCUAUUCGAAUAGCCGGAUUCCUCGGAUAUGGAAACUUGGACCCCUUGUACAGUUCAUAGACAAGUGAAAGUGGAUACUCUAAAAUACGCAAGAUAAGCGUGAGUGCUAUGGAUGGCGUUCUCGUAGGGAGACGAGAGCGGAUCCAUAGUGGUGUAUUGAUAUGGUGAAUAUGUGGACUCGUGUGCGCCACCUCAAAAGAGUUACUUGCAGUCGUAGUUCAGGUUAGCCACCGAGUCAAAGCUGGCUUGCUGCAGUUAAACUCCACCACCCCCUUGUUGAUAAUGAUGCAUAUGUAGUUAGUUCUGAUGUAAGUCUUGCUGGGUACAUUUGUACUCACGUUUGCCUAUUUUAUGUUUUUGCAGAGAGACUUCAGUCUCACUAGUAGUUCCGCUUGGACUUCGACGUUUAGCUUGUUACCUCAGCUACGAUCUUGUGCCCUCGGCAGGAUCUGGUAGAUAGUCAGGCUUUCAGCCUUUUUCAUUUAUAGACGUCUGUACUCAGACAUGAUAGCUUCCGCUUGUGCUUGGAUUUGUAUGCUCUGAGUGUUGGGUCAUGAGACCCAUGUUUGUAAUAUCCCGCUCCUCGAAGCCUAUUGAAUAAUUACUUGAGUUGUAGACUCAUGUUGUGAUGCCAUGUUGUAUCUGCACAUAUCGAGCAUAUUGUGUGUAUGUUGUUGAAAUGCUUGGUAUGUGUGGGAUCUGACUAUCUAGUUGUUUAUCCUUAGUAGCCUCUCUUACCGGGAAAUGUCUCCUAGUGUUUCCACUGAGCCAUGGUAGCUUGCUACUGCUCCGGAACACUUAGGCUGGCCGGCAUGUGUCCUUCUUCGUUCCUGUGUCUGUCCCUUCGGGGAAAUGUCACGCGAUGAAUACCGGAGUCCUGUUAGCCCGCUACAGCCCGGUUCACCGGAAUCCUGCUAGCCCAGUGCUACAGCCUGGAUUCACUCGCUGAUGACCGACACGUUCGAUGUUGGGUCAUGGAUGCCUGUCCCUGUAAGUUUGUGCCACUUUGGGUUUACGACUAGCCAUGUCAGCCCGGGCUCCUUACCAUAUGGAUGCUAGCGACACUAUCAUAUACGUGUGCCAAAAGACGCAAACGGUCCCGGGCAAAGGUAAGGCGACACCCGUGGGAAUACCGUGCGUGAGGCCGCAAAGUGAUAUGGGGUGUUACAUGCUAGAUCGAUGUGGCAUUGAGUCGGGGUCCUGACAGCGUUGGUAUCAGAGCUUGACUGCCUGUAGGAUUACCAAGCCAAACUGGUCGAAGUUGAGUCUAGAAAUUCUUUAGUUAUAUAAGGGAAUUGAUUGUGGGUUGGAACGUAAGGCUCUUUUUUACUCCUUAUACCUCAUGCCCUUCUGAUCUGAGUCAUCUUAUCUUUCCUACGGGGAUUAAGAACUAGGCUAUCUCUUCUUUCUAUCAGGAUCACGUGUUACUAAUCCGUAGACUUAUAAGACUGUUGGACUCAAGCCUCGUUUCAGUUCCUAUCACUUCCGUAUGUUGAUUGUUGAUCUCGAAACCUUGAUAUUGUGCUUCUGAGUGGUUAUGCCACCAUUUUUGUGAAUGUCUCAAAUCUUUUCUGAGCAUUUACAGCCGUUAUGCUGUCCAAGUCAUCCCAGGUCUCUAAACAGUCUGAUGCAUUUGCAAAUCCUUUCCUUCCGUCUUCGAUGUCCCUUUUGGUCGGAAUAAGCACACUAAUCGGUAGGUUGAGGUACUUUGUUGCCUCGGCGUAGAUGUUGGAGCUAUUAUUAUGACCCUAGGUGUCUUAGGGGAUCACCUAGUAAUCCAGUCGUGCCUUGUGUUCCCAGUGUGAUGAUUCUGGCUAUCAUUCUCGAAAGCAUCCCGUGAUGCUACUUAGUAGUAGGUAUUCUACUCCUUGGGUUUUGAACCCGAGAUUCACCCUACUUACUUCAUGUUGAUAGUAAUUGCUAGCUCCCUUAGGUUAUUAGUAAUCUUUGCGAUAGUCCUUGGAGUCCGUGGUAUCUUCUUCUUCCAAAUACCAUGAACUACUUAUGGCAGAAGUUCCUCGUUGGACUGAACGAUCACAACCAGAAUGCUCUUGAUGAGUUCUCCAUUAUAUAUUGUGACUCUGCCAGUUCAACCUUUCCGCAUAGGUUAUCCGGAAGAAACAUGUUGAGCUCUGCUCGACAUACUAAUCUAUGCAUCCACAACUCAGAAAACAUAUGUUCCUUUGGGUUGUCCCUCGUUAGUUGUCUUCUGACCCUUGUCUAUCAAUUGAUAGUCAAGAGUAUGUGUGGAACCGUUCAUCGAUGCCUAUUAUUCUUGUGGUCUGUCAAGCCAUUCUAUUCAGGAUGACUAGGAGAAACAAACUCCAGUACCUCAUCCAUAUCUAGGAUUGGGUCAAAACAAUUGUACUCCGCAGAUCAAAAUGCCAAUCCAGCUUUUGCUCUGUUCUACCUUGGAGUAUUACCAUCUUUUAUAUCGGGAUUAUGGUAGGAAUUGCACACCAUCCUAUGAACUCUUGGUACAGUGAUACUUCUUUCCAUCAUUGUUCAUUCCUCGGUUCCUGUGUUAUUGUAACCGGAAUGCCAACAAGUGAAUCGUGGUGUGUGAAAUCAAUACUGCUAGCAACUCUGUUGCUUGGUAGUAAAUGGAUAAUAUUCUCAUUCUUAGCAUGUUGGUUAUUGAAUCACCAUUCUAAGAUAGAUUGUGCUACCUAGUCCUUAUUUCCUGGUGCACUCUUUGAUUGAUGAGUUAGGAUUUUUGGCAAUCCCUCGCCCUUUUUAUCAUAUCGUCUCGCCCUUAAAAGCAAGAUUGUUCUCAGGUUUAGUAACAUACCGAUGGUUCGUGAUUUUCCGAAUAUCUUCUCGAAAGUAUCACUAGGUUGUCACCUGACUGUUAUGUUGAGCUCGUGAUCAAGUUGGUUUAUCCUGUAAACCACCCCUCUCUGCAAGAAUUCGUGUUGGAUACCCCUGAGCUAGUUAGAUAAGCUAAACAACAACUUGGAGAGUUGGAAGAUAAAAGCUUGCCUGACUUAGUUCGUUCCAAAGGGAUAUUCUUGUGUAGUGUGUGUUGAAGAAAGAUUAUAUCUUCAUCGAUUGGUCCCUGUGAUCAAUUGCUGGACCUAUUGUCUUAUCAAUCCUUUGAUUUGAGUGUGGGCUAUCGUCAAAUCAAACCAGUACCAACAAUGUUCGUAAUGUUGUUUUACUCGUGGUUUUUCCUCGAGCAUACACCAUUAUAUUCUUGGGGUCUGACCAAUACUAUCACCUUGAUCACAUAGUUAUGGAAUUCCAUCUCCAUGGGAAUCUGGAUGAAUUGUUGUUGAGCCCAUCGACAACAUCCUUGUCUUCUCCAUAAUUUUGCUGAACAUUAAGCUAGUGUUGGAAACUUUUGAAAGCAUUUGUUCAUGCUAGCUCAUGAAGCAUAUGUUCGGAUGAAAUGAGUGACUUCCUCUUAUACACGAGCAUUUAGUGAUAGUUGCCGCCAUGAAUUUGAGAAAGUUUGUUUUUGCUCCUCUGGAAUCAUCCCAAGUCAGUCAUGCAUGUGCAAACUAUACUAUGGUUUGGUAGAUUAAUUACCUCCACUCCAUAUGUAUUCCUAGCACACCAAGCCACUGAUUGAGUUGUUCAAAGAUAAAGGAGUCUGUCCAAGGUGAACUCCUUGGACUUCCACGCGUGGAGACUUCGAUGUCAUUAAUGAUGGUUCCCCACCUGAACUCGGUAGUGUUUUAUUGUAAGACUACCAUGUGAUAAUGUUUGUCUAGGACAACAUGUUCACAUGUGUGUAGCAGAACCAGCUCGUGUUUUGGAGCUUGCUAUCAUAGUUCAUUUCCCGAGAAUCUCGCAACGUCAUUUCGUCGAUUGGUGUUGCAAACUUUCAUUUUUCUGCCUAGACUCGAUGAGUCUGGAAUAUCCUGACACCAACCAGAUCUGAAUCUCAGGCAGAUAUGAUGGUUGGAACAUUUCCCAAGAACUAUAAUAUUGGUCCCUCGAUAACCGGUAAAGUGGAUGUCGUGGCCAACACACCCAACCGGAAGACCUAUUAUUGUAGUAUCUUGUUUGAGGAAGUUGGCCACCUUCCCAUAAGGAUUUCGCAGGAUUUACCUCCGUAAUUGAUCUUAUGGAUUUUGUGUUCCCGAAGUCUGACCUUUUACUUGAUGUCUAGUUACCAAACCAUUUCAAUGAAUGGGAUAUGCUAGCACAUCAAGGAGAACAUUAGGAGUGGAGUGCUAAAUGUCUCUCGGUCGAUCAUCCAGAUUUUGUUUCCUUGGCCUCGCUAAGGUAAAAUCUGAGAAAGUGUUAUCUUCCUUUGCAUCUGCAUCGUCCAUCGUUGUUCAUCAUGGUGGUAUGUUGUGUUGCCAGGAUCCUUGACACGGAUGUUGGUAAAACCUUGAUGAAUAUGGGAAUGCUCAAGUUCUUGAGAGCACACACAAGCGCUAGGUGUUAUCAUUGGCACUAACUGGGUUUGCUCUCAGCUUCCUCGGUUAUGCUAUGACCUUUUCAAACAGUGAAUUCACUCUCUAUUUGUUGGGUUCUUCCCCAGUUACCAGAAUCAUUCCCAUCAUUUGCAUUUUGUUCCCAGCUUGCACCGCCAAUGUGCCAUUCUACCAUGGGUCUCUUCCAUUCUCGGUGGUAAGCAAAUUCAUCCAUUACGUUGUCUUCAACAAGGUAAUCCACAUCAUCCAAGUCCGAGUAUGCCAUUCUACCGACCCCCUCCAAACGAUCGCUCGAGAAUUGCCUUAGGCUGGUUUAAAGAGUUUCAAUGAUCUCUGAAUCAAAGGUAAUUCUUUUUGCCACUUAAGGGGAUAUAUCUACGAGUCACCAUCCCUAAGAUGCCUCGUUGUGGUAUCAUGGCAACUCCUCGCUACGUUGACAAUCAAUUACCACCUUCUUAGGUGUGGAAUUGUUGUCUACCUAGUGAACCUCCGUCAUCUGCUUCACUCCAGUCCUAUGGAUGUGUGCUUCGUCUCUCAGCUCGAGAGAUGUUGCUAUGUCUGUUAAUCCUGAGUUGUUCGACCUUCGAGAAGAACAAUUCUUUUAGAGUUUUUCCUUUCCUCUCGUUGUCAUGAUUGGUUGGAGUUCUCGGAGCAAGACAUCAAGAUAAUGGUGGUGAUCAAAUCAACACUCUUAUGGAAUGCACCCUGGAUCGUGAAGAUUAUACUAGUCUGCGUUACCCCUUCACCUUACCCUACGCUUGAAUCUCGAGACGAGAUUUUUGUUUAGUGGGGGUGAGUUGUCACAUCCCUAGCUUCUGGUUUGCUCUGAGCUAGCUAGUCAUGUGUUGCAUCAUGUUUAAAUUUUGCCUAAAAUUGAAAUGGGGAUGUUCAAACCCUAGCAUUAAAUCAACUCAACUAGGGUGAAUUAAAAUCUUUUCAAUAAACCCAAAAGGUCCCUAAGAAAAGUUCAUGAUUUCUGGUUAAGGUGGAAACCUCUGCCAAAAAUGAUGAAUAUAUUCUUAGGUCAUUUUUGGAUGUUUGAAUUAAAUCAUAUUGUAUUUGACUUUGGGCAUUUAAAUACUAUAAAUAAUUUAAAUGUUCAAAUAAAUGUUGGAAAUUGUUAAGGGUCACUGAAAUAAUUCAGAAAACACCCAUAAUUGUUUCCAGGAUUUUAUUAAAUGAUUUGGUAUUUUAAAUCAAAUCAAAAACAAAAUAACAGAAAUAGAAAAGCAAUAAAAGAGAGAGAGAGAAGGAAGUUACCUGGCGCCCACUUACCUGGCCCAGCACGGCCCAGCCCAUCUCCACUCCCCCCCUGUCGUCUUCCUCUGCCAGUAGGCAGAGGCGAGGCGUGGCGCGCGCCCGAGAGGCCUCGGCCACCUCCUGCUUCCCCCUGGCCACCUCCUGCUUCCUCCUCGACGCCGGAGACGCCACGCACCUCCCUGCCUCUCUCCCUCACUCUCCUGCAUCCUCAUCCUCUCCCCGGAACACUCUCCCCCUCCUCUGUUCUCCUCACCCGAACGGAGCUGCCGCCACCGACGAGUGCCACCGUGGCUACCGGCCACCCCACGGCUCACCGACGCCCCAGGAAGCUCCGCCGGUCCUCCCUCUUCCUCCUCACCAAGACGGAAGGCGCCGGAAGCCCUGGAUGGGGCCAGCUUCGCCGUUCCCCUCCUCGGCCACCGCGGAUCGCCGCCGUCAAAUCCGUCCUCGUCCGGCCUCCCUCAAGCUCGCCGUCCACCUCUACAGGGUCUACGUGAGCUCUCCGUCCGUUUCCCCCUUUCUGUUUCGUCGUUCGCGCGCCGUAGCUAGGUUAUCCACCAAGGCCGAAACCCCAUCGCCGCCGGCCAUGGUGCCGCCGUGGCCAGGGCCACCGCAGCCCGCGCCUGAGCACGUCACCGUGCUCGGUGAACCCCCAGGAGCACGUAGCCCUCCUCGUUUUCUCCUCUAGUGCGCCGUAGCUUCGCCACCGUUCGCGCCCGAACUCCGGCCACCGCGGAAGUGCUCGCUGCCGUCGUCUCCGGCCACCCCACGGCCCCUCGUGCAGCCAGCUAGGUGCGGCCGUGUACGGGCUACCUUCUGGUGGCCUUCGCGCAUCCAGCCGCCGCCCGUAGCGCAACCCCGGUGAACAUCCACCGCGUUUCGUGUCGCCGCCGGCCGAACUCCGGUGGCCAGUGACGUGGUGCUGUCAUUAGCCACUAAUGACGCACUAACCAACCCCCUAGGCCACUGACAGUGGGCCCCACCCCUGGUCAAACCCCAGUCAGCGCUGGGUUUGACCGGGAUUAGCUCCUGUGUCACUGACGUGUGGCCCCCACACGUCAGGUUUGACCUGGGGCGCCUAGUUGACCCUGCUAACGUCACCAUGACGUGGUGCUGACGCCAUAAUUUAUUUCUGGAUUUAUAUUAUUCAGGAAAUUCCAGAAAAUGCCUAAAACUUCUAAAAAUCAUAGAAAUUUAACCGUAACUCCAAAUUAAAUAAUUUAUAUAUGAAAAAUUAUCAGAAAAAUUCAAGGAAUCCAUCUAUACCAUUUUCAUGCAUGUUAGAACAACUUAUAGCUGCUGUUUAGCACAAAUCAAUUAAAUGAUAUUUGAAUAAUCACAUAUGGAGUUUGAAUUUGAAUCUUGUAUUCAAACCAACUUCAUUUAAUCUGUUGCUAGUUGCAUUAGCUCAAAACACAUUCAUAUUGCCAUGUCAUGAGCAUGCAUCAUAUUGUGCAUUGCAUUGAUUGUAUUUCUUCUUUGUUGUCGGUAUCUGUUCCCUCCCGGUAGACGAUGUUCCGACGUUGUGAUCGUUGACCCUGAUGAUGACUCAAUGUUAUCUUCAGAAGUGCCAGGCAAGCAAAACCCCCUUGUUCAUUCCGAUAAAAUCCCACUCUCUCGCUCCUGCUCUCUUUUACUGCAUUAGGACAACAAUGACAUAUUUGUUAUUUGCUGCGGUAGCUGAACCCCUUUAUCGUUUGCAUGACCUGUCAUUGCCACAGUAAAUAGAUGAAACCCACUAGCAUGAGUAGGAGUUGUUUGAGCCCUGAUGUGCCUACUCAUUCAUGCUUGUUGUCAUGCCUGCUAUUGCUUAGAGUUGAGUCAGGUCUGAUUCAUCGGGGAUGAAUCAGAGGCGUGUGAACAUGUCCUACUAUGUGUGAGAUAAGUGUGUGAACACGAUUUGGUAAAGGUAGCAGUAAGAGGCCAUGUAGGAGUACAUGGUGGGUUGUCUCAUUGCAGCCGUCCUCAGGAACUGAGUUCUGUGUUUGUGAUCCAUGACCAGUUACUACCACACAUUGGGUUCCGGUAACUCGACCCCUCUCGACUUAUUAAUCAACAUGAUCUCUGUCCAGGAGUUGCAACUAGUUUCUGGUGUUUGUAGGUAGUGUUAGUAGUCUACCAAGUGGCACCCGGUACAGGUGGGCUUGGGACAGACUAGGCACAGUGGCCCGGUGUACCAAGUGGCACCCGGUUGGUGGGCUUGGGAACCCUGCACACAUCGUUUGGGGCCGUAAGCGACACCCCGGCCGGAUCUCCUUGCGGAUGGAACCCGAAUAGGCGAUAAACCUAGACUAGAGACUUGUUCGGUUAGUCAGGUCGUGGACGACUCCCUCGCCCGGCUUCCGCUUGAAGGUUGCCGAGGUACAUGACGUGUACAGGGCGGUAAGUGGCGAGAGCGUGUGUGAAGAAGUACACCCCUGCAGGGUUAUCAUCAUCUAUUCGAAUAGCCGGAUUCCUCGGAUAUGGAAACUUGGACCCCUUGUACAGUUCAUAGACAAGUGAAAGUGGAUACUCUAAAAUACGCAAGAUAAGCGUGAGUGCUAUGGAUGGCGUUCUCGUAGGGAGACGAGAGCGGAUCCAUAGUGGUGUAUUGAUAUGGUGAAUAUGUGGACUCGUGUGCGCCACCUCAAAAGAGUUACUUGCAGUCGUAGUUCAGGUUAGCCACCGAGUCAAAGCUGGCUUGCUGCAGUUAAACUCCACCACCCCCUUGUUGAUAAUGAUGCAUAUGUAGUUAGUUCUGAUGUAAGUCUUGCUGGGUACAUUUGUACUCACGUUUGCCUAUUUUAUGUUUUUGCAGAGAGACUUCAGUCUCACUAGUAGUUCCGCUUGGACUUCAACGUUUAGCUUGUUACCUCAGCUACGAUCUUGUGCCCUCGGCAGGAUCUGGUAGAUAGUCAGGCUUUCAGCCUUUUUCAUUUAUAGACGUCUGUACUCAGACAUGAUAGCUUCCGCUUGUGCUUGGAUUUGUAUGCUCUGAGUGUUGGGUCAUGAGACCCAUGUUUGUAAUAUCCCGCUCCUCGGAGCCUAUUGAAUAAUUACUUGAGUUGUAGAGUCAUGUUAUGAUGCCAUGUUGUAUCUGCACAUAUCGAGCAUAUUGUGUGUAUGUUGUUGAAAUGCUUGGUAUGUGUGGGAUCUGACUAUCUAGUUGUUUAUCCUUAGUAGCCUCUCUUACCGGGAAAUGUCUCCUAGUGUUUCCACUGAGCCAUGGUAGCUUGCUACUGCUCCGGAACACUUAGGCUGGCCGGCAUGUGUCCUUCUUCGUUCCUGUGUCUGUCCCUUCGGGGAAAUGUCACGCGAUGAAUACCGGAGUCCUGUUAGCCCGCUACAGCCCGGUUCACCGGAGUCCUGCUAGCCCAGUGCUACAGCCUGGAUUCACUCGCUGAUGACCGACACGUUCGAUGUUGGGUCAUGGAUGCCUGUCCCUGUAAGUUUGUGCCACUUUGGGUUUACGACUAGCCAUGUCAGCCCGGGCUCCUUACCAUAUGGAUGCUAGCGACACUAUCAUAUACGUGUGCCAAAAGACGCAAACGGUCCCGGGCAAAGGUAAGGCGACACCCGUGGGAAUACCGUGCGUGAGGCCGCAAAGUGAUAUGGGGUGUUACAUGCUAGAUCGAUGUGGCAUUGAGUCGGGGUCCUGACACGCCAAUCCUUGCCUCCCUGCAACGAUUCCUGAGGCGAGGUCGGCGCGGGCAGCCAGGGGAAGGACCACGGCAACCGGAUUCUCGUGAGGCCCCACAAGGUUGGCUGGGCGCAGCCCCCAUUCGUCGAAACGGGGCAUCUGCCUUGCAAAGUCGACCCUGUUUUUGCAAAGAUAUAACAGGGCGCCCCCAUGGCCAGCGCUGCCAGGAAAGGGGUCGCCCGUCAGGACCAGCAGCACGUUCUUCAACAUCUCCGGUGCGAGAUUCCCUUCCUGGAGCCUCAUACGGUCCUAGCAACCGGUAUAAGUCCACAUUGGGCGGGAAUAGCGCUGGAGAGGAGCGAUGCGGCGCCGGAGGAACUCCUUCACCACCUUGGGCGCCGUCACCCCGAGGUCCCUCAACCUCUUGAAGCGAUGCCAGGUGAAGGCAAGUUGGGGGUUCGUGAGUUCUUCGUGAUCCCAACCAGGAUUGGGAAUAGCAGGCAGCGUCGGGUGCGUGAGCAGGGGGCUGGGCACCCCAACGUCCACGUACAACCACCGCUCCCAGAACCUGCUCACAGAAGGUGGGAGGCUAAAAUCGAUCCCUGAGGCGGCCAUCUCCGGCAUGGCCUGGAAGCUCACGCACCCCAAACACCGGGAAGGAUCGGUCAAGCGCAGCGAGAAGAAGUGGCGCAGAAGGGCAACGGAAGGAGGAAUCGCCACCAUUGCCUCCCAAACGAAGGCGAAGACAACAAGUAGAACAAUGGAUUGGGGGCCAAGAUGCAUCAUGUGGAUCUGAUAAUGGGAAAGCACCACAUUGAAGAAGGCGGAAAAGGGGGGAACCAGGCCUGCCCACAGGGCGUCGGCGAAGAAUCGAACCUCCGUGACGACCCUAUCGAAGGAGGCGUGGGACGCAGGCCAGACCGUCAUCUUCCCACACUCAUUGAAGCUGGAGGCAAGCGCGGAGCAAACCUUCUCCAGGGCCUCCAGGUUGAGUAUGAGCGAUUUGUCAAUGGCGGGAGCAACCACCGGGGGCAUGCUGGUUGAGGGCGCGGGUUUCUUCCCCUCAUCCUUUUUCGUCGGUGCCAUGGCAAUGGGACGGGGGAAGAGCUCGAGGUGGAUUGGGGGCGGAAGCAGAGGCUCGAGGAGGAAAGAGGAGCAAGAAGUGUGCAGGUUGCGAAGGGAGGAUAACUGUGUGCAAAUCUCAUGGCCGCCUAGCCAGGCGCAUAAUGAGGGAGCAUGGGGAAGCGGAGACGCCCACAUCCAAUCAACCGCCACACGGCGCCCAAGGCCGCAGGCUGAUGGGUCCCACGGUGCUCCGCACUUGCCCCUUCGCUUCUCCGCUAAGCCAAGUCCGAGCGCGCCUUGGGCCCGGGGGCUACUGUCGGCAUUCUGGGAAUGGGGGUCCCCGGACAUGCCUGCCUGCGGCCUAUGGCGUGGCUCAAGUGGUGGCCCAGCACGGCCCGUCUUCAUCAGCACAAGACUCAAGACCCUCGCGAGGGGCCAAGCCUCGCGGGGCGGACGAUGCAAGGCUUCCUCAGGGACGACCUCGCUAGGCAGGCUCACGAGGAGGCGGAGAGAUCAAGGCAGGGUACCUCGCGAGGUGCUCGUGACGCAAGCUGUGACGAUCGAGACUAGGCGGGCGCCAGACGGGCGUCGGCCUGUGCAGUGUCCUUGUUUCCUCUUUGGUGCAAAGGGGGCAAGCACAAACGUGGAGUACCGAGGCAUCAGGAAAAGGUUGCCAUUUCAGUGCAACGAGACCAAAACUAGCGGAGCGGCAGGAUGGAGGUCACCGUGGAGCCCAAGACAGCGUCAUCGCCAGUGCUUUUGGCAGCCAAAGACCAACUUUAGUCAGGAUACCUUGUACUAGAUGUUCCCCUUCAAAAUGGCCGUUGUUGGCGCCCUUCCCGCUUAAUAUUUGGGGAAGAGGCCCAGGGCCUCUAUAAAUAGAGCUAGCCACCACAGAGUAGGGGGGGAUCCAGAUUUUGGGAAGACUAGAGAGAGAGAGGCGAUCAAACUCACCCAGGCAGUUCAUUGCACCAGCUCAAGAACACCUCUCGCGAGGCCGUUCUUCCCCUGUACUGUUCAUCAUCAGCCCCUGAGGCAAUCCACCACACCACACGCUGGAGUAGGGUAUUACACCACAAUGAUGGCCCGAACCAGUAUAAAUCUCGUGUCCCUUGUGUUGUUCAUCGUUUUCAGCUUAGAUCUCACGAGGCGAUCAGACGUAGAUCGGUAGGGGAGAGAUCUUCGUGCGCACCCCAGUGUUCGAACCUUAAGGGUCUGCCGGAACCCAACAUCCGACAGGAUCCUUAGGGCAGGCCUUGUUGAGGUCUUUGAAAUUGACGCAUAGGCGCCAGGAUUUGUCCUUCUUUUUUACCAUCACAAGGUUUGCUAGCCAGUCCGGGUGUUUUAUCUCUCUGAUGAAUUCGGCCUCGAGUAACUUGGCUAGCUCCUCCCCCAUGGCUUGUUGUUUGGGUUUGGAAAAGCGCCGCAAUGUUUGCUUGACCGACUUAUAUCCCUUCAGUAUGUUUAGGCUAUGUUCGGCCAGUCUGCAUGGGAUCCCUGGCAUGUCAGAAGGGUGCCAGGCGAAUAUGUCCUAGUUUUCGCGUAGGAACGCCCACAGUGCAGCAUCCACCAUGGGGUCCAGCUGUGCCCCGAUUGAUGCUGUCUUCGUGGAGUCCGUUGGGUGGACUUGGAAUUUGACUAUUUUGUCUGCUGGUUUAAAGGAGGUGGAUUCGGGUUGCUUAUCGAGGAUCACGUCGUCCCUAUCCACCGUUGAGCGCAACGCGGUUAACUCUUGGGCCGCGAGGGCUUCAGAUAGCGCCUCGAGGGCCAAGGCUGCUGUUUUGUUUUCGGCGCGGAGUGCCAUGUCCGGAUCGCUGGCAAGGGUGAUGAUACCAUUGGGCCCGGGCAUCUUGAGCUUCAUGUACCCGUAAUGGGGUAUGGCUUGGAAGCUUGCAAAUGCAUCUCUCCCUAAUAGGGCAUGAUAUCCACUGUUGAAAGGGGCCACUUGAAAGGUUAUCUCUUUGGACCAAUAAUUCUUCGGCGUGCCGAAUACCACAUCGAGUGUGAUUUUUCCCGCACAUCGCGCCUCCGGACAGUGAAUAAUUCCUCGGAAGGUCGUGCUACUUUGCUCAAUGCGGCUCCUGUCUAUUUCCAUUUUGUGGAGAGUUUCCUUGUAAAUGAGGUUUAGUCCGCUUCCACCGUCCAUGAGCACUUUGGUAAGCCGAAAGCCCUCCACGAUCGGACUGAGGACCAAUGUGGCUGGUGCCCGGACUGUUCUGAAUUUUGGUUUGUCACUGGCAUUGAAAGUUAUGGCUGUGUUGUUCCAGGGGUUUAUUUCUGCGACUUGGCAGACUUCAACAAGGUUGCAGAGUGCCUUUUUGCGCAUAUUGAUUGAGGCGAAAGUCUCUAAGACUGUUAAUACUGUAGGGUUGUUGUUUUCCGUGGGAUGUUGCUCUGCGGUAUUUUUGCUGAGGAGAUCCUCGCCACUCUUGGCCACUUGCCGGAGUAUCCAACAUGCUCUAAGGCUGUGGGUUGGUACGUUAUCCGGUGUUUUGUGUAUUUUGCAUGGCCUAUUAAGCCAUCCUUCCAGAACGGUUCCGCGCCCCGUAAUGGGCUUUGAUUUUUUGGGUAUUGGAUUAGGCGACCUACGAGGGUGCAUCCUUUUAUCCGGACGAGGGGUUGAGUGGAAACUGGUGGCUCCCAAGAAGCUGCCUGAGAUUUCCAGGUGCUUUCCAUUGCGCAGUACUUCUAUACUAUGGUUGCCAAGUCUGCGAAGUGUGAUAUGUGAUGGUGGUUGAUGGCAUUGAGGAUUCUCUCGUCCGUGCAAUUUUUGCAGAAUAAUGAGACUGCGUCUUCAUCGCGACAGUCUUUGAUCCUGUCUUUGACAAGGAGGAAUCUAGCCCAAAAGUGAUGGACUGUUUCUUGAGACUGUUGUUUGAUGUGGAUAAGAUCGCGUGUAUCUUGGUGGGUGGGUGGAUUUAAGUCCGAACCCUGACCCAAUCUGGGAUCCGUAGUUUGAGAAGCUUCUGAGCUUAACAAUUCGGGCUCCGGGAUAUCAACCAAUUUUUCAGGCUCACAGUCCGACUCUAGGUUCGAAGUAUGGGGCACGUCUUCCCGCGGGCGGGUAUCUGGCUCUGUGAGACCGGAAAUCCGAACAUAGUUCGUCCUCAAUAUAGAGGAAGAGUUGUUGUAUUGCUCCUCCACUACCGCUAUCUGAUGGGUGAUUGGUGGAGAUUCAAUCUCUCUGAUCAGGUUUAAGCCCAAUCCGAUCGUAGUCCGUAGCGACUCCCACGGUGGCGAUGCGAUCUAGGAGUUUGUUUAAAGAUGACAACUCCGUUGGAUCCAUCUGCUUGGAGUAUUCUCGGUUGAUGCGGAGUCAAUCUUUGAUGACCCGAGAAGUCAUUGUCGGCACGACGGCCGUACGGGCGGUCUAAGUGAAGCCAUCCAGCCGGAGGGUUUGGCCUGAGGCCAGGGCUGCCCGGAGGUGAUGUUGUCCUUGACGACAAGGCGAGCCAUCAACCCUUUUUUCGGUGUCACAACGGAACUCUCAAUGAAAGCACCAAUGUCAGUGUCAAAAUCGGCGGAUCUCGAGUAGGGGAUCCCGAACUGUGCGUCUAAGGUCGAUGGUAACAGGAGACGGGGGACACGAUGUUUACCCAGGUUCGGGCCCUCUCUAUGGAGGUAAUACCCUACUUCCUGGUUGAUUGAUCUUGACAAUAUGAGUAUUACAAGAGUUGAUCUACCACGAGAUCGUAAUGGCUAAACCCUAGAAGUCUAGCCUAUGGGAUUAUGAUCGUUGUUGUCUCUAAGGACCAAACCCUCUAGUUUAUAUAGACUCCAGAGGGAGCCAGGGUUACACAAAGUCGGUUACAGAGGAAGGAAUCUACAUAUCCAAAUCGCCAAGCUUGCCUUCCACGCCAAGGAGAGUCCCAUCCGGACACGGGAAUAAGUCUUCAUCUUGAACCUUCAUAGCCCAACUGACCGGCCCAUGUAUAUAGUCCGGCUGUCCGAGGACCCCUUAAUCCAAGACUCCCUCAACAGGCACCAGAAGCCCCCGAGGCUUCAAUUCCAAAUCAUGAAGACCUUGCCGAUGAUCCACCGCCACAAAUUGAUGCUACGGUUCUUGAGCCAAUGAACACUGGGAUUGACCCGACUGUUUGCCCAGACCCACCAAGGCUCAAGUCGCUAAUUCCUCCGAGGCUAACUGAAGAGAUCCCUUUCGAGAAGACCACUAAAGAUGUCAUCAUCACUGGCACAGGGUAUACAGAUCCAGGAAAUCCUACUAUCUUGGCUAAACAUAGUGCCAAAGAAGACCUGCCAGCCAUAUACAAGGACAAGCUAAAACUAGACCUGCAAAACUAUGCAGAUUUUAGCACAGGCGAAUUGCACGCAGGCUACCUAAACCGCCUGCACACAAGCCAUGACAUGGAAGCUGGCCUGGUUAAUCUGAUGAAGCAGAAAUACGAGGUACAAAUUCAACCUCAUUCCACUAGUUCAUAUAUGCAUAGCCAUGUAGCCCCAAGGGCCGGCUGUCGGUGUCAAAACCAGCGGAUCUCGGGUAGGGGGUCCCGAUCUGUGCGUCUAAGGCUAAUGGUAACAGGAGGCAAGGGACACAGUGUUUACCCAGGUUCGGGCCCUCUCGAUGGAGGUAAAACCCUACUUCCUGCUUGAUUGAUAUUGAUGAUAUGAGUGUUACAAGAGUUGAUCUACCACGAGAUCGUAGAGGCUAAACCCUAGAAGCUAGCCUAUGAUAAUUAUGCAUGUUGUGAUCGUCCUCAUACGGACUGAACCCUCCGGUUUAUAUAAACACCGGAGGGGGCUAGGGUUUACAUGAAGUCGGUUACAAGGAUGGAAAUAUAAUUUCCGAAUCGCCAAGCUUUUCUUCCACGCAAAGGAGAGUCCCAUCCGGACACGGGACGAAGUCUUGAGUCUUGUAUCUUCAUAGUCCAACAGUCCGGCCAAAGUAUAUAGUCCGGCUGUCCGGAUACCCCCUAAUCCAGGACUCCCUCAGUAGCCCCUAAACCAGGCUUCAAUGAUGAUGAGUCUGGCGCGCAGUUUGUCUUCGGCAUUGCAAGGCGGGUUCCAUCUCCGAAUACUCCAAAGUAAUUAUCGAACACCUGAAUCAUGUCUGGAUCUGCAAGACGAUCUUCGCAUACCAUCGUAGAGAGAAUAAUAUCUCACAAGUGUAAUCUGCUGACAACUUUAGACAACGUGACACGACACUAUGGUCAGGUCAUUAUUCAAACCGUUUCCCCACAACCAGCCACAUCGCACAUUGCGAGGCGGUUCUUUGGCACGUCUUGUCAAAGCAGAGGUCAUGUCCCCUUAUCACUGGAUUCCCAUCAAUACGGGUAUGGGUAACCCAACCGCGCCAUCUAUCGUGGCGCUUGAGAAAUAAGCGACCCUCAACGGGCAAGUGGGGAGGCGCACCACUUUCUUUGCCUCUAUGAAGGGACAAGGGUUCCCCAUUCUCACCGACGCCUUCUUCCUCCUUCGCUAAUCCAUUCUUGCCUCCUCGCGCUCCAGCGCCCUAGUCCACGCCUUCUCCGCAUAGCCAAACAUGUGCGGAGUAGGAGGCAAGUGGGUGGCCUCCACCGUGAAGGAGGAGCAUAUUGCGAAGCUUUGGGCGGCCGGAUACUUGGCCGCAGACAUCGCGCACCGGCUACCAGAUGCAGGGCAGAUCAUUCCAACUCUAGAACCCCACGAGAGGGUCGUGUUUCUCGCCCACUUCGUCCGUGGACUAGGAUUUCCACUUCAUCCCUUCGUCCGCGGGCUCAUGUUCUACUACGGGCUAGAUUUCCAAGAUCUAGCCCCAAAUUUCGUCCUCAACAUCUCGGCGUUCAUCGUCGUGUGCGAGGCAUUCCUCCGCAUCAAGGUCACUUCGGCUUGUGGCUAUGAACCUUCUGCGUGAAGCCGAAGAUCGUGAGCGGCCAGCAAGUGGAGUGCAGAGGCGCCAUGGUGGGCAAGAUGCCUAACGUCACCUGGCUUGAUGGCUCCUUCGCGGAGACCAUGAAAGGGUGGCAACUGGGGUGGUUCUACAUCACCGAACCACGCGGUGCCAACUGGGCGGCGGCCCCCGAAUUCCGAUCCGGAAUCCCCAUGCGGCUCACCUCCUGGGAGAAGAAGGGCCUGGCCUGGGGCAAGCCUGUGGAGCUGACCGGACUUCAAAACUGUAUCAAAAAUAUGAUUGACAAGAACAUCAAGCUUGUCAGCAUAGUCCAGUUCAUGCUCGUCCGCCAAAUUCUUCCGUGCCAAAGACAUGCUUUUAAUCUGUCGGAGUUCGUCCCGGCCGAACACCGGGCACUCCUAGAGCUCUACGGCAUGACCCUUAAGGAUGCAUGGAAGGUGCUGUUUAAGGGUACCGAAACACCUCCUCCCACGUCCGAGGACCGCGGACUCCACCCCGAGCGGUCCCCCCGUCCGGUGAGUUUUCUAACCAUCACCAGGGGUAGCUUUCCCAGCAUACUCAUGGGAAGAUGCUAAGUUAUUGCAUGUACUUAAUCAAGAGUACAUGGAGAUGGCGAAGCGGAUCGACUGUCCGGCUCCACUGCCAGAAGGUCCGGAGACAGCUCUCCUGACGGAGAUGCUAGUCCCGGCGCCAUACAAGGCGCCGAAAAAGAGGGCCGAGAAGAAGGCCCCAGGGACCAGGAAGGGUCUCCGGCGCAAGGCUGUACAGGACGCCUCGUCCGAAGACGACGACGCACAUUCCUCCCAUGAAGGGGAGGAGGAGAAGGAGAAAGAGAGGGCUGCCCCAUCUGGAGAGGCUGAAGGGUCUAAGAGGGCGGCCCAGGGGACCAGGAAGGGUCCCCGGCGCAAGGCCGUCAUAGGCUCGUCAUGCAAGGACGACGAGGCGGAUUCUUCCCGCGGAGGCGGGGAGGAUCACGAAGAAAUGCCACCUCCACGCACAGGGGAGGAGAAGAAAAGGAAGGCCGCCCCGGACGGGGAGGCUAGGACGCCCAAGAAGGGAAAGGCGUCCCUUCCGGAUUACUCCACCACGGCCGCCUACAACGAGGAGUGGCUGCCCAGGGGGAAGCCCCCAGUAAGAUUGUAAGUAUUCGUGCUUCCGUUGUAUUUUAGUGCGACUUUGCUUUAUAGUCUAUUAUAACGCUGAACACGCAUAUGCAGUCCGCCCAGGGCCCAUCCCGAGGUAUCUUCUUCGGACGGGUCUUUGAGCGAUUCGGCGAUGAAUUCGCUCCCAACGACCACUUCCCCUCGGCCUGCGGACAACAUAAAGGUGUUGUCCCAAAGGCUCCCUGAGCCAGGGGAGGCGAUUCCGGAGAUGCCUCAAGGCGAAACCCCAGAUGCCAGUCUCACAGGGCGCAAGAUCCCCGCAGACCAUGACGACGGGAGCCGCAGCAAGUCAAGCUCCCAGCCGAACACUAUACCGGAGCCUCCAAAGGCUCUGGAUUCAGGCAGGCAGCCCCUCGCUAAGGAGGGCGAGCCAUCCGUGCCGAUGACUUCCGCUAUAUGCCAGAGGCGUCGGAUAGUCUGCUGGAAGCACUUCGCGGCGCUUCCAUGGACGAAGAGCACUGCACUCUUAUGAGUGUGGUGAUUCAUAAGGUUCUGUCCACCAAGAGCGGACUAACCAAAGCCUGCACCGGCCUCCUAACAGGCUUUGAGGUAAGUAAAAAGUGUGUGAAGUUAUCACCCGAUAGGUAGUAGCUCCUGAUACUCUGUUUGGUGUUCGGAACGAAAAGCCAAACAGAGGGUCAAUUAUAAUCCGCAUGAGUUUAAUAUUAGGUGUUCAUGUGAAUAAACAGGCGGCGCUGGUUGCCGCUUUUGCCCGCACCGCGGAAGUCUCCAGACUCAAGCGGGACUUGGAGCAGGCCCAUGGGGAGCUCGGCCUCACGAAGAGGCAGCUCAAAGAGAACAAAGGUGAGUAAUACCCCGUUCAAAUAUCACAAAGGACAGAAAAAAUUGGUGACGCUAAGAAAGUGUCAUGAUUUGGUAGGGGCCACAACCGAAGUGGCGUCCUUGAAGAAGGCACUGUCCGAGGCCGAAGACAAGGCAGCCUUGGAGAGUAUUGAGCGUGAAAAGCAGAAUGCUAGGGUGGGCGAGGUACAGCAAGAGCUCCAGGAGCUUGGCAAGAAGUUUGAGUCCUUGGAGCGUGACUACAAGACGAAGGAGUCUGAGCUUGCGAAGGCCCUUGUGAGCAUGAAAGGCGCCAAGGCCGAAGCAAAAAAGGCCCAGAAGGAAAUCCAGGCGGCCAAGAAGAUAGCGGCGGGUAAGACAUUCUCAAUGCAAAGCAAGCAUGUGGAGGAGGCAUUUCUUUUACUAACCCGAAUUCGGGGCUCUCCAGGGGCAUUCGUAGAUCUGCCACACAGCGUAUCUGAUGCUGCGGAGUUCUACCGCGCCGAGGAGGGGAGCUCCACGGAGAAGCUGUUCUGGUCCCAGUAUGCUGGAGCCGAAUAGUCGAUGCCUCUGAGUGACCAACUGAAGCAGUUGGUUGAAAUCCACAGGGCGGCUGAAGUGGCUAUGAAAGAUUUCAUAGUCCGGCUGUGGCCUGGUGAGCCCUUGCCCGCCAGCUACUUUGGCCUGAUAAAGCAGAUGGUGAAUGCCUGUCCGCGGCUGGAAGUCAUCAAGCGGUCCGUUUGCAUUGAGGGUGCCCGCCGAGCCUUUGCUCGUGCGAAGGUGCGUUGGGGCAAGCUGGACGCGGAGAAGCUGGUGAAGGAUGGAUCGCCAGAGGGCAAGGCGCAUCGGUAUCCGAAAAAAUAUUAUGAUGGUGUUAUGAAAGGCGCUCGUCUCGUGGCCGAUGAAUGUACCAAGGACACGAUCUUGGAGUGAAUUCACUUCUGUCAUUUUUGUAAUAUAAAGACGAAGUUACUUGCGCUAUAUAGCGCUGUUUGAUUUAAAAUAUUACCUUAUGUGCGGCUGUUUAUAAAAUUUUGUAAGUAGGCCAGUCGUCGGCUUCCGCCCCCACGUAACUAGUACUGGGGUGUUCGUGGAAAACCCAUACACUCUUUAUCCAAAUAUUUGGUCCCUAAAGGAGGUGUCUAGCGCAGCGAACAACGCAAUCAGACUAUGCGGCUUUAUAACUUUCACUUAGCCAUAGAAGUCUACAAUUUUAAAUUUCGGCGAAGCCCCUAGAAUUCGGAAGGCUGAAUUGGGGCGCUAUAUACGCCUAAAUCGGACGAGGCCGAUUCCUGGCCUUAAGCGGAAAAAUCUUUAAGGAUUUUGAGACCUCUCGAACAGCGACCGCCUCUUGCCACAUCAUGCCGGUCAGUUUUCGGCUUUCUCUACUGAGGUGCUCGUCCGGAAGAACCGGGACACAAUCGCAGUAGUUCUCCCUGCGCUACCUUAGCCGAUAUAACGGAAUGUAAGGUACCAAAACAAGGGAGCCGGGCUAACCCAACUAUUGACCCAAGACAUGAUUCAGAGCUGAUGCAUAUAGUGCUAUAAGUUCGGGGUGCCGCACUAUUGAAAGUGUUCGGACUUGUCUUGCCAUAUUAUGGGGUGCCAUAAGAAGCCCCUGGCAAACUAAAUGUACCAAAGUGUACGGAUGCAAUAGUAAAUAAACAUUUAUAGAAAAAAUGUGCAGAUAGGAAUAAUAAGUUGACGCUGUAUAUAAUAUCCCAUUGAUGUAUAAUAGGUUUAAGCGUAGGUUUACAAUGAAUGCAUUAAGCAGAGAUAAAUAGGACUAUUUGACAUGUCCUAUCCAAGGGCAGGCCGCAUACAGGUAUAUAAAACAGGUAUUGACGAUCCUGAAUAGAUUCCACCUGGGUAUUCCCUUUGUGCGUGACACCUUUUGCCUCCUUGGAUUUCUCUCCUGUGAAGGUCCGAUAAUCCGGCUCUUCUGGAGAGGCUGCCCGAAAGCGGGUUCCUGAAAGAUAAAGGGGGUUAUUAAAGUGUGUUGCAGCUGACCCACACUGUUGACUGUGCCACUAUUGCGCCUCCGCCUAUGUCCAUGGUAUUUUGAGUGCGUAAUUGUGUACGCGCGCCACGAAUGCUGCCUUAAUGGGGCUGGAGCGGAGGCCGGACUGCUAGUCGCGCUCUUGGCAUGCUUGGCGAUCCUGUUGCGGGGUACUUUGGACUCGCUUGACGGUGUUCAGAGUUGUUGUCGCUGGAUUGGUGGUUUGCCGGGGGAAGCUGCUUUGUACUUCUGCCGCGAGGGCUACAGUGUGCUCUUCUGUAUGGGGAGAGCGGUCCAUGUUUCCGUUGACUGUUAUGACCCUGCGAGGUCCUGGCAUCUUGAGCUUAAGGUAUGCAUAGUGUGGCACCACAUUGAAUCGAGCGAAUGCGGUUCGUCCGAGCAGUGCGUGAUAACCACUGCGGAAAGGGACGAUGUCAAAGAUUAACUCCUCGCUUUGGAAGUUAUCCGGAGAUCCGAAGACCACCCUCCAGUGUUAUAGAGCCCGUGCAGCGGGCCUCUACCCCUGGAAUUACACCUUUAAAGGUAGUUUUGGUGGGCUUGAUCCUUGUAGGGUCGAUGCCCAUUUUGCACACUAUGUCCUGAUAAAGCAGGUUCAGGUUGCUACCUCCGUCCAUAAGGACUCGUGUGAGGUAAAAUCCAUCAAUGAUUGGGUCAAGAACCAGUGCGGCCGAACCGCCAUGAUGGAUGCUGGUAGGGUGAUCCCUACGAUCAAAGGUGAUCGGGCAGGCUGACCAUGGGUUGAAUUUCGGGGCAACUGGCUCCAUCGCAUAGACGUCCCUCAGUGCUCACUUUCGUUCCCGUUUGGGAAUGUGGGUAGUAUAGAUCAUGUUGACCGUUUUCACCUGGGGAGGGAAUUUCUUCUAUCCUCCCGUGUUCAGACGCUGCGGCUCAUCGUCAUCAUUGCUGUGCAGCCCCUUGUCCUUGUUCUCGGCAUUUAUCUUGCUGGCCUGCUUGAAAACCCAGCAGUCUCUAUUAGUGUGAUUUGCUGGCUUAUCCGGGGUGCCGUGAAUUUGGCAUGAGCGGUCAAGCAUGCGGUCCAGACUGGAUGGUCCCUGAUUGUUUCUUUUGAACGGCUUUUUCCGCUGAUCGGAUUUUGAGCCACUGAAUCCGGCAUUGACUGCCGUGUCUUCAGUGUUAUCGCCAUUGUUCCGACGCUUAUGUUUGUUACGUCGUGGCUUGCCGUUAAUGUCGUGGACGUCUGAAGUGCCUGAGUUUAUUGGCGUGGUGCUGCUGCGAGCCAACCAGCUAUCCUCUCCUGCACAAAAGCGUGUCAUGAGUGUCGUGAGGGCCGCCAUGGAUUUUGGUUUUUCCUAGCCGAGGUGCCGGGCAAGCUACUCAUCAUGGAUAUUAUGCUUAAAGGCUGCCAGGGCUUCGGCAUCCGGAUAGUCGAAAAUUUGGUUCUUUUUAGUUAGGAACCGAGUCCAGAAUUUUCUGGCUGACUCUCCGGGCUGUUGGGUAAUGUGGCUCAAGUCAUCAGCAUCCGGUGGUCGCACGUAUGUGCCCUGGAAGUUGUCGAGGAAAGCGUCCUCCAGGUUUUCCCAACUGCCAAUGGAAUUUGGCGGCAGGCUAUUUAGCCAGUGCCUGGCUGGUCCUUUGAGCUUAAGGGGAAGAUACUUGAUGGCGUGUAGAUCGUCUCCACGGGCCAUGUGAAUGUGGAGAAGGAAAUCUUCGAUCCAUACUGCAGGGUCCGUUGUGCCAUCGUAUGAUUCAAUGUUCACGGGUUUAAACCCUUCUGGGAAUUCAUGAUCCAUUACUUCAUCAAUGAAGCAGAUGGGGUGUGCGGCGCCUUUGUGCCGGGCUAUGUCUCGAUGUAAUCCGACUAAGUCUGGUUGGUUGUGUUCGGCCCGGCCGGAUUUACUAUUAGUGUAUCUGGUAUGACGAUCAUCGUCAUGUGCUGUGGCGCGCCCCGUGAUCCAUAGAUCGAUCUUGGUUGUCCUGCGUUGUUUUCCAGUCUGUCUCGCAGGUCCUACGUAUUGCCCCGGGCCGUAGUAAACUGGCGUGGGGGUGUGGGCUGGUAUUCGGGCUGAUAUGCCGUUUUAUCCCGGCCACGAGGUGGCCGGUCAGCCGUGUGGCGCUCGAGUCCAUAUUCCUCGGCUGAUAGGACUUCUGUCCAUCUGUCUGUGAGCAGGUCUUGAUCAGCUUGGAGCUGCUGCUGCUUCUUUUUAGGCUCCUCGCAGUGGCCAUAAGCCGGCGCUUGAAGUGCUCCUGCUCCAUGGGGUCCUCGGGCACGCCGAACUCGCCGUCGCCGAGGCUAAUCUCGUCUUCGAAGGGGGCAUGUAGUUUUCCUCCUCCGGAUACCCGUCCGUCGCCUGUUCGUCUGGGUUGACCUGCCCAUCUUCCUGCAUGGCCUGCUCGAAGGCAGGCUGAUCGGGGUUGUAUUCAUCUUCGGCACCGUCCGGAUUGUUUUUGUCUCCGGUGCCGGUAUUGCUGUGGCGGGGCUUGGAGCGAUGCUGGCGACGCCCAUGCUUUGCUUUCUUCUUUGAGGGGUUAUCCUCAAUUGCCUCAUCGCCAUUGGUCUCUUUCAGAGUGUCCACCAUAUAUAUGUCAUAGGAAGAGGUGGUUGUCCACUGCCCCGUGGGUGGUGGUUCAUGUUCUUCUCCUACAUCGUCGUCCAAACUGUCGAUGUCUUCGGAGUCGAAGUCAAGCACGUCGGUCAAAUCAUCCACCGUGUCUAUGAAGUGGGUGGUGGGUGGGCAACGAAUUCCCUCAUCGCCGGCUUUCCACUCGAGCCGGACAUAGUUCGGCCAAGAGUCUCCUGACAAAGAGAAAGAUUUUAACGAGUUUAGCAUGUCGCCAAAGGGCGAGUGCUGGAAGAUAUCCGCAGUGGUGAACUCCAUUACCGGAGCCCAACCAAGUUCGACGGGCUCGAAGGUGCGCGGACUAGAACCUGCUGCCGGAUACGAGUCCAGGGGUUUGGUGUCAUAGGCUUCCUUGGGGGUGAAGUCUGUGUUCGGCUCUACCGCCGAUGGGUGUGCGGCCUCCGGAGCGGGGUCCAUCCACCCAUCCCCGGGCUGCGCAAUCUUCCCCGGAUUUAGGUCCGGGACUCCUGCAGGGGCGAUAUCCCGAGCACUGUCCGACAGCAGGUCUAAGCCAUGACUGUCCGGUGCUCCUAGCGUAGGCCCGAAUCCAUUGAAGAUCAAGUCUCCGCGGAUAUCGGCCGUGUAGUUUAGGUUUCCGAACCUGACCUGAUGGCCAGGGGCGUAGCUGUCGAUCUGCUCCAGAUGGCCAAGCGAAUUGGCCCACAGUGCAAAGCCGCCAAACACGAAGAUCUGUCUGGGGGAGAAAGUCUCACCCUGGACCAUGUUGUUGAUGAUUGAAGGAUCCGUCGAGCCUUGCAGCGACGGCACAGAGAAACUCUCAAUGAAAGCACAAAUGUUGGUGUCAAAACCGGCGGAUCUCGGGUAGGGGGUCCCGAUCUGUGCGUCUAAGGCUAAUUGUAACAGGAGGCAAGGGACACAAUGUUUACCCAGGUUCGGGCCCUCUCGAUGGAGGUAAAACCCUACUUCCUGCUUGAUUGAUAUUGAUGAUAUGAGUGUUACAAGAGUUGAUCUACCACGAGAUCGUAGAGUCUAAACCCUAGAAGCUAGCCUAUGAUGAUUAUGAAUGUUGUGAUCGUCCUCAUACAGACUGAACCCUCCGGUUUGUAUAGACACCGGAGGGGGCUAGGGUUUACAUGGAGUCGGUUACGAGGAAAGAAAUAUAAUAUCCGAAUCGCCAAGCUUGUCUUCCACGUAAAGGAGAGUCCCAUCCAGACACGGGACGAAGUCUUGAGUCUUGUACCUUCAUAGUCCAACAGUCUGGCCAUAUAGUCCGGCUGUCCGGAUACCCCCUAAUCUAGGACUCCCUCACCGGCUUAUCCUAACAAGGAUGAGCCGGGUCUUCAAAUCAUUAACUUUGAAUAAAACCAUAUGUAGCCAUCCCGGGCCGGCUUAUCCUAACAAAGAUGAGCCGGGUCAUGAAAUCAUUAACUAUGAAUAAGAUCACAUGUAGCCCUCCAGGGCCGGCUUAUCCUGAUAAGAUGAGACGGGUUUCAAUGACCUUGAUAAGAUCAUACAUGUAGCCCCCAUGGGCCGGGUUAAACUGACAAGAUUAGCUGGGUCUCAAUCGGAAUUUUGGAAUGACCUACAUUAGCCCCUAAGUGCCAAGUAUAUUGCUUGCAAUGUGCUUGGGACUUAAAAAACUUGCUCCUUGUGUCAUAACUAUUGCCUCAAUGUUAUAUUUCAGGAAAUGUUGAAGGAGCAGGAGUCGCAGCUUGGCGACUUAAGAAAAAAUAUAGAAUUACAGCAAAAAGAGACUUCCAAGGCCGACUUAAAGCCGAAGACUGCACUGGAAGAAUUUAAGAAAAUUAAGGCAUGGUUUGACGCUGAGAGAACCGCCUGGGAAGCUGACAAGGCUGCCCUGCAGAAAAGAGCUGAAGAUGCUGAAGCUGAACUUAAGCUGGUGAUUGAAGAGUUAGCCAGCUUAAAGCAACAUAUUAUUCAAAUGUCAGACGCCAUCUUUGGUAAGAUUCAUAUGCAACACAUCAUCUGCUUUUACAUUUGUUCAACACGCCUGGUGGUUUGUAAUACAUAAUUUCUUGACCCGCCUGACGACUCUUAUGCAUACAUUAAACAUGCUCCAGAAGCGCCAGCCUUGGUCAAAACACGUUGCUGAAGCUUAAGGCGGCUUAUUCUUUGACAGAACAAUUGUACACUGGAACGCCGCAAAGUCGUGUGGCCUUGUCAGGUGGCAAAAGCCUCCAACUCUGAUCAAGACGAUCUUAGAACAACUGUCAACUGCGCCGGCUCAAAUUGAAGGGAUUAAAUUAUCAGCCGCCCGAACUGGAGCCAUUGUUGGUCUAGGUCGGGCAAAAGCGUGGCAAUCAGAGCUUGACCCGGAGGAGAUAGCCACUGGAUGCCCAAAGUUCAAGGAUGAUGAUUCAAUAUUUGAAGAACAAGACUUCAACAAAUGUGUCAGGGAGAUGCGGCCCAUAGCAUGCAAGCUUAUAGAAGAGCUGAACUUGAACCAGUACACGUCGGCUUAUGAUGAAGACAACAACAAGAUUAAUCCACCCACGCAUGAAGUGAUGGAUCUUGUUCCUCCUAGGCGUAAGCACAUCUUCACCCCUGACCUCGACUCUUCCAUUAUUAUUAAUGAUGAAGCCACAUUCGAGGCUUUAACAGGCAUCGACUAGACAUCGGCUGACCUCCAGAUGGUCGACGAAGAAGAGCGCACGCGGGAUGACCCACAAUCUUCAAGGCGCCAGGAAGACAACUGACCAUAGCGAUGAUGAUCCAGGUGGCUCUCAAGCCGAGUUAUGGGAGUGCAGCUCCAAAAACUCUUGAUUGAAAAACUUUUUUGGGAUCAGUUGAAGCCGUGUAAUAGGGUAGUUGAAAACAUUGAUCUGCCUUGUCAUGCCUUCAUCCAUGUUUUAUCUACAAUUUUGAUCUAGUAGUUGAACUUUGUGUGAUGCUCAAUCUGACCAUAUCCAUAUGAGCCUUUUCAAAUGACUAUGCUCUUCACCUUUGGUCUUGUAUAUUUUGCAGAAGACUCAUCAACAUAUAUACCGGUGACUUAAAGUCAGAAACCAAGGAGGGUUACCAAACCCGAAGACUCAUAGGCUCAUACAAUAGUUUGAAAACAUGAUUAACAUGGCUGGAGAGCCAAAUGAUGCUGGCGGCUUAAAAACCAAAAGCCAGGGCGGGUGACAACCCAAAGACUUGUAGUCUCAUAACCACGACUGUUCAAACCAAAACAUACUAACGACUUAAAGUCCAAAGCCAGGAUGGGAUACAACACAAAAAUACUCAAACAUGGGCAACAUAAUCCAGAGCCUCACGACCCGGGUAGUCAAAAUUUUCACAAAAGCAAAAACUUAACAUAAGAACAUCCUAAGAAUCCAAAAGAGAGAUACAAAAAAUCCCAAAUUUUUGCUAGGACGACUUUCAAGACACGACCGAACAAGUUGGCUCUCAGUUCUUUUGCUUUCAAGGACGCAUAACCAUUUAGUUUAUCCUAGCUCACUGUAAGCCGACCCUCACGUGACACAAGCCACUGUUUUAACCUUAACAAGUUUAGGGUCUUAGAAAAGAUUGACUACUAAGAGUUCGGCGGUCACCUGGUGGAGUAGCAAGUCGCAAAUAGGUAGGUGUAACUCAUAAUAUGGCAACUCAGGCCGGUCAAGAUGGUAUGAAAACUAAACCCGGUGGGUUGGAAGCCCCCAAGUGACCUUAUGAUCAGAUAACAAAGAAUCAGAUGCACAGAUAUGAAACGACAAAGGCCCUGAAUUUCAGGGAUGCUGGCUUUAUUAUAUUAAACAUAAAAGAAAUAUACAUUGACAAAUGUAUGUACAAAGGAUAAGAUAGCCGAUGGCUCAAGUAUAGUAAGGCUGAAGAUGAGCAAUAUUCCAUGGCCGGCGGGUCUCCUCUAUUGACUAGCGUGAAUCUUUGUGUUCUCGUAUAUCAAUGAGGUAGUAAGACCCGUUAUUGAGAUUUUUGCUGAUCACAAAAGGCCCUUCCCAAGGAGGAGAAAGCUUAUGCAGCCCUGCGUGAUCUUGAAUCAAACGAAGCACUAAGUCACCCUCUUGAAAGGUCCGGCUUCGAACUCUACAACUAUGAUAGCGACGUAGAUCUUGCUGAUGUAUCGCCAAAUGAGCCGUCGCAAGGUCACGCUCUUCAUCCAAAGCAUCAAAUGAGUUCUGAUGUGUCGUCUCAUUAUCAGCUUCAACAUAAGCCGCCACUUGAUACGUCUCCAACGUAUCUACUUUUCCAAACACUUUUGCCCUUGUUUUGGACUCUAACUUGCAUGAUUUGAAUGGAACUAACCCGGACUGACGCUGUUUUCAGUAGAAUUGCCAUGGUGUUAUUUUUGUGCCGAAAUAAAAGUUCUCGAAAUGACCUGAAAAUCCACGGAGACAAGUUUUGGAAUUAAUAAAAAAUAUUGGAAAGAAUCAAAGUCAGGGGCCCACACCCUGUCCAUGAGGGUGCAGGGCGCGCCCACCCCCUGGGGCACACCCCUGCCUCAUGGGCCCCCUGGACCUCCACCAAUCUCAACUCCAACUCCAUAUAUUCACUUUCGGGGAGAAAAAAAAUCAGAGAGAAGGAUUCAUCGUGUUUUACGAUACGGAGCCGCCGCCAAGCCCUAAUCUUCCCCGGCAGGGCUGAUCUGGAGUCCGUUCGGGGAUCUGGAGAGGGGAAUCCGUCACCAUCGUCAUCAUCAACCAUGCUCCAUCACCAAUUUCAUGAUGCUCACCAUCGUGCGUGAGUAAUCCCAUCGUAGGCUUGCUGGACGGUAAUGGGUUGGAUGAGAUUUACCAUGUAAUUGAGUUAGUUUUGUUAGGGUUUGAUCCCUAGUAUCCAUUAUGUUCUAAGAUUAAUGUUGCUAUGACUUUGCCAUGCUUAAUGCUUGUCACUAGGGCCCGAGUGCCAUGAUUUCAGAUCUUAAACUAUUAUGUUUUCAUGAAUAUAUGCGAGUUCUUAAUUCUAUCUUGCAAGUCAAUAGUCACCUACUAUGUGUUAUGAUCCGGCAACCCCGAAGUGACAAUAAUCGGGACCACUCCCGGUGAUGACCGUAGUUUGAGGAGUUCAUGUAUUCACUAAGUGUUAAUUCUUUGGUCAGGUACUCUAUUAAAAGGAGGCCUUAAUAUCCCUUAGUUUCCAAUAGGACCCAUCUGCCAUGGGUGGGUACGUAGGACAAAAGAUGUCAUGCAUGUUCAUUUUCAUAAGCACGUAUGACUAUAUUCAGAAUACAUGCCUACGUUGCAUUGAUGAACUGGAGCUAGUUCUGUGUCACCCUAUGUUAUAACUGUUGCAUGAUGAAUUGCAUCCGAUGUAAUUAUCCAUCACUAAUCCAUUGCCUAAGAGCUUUUCACAUACUGAACCUUGCUUAGUUACUUUUCCGUUGCCACUGGUACGACUGCUACAAACUGCUACUGUUACUUUUGCCACCGUUACCGUUACUUCCAUAAUACUAUGCUACUAAAUACUUUGCUGCAGAUAUUAAGUCUUUCAGGUGUGGUUGAAUUGACAACUCAGCUGCUAAUACUUGAGAAUAUUCUUUGGCUCCCCUUGUGUCGAAUCAAUAAAUUUGGGUUGAAUACUCUACCCACGAAAACUGUCGCGAUCCCUUAUACUUGUGGGUUAUCAAGACUCUUUUCUGGCGCCGUUGCCGGGGAGCAUAACUCUAUUCUUUGAGUCACUUGGGAUUUAUAUCUGUUGAUCACUAUGAGGAACUUGAAAGAUGAAAGAACCAAUAUUUUUCCCGCAACUACGAGGGGAGGUAAGGAACCGCCAUCUAGCUCUGCCUUUGAUUCACCUUCUAUUAUGAGUAAAUAUGUGACACCUACACCUGCACCUGCUAUUGACUCUGAUAUGUCGCAUGUUAUUGAUGAUGCCACUUCUGCUAUGCAUGAUGCUUGUGAUGAAACUAGUUGUCUGCUUGAUAAUACUAUGCCAUUAGGUGAAUUUCUUGAUGAACAACUUGCUAGGGUUAGAGAGAAUGAAAUUAUUGAAAAUGAUGAUAUUAAUUAAAGUGAUGAUGAAGAUUCUCCCCCUAGAUAUGAAUUGCCUAUUGUACCUGAGGGUUAUGUUAUGGAUGAAGAAACUGCGAGAGACUUUCUUGCUUGCAAUGAUAGAUAUGAUCUUAAGAAACUAUUAGCUAAGCUGAAAGAAAAGUCUUUGAAUGCUAGAAUGCAAUAUCGCCCUGCUUUUGCUACUUCACCUAUCUGCAUUACUGAUAAGGAUUAUGAUUUCUCUGUCAAUCCUAUGUCAAUUACGUUGGUUGAAUUUGAUCCUUUCUAUGGCCAUGAAUCUGAAACUAUUGUGGCACAUCUUACUAAAUUUAAUAAUAUAGCCACCCUAUUUACUCAUGAGGAAAAAAUUCGCUAUUAUUAUAUACUUAAACUGUUCCCGUGCUCAUUAAAGGGUGAUGCUAAGAUAUGGUUUAAUUCUCUUGCUCCUGGUUGUGUGCAUAAUCCCCAGGAUAUGAUUUAUUACUUCUCUACUAAUAUUUCCCUGCUCAUAAGAAACAAGCUGUCUUAAGGGAAAUAUAUAAUUUUGUUCAAAUUGAAGAAGAGAGUCUCCCACAAGCUUGGGGGAGGCUUCUCCAAUUACUUAAUGCUUUGCCUAAUCAUCCUCUCAAGAAAAAAUGAAAUACUUGAUAUCUUUUAUAAUGGACUAACCGAUGCUUCGACAGACCACCUGGAUAGUUGUGCUGGUUGUGGUUUUAGGGAAAGAACCGUUGAGCAAGCUGAGUUACUAUUAAAUAAUAUAUUGAGCAAUGAUAAUGAUUGGACACUUCCUGAACCAACUCCUAAGGCAAAUCCAAAGAAAAGGGCUAUUUUAUUUCUCAGUCCUGAAGAUAUGCAAGAGGCAAAGAAAUCUAUGAAAGGAAAAGGUAUUAAAGUCGAAUAUGUUAAGAAUUUACCAGCUAUUGAAGAAAUACAUGGUCUUAAUAACCCGACACAUGUAGUAAAGGUAAAUUCUCUCUAUAGAUUUGAUGAAGGUGAUAUCCCUCAUUAUAAGUCUGCUAGCGAAUGCUUGGAUGAGUUUGAUAAUUUUAUUGUUAAACAAGAAAACUUCAAUGCUUAUGUUGGUAGACAAUUGAAACGUAAUGCCUAUAUGAUUGAACACUUGAGUGAUUAUAUGUCUAGAGUUAAAGGUGACCUUAAUCUUAUUAGUAAACGUGCAUCCGUGGUUACCACUCAAAUAGAACAAGUACUUAAAGCACAAGAUGAUUUGUUCAAUGAAUUAAAUAAUAAGAACAAUGAUAAUGCUGUUAGAGUUAUGACUAGAGGUGGUAGAAUGACUCAUGAAACUUUGUAUCCCUAGGGCCAUCCUAGGAGAGAUGAGCAAGAUUUUCAGAGAAUUAAUGUUGAUGCACAUAGUCCUUCUAAGAAAAAGAAACAGAAAAUGAUAGGACUUUGCAUGCUUCUAGUGAACCUACUGAAAAUCCCAAUGGUAUUUCUAUUUCUGAUGCUGAGACACAAUCUGGUAAUGAACAUGAACCUAGUGAUAAUGUUAAUGAUGAUGUUCAUGUUAUGCUCAACCUAGUAAUAACAAUGAUGUAGAAAUUGAACCUGUUGUUGAUCUUGAUAACCCACAAUCAAAGAAUCAACAUUAUGAUAAGAGAGACUUUGUUGCUAGGAAGCACGAUAAAGAAAGAGAACCAUGGGUUCAGAAACCCAUGCGUUUUCCACCUAAGCCAUCCAAGAAAAAGGAUGAUGAGGAUUUUGAGCGCUUUGCUGAAAUGAUUAGACCUAUCUUCUUUGCUGAAAUAUGAUAUUCUUAUUGUUGGGGACAUGCAUAUCCCCGUUGAGGUAACCUAGUGUUAUUCAAAAAUUCUCCAGUUUCAUGUUAUUCAGAAGAAGUUUGUUAACAAGACUUGAUCAACCUUGUUAGUGGAUUCCUUUUGAUGAGCAUGAGAUGGAUGAAGUUAGAAAGCACCACUCUCUGUACCCUCCUUUUACUUUCUGUUAUUUAGAUUAAAUAAAGCAAAAAUAGUAGUUUUCUGUCUGUUUUCUGAAUUAUUCUUGCAAUAAAAAAUACGCCGAAAAUAAAAGUUCUCCAAAUUUCCUGAAAAUGUAGUAUGAUUUUUUGUAGAAUAUUUAAGAAUUUUUGGCAUUGGGUACACACCAUUUGGCCACGAGGGCACAGGGCGUGCCCACCCCCCUGGGGCGCCCCCCCUGCCUCAUGGGCCCCAUGUGCCCCCUCCACUUAUUCCAGCACCCACUCACUUCGUCUUCCUCCAGAAAAAUCAUCCCAUAGCUCAAAUCCGUGUUCUAGCUCAUUUUGCUGCCAUUUUUGAUGUCCUUGCUCAAAGCACCAUUCACAAAACUGCUUUGGGGGAUUGUUCUUCGGUAUGUGACUCCUCCAAUGGUGCAAUUAGUUUUUGUUCUAGUGCUUUAUUUAUUGCAAAUUUUUGCUACUAAGGUGACCCUGUUCUUGAGCUUGCAUGUCAAAUUUAUAUGGUCCAAAGUAGUUUUAAUGCAUGAUGUAGCCUCUAGGCACUUGUGGGAGUAGUUGCUAUCAAUCUUGUUGAGUUUAGUUCACUUUUAUUUUGAGUCACUAAAAAAUUCAGAGAAAGAAAAUGAUGAAGAGAUUGUUGAGGGGCUCCUCGAGUCGAAGCUCGAAGGAUAAGCAGAACGAGGAGAAUAAAAAGCCCAAAUACAAUCUUCCUCGCACCACAGAGGUUCGGCCGUGUGAAUGGCCUUGUGAUGCAUUCUUGAGGGCCGCCGGAAUUUAUUACGACUUUUAUUACUUGGCUGAGAAUGCAAGCCUCACCGACUUCCUCCACGACCAGCGCGAACAGUAUCUCCUACUCACUAAUAUUUUCACGCAAAACUUUUACUUCCAUGCUAAGAAAUCACCACCUUCAGUGGAAUUUCACUUAUAUGAUGAGGUUAAGGAGAUGUCACUCCAUGACUUUUGUUUGGUUUGCAAGUUACCCUUUGUGGGCAGCAUCGAGGAACCACAUCCUAGUGGUGUGGAUGGAUUUAUUGAUAGGAUUGCUGUAGGAGAAAUGAGAAAAGUUUCAGAUGCAAGAACUACUAGUAUACAUUUUCCUGUUCUAUGUUACUUUGCGAUAUUUGCUAGCAGAUGCUUGAUUGGUCGCGAGAACAGUGGAAACCUUAGUGCUCCUGACCUUGUUAUUUUGCGCCAUGCUUUGUUUCGUGAUACAACCUUCAGUUUAGGCGCUAUUGUUGUUAAACGGUUAAGUCUAAACCAUACAAAGGGCCCCAUAUUCUAAGGUAUCUUUGCUACACGCCUUGCUAAACACUUUGAGAUACCUAUUAGGCAUUAUGAGAAAGAGGAAAAGUUGCUGCCCACUAUUUUUCUAGACUAUAAGAGUAUGGUAGCACAUGAUUUUAUUGUUAAAAAUAAUAAGAAGAUGCUUAAGUAUAACUUGAUAUUCGCUAAAACUCAUUGUGAGACUAUUACCUUGCCUGCACCCUCUUUGUUUAACAUACUUUCAGGCACGUACCUCAUCUUGCCCGAGGCCAUUUAUGCAUUCUGGAAUAUGACACAAGUUCUAGAGCCAGAGCCAGAGCCACCACUUGACCCAUAUCAAUAGCCUAUUUAUCAGUGGGAUUCAGAGGAUCUCGCUAACCAGUGGCACCCUAAGGACCCUCCUCAGUACACCGGAGAGAGUAGCUUCGAUCCGUGGGCAUAGACCAACUUAGGCCAAAAUCCUAAGCUUGGGGGAGUACAUAUUUGUCAUCGACAUUACAUUCAUGUUCACACACUCAUUCUAGUUGUCGGUGCUCAUUCUUUUUCAUUGUACUAUCCAUGCUAGUUUAUUUUCGUUUCUCACUUUCUUCUUGUGUGUUUGAAAAACUUUAAUAAAAACCAAAAAAAAUAGUUGUAGCCUUUAGCUAGUUUACUUUCCAUGCUUGUAGUAGUAAUAUUAAAAGACAACCCAAAAAGAUUUCCCGUUCUUCUUUUGCUUGUUGGGAGCUUUCCCAUGUAAAUAGUUUUAGUUCUUUUCUUUUCUUUGGGGGUCGAAAGGAGAAGACCACGAUGAAAAUGUUGAGUGGCUUUCAUAUGCACUAUUGUUGAUCUAACCAAGAGCCCAUAUUACCUUGUCUUCUCCUUUGUAUUAAAUGCUUGCAGAUUCCAGCUUAGUCCAAUGCACGUGCACUGUUAUUAUCAUCUACACCGUUCAGUCGUGCAAGUGAAAGGCAAUAAUGACGCUAUAUGAUGAAAUGAUUGAGAUGAGAGAAGCUGGUAUGAACUCGACCUAUCUUGUUUUUAUAAAUAUGAUUAGCUCAUCGCUCUUGAUUCAGCCUAUUAUGAAUGAACAUGUCUGCAAUGACAAGUAGAGUUAUAGUUGCUCAUGCCAUGCUUAAUUAGCUAGGAGCUUACAAUGGUUUGUCUUGCAUGUCAACAUUCUAUUAAAAUGGUUAUGAUGUGGUAUGAUAGGGUGGUAUCCUCCUUUGAAUGAUUCGGGUGGCUUGACUUGGCACAUGUUCACGCAUGUAGUUGAAACAAAAUCAACAUAGCCUCCACGAUAUUUAUGUUUAUGGUGAUUUAUAUCCUACUCAUGCUUGCACUCAUUGUUGGUUAAUCUUAAUGCAUGUUCAUGACUGUUGUCGCUCUCUAGUUGGUCGCUCCCCAGUCUCUUUCUAGCCUUCACUUGUACUAAGCAGGAAUACUGCUUGUGCAUCCACUUCCAUAAACCCCAAAGUUAUUCCAUAGGAGUCCACCAUACCUUCCUAUAUGCGGUAUUUACCUGCCGUUCCAAGUAAAUUUGUACGUGCCAAACUCUAAACCUUCAAAUGAAAUUCUGUUUUGUAUGCUCGAAUAGCUCAUGCAUCAACUAGGGCUGUCUAUAUCUUCCAUGCUAGGUGGGUCAUUCUCACGAUGAGUGGACUCCGCUCAUCAUUCACGAGAAAAUGGCCGGUAACCAGGAUGCCCAGUCCCAUGCUCAAAUCAAAUCAAAAUAUAUGCAAACAAAACUCCCCUAGGAUUGUUGUUAGUUGGACGGCACUCUUUGUUUCGGGCCAGCCAUGGAUUGAUGUUCAUUGGUGGUAGGGGAGUAUAAACUUUACCAUUCUGUUUGGGAGCUGGCUAUAAAUGUAUGUAGCAUGGAAGGUAUCGAGAUCUCUUGGUUGUUAUGUUGACAAUCCAAGUAUGCCGCUCAAAAUAUUAUUUAUCCUUGUUUCAAAACUUGAGCUUUGGAACCUCUGCAAAUCCCUGCUUCCCACUACGAAGGGCCUAUCUAUUUACUUUUAUGUUGAGUUAUCAUCCUCUUAUCAAAAAGCACCAGUUGGAGAGCAUCACUGUCAUUUAAAUGCAUUGCUAUUAAUUUACAUUGAGUAUGACUGUGACCGGAUCUCUUUUGCCAUGAAUUACAAUGUUUAGUCAGUCCUUGAUCUUCAGGGGUGCUCUACAUUUAUAUUUUGCGGUCUCAGAAAGGGCUAGCGAGAUACCAUCUUGUUAUAUCAUAUUAUGAUUGUUUUGAGAAAGUGUUGUCAUCCGAGAUUUAUUAUUAUUGCUCCCUAGUUGAUUAUGCCAUUGAUAUGAGUAAACAUGAGACCUAAAUGUUAUUGUGAAUAUGGUUAGUUCAUAAUCUUUGCUGAAAACUUGAAUGCUGGCUUUACAUAUUUGCAACAACAAGAUCAAACAGAGUUUGUAAAAGUUUUUCUUUAUCACCUUCAGUUUGUCAACUGAAUUGCUUGAGGGCAAGCAAAGGUUUAAGCUUGGAGGAGUUGAUACAUCUCCAACUAUCUACUUUUCCAAACACUUUUGCCCUUGUUUUGGACUCUAACUUGUAUGAUUUGAAUGGAAUUAACCCGGACUGAUGCUGUUUUCAACAGAAUUGCCAUGAUGUUAUUUUUGUGCAGAAAUAAAAGUUCUCGGAAUGACUUGAAAAAUCCACGGAGACACGUUUUGGAAUUAAUAAAAAAUAUUGGCGAAACAAUCAACGUCAGGGGGCCCACACUCUGUCAACGAGGGUGCAAGGCGCUCCCACCCCCUGGAGCGCGCCCCCUGCCUCGUGGGCCCCCUGGACCUCCACCGACCUCAACUCCAACUCCAUAUAUUCACUUUUGGGGAGAAAAAACUAGAGAGAAGGAUUCAUCGUGUUUUACGAUACGGAGCCGCUGCCAAGCCCUAAUCUUCCUCGGGAGGGCUGAUCUGAAGUCCGUUCGAGGCACCGGAGAGGGGAAUCCAUCGACAUCGUCAUCAUCAACCAUCCUCCAUCACCAAUUUCAUGAUGCUCACCGCCGUGUGUGAGUAAUCCCAUCGUAGGCUUGCUGGACGAUGAUGGGUUGGAUGAGGUUUACCAUGUAAUUGAGUUAGUUUUGUUAGGAUAUGAUCCCUAGUAUACAUUAUGUUCCAAGAUUGAUGUUGCUAUGACUUUGCCAUGCUUAAUGCUUGUCACUAGGGCCCGAGUGCCAUGAUUUCAUAUCUGAACCUAUUAUAUUUUCAUGAAUAUAUGUGAGUUCUUGAUCCUAUCUUGCAAGUCAAUAGUCACCUACUAUGUGUUAUGAUCCGGCAACCCCGAAGUGACAAUAAUCGAGACCACUCCCGGUGAUAACCGUAGUGUGAGGAGUUCAUGUAUUCACUAAAUGUUAAUGCUUUGGUCCAGUACUCUAUUAAAAGGAGGCCUUAAUAUCCCUUAGUUUCCAAUAGGACCCCGCUGCCACGGGAGGGUAGGACAAAAGAUGUCAUGCAAGUUCUUUUUCAUAAGCACAUAUGACUAUAUUCGGAAUACAUGCCUACAUUACAUUGAUGAACUGGAGCUAGUUCUGUGUCAGCCUAUGUUAUAACUAUUGCAUGAUGAAUUUCAUCUGACAUAGUUAUCCAUCACUGAUCGAUUACCUACGAGCUUUUCACAUACUGAACCUUGCUUAGUUACUUUUCCCUUGCCACUGUUAUGAUUGCUACAAAAUUGCUACUGUUACUUUUGCCACCCUUACCGUUACUUCCAUAUGACUUUGAUACUAAAUACUUUGCUGCAGAUAUUAAGUCUUUCAGGUGUGGUUGAAUUGACAGCCCAGCUGCUAAUACUUGAGAAUAUUCUUUGGCUCCCCUUGUGUCGAAUCAAUAAAUUUGGGUUGAAUACUCUACCCUUGAAAACUGUUGUGACCCCCUAUACUUGUGGGUUAUCACCACUCUAGGCGAGUCAUGGCGAAUGUCACUUGGGAGAACCGCCUCCGCACCAUAAACCAUAAAGAAAGGCAUAUAGCCUGUUGAUCUAUUAGGGGUGGUAUUAAUACUCCAAAGUACUGAAGGUAACUCCUCAACCCAACAACCCGAUGUUCGCUUCGAAGGAACCAUGAACCGGGGCUUAAUGCCUCUCAAAAUUUCUUGAUUAGCUCGCCCUGCCUGUCCAUUAGACUGUGGAUGAGCCACUGAAGUGACGUCAAAACGAAUAUGCUCUCUUUGAAAGAACUCCUUCAUAGCACCCUUAGAAAGAUUAGUGCCAUUAUCGGUGAUGAUACUAUGAGGGUAUCCAAAAUGGAAGAUCAACUUUUUAAUAAACUGAAUAGUUGUAGCCGCCUCACAAUUGCUAACUGGCUCUGCCUCAACCCACUUGGUAAACUUGUCAACCGCCACCAAAAGUUGGGUCUUUUUAUCCUUAGACCUCCUAAACAGUCCAACCAUAUCGAGCCUAUCGGAUAUAGGGUUUCGGAAAAACCCUUGAGGUUCGAACACUGGGGUGCGCACGAAGAUUUCCCCCUACCGAAUCUCACCCUCAGCCUCGCCAUGAUCUCUAAGCUUAGCUCAAUGAACUCACAACACAAGAGACACAAGAUUUAUACUGGUUCGGGCCACCGAUGUGGUGUAAUACCCUACUCCAGUGUGGUGGUGGUGGAUUGCCUCUUGGGCUGAUGAAGAACUGUACAAGGGAAGAAUAGCCUCCUGAGGAGAGGUGUUCUUGUGCUUGGUGGAUGCAAGGAUGAACUGAGUUCGUUCCAGUCUGCCUUCUACUUUGGUGGCUAGUCCUAUUUAUAGAGGCCCUGGUCCUCUCCCCAAAUAUUGAGCGGGAAGGGAUCGAACAACAGCCAAUUUGAAAGGGGACAGUUGUACAAGCUAUCCUGACUAAAGGUGGUCUUCGCCUGUCAAAGGCGCUGGUGGUGACGCUGUCUUGGGCUCCACAAUGACCUCUGUCCUACCGUCCUGCUGGUCUUGGUCUUGUUGCACCGAUAUGGAAACCUUUGCCUGAUGCCUUGGUACUCCGCGCCUGCACUUGCCCCCUUAGCACCAAAGGGGAAACUAGGACACUACGCGCACUGGCGCCCGCCUGGCCUUGGUCGUCAUGGCUUGCGUCACGGGAACCUCACGUGGUACCCCUUGCCUUGAUCUCUCCGCUCCCUCAUUAGCCUGCCUGGUGAGGCUGCUCCUGAGGAGGCCUUGUGUCGUCCGCCUCGCGAUGCUUGGCCCCUCGCGAGGGUCAUGAGUGUUGGUUAACAAAGACGGGCCAUACUGGGCCACUGGUGGAUCCACACCGUGAGCCGCAGGCAGGCAAGUCUAGGGACCCUUGUUCCCAGAACACCGACAGUAGCCCCCGGGCCCAAGGCAUGCUCGGACUUGGCUUAGUGGCGAAGCCAAAGGGCAAGUGUGGAGCGCCGCGGGCCCCAAUAGUCUGCGGCCUUGGUCAGCGCAUGGCGACUGAUUGGACAUGGGCGUCGCCGCUUCCCCCAUGCUGCCUCGGCAACUGCCCGACUUGACGAGUCUGUGCUACAUGCAAAAAGGGUUAUCAUUACCUGCGAUCGUGGAGGUUGACGGUUGGCCUUCCUUGGGAUAUAAAUGAGGAGGGGUGAGAGCCCUCAUCGCCCAUCUCUUCCUGCUCCACCUGCUUCUUCUUCCCUGGUCCACCUCCAAUCUUGACACAAAUGGCGCCGAUCCGUAGAUUCUCGGCCGAAGAGAAGGGGAAGGCUCCCUGGGACGGACACGAUCUGCUCCAGCCGAAGAAGAGGCCGGUCCACCACCGUGGCAAGGUCGUGAGGCGGGAGAUGACGAGGCCUUGGUGCGAGGGCUUCGGAGAAAGGGGCGGCGAGCGGCGCUGCCCGUGCCGCAGCCACGGUCGGCGCGCCGUGGUGGCGCGCGCUGUCGCCCCAUGGAGUCCACGCCGUGGACUCCUCCCAUGAGCUCAUGCUGCUGGCGGCGAUGCCUCCAAGCACCUCGAUCUGCUUCCCUUCUUUCUUCUCCACCAAGAUGCUGCCGAGGGGGCCUCUCGGGCUUUGGCUGCAGCACGCCGAUUGUGGCGUCCCGACGACCGAAGCGGAGGUUGAAGUCGUUCCCUCGGGCAAGAUAUUCAUGACCCAAGGCUAGGGCCAGGUCGCCCGGGUCUGCCGAACCAGGGGCGCCCUCGCGAUCCAUUUUGAAUAUGAUGGCGCCUGCACAUUGUCCUUCAAGGUCUUUGACGCGGAAGGCCGCCGCCUGGAGUGCUGCCCCGGAGGGCAGUCAAGAUAUCGACACGGCAGGGGCUGGGCCUGCCAUCCGCUCCUCCAGCGGCUCCUUCGGCAGCAGCAACAACACUUGGGAGUCCGACGACUCUCCUGAACUCUAUGAGACUCCAGAGACGAGCGAUGACAGCUACGCACCACCGAGCUCUCGCCGCGCCCGGAGCAAGGCGGCAGCAUCGGGCCGUCGCCGCCACUGAUGUGGAUGGGGUUGGCGCCGGUCUCCCAUGGCCCACUGUUGAUGAUGGCGUCGGCCACGAAGGCACGUGUAGUUAGGGCUCCUCAAGGUUCUUUUCUUUUGUUCCCUGCGAGGAAUCGAGAAACACCCCGCGGGGGCGUGUAAAGGGUCUGCGAUGUCUUUUGUUGAUGUUAUCCUUAUUAUGAAAUCGUGCGAGUGCUUGUCCUGCCCCGGCUUGGUUCCCCCUUUCUAACCUCGCGAUGACUUGGCGCUCUACGCUGACAGGUCCCGCUCCCUAGGCAGGCUGCAGCCGUCGCUGGUAUGCCAGGUCGCGAUGCUGUGGUCAAGGCCAGGAUGUGACUAUGUGAGUGGCCCGAGGUCUAGUAAGAGCCCCUGAGGCACGAUGCUCAGGAGGUCCCCUUUAGCGCGCAAGCAGCCGCCGAGAGGUAAGAAAUGAAGGCAACAUUGCCUCCACAGGGCCGCAUAAAGUGAGAAUUUUGUGUCGUAAUGAUUAGUUGUUCCAAGCGCGAAACUUAUCUCGGUAAUCUGGAGUCGUUCCCUUGCGUUGCGCCAGACUUGUGCGUCGGCAUCCAUGGCGCAACUAGGUUAGGCCCGUGCGAGCCUCCCCCUUCUUCCCCACACUCUCCUUCAUGUUGUAUGUCCUCAGGUCCCGGCCCUCGAGCGAGCUCAGCUGCCGGUGGUAUGCCAGGUCACGAUGCCGUGGUCAAGGCCAGGGGGUGAGGGCUGGAGAGCCAGUAAGAGCUCCUGAGUCACGAUGCUCAGGAGCCUCCCCUUUUAACGCGCAAGCGGAUUGCAUGGGAAAGCAAGGUAGCUCGUGGCGCCGCCCGCUGUAGACCUCAUGAGGUUCCUGUAAAUCAACACGAGAAAGGCAUGGGUUGCCAUUAUGAUUGCCGGCGGGCCACUGGUUGCUCUGAGAUAAGGGUGAGGGCACUAAGAGCUUGGUGAGGUGACGCGCGCGGGGCAUGCCGCGGGCCAGAGCUUGACCACUUAGAUUUGUCGGUGUUGCAGGGACGGACCCGUGCGCAAGCGCCGUGCCAGCAGGAGCGGCUCCCGUGGUAGGUGGUAAUCGAGCAGGUGAUAAUCACAGGUAGAUUAGGUAUGAAAGGAAAUCAGCUUAGGUAAAUGCAGAAUUGAUACAUGCCACUAGGUCAGACCCAAGCGGCCCGGGGAUGAUGGAGCCCGAGGGGCGCCCCCAACAAGGUAAUCUAAAGACAUAAAAAGAGAUACAUGCCGCGGGGAUAGACCCACGCGGCCUGGGAAUGAUGCGGCCCUGAGGGCGCUCCCAACUUAAAUGAACUUGGGGGAUGCCACCUGGUUCCAUUGUAGAGGGUGUGUUGGGUAGCUGAAGAUGCAUGGUGAAGGGGCCGAACCUGACGAGCCACUGGGGCCCUGAGCCUCAGGAGGCUCCGGGGGGCCAGGUGGUUCUUUGAGGACAGUCUCCAUCUCUGCUAUAGGAGCGCGUGGCAUCUGGCCUCCUAAGCCGCCAGGAUGCUCUAGGUGACACUGGUAGGUGGCAGCCGCGUACGGCAGGCCGAAAGGCAUGCGAAUGUAGCUGUGCGGCGAACCCUCGCAGCAUCCCACGCGCGAAGGCCAGAAGCGCUCCUGUGAUGCGGCUCGGUUGAGCCCUGGGAUGUUGACGCAGACACCCAGCCCACCAUCCUCGCCUGGAUGGGGAGCCACACCAGGCGAGCGGUGGUCGCUGGGUACGACCCUCGCUUCCUGAAGCUCCUGAGUGGUCUUGGCAGUGAACUCCUAAAAGUUGGGCUUUCCAUGCCCUGUGUCUUCCUGAGGGAAACGUGCCGUGAAGCACACCUCCAAGUGGUGCACGAGCGCCUCCCUCAUGAUGCUGGCGAGGUCUGAGGCCCUCUAGAAGAGAGCCCCCGAGCCCUGCCGGAGGAUGGCGUUCGGCGCGCCUUCCUAUGCGAUGGAAGGAGGCGCCCCAGGCACGGGCGCUGAUCCUGAUGCGGCACCACCUGAGGUGCCGACCUCCUGAGUCCCUGUGCGGAGCAGUUGCUUCUUCUUCUUGGGGAUGGCCUCAGGAGGGUUCUCGCCCUUGCUGUCCGGGUCCUCAAUUGCUACGGCUGGGAAGGCACGCUCGAGGGAGCAUAGCGCAUCUCUCUCUUUGCAGGGGACCGUGAUGAUUCUGCCGCUUCCUGGCAUCCCGAGGAUGUUGUAGCCGUGGUGGGUCACUGCCAUGAACUUGGCCAGGGCUGGAUACCCGAGGAUGGAAUUGUACGACAGGCGGAUGUGGGCGAUGUCGACGUCGAUGAGCUCGGUGCGGUAGUUGUUGCGCUGUCCGAAGGUGACAGGGAGGCGGACCUGCCCUAUCGGGGUGGUGGAACCGUCGGUAACUCCUGAGAAGGGCUUGAUGGGCUGAAGCUGACCGUAUGGCACUUGAAGGUUGUCAAACAUCUCGACGGACAGGAUGCUAAGCCCUGCGUCGCCAUCGAUGAGGGUCUUGGUGACUUGCAUGUUGCCGAUGACGGGUGAACAGAGCAUCGGGAGAAUGCCAACAGUAGCCGCGCACUUGAGUUGAUUUGCCGAGCUGAAGGUGAUGGCGCACUUGGACCACCUAAGCGGGCGCAUGGCCUCGAGCCUGGGGAGGGCUACAUUCACCUCGCGAGCAAACUGCUUGAAGAUACGCUGAGAGGCUGGGGCCUGAGCUCCGCCAAGAUGCAAGCGAUAGCACGUGGCUCCUGGAAGCCCCCAGCCCCCUCGUCCUGAUGAUGGUUGUCAUUCCUUCUUGGCGGCAGUGGCAGCGGAGGAAGGCCUGCGUUCCCCUAGGGGCGGUCCACGCGAGGCUGAUCCCUCCAGGCACCCUCGCGAGGCUGGUCCCUCCAGACGCCCUCGCGAGGCUGGUCCUGCCAGUGAUCCUCACGAGGUUGGUCACGCCACUCCUGGCGAGGGCCACGGUCGUCCCAUUGUCCUCCGCCACGUCCUCCUCCUCGGCCGUAACCCCGGUCGUUCUGCUCGAGGCAUCGACCGAAGCGUCCUUCUCGAACGGCCCUAAGCUCCUAGCAAUCGUUGGUGUUGUGGGUGUGGAGGUUGUGGUAGGCGCAGAAUGAUCGGCUGCCCUUGGACGACUCCGGCUGGACCUUGUCGCGCUUCGUGUCUGGUUCUGCUGCGAGCACGACCACUCCCUUGUGCUUCACGUCCUUGGCCUUGGUCUUCUUUUCUUCUGGGUCAGCAGCUUGGAGCUCAAGGAGGGACAGGCGUCCCUCUUCAGCUCUUGUGCACUUGAUCGCCAGGUUGAAUAGCUCUAGGGAUGUGGGAUACGUCUCCGUCGUAUCUACUUUUCCAAUCACUUUUGCCCUUGUUUUGGACUAUAACUUGCAUGAUUUGAAAGGAACUAACCCGGACUGAUCUUGUUUUCAGCAGAACUGCCAUGGUGUUAUUUUUGUGCAGAAAUAAAAGUUCUCAGAAUGACAUGAAAAUCCAUGGAGCAACUUUUUAGAUUUAAUAAAAAAUACUGGCGAAAGAAUUAGCGUCAGGGGCCCACACCCUGUCCAUGAGGGUGGGGGGCGUGCCCCCUGCCUCGUGGCCCCCCUGGACGUCCACCGACCUCAACUCCAAUUCCACAUAUUUGCUUUCACGGAGAAAAAAAUCAGAGGGAAAGUUUCAUCGCGUUUUACGAUACGGAGCCGCCGCCAAGCCCUAAUCUCUCUCAGGAGGGCUGAUCUGGAGUCUGUUCGGGGCUCCAGAGAGGGGGAUUCGACGCCGUCGUCAUCAUCAACCAUCCUCCAUCACCACUUUCAUGAUGCUCACUGCCAUGCGUGAGUAAUUCCAUCGUACGCUUGCUGGACGGUGAUGGGUUCGAUGAGAUUUACCAUGUAAUCAAGUUAGUUUUGUUAGGGUUUGAUCCCCAGUAUCCACUAUGUUCUGAGAUUCAUGUUGCUAUGACUUUUCUAUGCUUAAUGCUUGUCACUAGGGCCCAGGUGCCAUGAUUUCAGAUCUGAACCUAUUAUGUUUUCAUGAAUAUAUGUGAGCUCUUGAUCAUAUCUUGCAAGUCUAUAGUCACCUAUUAUGUGUUAUGAUCCGACAACCCCGAAGUGCAAUAAUCGGGAUACUUCUCGGUGAUGACCGUAGUUUGAGGAGUUCAUGUAUUCACUAUGUGUUAAUGCUUUGGUCCCGUACUCUAUUAAAAGGAGGCCUUAAUAUCCCUUAUUUUCCACUAGGACCCCGCAGCCACGAGAGGGUAGGACAAAAGAUGUCAUGCAAGUUCUUUUCCAUAAGCACAUAUGACUAUAUUCGGAAUACAUGCCUACAUUACAUUGAUGAACUGGGGCUAGUUCUGUGUCACCCUAUGUUAUAACUAUUACAUGAGGAAUCACAUCUGACAUAAUUAUCCAUCACUGAUCCAAUGCCUACGAGCUUUUCACAUAUUGUGCUUUGCUUAUUUACUUUACCGUUGCUACUGUUACAAUUACUACAAAACUGCUACUAUUACUUUUGCUACUAUUACCGUUACUUCCAUACUACUUUGCUGCAGAUACUAAGUUAUCGAGGUGUGGUUGAAUUGAUAACUCAGCUGCUAAUACUUGAGAAUAUUCUUUGGCUCCCCUUGUGUCGAAUUAAUAAAUUUGGGUUGAAUACUCUACCCUCGAAAACUGUUGUGAUCCCCUAUACUUGUGGGUUAUCAACACUAUUUUCUAGCGCUGUUGCCGGGGAGCAUAGCUCUAUUCUUUGAGUCACUUGGGAUCUAUAUCUGCUGGUCACUAUGAGGAACUUGAAAGACGAAAGAACUAAGAUUUUUCCCUCAACUACGAGGGGAGGUAAGGAACUGCCAUCUAGCUCUGCACUAGAUUCUCCUUCUGUUUUGAGUAAGCUUGCGACACCUAAACCUGCUUUUGCUAUGAAUUCUAAUAUGUCGCAUGUUAUUGAUGAUGCCACUUCUGCUAUGCAUGAUACUUAUGAUGAAACUACUUCUGUGCUUGAUACUAUUGUGCCAUUAGGUGAAUUUAUUGAUGAACAACUUGCUAGGGCUAGAGAGAAUGAAAUUUUUGAAAAUGAAAUUAUUGAAGAUGGUGAUGAUGAAGGUUCUCCCCCUAAAUAUGAAUUGCCUGUUGUUCCAGAGGGUUAUAUUAUGGAUGAAGAAACUACUAGAGAUAUUCUUGGUUGCAAUGAUAGAUCUGAUCUUAAGAAGUUACUAGCUAAACUGAAACAGAAAUCUCUAAAUGCUAGAAUGAAAUAUGACCCUGCUUUUGCUACUUCACCUAUCUUUGUUACUGCUAAGGAUUAUGAAUUCUCUAUUGAUCCUGAGAUAAUUACUUUGGUUGAAUCUGAUCCUUUUUAUGGCUAUGGAUCUGAAACUGUUGUGGCACAUCUUACUAGGUUAAAUGAUAUAGCCACCCUGUUCACUAAUGAUGAGAAAUCUCACUACUACUUUAUCCUUAAGAUAUUUCCGUUCUCAUUAAAGGGUGAUGCUAAAACUUGGUUUAAUUCUCUUGAUCCUGGUUGUGUGCGUAGUCCCCAGGAUAUGAUUUAUUACUUCUCUGCUAAAUAUUUCCUUGCUCAUAAGAAACAAGCUGCCUUGAGGGAAAUAUAUAAUUUUGUGCAAAUUGAAGAAGGGAGUGUCCCACAAGCUUGGGGGAGGCUUCUCUGGUUACUUAAUGCUAUGCCUGAUCAUCCUCUUAAGAAAAAUGAAAUACUUGAUAUCUUUUAUAAUGGACUAACCGAUGCUUCCAAGGAACACUUGGAUAGUUGUACUGGUUGUGUUUUCAGGGAAACAACAGUCGAUCAAGCUGAAUUGCUAUUGAAUAAUAUGUUGACCAAUGAAAAUAAUUGGACACUUCCUGAGCCAAUUCCUGAGCCGACCCCUAAACCAACUCCGAAGAAAAGGGGAGUUCUAUUUCUCAGUCUUGAAGAUAUGCAAGAGGCAAAGAAAUCUAUGAAAGAAAAAGGUAUUAAAGCCGAAGAUGUUAAGAAUUUACCUCCUGUCGAAGAAAUACAUGGUCUUAAUAUACCACCUAUUGAAGAAACACAUGGUCUUGAUAACCCGACACAGGUAGUAAAGGUAAAUUCUCUCUAUAGAUAUGAUAAAGUUGAAAUCCCCUCUACUAAGUUUCCUAGCCAAUGUUUGGAUGAAUUUGAUGACUUUAUGGCUAGACAAGAAAUUUCUUGCUUAUGUUGGUAGAGAAUUAAAGAGUAAUUCUUACAUGAUUGGAUGCUUGAGUGAUUAUAUAGCUAGAGUUAAAGGUGAACUUAAACUCAUUAGUAAAUAUGCUUCUAUGGUUACCACUCAAGUAGAGCAAGUACUUAAAGCUCAAAGUGAUUUGCUCGAUGAAUUAAAUAAUAAACAUGAUUUUGUUGUUAGAGUGGCUACUAGAACUGGUAAAAUGACCCAGGAACCUUUGUAUCCUGAAAGCCAACCUAUGAGAAUUGAGAAAGAUUCUCAAAGAAAUAAUUUUGAUGCACCCAGUCCUUCUAAAAAGAAGAAAAAGAAAAAUGAUAGGACUUUGCAUGCUUCUAGUGAACCUAUUGUAGACACACCUGAGAAUCCCAAUGAUAUUUCUCUUUCUGAUGCUGAAACACAAUCAGGUGAUGGACAUGAACCUAGUGAUAAUGUUAAUGACUCGUGUUGUUGCUCAACCUAGCAAUAAUAAUGAUGUAGAGAUUGAACCUGCUGUUGAUCUUGAUAACCCACAAUCAAAGAAUCAACAUUAUGAUAAAAGAGACUUUGUUGCUAGGAAGCACGGUAAAGAAAGAAAACCAUGGGUUCAGAAACCCAUGCCUUUUCCUCCUAAGCAAUCCCAGAGAAAGGAUGAUGAUGAUUUUGAGCGCUUUGCUGAAAUGAUUAGACCUAUCUUCUUAUGUAUGCGUUUAACUGAUAUGCUUAAAGUUAACCCUUAUGCCAAAUACAUGAAGGCUAUCAUUACAAAUAAAAGAAAGAUACUGGAAGCUGAAAUUUCCACCAUGCUUGCUAAUUAUACUUUUAAGGGUGGAAUAGCAAAGAAACUUGGAGACCCAGGAGUACCAACUAUACCAGGCUCCAUUAAAAGAAACUAUGUUAAAUCUGCCUUAUGUGAUCUUGGAGCCGUUGUUAGUGUUAUGCCUCUCUCUUUAUAUCGUAGACUUGAAUUGAAUAAGUUUACACCUACUGAAAUAUCUUUGCAAAUGGUUGAUAAAUCAACCGCUAUACGUGUCGGUAUUUGUGAGGAUGUGCCUGUUGUGGUUGCAAAUGUCACUAUCUUAACGGACUUUGUUAUUCUUGAUAUUCCCGAGGAGGAUAGUAUGUCGAUUAUCCUCGGUAGACCCUUUCUGAAUACUACAGGGGCGGUUAUUGAUUGCAACAAAGGCAAUGUCACUUUUCAUGUCAAUGGUAAUGACCAUACGGUACACUUUCGAAGGAAACAAUCUCAAGUUCACAGUAUCAAUUCUAUUGGUAAAAUUCCAACUAUCAUUAUUGGAGGUUUUGAAUUUCCUCUUCCUACUGUCAAGAAGAAAUAUGACAUUCCUAUUAUUGGGGAUGUGCAUAUCCCCGUUGAGGUAACCUAGUGUUAUUCGAAAUUUCUCCAGUUCCAUGUUAUUCAGAAUGAGUUUGUUAACAAGACUUGAUCAACCUUGUUAGUGGAUUCCUUUUGAUGAGCAUGGCAUGGAUGAAAUUAGAUGGCACAAACUUCUGUACCCUCCUUUUACUUUCUGUUAUUUAGAAUAAAUAAAGCAAAAAUAGUAUUUUCUUUCUGUUUUCUGAUUAUCCAUGCAAUAAAAAAUACCCCAAAAAUAAAAGUUCUCCAAAUGCCCUGCCAAUUUAGUAUGAUUUGUUCUAAAAUAUUUGAGAAUAUCUGGCACUGAGAACACAACAGGGGGAGCAAGCACCUGGCCACGAGGGUCCAGGGCGCGCCCACCCCUACAGGGUGCGCCCCCUGCCUCGUGGGCCCAUGGUGGCCCCCCUCCACUUAUUCUUGCACCCACACACUUCAUCUUCCUCCCAAAAAAAUCACCAUCCAGCUUAAGCACGAGUUCUAGCUCACUUUGCUGCCAUUUUCGAUCUCCUUGCUCAAAGCUCCAUUCACAAAACUGCUUUGGGGGAUUAUUCCUUGGUAUGUGACUGCUCCAAUGGUCCAAUUAGUUUUUGUUCUAGUGCUUUAUUCAUUGCAAAUUUUUGCUGCCUAGGUGACCCUGUUCUUGAGCUUGCAUGUGAACUUUAUAUGGUCCCAAGUAAUUCUAAUGCAUGAUAUAGGCUCUAGGCACUUGUGGGAGUAGUUGCUAUCAAUUUUGUUGAGUUUGAUUCACUUAUAUUUCGAGUUACUAAAAAUUUCAGAAAUCUAUCUGAGGAAGAAAUAUGUCGAGGAAAAUGUACCAAGGUGGUUCUUCAAGAAAGAAAGGAUCCAGGCUCGCAAUGCAUGAGCAGGACGAUGAACCACCGAGGGAAGCUGAUGUGCGGCUUGUGAAUGGCCGUCAGAGGAGUUUAUGGUCAAGGCAGGCAUCAAGGAUGAAUUUUAUGCAUAUGUGCGUAAUGCCGAUCUUGAGGACUUCAUGCAAGAUAAGUGUUCUCAAUACUACUAUUUGACUGAUUCAUUCAUGAGAAGGUUUAAAUUUACAUCUUCACGUAAUUCUCCAAGUGUCCAAUUUGAUAUUUAUGAUAAAUCAUAUACCAUGGACCUAGAACACUACUGCUUGUAAACUCCCGCAGUGGGGCAAUGUUAAUGAACCCCGUAAAUCUGAAUAUAAAGUCUUUCUUGCUAGUAUCAUUGUGGGAGAAUCUAGAGAAAUAACACAAGCUACCAUAGGGAGCAUUCACUUUCCCGCUAUAAAUUAUUUUGCUCUCUUCAUUGGUAGAUGCAUUAACGGUAAAGAUGAAGCAUGUCACAUGUGUGUUCCUGAUGUUUGUGUUCUCAAGAGUGCUGUAUUAGGUGAUAAACAAUACAACUUGGGGGCAAUUGUUGCACUUAGGUUGCAUAAUAAUGGUUUAGUUGGAGACUUGUUUGGAGGGAUUUAUGCGACCAGUGUGGCUAAUUAUCUUGGUAUACCUGUACAUGAAGAUGAUAGGGAGUUGCCUCCUGCUUAUUUAGAUUAUAAUGCUAUGGCUAAUCAUCAUUUUCUUGAGAGGAAUGAAUAAUUCCUCCAGUACCGACUAAUCUUUGACAGACGUCGUGCUGUCCAUAUUACUCUCCCUGCUCCUGUCCUCUUUGAUUAUCAGGCAAAAGGAAGAUAUGUUAUCACCAGGGAGGAGGCGCACGAGUACGAGAGGAGGACGGAGGCAGCUCGCCGCCAGGCUGCAGCUCAGGAGGCAACGGCUGCACCAUCUUAGUACGACCCCAGUAACAAAUUCGGAUAUCAGCCAGGAUACCCAUGGCCAUAGACCAACUUAUGCCAAAAGCCUAAGCUUGGGGGAGUACGUAUUUCUCACCGACAUUACAUUCAUGUUAACACACUCAUUAUAGUUGUCGGUUCUCAUACUUUUUCAUUAUACUAUCCAUGCUAGUUUAAUUUCUUUUUCUAGCUUUCUUCUUGUGUGUUUGAUAAACCUUAAGAAAAACAAAAAAAAUAGUUAGUUUACUUUCCAAGCUUGUAGUAGUAAUAAAUAAAAAGAAAACCCAAAAAGAUUUCUCGUUCUUCUUUUGUUUGUUGGGAGCUUUCCCGUGUGAAUAGUUUUAUUUCUUUUCUUUCCUUUGGGGGUCGAGAGGAGAAGACCAUAAUGAAAAUGCUGAGUGGCUAUUAUAUGCAUAAUUGUUGAUUUAACCAAGAGUCCAUAUUACCUUGUCUUCUCCCUUGAGUUGAAUUCUUGCAGAUUCCAGCUUAGUCCAAUGCACGUGCACUAUUAUUAUUGUCCACACCGUUCGUUCGUGCAAGUGAAAGGCAAUAAUGACGAUAUAUGAUGGACUGAUUGAGAUGAGAGAAGCUGGUAUGAACUCGACCUCUCUUGUUUUGUAAAUAUGAUUAGUUCAUCGUUCCUGAUUCAGCCUAUUAUGAAUAAACAUGUUUGCAAUGACAAUUAGAUAUUAUAGUUGCUUAUGCCAUGCUUAAUCAUGACUGUUGUGCCAAUAAUGAUAAUAAUUGUCAUGAACAUGCACUAAAAUUAUAUCCUACUCAUGCUUGCACUCGGUGUUGAUUAAUUUUAGUGCAUGUUCAUGACUGUUGUCGCUCUCUCAGUUAGUCGCUUCCCAGCCUCUUUCUAGCCUUCACCUGUACUAAGCGGGAAUACUACUUGUGCAUCCAAACUCCAUAAACCCCAAAGUUAUCCCAUAUGAGUCCACCAUACCUUCCUAUAUGCGGUAUUUACCUGCCAUUCCAAGUAAAUUUGUAUGUGCCAUCCUCCAAACCUUCAAAUGAAAUUCUGGUUUGUAUGCUUGAGCAGCUCAUGUAUCAACUAGGGUUGUCUGUAUCUUCCAUGCUAGGUGGGUUAUUCUCAAGAGGAGUGGACUCUGCUCCUCAUUCAAGAGAAAAUGGCUCAUAACCGGGAUGCCCAGUCCCAUGCUUAAAUCAAAUCAAAAUAAUUAAACAAAACUCCCCCAGAAUUGUUGUUAGUUGGAGGCACCCAUUGUUUCGGGCAAGCCAUGGAUUGAUGCUUGUUGGUGGUGGGGGAGUAUAAACUUUAUUAUUCUGUUUGGGAACCGCCUAUAAUGUGUGUAGCAUGGAAGAUAUCGAGAUCUCAUAGUUGUUAUGUUGACAGUGAAAGUAUACCGCUCAAAAUGGUAUUCAUAUCUAUUUCAAAAUCGAGCUUGGGCACCUCUACAAAUCCCUGCUCCCCUCUCCGAAGGGCCGAUGUAUUUACUUUUAUGUUGAGUCAUCACCCUCUUAUUAAAAAGCACCCGUUGGAGAGCACCGCUGUCAUUUGAAUGCAUUACUAUUAGUUUAUAUUGGUUAUGACUAUGAUUGGAUUUCUUUUACCAUGAAUUACAAUGUUUAGUCAGUCCUUGAUCUUUAAAGGUGCUAUGCAUUUAUGUUUUGCGGUCUCAGAAAGGGCUAGCGAGAUACCAUCUUCUUAUAUCAUAUUUUGAUUGUUUUGAGAAAGUGUUGUCAUCCGAGUUUUAUUAUUAUUGCUCGCUAGUUGAUUAUGCCAUUGAUAUGAGUAAACAUGAGACUUAAGUGUUAUUGUGAAUAUGGUUAGUUCAUAAUCUUUGCUGAAAACUUGAAUGCUGGCUUUACAUAUUUACAACAACAAGAGAAAACAGAGUUUGUAAAAGUUUUUCUUUAUCACUUUCAGUUUGUCAACUGAAUUGCUUGAGGACAAGCAAAGGUUUAAGCUUGGGGGAGUUGAUACAUCUCCGUCGUAUCUACUUUUCCAAACACUUUUGCACUUGUUUUGGACUCUAACUUGCAUGAUUUGAAUGGAACUAACCCAGAGUGAUGUUGUCUUCAGAAAAACUGCCAUGGUGUUAUUUUUGUGCAGAAAUAAAAGUUCUCGGAAUGACCUCAAAAUCCACGAAGAAACUUUUCAGAUUUAAUAAAAAUACUGGCGAAAGAAUUAGCGUCAGGGGGCCCACACCCUGUCCACGAGGGUGGGGGGCGCGCCCCCUCCCCUAGGGCGCACCCCCUGCCUCAUGGGCCUCCUGGACGUCCACCGACCUCAACUCCAACUCCAUAUAUUUUCUUUCGCGGAUAAAAAAAAUCAGAGAGAAAGUUUCAUCGCGUUUUACGAUACGGAGCCGCCGCCAAGCCCUAAUCUCUCUCGGGAGGGCCGAUGGAGUCCGUUCGGGGCUUCGGAGAGGGGGAUUCGACACCGUCAUCAUCAUCAACCAUCCUCCAUCAUCAAUUUCAUGAUGCUCACCGCCGUGCGUGAGUAAUUCCAUCGUAGGCUUGCUGGACGGUGAUGGGUUGGAUGAGAUUUACCAUGUAAUCAAGUUAGUUUUGUUAGGGUUUGAUCCCCAGUAUCCACUAUGUUAUGAGAUUGAUGUUGCUAUGACUUUGCAAUGCUUAAUGCUUGUCACUAGGGCCCGAGUUCCAUGAUUUCAGAUUUGAACCUAUUAUGUUUUCAUGAAUAUAUGUGAGUUCUUGAUCAUAUCUUGCAAGUCUAUAGUCACCUAUUAUGUGUUAUGAUCCGACAACCCCGAAGUGACAAUAAUCAGGAUACUUCUCGGUGAUGACCAUAGUUUGAGGAGUUCAUGUAUUCACUAUGUGUUAAUGCUUUGGUACGGUACUCUAUUAAAAGGAGGCCUUAAUAUCCCUUAGUUUCCACUAGGACCCCGCUGCCACGGGAGGGUAGGACAAAAGAUCUCAUGCAAGUUCUUUUCCAUAAGCAUGCAUGACUAGAUUCGAAAUACAUGCCUACAUUACAUUCAUGAACUGGAGUUAGUUCUGUGUCACCCUAUGUUAUAACUAUUACAUGAGGAAUCGCAUCCGACAUAAUUAUCCAUCACUGAUCCAAUGCCUACGAGCUUUUCACAUAUUGUGCUUUGCUUAUUUACUUUAGCGUUGCUACUAUUACAAUUACUACAAAACUGCUACUAUUACUUUUGCUACUCUUACCGUUACUUCCAUACUACUUUGCUUCUAAAUACUUUGCUGCAUAUACUAAGUUAUCCAAGUGUGGUUGAAUUGACAACUCAACUGCUAAUACUUGAGAAUAUUCUUUGGCUCCCCUUGUGUCGAAUCAAUAAAUUUAGGUUGAAUACUCUACCCUCGAAAACUGUUGCGAUCCCCUAUACUUGUGGGUUAUCAAUGUGCACAAUUCCUCCUGGAUGGCGAGCUCCUCCUUCAUCUUGAUGCCCCGGACGCCAUCAGAGAACGCUGAGAUGAUGGCCUCGUCCGUCACCUUGGGGAUCUUGAGGCGGACGCUGUUGAAGCACUGGAUGUAUUUCUACAGGGUCUCCCCGGGCUGCUGCUUGAUGCGGCGCAGGUCACCCGCAGCCGGGGGGUGGUCGUGAGUGCCCUGGAAGUUGGUGAUGAAGCGGCUGCGCAUCUCGUCCCAGGAGGAGAUCGAGCCGGGAGGCAGGUUCAGGAGCCACGAGCGGGCACCGUCCUUGAGUGCCAUGGGAAACCAAUUCGCCAUGACCUUCUCGUCGCCGUUGGCCGCCUCAAUGCUCAGCUCGUAGAGCUACAAGAACUCCGCAGGGUCGGGGGUGCCGUCAUAGCGAGGAGGCAGGUCUGACUUGAACUUGCCCGGCCAGGCAACACUACGCAGCUCGGGGGUGAAGGCGCUACAUCAUGCUGUGGUCACCGGGGCCCUUUGCUGACACAGAUCUUGCUCUUGACGGUACCCGCGCACCGCUGCCACAGGCAGCACGUGGUCUUGUCGCACCGGUGUAGGGAGCAUGGGGGUGCCUUCUUGAGGCCGAGGGAUUUCUUGACAGCUUCCUCCUUCUCGCGCGGGCGCCAGACGUGGUGGGUCACGCCUAGGGGCCGGGCUCCUUGGCGCCAGGGCGCCAUCUUGAGGCAGAGGUGGUGGAGGCGCUCCAUGAGCCACGUCGCCCGUACCUGGCAGAGGGCGAGGCAACGAGAGGGACGGCGCGGGAGAGCCCCCUAUGGUGCUGACGAGCUCGGUGAUGUGAGCGAGCCAUUCCUCGUAGAGGUCAUCGACGGGGUGGUAACACAGGAGCUCGCGCGCCAUAAGCAGUGCGGCCUGCGCGUCUGUGGGGGCGUGACAAGCGUGGGAUGAUGAGCCGGCUGGGAUCAACGAUGGAGUGGCGGUGCAGCCGUCCCGCUGCAUCGAGGGGUGUAGCGAGGAUGCUUGCUGCUCGUUCCCCGCCGGGCCGGUGGCGGCAGGCGACGGAUAACGAUGGGGAGGCCCGACGACAGGAGCUAUCUGGGCGACGCGUGCGGCGAGAGCGGCCCGAUGCUAAGCGCGGGCUCGGCGGGCGUCAGACAUGGAUGCGGCAAAGCGAUGGGACACAUAUCAGCGGAAGGAAGACUACAACGCACCCCUACCUGGCGGGCCAAAUGUUGGAUUUAGGGUUCCGGCAAAACCCUUGAGGUUCGAACACUGGGGUGCGCACAGAGAUUUCCCCAUACCGAAUCUCGCCCUCAGCCUCGCCGCGGUCUCUAAGCUUAGCUCAAUGAACUCACAACACAAGAGACACAAGAUUUAUACUGGUUCGGGCCACCGAUGUGGUGUAAUACCCCACUCCAGUGUGGUGGUGGUGGAUUGCCUCUUGGGCUGAUGAAGAACAAUACAAGGGAAGAACAGCCUCCUGAGGAGAGGUGUUCUUGUGCUUGGUGGAUGCAAGGAUGAACUAAGUUCGUUCCAGUCUGCCUUCUACUGUGGUGGCUAGUCCUAUUUAUAGAGGCCCUAGUCCUCUCACAGCUAGUACAAGCUAUCCUGACUAAAGGUGGUUGUCGGUGUCAAAAUCGGACAGGAGGCAGGGGACACGAUGUUUUACCCAGGUCCGGGCCCUCUCGAUGGAGGUAAUACCCUACUUCCUGCUUGAUUGAUCUUGAUGAUAUAAGUAUUACAAGAGUUGAUCUACCACGAGAUCGUAGAGGCUAAACCCUAGAAGCUAGCCUAUGAUUAUGAUUGUCGUUGUCCUACAGACUAAACCCUCCGGUUUAUAUAAACACCGGAGGGGGCUAGGGUUACACAGAGUCGGUUACAGAGAAGGAGAUCUACAUAUCCGAAUUGCUAAGCUUGCCUUCCACGCAAAGGAGAGUCCCAUCCAGACACGGGAUGAAGUCUUCAAUCUUGUAUGUUCAUAGUCCAACAGUCCGGCCAAAGUAUAUAGUCCGGCUGUCCGAGGACCCCUUAAUCCAGGACUCCCUCAGUAGCCCCUGAACCAGGCUUCAAUGACGAUGAGUCCGGCGCGUAGAUUGUCUUCGGCAUUGCAAGGUGGGUUCCUCCUCCGAAUACUCCAUAGAAGAUUUUGAACACAAGAAUCGUGUCCGGCUCUGCAAAACAAAUUCCACAUACCACCGUAGAGAGCACAAUAUUCCACAAAUCUAAUCUGCUGACAACUUUUUGUAGCAUGACCUCACGCCAUGGUCCGGUCUUUAUUCGAACCGUUUUUCGCAACCAGCCACUACACUACUGUGAAGCAGUUUUAUUGGCACGUCUUGUCGAAGCAGAGAUCAUGUUCCCCUUAUCACGGGAUUCUCAUCAAUACAGGUGUGGGUAACCCAACCGCGCUUGUUUAAUAUGACUCCUUGAUUUUUAGGCAAGUCCCAAACGGUCACGAGGGGGACGCUUGAUAUUCGUCCUCUUUAUAAGGGGGCCAAGGCCUGUCCUUUUCUUCCCAUGGUCGAUCCUACCCCUCCCGCACCUCGAGUUCGAACACCCAAAGCUCAAGCAUAAGCACUUAGGACCUUCGACCAUGUACGGAUCGAACCUACAAGGCCGGUGGAUGGCCUCCUCUGUCACAGAGGAGGACAUCAAGAAGGUUAGGGAGGCCAGGUAUCUCACCGCCGAAAUCCCGCACAGGCUGCCUGCUCAAGGGCAGGUCAUCCCCACUCCCGAACCCAACGAGAGUGUCAUAUUUAUUUCCCACUUCCUCCUGGGUCUAGGUUUUAGUCUUGAUCCCUUCGUGAGAGGGCUCAUGUUCUAUUACGGGCUAGAUUUCCACGAUCUAACCCCGGAUUCCAUCCUUCACAUCUCGUCGUUUAUUGUCAUGUGUGAAGCCUUCCUCCGUGUCACCCCCCACUUCGGCCUAUUUCUCAAGACCUUCAAUGUGAGGCCGAAGGUGAUCGACGGGCAUCACGUGGAGUGCGGAGGUGCUAUAAUAAGCAAGGGCGCCGACGUCCCAUGGCCAAAGGGUUCCUUCACAGAAACUUCUGACUUAUGGCAACGGGAGUGGUUUUACAUCACAGCUCCCCGAGGUACAAAGCGGGCGGCCGCUCCAGCGUUCCGCUCGGGCCCUCCGCCACAGCUGGUGUCAUGGGUCAAGAAGGGGCUGGAUUGGGGGCCAGUCAAUGACGUGCUGACACUGCAAAGCCGCAUCUGAGACCUUCUUAAGAGGGACGUCAGUCUUGUCAAGGUAAUGCAAGUAAUGCUGGUUCGUCGGGUCCUGCCCUGCCAACGUUGACCUCUCCGUAUGUGGGAGUUCAACCCAGAAGGACCGUGAACCAUUCAACACUUCUUCGGCAUGACACUCAAAGAGAUGUACUGGUUGUUCUUCGGAUCACGAAUAAAGUGUCCGGACACCACGAGGAUGUGGGUCUCAACUGCAACCAUCCGGAUAUCCAAGUAAGUAAUUCCGCUACCGAACACACUGUCCUUUAUGUUUGUUUUAACAUCAUUCUGAAAAACUUCUCUAUGCUAGGACUGGAUAAGGAAGGCGAAUAGGAUUAGGUGUUCGGCCCCUCUUCCCGAAGGCUCGCCAGAUCCUCUAUUGAUCAGGAUGCUUGAGCGCGCAUCGUAUCAGGUGCCAUCAGGAGAAGAUGAGUGGAGGAAUAGAGAAGCCACCGAUGGGCUUCGUACUUUACACAUCCAAAUCAGGGGAAUAAGUGCCUCCAUGAAGGAGGAUAAUCGGGGAGGUGAAUCUGAAAUACCGUCUCCUCAUGGUAAGAAAAGGGCCGCCUCUGAAGGCUUGGAAACGGAGGCUUCCAAACGAGGGAGAAAACCCUCACUAGGGGGCCCUGUCCCAGAGGGCGUCCUUACCGCACAGCGCCCGCAUGGGGGCCAGCCCUCAACCGAGCUGUAAGUGAAAAAAUGUACUUUGGUAAGUAUAUCUUGUCUUGUCUCUGAGAAUAAUAAUCGAGACAUAUUUGCUGCAGUCCGGCUCGUGGCCCUUCUCCAUAGAGUUCCUCUUUGGGGCAUCUUCUUCCAGAGAUGAUGGAGAGUGAAACGCCUCCUCCUGCCUCCCCUCCACAUGGGGCGGACGACCCCGAGGUGUCGUCAUGGAGGAUUUCUCCUGAUCCGCCAAGGCCAGAAGUUGAUACUUCGGCUGCCCAAAGUCCGGAAUAUCCGGCUCCCAGGGAGAGCUUCAGGAAGAGUCUGGGAUUGUCCGGCACACAGCCAGACACACUAAUGGGUCUUCUGGAGCGAGCGGCCAUCUCAGAGACACAUCGUGCCUUAAUGGGUAUGGUGGUUCAGAGGAUUUCAUCCGCCAAAAGCGGUUUGAAUGAGGCUUUUACGAGUCUGCUGAGAGGCUUUAAGGUACGCAAAGAGUAAUAUAUGUAUUUUUUACGGCACCGCACAUGCUAGGUGUGCUCUGUAUAGAUAGUAGCCCCUGAGACUUUGGUUGCCAUCCGAAGGUGGUGAACAGGGGAUCAUAAUCUCUGGUAAUAACCGCGUUGCUUUAUGUGCAGGCAGCUGAGGGUCCGACGGCUGACCAGACUCAUGAUUUUGCCGAACUGAAGCGGCAGCUUGACAUGGCCGAUGCCGACAUCGCGCUUGUUAACAAGCGGCUUGACGAGGCCCCGGGUAUGUAUGUUCGACUUGUCAGCAAAUUUUUAAGAGGAGCAUGAUGCUAGUAUCUAUAAUAUGCUAUGACUGCAGAUGGAGGUGCUGCCGUGGAGACCCUUCGUGCGGAGCUUGCCCGAGCCAAGGAGCAAGCCCGAAUAAGUGAUGCAGCCGCUCUGAAGGCGGUUGAGGAGUUAAGAGCCGAACAGGCUGCUCAUCGCCAGAGCGAAGAAAAGAUAGCCCAGCUGGCUGCUGAGCUGAGAGAUGCCGCCGACCGCCAUGAGCUCCUUGAAAAGGAAAACCAAGUGAAAGUGGCUGACCUGAAGAAGGCCCUGGAGGCAGCCAAGGAAACCCGCUCUGAAAUCAGAGGGAUAAGGGAGGAGCUUCGUGAAGCCAAGGAUAUCACAGUUGGGAGGCCGUAUCUUUUGUGAAUGAAGUUCGGAGAUCCGAAGUAUGCCCCUCUGGAUCAGUUGUGGAGCGCUGCGGAAGCGUAUGCAGACCUUGCAAAGAGUGUUGCUGAUGCGACCGAAUUUUACAAAGAUCGGAAAGACCAUAAGGUGGAAAGGUUAUUCUGGUCGCAGUUCGGUGCUCCGACGCGUCCGCUGCCGUUGAAUGAAAGGAUGGCCGCAUGGGACGAGCUCCAUAGGUUGUCCGGGCUUGCUAUGAGGUCUGUCGUGGAUCAUCUUUGGCCACAGGGACCAAGGCCGGACAAUUAUUUUGGAUUAGUGCAACAAUUCCUUGGUGCUGUGUCGCAUAUCGAUGCUGUGAAGAGGUCGACAUGCAUAGAGGGUGCACGGAUGGCUCUUGCCCGUGUUAAAACAUACUGGGUAGGGAUGGAAACCACCAUUAUUGCAACCCGGGGUUCGGCGGGAGGCCAGGACCCAGCCAAGCACUAUUUUGAAGAAGUCCUAGAAGGCGCCCGUUUGAUGGAGGCUCAGUGCUUGAAGAGUGCCAUGUUCAAGUGACAUGUAUCUCCAUUGUAAAAACAAUGCUAUUUUGAUUAUAAAGGCUGUGUUUAUACUUUUGCCCAAAGUAUUAUAGUGCCUCCUGUGCGGUCGUUUAUGUAUGUAUAUGACCUGAAAGUUUGCAGUCGUCGGCUUCAGCCCCCACGCAUAUAAUGCGGGGGUGUUCGAGAAAACGCGUAGUCACAUUUGAUCCAACGUCUUGGUCCGUUAAGGAGGUGAUAUCGCGGCGAACCGGGCAAUCGGACUACAUAGCUUUAACACUUCCACUUAGCCAUAGGAGUUCGAUGGGGCUACUAUAUAGCCCCUGGUACUUCCGCGUUCAUCCAAAUAUGGUGCGCGUAUGUAUGUGACCGGGAAACUGGUCCUUCGUUAAUGCGGAGGAAUCGCGAAGAUUCCACUGAGUCAUCGAGUGGUUGACCAGUCUCGCGCUGUAUCAUGAUAGUCAGUUUUCGGCUUUCUCUACUGAGGUACUCAUCCAGAUGAACCAGGGCACAAUCGCAGUAGUUCUCCCGGUGCCGCCUUAGCCGGUAGAGCGGAACCUAAGGUAGCAAAACACGGGAGCCAGGCAAACCCAACAUUUGACCAAAGACAGGAUUCGGAGCUGAUGCAUAUAAGGCCAAACUCGCGACGCCGAACACUCCCUAAGGUAUUCAGACUUUACAACAUAUACUGGGCUGAAUAACACCCUCGAUAAUGAGCCAUGUGUUUCCAGGUACAUGCAUUAGUUUGGCGUGAUGAAGUGUCAAGAACGCUAGUAUCCCCCUGGUUGUGUUAAGUGUCCGGAGGGGAAGAAGCAACAAGAGACAUUAAAAAAGGUUUACGUAGGGGCUUAAUCUAAAGAGAAACCUUUGAGCGGGGCCCUGCUACAUGUCUACGCCUUUAUCUCCGUUGUGCCCUAUCUUGGAAGGGUAUAGCACGAUGAUCAUCUGUAAAAAGGGGUAAUCCCAGGUGAAAGACUUCGUGCGAGGAGUUGGUUCAUCUGAAUGAACCAUGAAAAUGCAAUAUGCUAUCAUAUUAAUAGGGUCGAGCCAAACUAAGGGCUUCUGUUUUUUGCGAGCAGCCCCUAGCACCACUUAUGGGGGUAUCCCCAGCUCGGGUUUAUAUGGGCGCGCCGGACUCGUCUAACCGUGUCCAUGGUCUUGACGACCGUUUAUUAUGGUUGGAUGGGCCGCUCAGUGUUCGGCUACUAGAGCCGCCACGUAUUCUUUCGCACGUAAGGAACGCACUGUAUUUCCGCUAACUGUGAUGACGCCACACGGACCGGGCAUCUUAAGUUUAAGAUAGGUGUAGUGCGGUACUGCAUUAAAACGAGCAAAGGCCGUUCUUCUGAGUAGUGCGUGAUAGCCGCUUCAGAAUGGAGCGAUGUCGAAGAUUAGUUCUUCGCUUAUGAAGUUGUUGCGAGAACGAAUACAACCUCUAGUACUAGAGAGCCCAUACAGUGGGCCUCGACGCCUGGUAUCACUCCUUUAAAGGCAGUAUUGCUUUGGCUAAUUCUUGAUGGGUCUAUCCCCAUUUUGCGGACAGUGUCCUGAUAUAUCAGGUUAAGACUACUUCCGCCGUCCAUAAGGACUCGAGUGAGAUGGUAUCCAUCAAUUAUUGGGUCGAGCACCAUGGCUGCCGAUCCUCCGUGCCGGAUACUAGUCGGAUGAUCCCUGCGAUCAAAAGUGAUCGAGCAGGCCGACCAAGGAUUGAAUUUGGGAGCGACGGGCUCCAUAGCAUAUACGUCUCGGAGUGCGCAUUUGCGGCUUCUCUUUGGAAUGUGAGUUGCGUAAAUCAUAUUCACCGUUUGGCUAGUGGGAAUUUCUUCUAUCCCAUAGUGUUUGGCUAGCGAGGCUCAUCCUCGUCUUCGCUUGGCGUCUCCCGUCCCUUGUGUUCGGCAUUUAGCUUGCCGGCCUGCUUGAAAACCCAGCACUCUCUAUGAGUGUGAUUUGCAGGUUUUUAGGGGGUGCCGUGAAUCUGACAUAAUUUGUCUAGAAUCUUGUUUAGGCUGGACGGUCUAUCUCUGCUGCCUUUAAAUGGAUUCUUCCGUUGACCGGGUCAAGAGCUUCUAAAUUUGGCGUUGACCGUCGUGUUCUCUGGGCUGUCAUCAUUGUUUCUACGCCUGUUUUUGUUGCGUCGCGGCUUCCCAUUGCCAUCCCUUACUUCGGAUGUGCCUGGGUCGCUGGUGCCGCUACGGGCCAGCCAGCUGUCCUCACCCGCACAAAAGCGGGUCAUAAGGCUUGUUAAGGCUACCAUCGUCCUCGGCUUUUCCUGGUCCAGGUCUCUAUCCAGCCAUUCAUCCCGGAUACUGUGCUUGAAGGCCGCUAAGGCUUCGGCAUCCGGGCAAUUGAUGAUUUGAUUCUUCUUAGUAAGAAAUAUGUUCCAAAGUUUUCGGGCUGACUCUCCGGGCUGUUGAAUUAUGUGACUUAAGUCGUCUGCAUCCGGAGGUCGGACAUAGGUCCCUUGAAAAUUGGCCCUGAAAGCAUCCUCAAGUUCUUCCCAACUUCCAAUUGAGUUUUCAGGAAGGCUUUUCAACUAGUGCCGAGCUGGUCCUUUCAACUUGAGGGGUAGGUAUUUAAUGGCAUGGAGAUAAAGUCCUCAAUCCAGACCCCAGGGUCUGUCGUUCUGUCGUAUGCCUCUAUAUUCACGGGUUUAAAUCCUUCUGGAAAUUCAUGGUCCAGUACCUCAUCAGUGAAGCACAAGGGGUGUGCGGCACCCCUGUAUUUGGACGCGUCGUGGCAUGCUAUCGACGGUUGUUGUAUUCGGUGUUGAUUCCUAGCUGGUAUUCGAUCAAUGUGAUCGUUUUGGUAGCUCUGAUCCUGUGCCGAAGUGCGCUUUCUAGAUCCAUAGAUUGACCUGGUCAUACCGGACUUCUUGUCCAGGAGCUCACGUAAAUCGUGUGCUCACUUGUGUGCGGCAUCAUUAGCUGUCCUGUCGUGGCCACGGGGUGGUCGGUCCCGCUGAUCGGUCGUUUUCGGCUGAAUGGGCUCUAUGGCCUCAUCGUCGAAUUCGGGCAGCAGCUUGCACUUUGGAUAUCUCUUUGUGUGGCGAUUGCCGCCGUAUUUUUCUUCAGUGUCGAGCACUUUGUUCCACCAGUGGUUGAGCAUAUCCUGCGAGGCUUUAAGCCUUCGCUUCUGCUUCUUUAGGCCCCUCGCGGUGGCAAUAAGCCUUCUGUGGAGGUUCUCUUGUUCCAAGUGUUUUUCUGGGAUGAUGAGUGCACCAUCGUCCGGACUCUUCUCCUCUCCGGAGACAGGUUGGUAAAGUUCACCCUCGGGAUCGGCGUCAUCUGACGUCGGUUCCGGACUAUGUUCACUGUCCCCUGGCUCAUCUUGCUCCAUCGCUGGGUCCAUGGGGUCGUCGUUUCCCUUGGAGUCGACCGAGGUAUUAUUCUUUCUUGCGCUGUUGUCGCUGUUUUUACUGUGGCGGGAUUUAGAGCGUCGCCUACGGUGCCGCUUUGGUGGCUUAUCGAGGGGAUUACCCUUCGUUGCAUCAUCACCAUUGCCUUUUGGUGUGUCCACCAUAUAUAUAUAUAUAUAUCUUAUGAUGAGGUGGCAGACUAGCGCCCAGUGGACGGUGGUUCCUGUUCUUGUCCUGCAUCGUCUGUCAUCGACAGUGGCUAUGAAGUGAGUGGUGGGUGGGGAACGAAUUUCUUCGUCAUCCGCUUCCCACUCGAGACGAACAUAGUUUGGCCAGGAGUCUCCUAACAAGGAGAGAGACUUUAAUGAAUUUAGCACAUCACCCAAGGGCGAGUGCUGAAAAAUAUCCACGGAGGUGAACUCCAUGGCCGGUGCCCAAUCAGAUUCGAUAGGUACGGGCAUAUGCGGUUCGGACCCUGUAGCCGGAGACAAGUCCGGGAGUCCGAUGACACCACCCUCAAAGGAGGUGGGGUCAGUGUUCGGCUCCAACACCGAUGAGUGUGCGGCCUCUGUGGCGGGGUCCAUCCACCCGUCCUCGAAAGCGUGCGGUCUGCUCCGGAUUGAUUCUCGAGGCCGCCGCAGGUGCGAUCUCCUGAACACUGUCUGAUGGCAGAUCUAAGUCAUGCUCGUCACGACUGUUCGGCGUGCCUGACAUGGGCUCGAAUCCGUCGAAGAUCAAGUCUCCACGGAUGUCGGCAGUAUAGUUCAAGCUUCCAAACCUAACCUGGUGGCCAGGGGCGUAGCUAUCGAUCUGCUCCAGGUGGCCAAGCGAGUUGGCCCGUAGUACUAAGCCGCCGAAUAUGAAGAUCUGUCCGGGAAGGAAAACCUUCCCUUGGACCGCGUCGUUGAAGAUGAUUGAAGGGGCCAUCGAGCCUUAUCGUGACGACAUAGUGGAACUCUCAACGAAAGCACCAAUGUUGGUGUCAAAACCGGCGGAUCUCGGGUAGGGGGUCCCGAACUGUGCGUCUAAGGCUAAUGGUAACAGGAGACAGGGGACACGAUGUUUUAUCCAGGUUUGGGCCCUCUUGAUGGAGGUAAUACCCUACUUCCUGCUUGAUUGAUCUUGAUGAUAUAAGUAUUACAAGAUUUGAUCUUCCACGAGAUCGUGGAGGCUAAACCCUAGAAGCUAGCCUAUGAUUAUGAUUGUUCUGGUCCUACGGACUAAACCCUCUAGUUUAUAUAGACACCGGAGAGGGCUAGGGUUACACAGAGUCGGUUACAAAGAAGGAGAUCUAUAUAUCCGAAUUGCCAAGCUUGCCUUCCACGCAAAGGAGAGUCCCAUCCGGACACGGGACGAAGUCUUCAAUCUCGUAUCUUCAUAAUCCAACAGUCCAGCCAAAGUAUAUAGUCCGGCUGUCCGAGGACCCCUUAAUCUAGGACUCCCUCAGUGGUCUUCGCCUGUCAAAGGCGCUGGUGGUGACGCCGUCUUGGGCACCACGAUGACCUCCGUCCUACCGUCCUGCUGGUCUUGGUCUUGUUGCACCGAUAUGGAAACCUUUUCCUGAUGCCUCGGUACUCCGCGCCUAUGCUUGCCCCUUAGCAUCAAAGGGGAAACGAGGACACUGCGCACACUGGCGCCCGCCUGGCCUUGGUCGUCAUGGCUUGCAUCACGAGAACCUCACGAGGUACCCCUUGCCUUGAUCUCUCCGCCCCCUCGUGAGCCUGCCUGGUGAGGCCGCUCCUUAGGAGGCCUUGCGUCAUCCGCCUCACGAGGCAUGGCCCCUCGCGAGGUUCUUGAGUGUUGGUUGACGAAGACGGGCCAUGUUAGGCCACUGGUGUAACGCCCCGGAUUCGAUGCGCCAGGUGUCUACCAGUUAUUCGCCGUCAUUGCCAUGUCAUUUGCUUGCAUGUUGCAUAUUGCCAUGUCAUCAUGUGCAUUUCAUUUUGCAUACGUGUUCGUCUCAUGCAUCCGAGCAUUUUCCCCGUUGUCCGUUUUGCAAUCCGGCACUCCUAUGUCCUCCCGCGUUCCCCUUUUUGUCUCCUGUUGUGAGCGGGUGUUAAACAUUCUCGGAAUGGCCCGAGGUUUGCAAAGCGGCCUUGGUACACCACCGGUAGACCGCCUAUCAAGUUUCGUGCCAUUUGGAGUCCGUUUGAUACUCCAACGGUUAACCGGGUAACCGCAAAGCCCUCUUUGUGUUGCAGCCCAACACCCCUCCAAAGUGGCCCAAUAACCCAUCCUAACCCCCUUCAUGCUCUCGGUCAUUCGAUCACGAUCGUGUGGGCGAAAACCGUGCCUCAUUUGGACACUCCUAGCUACCUCUACCUAUAUAUAUAUAUGUGCCUCCCCUGAAAUUCUCGCAGUCCAAACCCUAGCCUUCUUCCCUCCGCGCCGCCGGACAAACCUCCCCACCGCGCCGGACAUGUCCGCCGCCAGCCUCCACGUCACUCGGGCCAAUCACGAGGUGACACGUCACCUCCUCCGCCUCCCUCCUCCACUCACAGUGCGCCACGUCAGCGCCCGCGCCGCCCCACUUCGCCGCCGGCCCGCGGGACCCAGAUCCGGCCCACGCGAGCCCGCGCGUCGCCGCUGCUCGCCCGCCGCGGCCCGAAUCCCGCGCCGCCUGGCUCCCUCCUCGCNNNNNNNNNNNNNNNNNNNNNNNNNNNNNNNNNNNNNNNNNNNNNNNNNNNNNNNNNNNNNNNNNNNNNNNNNNNNNNNNNNNNNNNNNNNNNNNNNNNNNNNNNNNNNNNNNNNNNNNNNNNNNNNNNNNNNNNNNNNNNNNNNNNNNNNNNNNNNNNNNNNNNNNNNNNNNNNNNNNNNNNNNNNNNNNNNNNNNNNNNNNNNNNNNNNNNNNNNNNNNNNNNNNNNNNNNNNNNNNNNNNNNNNNNNNNNNNNNNNNNNNNNNNNNNNNNNNNNNNNNNNNNNNNNNNNNNCCCGCCUCCGGCGCUCGGAUCCGGCCAGAGCGCCCGGAUCCGGUGCCCUGCAGCCUUCCCGCUGGCCCCGCGCCCUCACCGGCGUCGCCACCGGCCGCCGCCGCCCCUGCCUCCCCGGUCCCGAGCGGGAUCGAGGGAGACGACGGCGACUGCCUCCCGCUCCUCCCCGCGUGGUCCCCGCAGCCGGCUGAGCCCAAGCCGGCCUGCCUCCUCCUCCUUCCUGGGCCGAGCCCAUGUGCUGAGCAACCCGCAGAUCCCCGCUCGUGUGUUAUUUAUUAUAUCGCGCUCUCUCCGUUUUUUUCCUGAAAACUGCAAAGUCCCGAAAUAGUUACAUUCUGUGCUAACUUUGACCUGCUGCAACUCCAUGCAUACUGCUUCGUUUCAUGCAUCUAAUAUGUCAAAAUGUUCAUUGUGAGAUGCUCUUCAGUUUUUUACAUUGGGUGAUGUUCAUUUGAGUCCAUAUGGAUGCCCAAAUCAUCAUUGUAAGAGUGCAUGUUGCUGUUAAUCUGCUGAAACUGUUAUAACUUGGUGAUUUGUCAUUUUCGUUGCAUUUGAAAUGUGCAUCCUAUGAGCAUGAGCUCUACAUGUGUUUUGAACUACAUCAUGCCAUAUUUACAGAGGUGCAAUCCAUUUUUUUUGUGAGUCUUGUAGUGAGUGCUUCAAGCUCGUGAAGUAGGGCACUUGCUGUUACUGUCUUGCUAGGCUGAAUCUAUUAUAUUAUGAUGCUAUAUAAACCUGAUGCUACAAGUCAUUAUAUGCAUAAUAUGAAGAUGUUCACUAAGGAUGAUUUGUUACACAUUCCAUGCUCUAUCAAUCCUUUCCCCUGGUUGCAUUUAUAACCUUCUGUAGCUUGUUGUAAUCUUGCUCCAAAGUUGCUAAAUAAUGUUGUUGUCAGCCUGUUAACAUUAAGUUCAAUGUUGCCAUGAUUGUUGUUAGUGAUCCAAGCAUGCUAUGAACUUGAUCUUGCCAUUCUUAGCUUCAUAAACAUUCCUUCUUACUGUUGGUUGUCUUGCCAGGCCAUGUAUUGCUCUGUGGUGAGUGGUACAAGCUCACCCACAUGCCUACUUAUUGUUGUUCCUGCCAUGUCUGAAUCUGUCAUAUCAUUUGCCAUGUUUACAUGGAUGCCAUCUUAUCGUCUGAUCCUUUUUGGAUCAUGGUUAGUAAGGGACUUUUGCUCUAUGAAAUUAGUAGAUUCAUUCCAUGCCUUUGGUUGCCAUCAUAAGUUCCUGUAACAUGUUGUUGUAUAGCUAUAAACAUUGCAACCUGAUGUUAUUUUCUGAUAAGUCUGAAACUGUUAUUAUUUGCAUUCUUGCCAUGUGUUUUUGAGCAUGUUCUAGUGAUUUCUGGAGAUAGCUCAGUGUUCAUGUUUUGUCAUGCUUUACCUGUACUUCAUGACCAUGCCUUUUGUUAUUAUGUUUAGGUGCUGUAGUAUGUUGUUGUGAUGCUUGUUAGAUGCCUAUUUGCUGUUUUGGACAGCUUGUCCUUUAAACUUUUAUUGUGUGUAUGUGUUGAACCGUUGCUUGGUUUUGAGUGUGCUCUAUAUGAAACUUGCUUGAUUUUGCAUUUAGUUUCAUAUUAUCAUGUUGCAUCCUUGUCUUGAGGUGUUUGCUUGAUGUUUGUAUGCAUUUGGCAUCAAUGCCAUGUUUAACUUGUUUUGCUCAUAUCUUCUAGGCCGUAGCUCCGAAUUAAAUGAACUUUAUAUAUAACUUGACUAGAAUCUCGUGUAGAUAAUCUUGGUGCAUCUUAACUUGCUGUUUAACAACUUAAACAUAAUGUUUGUUCAGAUCUGGACCAAUUUCGAAAUUUGCAUAUGAGGACUUACCGGAAUUGUUAUAUGUUGUUUCUGGCCUCAUUUAAACUUGUUUUGAUGUGUUGCUCUUGUAUGCAUCAUGUCUUUCCAUGAGUAGCCUCAUCUAGUUUUGUCAUGCAUCAUGUUUGGUUGUGCAUCAUGUCUUGUUCAUGUGUGGUGUGUUUACCAUGUUGUGUGCUUCUUCUCUAUAGUUCCUGUUUCCUUGCGAUCGUGAGGAUUCAUUCGUCUACGCUACGUUCGUCUUUGUGGCUUCAUCUUCUUCAUGGACUCAUUCUUCUUCCUUGCGGGAUUUCAGGAAAGAUGAUCGUCACCCUAGAUCUCACUACUAUCAUUGCUAUGCUAGUUGCUUCGUUCUAUCGCUAUGCUGCGCUUCCUAUCACUUGUUCUUCAAGCCUCCCCAAUUUGCCAUGUCAGCCUCUAACCUUUUCACUCUUCCCAGCAAACCAUUGUUUGGCUAUGUUACCGCUUUGCUCAGCCCCUCUUAUAGCGUUGUUAGUUGCAGGUGAAGUUGAAGAUUGCUACAUGGUGGACAGGAUUUUAUUGGGAUAUCACAAUAACUCUUAUUUAAUUUAAUGCAUCUAUAUACUUGCUAAUGGGUGGAAGACUCGGCCUUAUGCCUGGUGUUUUGUUCCACUCUUGCCGCCCUAGUUUCCAUAAUACCGGUGUUAUGUUCCCGGAUUUUGCGUUCCUUACGCGGUUGGGUGAUUUAUGGGACCCCUUGACAGUUCGCUUUGAAUAAAACUCCUCCAGCAAGGCCCAACCUUGGUUUUACCAUUUGCCUCACCUAGCCCUUUUUUUGCCUUGGGUUUCCGGAGCCCGAGGGUCAUCUUUAUUUUAGCCCCCCCGGGCCAGUGCUUCUCUAAGUGUUGGUCCGAACCGAGUAGACUGUGGGGCCCCCUCGGGGAAAUUUGAGGUCUGGUUUUACUCGUAGGAUGUCUCAUCCGGUGUUGCCCUGAGAAUGAGAUAUGUGCAGCUCCUAUCGGGAUUGUCGGCGCAUCGGGUGGCUUUGCUGGUCUUGUUUUACCAUUGUCGAAAUGUCUUGUAAACCGGGAUUCCGAGACUGAUCGGGUCUUCCUGGGAGAAGGAAUAUCCUUCGUUGAUCGUGAGAGCUUAUCAUGGGCUAAGUUAGGACACCCCUGCAGGGUUUAAACUUUCGAAAGCCGUGCCCGUGGUUAUGUGGCAGAUGGGAAUUUGUUAAUGUCCAGUUGUAGAUAACUUGACACCAGAUCCGAAUUAAAACACAUCAACCGUGUGUGUAGCCGUGAUGGUCUCUUUUCGGCGGAGUCCUAGAAGUGAACACGGUUUUGGGUUAUGUUUGACGUAAGUAGGAGUUCAGGAUCACCUUGUGAUCAUUGCUAGCUUCACGACCGUUCCGCUUGUUUCUCUUCUCGCUGUUAUUUGCGUAUGUUAGCCACCAUAUAUGCUUAGUCGCUGCUGCAACCUCACCACUUUACCCCUUCCUUUCGCUUUAAGAUUUGCUAGUCUUGAUACCCAUGGUAAUGGGAUUGCUGAGUCCUCAUGGCUCACAGUUUACUACAACAACAGUUGCAGGUACAAGUUAUGCGACGAUCAUGAUGCGAGAGCGAUGUUUGCUUGUUUUGGAGUUCUUCUUCUGCUUCUUCUUCGAUCAGGGGAUAGGUUCCAGGUCGGCAGCCUGGGCUAGCAGGGUGGAUGUCGUUUGAGUUUAUGUUUGUGUUUCAUCCGUAGACGGAUGGUGCUCUUAUGUAAGAUGAUGUUGUAUUCGUGUGGCAUUGUAUGCCUUAUGUAUGUGUCCCCACUACUAUGUAACGUUGAUGUAAUGAUAUCCACCUCGCAAAAGCGUCUCAAUAUGCGGUUCUAUCCUUCGUGGGACCUUCGAGUCUCUUAAGGAUAGUAUCGCAUAUUGGGCGUGACAAGUUGGUAUCAGAGCCUCGACCGACCAUAGGAGCCCCCUUGAUUGUUGGCCGUUGUUGAGUCUAGAAGAAAACUGUUUUUGGAGUCUAGUUAUAUCGGAGAGUAGGACUUCUUUUUACUCCUCUGCCCCUUCGUCGCUCUGGUCAGGAAUCUUGACAUAGGUGUUUUGAGUUACUCCUCUUCCCCUUCAAAUUUUUCUUUAGGAUCACGCAGUUGGUUUUUCGAUCGUUGUUCCUUAGCUCUUUGCAUCCGGUGCAUUUCUCGUCAAGUUGACUCGAGCCUCUUCAUCGAUGCCAAGUUCAAUCCUCAGUUGUUUUCUUUUCCCACCCGCCCACCCGUUUUCUUCUCGGAGCCGGAAUCCAUAAUCGAGUAUCCAUCCUACUCUUGCGAAAUCUUUUCUUUCUUUCCUCAAUGAUUUCAACUGUCAUUUUCUCUUCAAGAUAUUCGUCGGUUCCCCCUUCCAAGUUGCCUUUGUUUUCCCGCCCUCCCACCCUCUUCUUNNNNNNNNNNNNNNNNNNNNNNNNNNNNNNNNNNNNNNNNNNNNNNNNNNNNNNNNNNNNNNNNNNNNNNNNNNNNNNNNNNNNNNNNNNNNNNNNNNNNNNNNNNNNNNNNNNNNNNNNNNNNNNNNNNNNNNNNNNNNNNNNNNNNNNNNNNNNNNNNNNNNNNNNNNNNNNNNNNNNNNNNUUCUUCCCGGAGUCUGAGUCUCUUUCGACCAUCAAUUUCAUUCGUGCGGAGCCUCUUCAGUCUUCCCUGAAUUAUUUCAACCGGUGAAUUCUCGUCUCGUUUGACAUUCUUCAUCUCUUUUUCUUCUCCGGAGGACCCAAUUCAAGUUUUUUUCGGGUUGAUCACAUUCUUUUCCUUGGAUCAAGUAUUUUCCUUGCUCGUUCGCCUCUCGCCAGCUUAUCCUUCCGGAGUGCUUAAGACAUCUCAGGAGAUUCAUCUAUGUUCCAAUUAAUUCGAGGUUGUCACCUCAUUCAAAUAUUUCAAUUAUUCCGGUGCAUCAUCUACCUGUUCAACAAUCCUUCCCAACGGUGUUUUCUUUCUAGUGGGCCCUAACCCACCGGUUUUUCCCAGGAUCUUACCCGACUCUUCUAAUUCCCGGAGCUAUUCCCAAAUUCUUUUUGAAAUUUGACGUAAGAAUGAAUUUCAUCAGUCAUAUGCCUUUGUCCAAGAUCGCUUUCAAAAUAUUUUCAUCGUUGGUUCAUCAUUUCUAUUCUUCUUUGUUCCAAAGUGCCUCAACAAUUUUGAUGGUUCUCGUCAUCAUUCUCACCAUGUGAAGACCGAAGAAGAGAUUUUCCUCUAAAUCUUGUCCGUUCUCUCAAAGUUUUGUGGUUCUAGCUUCAUGUUAUCCUCUCGAAUUAUUCCAUUUGUCAGUUAUUCUUUUCAUCCAUCCGGAGUAUUUCAGGAGUUGUUUUUGCCAUCUCGAUCAUCCGGAGGCCAUCUUUUCAGAAUAUUGCUUCGUUCCAAGUUUUCAGAUUCAUUCCCCAAUUAUUCUAUAUCUGUGCCCCUUCGUUCAUCUCAAUAUUCUUCUGGUGCUUCGCUCAAGUGUUCUUUAUCAACUCAUGAUCUCUUUGUUCUUUUGCAUCUAAAUCCCCUCUAGCAUAUUGGUUCUUCUAAUUCUUCCCGGUGAUUCAUUCUCUUUCAUCAGUCAUUUUCGAAUUUUUUACGGUGGUUCGUUCAAGAUUCUUUUUCUUUGAUGAUCAUAUUAAUCCAUUCGUUCUUUUGAAUCCUACCGGUGGUUCAUGAACACUUUCUCAAGUUUUGUGCUAUAUUCCCCUUAAUCCUUUUCGACAAGAAUAAGUAGUAUGCAAAAUCCAUUGCUUGUCAUCAAUUUAAUUUGAUGAAGGAUAAGCAUACAAUAAAUCUUAUUUUUAUUUCCUCCAAGUGUUUAAUCCCUUCCUUCGGAGUUUGUUCUUGUUGAAUAAAUUCUAGUUCCAAGUCUUUUCAUCUUUUCUUUUCCGAAGUUCAAAUUUCCUCGGCCAUCUCGUCGGAACCUCCUUCUAAAUCGACGCAAGGCUUUAGUCUUAUACUUUUCAUCCUUCAAUUCUAUCUCAUCAUCCUUUUGUCACCGGAGUUCUUCAUGAUGGUUCUUUAUGAUUUAAUUCAUUCAUCAAGAGUUCAUCAAGAUUCUUGUUGGUGGAGUUCAAGUAUCUUUUCCUCUUGCGUCUCUAAGUGCAAACAAUUCUUCGUUUUCUUUUGAAGUGGAGUUUUGCAUUUCUUCGUUCUUCUAAGCUAUUCAAUCUUUUCCGUUUGUGGCCUGUUAUAACCUUAUGAUCUUGAGAUGUCACCUAUAAGACCACAACAAGCCAUUUCUUUUCGUUGUUGAUUUUCUCAACAACUCCGUUCAAUCCUUCCUUCUAAGUUCUUUUCAUUCAGUUCUUUCAAUUUUUCCGGAGGCAUUGUGUUGUUCAUCUCGUCAAGGGUCAUCCUAUCUUGUGGAGUUUGUCUUCUAUUCCUCCAUGUUUCAACUGGAGUGUUGCCUAAAUCCUUUCAGUCUUAUUCGUUUCUUAUCUCGUUCUAACCGGAGUGGUUUCAGAGUUUAUCUUGUUCGUUGAGCAUUUGAUUCCCGUCGUAAUUGCCAUUCCUCUUUUAGACCUAAGUGUUCUCGACUUUGUUCAUCCUCUCUCUUUUGUUCUUAUUUCACCUCAUUCCUUUUCCCUUCCGUCUCGGUCCUAAGAUCUCGGGACGAGAUCUCUUGUUAGUAGAGGAGAGUUGUAACGCCUCGGAUUCGAUGCGCCAGGUGUCUGCCAGUUAUUCACCGUCAUUGCCAUGUCACUUUCUUGCGUGUUGCAUAUUUCCAUGUCAUCAUGUGCAUUUCAUUUUGCAUACGUGUUUGUCUCAUGCAUCCGAGCAUUUUCCCCAUUGUCCGCUUUGCAAUAUGGCACUCCUAUGUCCUUCGGUGUUCCCCUUUUUGUCUCCUAUUGUGAGCGGGUGUUAAACAUUCUCGGAAUGGCCCGAGGUUUGCCAAGCAGCCUUGGUACACCACCGGUUGACCGCCUAUCAAGUUUCGUGCCAUUUGGAGUCCGUUUCAUACUCCAACGGUUAACCGGGUAACCGCAAAGCCCUCUUUGUGUUGCAGCGCAACACCCCUCCAAAGUGGCCCAAUAACCCAUCCUAACCCCCUUCAUGCUCUCGGUUGUUCGAUCACGAUCGUGUGGGCGAAAACUGUGCCUCAUUUGGACACUCCUAGCUAGCUCUACCUAUAUAUAUGUGUGCCUCCCCCGAAAUUCUCGCAGUCCAAACCCUAGCCUUCUUCCCUCCGCGCCGCCGGACAAACCUCCCCACCGCACCGGACAUGUCCGCCGCCAGCCUCCACGUCACUCGGGCCAAUCACGAGUUGACACGUCACCUCCUCCGCCUCCCUCCUCCACUCACAACGUGCCACGUCAGCGCCCGCGCCGCCCCACUUCGCCGCCGGCCCACGGGACCCAGAUCCGGCCNNNNNNNNNNNNNNNNNNNNNNNNNNNNNNNNNNNNNNNNNNNNNNNNNNNNNNNNNNNNNNNNNNNNNNNNNNNNNNNNNNNNNNNNNNNNNNNNNNNNNNNNNNNNNNNNNNNNNNNNNNNNNNNNNNNNNNNNNNNNNNNNNNNNNNNNNNNNNNNNNNNNNNNNNNNNNNNNNNNNNNNNNNNNNNNNNNNNNNNNNNNNNNNNNNNNNNNNNNNNNNNNNNNNNNNNNNNNNNNNNNNNNNNNNNNNNNNNNNNNNNNNNNNNNNNNNNNNNNNNNNNNNNNNNNNNNNNNNNNNNNNNNNNNNNNNNNNNNNNNNNNNNNNNNNNNNNNNNNNNNNNNNNNNNNNNNNNNNNNNNNNNNNNNNNNNNNNNNNNNNNNNNNNNNNNNNNNNNNNNNNNNNNNNNNNNNNNNNNNNNNNNNNNNNNNNNNNNNNNNNNNNNNNNNNNNNNNNNNNNNNNNNNNNNNNNNNNNNNNNNNNNNNNNNNNNNNNNNNNGGCACCCCGCCGCCAUUCGUCGCCGCCCCGCCUCCGGCGCUCGGAUCCGGCCGGAACGGGUCCGGAGCGCCCGGAUUCGGCGCCCUGCAGUCUCCCCGCCGGCCCCGCGCCCUCGCCGGCGUCGCCACCGGCCGCCGCCUCCCCUGCCUCCCCGGUCCCGAGCGGUAUCGGGGGAGACGAUGGCGACUGCCUCCCGUUCCUCCCCGCAUGGGCCCCGCAGCCGGCCCAGCCCAAGCCGGCCUGCCUCCUCCUCCUUCCUGGGCCGAGCCCAUGUGGUGAGCAACCCGCAGAUCCCCGCCCGUGCUUUAUUUAUUAUAUCACGCUCUCUCCGUUUUUUUCCUAAAAACUGCAAAGUCCCGAAAUAGUUACAUUCUGGUGCUAACUUUGACCUGCUGUAACUCCAUGCAUACUGCUCCGUUUCAUGCAUCUAAUAUGUUAAAAUGUUCAUUGUGAGAUGCCCUUCAUUUUGUUCUAUUGGGUCAUGUUAAUUUGAGUCCAUCUUGAUGCCCAAAUCAUCGUUGUAAGAGUGCAUGUUGCUGUUAAUCUGCUGAAACUGUCAUAAUUUGGUGAUUUGUCAUUUUCGUUGCAUUUGAUAUGUGCAUCCUAUGAGCAUGAGCUCUACAUGUGUUUUGAACUACAUCAUGCCAUCUUUACAGAGGUGCAAUCCAUGUAUUUUUGUGAGUCUUGUAGUGAGUGCUUAAAGCUCGUGAAGUAGGGUACUUGUUGUUACUGUUUUGCAAGGCUGAAUCUGUUAUAUUAUGAUGCUAUAUAAACCCGAUGCUACAAGUCAUUCUAUGCAUAAUAUGGAGAUGUUCACUAAGGAUGGUUUGUUAUACAUGUCAUGCUCUAUCAAUUAAUUUCCCUGGUUACAUUUAUAGCCUUCUGUAGCUUGUUGUAAUCUUUCUCCAAAGUUGCUAAAUAAUGUUGCUGUCAGACUGUUAACAUCAAGUUCAAUGUUGCCAUGAUUUUUGUUAGUGAUCCAAGCAUGCUAUGAACUUGAUAUUGCCAUGCUUAGCUUCAUAAACAUUCCUUCUUACUGUUGAUUACCUUUCCAUGCCAUGUAUUGCUCUGUGGUGAGUGGUACAAGCUCACCAACAUGCCUACUUAUUAUUGUUCCUGCCAUGUCUGAAUCUGUCAUAUCAUUUGCCAUGUUUACAUGGGUGCCAUCUUAUCUUCUGAUCCUUUUUGGCUCAUGGUCAGCAAGGGACUUUUGUUCUAGGCAAUUAGUAGAUUCAUGCCAUGCCUUUGGUUGCCAUGAUAAGUUCUUAUAACAUGUUGUUGGAUAGCUCUAAACAUUGCAACCUGAUGUUAUUUUCUGAUAAGUCUGAAACUGUUAUUAUUUGCAUUCUUGCCAUGUGUUUUUGAGCAUGUUCUAGUGAUUUCUGGAGAUAGCUCAGUGUUCAUGUUUUGUCAUGCUUUACCUGUACUUCAUGACCAUGCCUUUUGUUAUUAUGUUGAUGUGCUGUAGUAUAUUGUUUUGAUGCUUGUUAGAUGCCUAGUUGAUGUUUUGGACAACUUGUCCUUUAAACUUGUAUUGUGUGUAUGUGUUGUACCGUUGCUCCGUUUUGAGUGUGCUGUAUACGAAACUUGCUUGAUUUUGCAUUUAGUUUCAUAUUAUCAUGUUGCAACCUUGUCUUGAGGUGUUUGCUUGAUGUUUGUAUGGAUUUUGCAUCAAUGCCAUGUUUAACUUGUUUUGCUCAUAUCUUCUAGGCCGUAGCUCCGAAUUAAAUGAACUUUAUAUGUAACUUGACUAGAAUCUCGUGUAGAUUAUCUUGGUGCAUCUUAACUUGCUGUUUAACAACUUAAACAUAAUGUUUGUUCAGAUCUGGACCAAUUUCGAAAUUUGCAUAUGAGGACUUACCGGAAUUGUUAUAUGUUGUUUCUGACCUCAUUUAAACUUGUUUUGAUGUGUUGCUCUUGUAUGCAUCAUCUCUUGCCAUGAGUAGCCUCAUCUAAUUUUGUCAUGCAUCAUGUUUGGUUGUGCAUCAUGUCUUGUUCAUGUGUGGUGUGUUUACCAUGUUGUGUGCUUCUUCUCGAUAGUUCCUGUUUCGUUGCGAUCGUGAGGAUUCGUUCAUCUAUGCUUGGUUCGUCUUCAUGGCUUCAUCUUCUUCAUGGAAUCGUUCUUCUUCCUUGCGGGAUUUCAGGCAAGAUGACCGUCACCCUGGAUCUCACUACUAUCAUUGCUAUGCUAGUUGCUUCGUUGUAUCACUAUGCUGUGCUUCCUAUCACUUGUUCUUGAAGCCUCCCCAAUUUGCCAUGUCAACCUCUAACCUUUUCACUCUUCCCAGCAAGCCGUUGUUUGGCUAUGUUACCGCUUUGCUCAGCCCCUCUUAUAGCGUUGUUAGUUGUAGGUGAAGUUGAAGAUUGCUCCAUGGUGGACAGGAUUUUGUUGGGAUAUCACAAUAUCUCUUAUUUAAUUUAAUGCAUCUCUAUACUUGGUAAAGGAUGGAAGACUUGGCCUUAUGCUUGGUGUUUUGUUCCACUCUUGCCGCCCUAGUUUCCGUCAUACCGGUGUUAUGUUCCCGGAUUUUGCGUUCCUUACGCGGUUGGCUUAUUUAUGGGACUCCCUUGACAGUUCGCUUUGAAUAAAACUCCUCCAGCAAGGCCCAACCUUGGUUUUACCAUUUGCCUCACCUAGCCCUUUUUUCCCUUGGGUUUCCGGAGCCCGAGGGUCAUCUUUAUUUUAGCCCCCCCGGGCCAGUGCUUCUCUAAGUGUUGGUCCGAACCGAGUAGACUGCGGGGCCCCCUCGGGGAAACUCGAGGUCUGGUUUUACUCGUAGGAUGUCUCAUCCGGUGUUGCCCUGAGAACAAGAUAUGUGCAGCUCCUAUCGGGAUUGUCGGCGCAUCGGGCGGCUUUGGUGGUCAUGUUUUACCAUUGUUGAAAUGUCUUGUAAACCGGGAUUCUGAGACGGAUCGGGUCUUCCUGGGAGAAGGAAUAUCCUUUGUUAAUCGCGAGAGCUUAUCAUGGGCUAAGUUGGGACACCCCUGUAGGGUAUAAACUUUUGAAAGCCGUGCCCGCGGUUAUGUGGCAGAUGGGAAUUUGUUAAUGCCCGAUUGUAGAUAACUUGACACCAGAUCCGAAUUAAAACUCAUCAACCGUGUGUUUAGCCGUGAUGGUCUCUUUUUGGCGGAGUCCGGGAAGUGAACGCGGUUUUGGGUUAUGUUUGACGUAAGUAGGAGUUCAGGAUCACCUCGUGAUCAUUGCUAGCUUCACGACCGUUCCGCUUGUUUCUCUUCUCGCUCUUAGUCGCGUAUGUUAGCCACCAUAUAUGCUUAGUCGCUGCUGCAUCCUCACCACUUUACCCCUUCCUUUCCCUUUAAGAUUUGCUAGUCUUGAAACCCAUGGUAAUGGAAUUGCUGAGUCCUCGUGGCUCACAGUUUACUACAACAACAGUUGCAGGUACAAGUUAUGCGACGAUCAUGACGCGAGAGCGAUGUUUGCUUGUUUUGGAGUUCUUCUUCUGCUUCUUCUUCGAUCAGGGCAUAGGUUCCUGGUCGGCAGCCUGAGCUAGCAGGGUGGAUGUCGUUUGAGUUUCUGUUUGUGUUUCAUCCGUAGACGGAUGAUACUCUUAUGUAAGAUGAUGUUGUAUUCGUGUGGCAUUGUAUGCCUUAUGUAUGUGUCCCCACUACUAUGUAACGUUGAUGUAAUUAUAUCCACCAUGCAAAAGUGUCUCAAUAUGCGGUUCUAUCCUUGGUGGGACAUUCGAAUCUCUUUAGGGUAGUAUCGCAUAUUGGGCGUGACAACUAGUGGAGCCACGCCAUGGGCCGCAGGCAGGCAAGUCUAGGAACGCCUAUUCCCAGAACGCCGACAGAGCCCCCAGACUGCAAAUGUCCAAGUUAUUGGAAUCAUACACAAUUCUUAAGCCAGCACAUGAGCCUGUCUUGCAAAUUUUUGACACUCGUCGCACUUGCUAACAAUAUCCUCUACAUCAGCAUGAGCCGUCAACCAGUAAAACACGUGACAAAAAGCUUUAGCCACUAAAGACAUAGAGCCGACAUGAUGACCACAAUCCCCUUCAUGAACCUGUCGUAAGAUCUCAUGACCCUCUUUAGGAGAAACACAAUGUUGAAACACGCCUGUCACGCUGCAUCGGUGUAACUCGUCGUUGACAAUAGUCAUAGACUUAGACCUCCUGGUUAUUUGCCUUGCCAAAGUUUCAUCCUCAGGUAACUCGUUCCGGGUCAUAUAGGCCAAGUAGGGAAGCGUCCAGUCAGGAAUAGCAUGGAGAGCUGCCACCAACUGUGCCUCUGGGUCAGGGACAGCAAGGUCUUCAGAUGGUAACCUGACCGAAGGAUUAUUGAUACAUCUCCAACGUAUCUAUAAUUUUUGAUGUAUUCAUGUCGGUGUCCGGGACUUGGGGGUAUACAUUCCUGCCUGCCUACGGCCCACCACGUGGCUCCAUCGACGGCCUGGUACGACCCAGCUUCGACAACAACACAGCAAGACCGUCACGAGGGGCCAAGCCUCGCGAGGCGGACGACGCCAAGACCCCCGAAGGAGUUUCCUCCCUCAGGAGGGCUCCUGAGGGGCGGAGAGUUCUAUGCAGCUACCUCAUGAGACCCAGCUGACAUGAGCCAUGACGACCAAGGCAAGGAGGGCGCCAGGUGAGGGAGUCCUGGAUUAAGGGGUCCUCGGACAGCCGGACUAUGUACUUGUGCCGAACUGUUGGACUAUGAGGAUGCAAGAUUGAAGACUUCGUCCCGUGUCCGGGUGGGGCUCUCCUUGGCGUGGAAGGCAAGCUUGGCAAUUCGGAUAUGAAGAUUUCCUUCUCUGUAACCGACUCUGUGUAACCCUAGCCCUCUCCGGUGUUUAUACAAACCAGAGGGUUUAGUCUGUAGGACAACAACAAUCAUAAUCAUAGGCUAGCUUCUAGGGUUUAGCCUCUACGAUCUCAUGGUAGAUCAACUCUUGUAAUACUCAUAUCAUCAAGAUCAAUCAAGCAGGGAGUAGGGUAUUACAUCCAUAGAGAGGGCCCGAACCUAGGUAAACAUUGUGUCCCCCCGCCUCAUGUUACCAUUAGCCUUAGCCGCACAGUUUGGGACCCCCUACCCGAGAUCCGCCGGUUUUGACACCGACACCAGGCGGGCGCCAGGCGAGCGCAGAGCGCAGGUUUCCUCUUCGGUGCAAGGAAGGCAAGCAACAGUCGCGGAGUCCCGAGGAAUCAACCAAAGGUUUCCAUUAUGGUGCAACCAGACCAAGAACCGCCAGGACGGCAAGACGGAGGUCAUCACCGAGCCCACCGCAGCGUCACGACCAGAGGCUUUUCGCAUUUGGCAUCCCGGCUCAGAAAAACCAGAACGCCCCGUAUUCUAGCCCAGAGAUGAAGGAGAAGUCUCCGGAAUACGGCAUUGCUUGACAUAGAACAAAUCAGCUCUUGUUACAAGAACAAAUACAAAAGUUCACAUCAGCAUGGCGACACUACGCAUGUGAUACUACACUUGCUCUAUGCUAGCAGCGGAACAACCCGUAGCAGCGGAAAUCUUCUAGCAGCGGAACACCGACGAAGGUGGUGAACUCCACUCCACAGGGACACUGGCUGGGACACGAUCUAGCUCGCACGAAUGGAAACCACGACAAGCAAUCAAGCAAUCACGACAUCACCUGCAAUCUGGCAUGACACGCCAGGUCAGUAUAUUGAAUGUACUUGCAAGCUCACAACAACCAAAAACAUCAAGGCAAGACAACAACAUAGCAUUAAGCAGGUUAAUUAAAUUAACAACUACCAUGAUAUAACAGCAACUCCUAAGCAUAAUAUGAAACUACUACAAUACUGAUAAAUCACCAUCUCCGAUCUCCAUAACCAUAUCCCUCUUGGCUAACCGGACAAGCAAUAUACCAUCUCAAUCACCUUAUGAUCAAAACCAAACUGUAACCGUGAUCCUUACGGCGAUCAAAACCCAACCAAUACAUGAAACCGCGAUCCUAACGGUGAUCACAACCCGACCAAUAAAUGGCUUGUGAUCCUUACAACAAUCACAACCCGACCAAUAAAUGGCUCAUGAUCCUUACGGCGAUCACAACCCGACCAAUUUAUGGCCCGUGAUCCUUACGGCGAUCAAAACCUGACCAAUACUUGGCCAAUCUGUACUGCUCCAAAUGUCCACAUAUCCAGCACCUAUAAUUCAUUUCGUCAUGUGAGUGUUGAUCAAAGGGUGUACCCUAGUACGAACCCAUGCCCAUGACCGAGGACGUGGCUAUCGAUAGAUUAAACACACACUCUGCAGAGCUAGAGCACUGUACCCACACCACAGAACCCAUGGCCUCGCCCUCCCAUUCGGGUGGACCAACAGCGUUCCGACAAAACCGAUAUACUGCCAUGACACUCUCCCGGCGACUCUGACUCACUCCCCUUUGGGCUAACUGAUGGAUGGCACCGUGUCUACCUCAAGACACAACGACCAUCGUCGUGGCCAAACAUAAACUAUCCCACACGGGGACCCGAGCUCAAAAUCAAAACCGGGCACACAAGGCUUAUGUCCGCCUACCUGAUCAGGAUAGCGCGCGCCCAUAACCUUCCCUCGUUAGAGGCACGCAUGAGAGGCACGACAAUAGACCGCAUUAGGGCUGUCCCAUACCGGCAAAUGUGGUUGCACUGGAAAAGUUUGAUUCGGCGGCACCUGAUCAACUUACUGACGGAAUUUAUUACAAAAAUAUAACCAUGACAACUGAUACUCCAAUGUCAACCAUCAAACUAUAAUCCAUGUCAUAGCAAUAUCCAACAAAUAAUCCAAGUAUAAUAUCAUCAUCUCAAAAUACUCCGAGGAUAGCAUACCACUACUAUCACGAUGAAUCCGAAACAAUAAUCCUACUACUCCAAUAACAAGAAUACAGCUAUCCAGCUAAGAUCCACAUGUAACCAUCAUCUCCGAAAAUAAUACUCCAAGCAACAGAACAUCAACUAGCAUCAUGAAAAUAAUCAUACUAACCACUAAUGAUCCAAAGGUAGCAUGAUAUCCAAAGUAGUACUCCAAAAAAAACUAACAGAUAUCAUCAUGAAACAAUCAUAAUAUCAGCCACUAAUAUUCCAAUGGCAACAUGAUACUCAACUACAAAUAUAACUCCUAGUAAUCCAAACAAUAGCAUGGCAACAACAAGAUCAAAACGAUACUCCGAGAAAAUGCCAUGCACAGAGUCAUGUAGCUAAAGCAAUAUUUUAAACAAGUUCCAAAUGAAAUAAACCAUGUCACUGCAUUGAAAUCAUGCAAAUGGAGGUUGUGGCUUGCCUGGAGUGGAAGAAAUCACCGGAAGGAAGUGCAAGAAGCUCACAGAAAGAAUCACCGGAAAUCUUUCUCUCUCAAAGGGGCUGAAUAGGGGCAAGGGCAUAAUGGUCAUUUUCAGUAUGCCAAAACGUAAGGAAAGUGACACUAGCAGAAAGGGAUCGACGAAACAAAGAAGUGAGCGUUGGUUUCGCCUUAAACGGAGUUACGGUUGAAAAGUUAUAGAGGGUUGAAGUUCAGGGACUUUUCUGCAAAAAAAAUUCAUCACAAACAAGUCCCUGAGUGGAUAAGACAGAAGCGUAAAAUAGGAAAUACACUUUCAGAAAGUGAAGACGUAAUACGUGGAUUACGCCUCCACUUAUCCACUUCAGCGUACCUGGGUCCACGCGGGGCCGACGGCUGGGAGGAUGACUAGUGGGGCCCGCGGCCAGCUGGCAGGCUCGAGGGGGUCAACGCCCGUGUCUUCUUCCUCCCGCUCAUCCCUCCCGUGAAGCAGAGCAGGGACCAGAGGGGAGAAGCGGCGAGGGGGCCGACCAGCUCCGGCCAUCCCGGGCCAGGGCGAAGCCACCGGUUGGCGCGGCCCGGCGCGGCUCUCCUAUCCCCGACCAGAGGGAGGCGCGGGGAGGCCAUGAACGUCGAUGGGAGGCGGUGGCGGGAGGUGACAAAGGCGGGCGGCCGGCGAUGGAGCGGGCAACUCCGGCCGCCUUAGGCCAAGGCGUGGGCACCGGCGGGUUCAGGGCGGAGCACCGCAUCCAUUCAGAGGCAAAGGAGGCACCGGGGAAGGGGGAAACGGAGGGGAGGCCGCGGCGACAAAGAACUACAGAGACGGUGGCCAUGGCGGCAAUGGGGGCAUAGAGAGCUCCUUGAGCUCAGGGAAGAAGCUGGGCGGUGCUAGUGGAGGGUGGCGAGGCUGCUGGUUAGCUCGGGAGGGCUCGGGGAUGGCUAUAUAUAGCCGGGCGAGAGGGAGCCGCGCUGGCGUCGCCGUGGACGCGUGGCCGACACCACGGACGCGUGCCCACGCGCAUGUACUCGGAGGUAGAUGACGUAGGAGGCACAGAGGAGAGCUCACAGGGAAGAGACGACCAAGGGAGGGGCAGAGGAAGAGGCCGAGCGCCAUAAAAGCUCGGUCAGCCACAGAUCUCUCGUGGGCGCGCGGCGAUGACGCUGACGGAGGGGCUGACGGAGGGGGAGAGUGCUCCAGGAGGAUGGAGACGACGCGGGGAAGACGCUGGAUAGGCCCGUGCUCGCUGGGACGCCGAGCAAAGGACGGGCCCGAGUAAGAAGACAUCCAGCUUGCGUCCAUGGCAUGCCAGAGUGGCGGUCACCGCGUGCACUAGCGCACAGAGGGCCACAAUCGAUGCCAAACGAUGCCUGGGGGUUAGUCCUUCCUAGGGAGGCCUCAACUAUGGUGGUAACUCAGUGAACACAGCUAGGGUUAAAUGGUUAGUGAGCUCUGAAGUUUACUGCAGUAAACUUUAUCAGCUCAAUGUGAUCAACAGGGGGCUGCUAUGUGUCCAGUGUUAUGUCUGGGGUGUUUAGGCUAGGAAGGACUACAGUCCUGGGGAGUUUGGGAAGAAAUGGACCAAGAUAAAUCAUAGUUGCUUCACAACUGCAUUUUUGGUCCAUAAAUGAAGAUCAUGAUGGUGCACUCACAUGGAGUUAUGGGAUGGGAUUAAACUUGGCAAAUCCUCAUUAUAUGGACAUAUAAAGAUUCUGUAAAAAUCUCAUGCCAAAUGGACGAGCAAAAAUGGUACUUGCUUCACAAACACCUCUCCUGAUCAGAAACUUGGAAUAAUUAUAGUGAUCAAAUGGCUCAAUGAAAUGAUGCCAAAUUGGGUGGAGGGAAGUUUUAUGGGUAUAAGAAUGAUCUGGUAAUUUAUCAGGAUUUUUGAAGCAAUAUAAAAUACACCUGCUUCACAACCUAAAAAUAUUGCCAGAAUCAAAGAUUUGCUCCUGUGCUCACAUAGAUGAUUGGAUGGGGCUGAAAAUGGGUGAAUGGGUUUAAUAUGAGCACAUUAAGGAGUGUGAAAAAGUUCAACUUAUUUGGAUACUCCUAGAUAGUACUUCCUUCACAAAGCCUUCUGUUUGAUUGAAAAUUCACUCAGGAAGAUUGGCUAGGCAAAUAAAUUUGAACUCGUGCAUGGGGAAAUUAUUUGGACAUAUAAACAUGCCCAAAGAGUUUGGGAGGCACUAGGAGAAAUAUAAAUCACACUUCCUUCACAAAGUGCCAUUCAGGGCAGAAUAGAAAAAGGAUUAUUGGGGAAUUAUUUUUGAACUGGCCAAGGCAAUGUUUGGGCAUAUUUGAGCUAUAUAUGACCCAAAGGAAUUAUGAGAAUUGUUUGGGGAUUUUUGUAUGGAUAGAAAUAUAGGUUGCUUCACAACCUAGGGCAGAUAGGGUUAUUCCUUUAAUGAAAAAGGAAUUUUACCUAGAAAAAAAGUUUAGGGUUUGGUCAAGGAGUGAACUGACAUGAUCUUGGCAAGGUUUUGAGAAUGAUUAGCCACUUGGGAGGGGGAAUGAGGAUGAUUUCCCAGGUGGCAAGGCCACAGAACCACUCCAAAAAGAAAAACAGAGCAAAAACCAAAUAAUUCAGAAGAAAAAGAAAAGGGCCAAAAUCCAGGCUGUUACAAACCUUCCCCCCUUAAAGAAAUCUCGUCCUCGAGAUUUGGUUGCUCAGGGAACAAGUAUGACUUGAGGACACCGUCUCCAACUUGGGUAUCCUUUUUCCUUUAUUUAUUGUUCCCCCAAGAAUUUCAGAUGAUCAACUUGCCUUGCUCUGGGGUGGUUUGCUUCACCUUUCCCAAAUUCUGACAGACUUUUUCUCACAUACCAAACCCUUUUUGUUGACGUGAAUUUUCUCAUAUCUGCGGUGGCAUCCAAUGGAUCUGAGCAUAAAUUUUCUUUUGAUCAUGAAAACCUUUUUGCUUCUGUCAUGUGGUUGCUUCAAAUAAAUGCAGGCCUUCUGGUUUCAAUAAAUGCUGAGAAUUAUCAUGGCCAUCCCCUGAUGGAAUCUGACUGCUCACAGGUGGCACUGAUUUAUCUUGAUAUAUGCCUUUGGCUCGAGCAUGAGAUAUGUACCAAAGAUUUGACUGCCUGUUGUCCUGAGCAAUAUAUUGGUGUAUGGAGUUAUAGCUGUGUCAAACCUCAAUUGUUUACAUCUUGAGACUGGCCCGACAGGGGCUGACGGACAAAUGCUUUCCCCGAUAGACUGACCAUGUACUUGAUUCCGUCGGUGAGUAUAUCGGGUCUAAGCUGAUUGUUUGGCUUUUGAUUUUUCUCAUGUGGUCGAUAUACCCAUCUGUGGUAAUAGAUUGUGAUUUGUUUCCUACUGCCGCUGAAAUCAAACUGCUGAGCUUGCAACUGAAUCUUGGAUCUGACAGAACAUACUUGGAUAUUCCACACUAACCAUGUCAAGCGGGUCAGUGGGAUAUGAAAAUCCUUGUAAAUAGAGUAGGCUGCCGAGAGUAUGCCUUUGUGGAUCCAUAUGGGAUUAUGGCUUUCAAUUGACUUGGGAAUCCGGAACCUGAUGGUCCUGCAAAAAUCAUCAUACCUUUGCUGUCAGUCUCAUCCUUUUUACGGUCAUGAUUUUCUCUAUCAGGAUACCUUGCUGAAAUAACUUGGCCACACAUAUCCUUGAUUCUUGGUAUGACCAUGGAUGUGAUUAGUAUUUUUGACAUUAUUCCUCCUUGUUUUCUGACCUGAGUCCGCACACAUAUGACAUACACCCGGGGUUUGUAGCUGUGCAGAGCUCAUUGCUGAGGCCAAUCAUACAAGAAGGUGACAAGGUUUUAUAAUAUCUCCUUGUUAAUAGCGGGAAUAAUGAUCUUGAUGAACAUUGUCAGGACUGUGGAUUUUGUGAUGUCAUCUCCAAAUAUUAUCGCUCCUUGCAUCACAUGAGAUGUAUCUCUGCUUAUUUUCCUUUGCCUGACUCGGGAGGUUAUGGGAUCCUUACUUUUCUUUAGGUGUAUCUGCUGGAUCACUAUCGUCUCACGUAUGAGUUAUUGAUAUGAUUGGGGAUGCAUGCUCACCAUCUAUAAGAAGGAUAUGCCACCGAUCACUUGAUCCUUGCGGUAGGCAUCUGUUUUGUCUGAAUUUUACCUCUGACAAAAUUAUUGCAAAUCUGGUCCUUGAGUAGUACUGCCAUACAUCGGCAACUCAUCAUAUAAUCUCUAAGGAUGGUGUAAUAUUGUGGUACUGGCGUAGAUUGAAUGGCGUACGAGAGAAGCCAUCCGAGUAGCUUGGUGAGGAAGACUCGUUAACUUCUGUUCAAAUCUUUUGCUUGGGUAUCUUGUAGAAGAAGGCUCUAUAGCUUACACACGAAGCUUGUCAUGAGUAUUUUGCUGGAGAAGCCCGAGUUCUGUAUGUGAGAAACUUCUUCUCAGGUUUGCUUGUUGAGAAAAAAUCAUUGUCAACUGUUAGAAGCUUUUACUGAGGUGUCUUGCUGUGAAUGACCAGGUAUCAUGGGCCAGAAAUUGUUCACAUAUCAUGCUGAAGAAAAUUUGAGGAGCCUUGCAUCAUAAAUUUCUUCCGAUAGCGUGUGGAAGAAUACCGGGUUUCUUAUAUCCAAAAUUUCAUCCUGAUAUGCAGAAUGAAAUCCAUACAUAUGCCCAUAAUAUUCUGAGGCUGAUUAUUUCUAUGAGAAAAAUGGUUCGACUAUCUUCCUCGAGCAUAUCAUAUUCUGACUUUAUUUGGGAUAGUAACAUAUUUUAAGCAUCAUGCAUUGCUGAGCCAAAACUUUGUAUAUGAUCCUUACCUCUAUUUGAAAAUAUAUCAUUGGUCUUGUACCUGACUUGUCUUUCUGCUGGCUGGAUCAUAACUGCUUUGAGGAUUUUGCACGGAUGGGGACUCGAUGCUGAUAAUCAAUCCAACACACCAUUGGUAUUCUGAGCAGAUUUUAAUCCCAUAAUGCAGUUGACUGGGUAGCCAAUAAUGUCUAGCUGAGCUUCUUUCAAAUAUUUGAAAUCCUUAUUGCUUCUUCAAGUCCGGUGUCAGUGGAUGAGCAAUUAUUUAUAGGAAAAAAAAUAAUGUAACACCGGGGCCCAAAACAAAGAAGCAAAAGAAAACUCAACUAAUCAAAAGAACACAACAACAAUCAAUUCACAUAUUACUGCUAGUCACACAAUAUGCAUGCCUACUUCAGCACACAAAUCUCACGGGAUCUCCGGUUCUACGAUCUAGCAUGCUGUGACGAUGUGCACGAGGACGAAUAAAUAUGUGGAAGAAUUGGUGUAAACAGUGCUACACCAAGUGCUAGCUUAGCCAGAUAGCAACCUGGACUAGCUCGAAGGCGAGGACGUACUCGGUAAUCAUGCAGUGGGACACGAAGGUUGCAACCACAUUAUUAUCAAGCGGGCGGAAAAAGAUCCGUACUCGUCCAAGAAAUAGGAUAGUGGGAAAAAACUGAGGCUACUCACAUUGCCCUUUCUUGAUAACUAAGAUCAUUAAGGGUUGCCAACACGACAAAAUAGAAGAACAAUCUGCGAUAGAAGCAUGGCUAUCACCGAAACGAUAGACAGGACUGAAAGAAAGACAUCGGUGCGAUACCAGAGCACCAUUUUUGCAAACAGUGUCGGGAUCAAUUGGCAUCACUCUGCUGGGACAGAAAUGAUACCAAACACCGAAAGAAAAAAGGAACUAGAGAAAUGCAAAGGUUGAGCUGUAGUGGAUCCGUACUGAUGCCAGCUACACUCACCAGAUAAACCGUUAUCACAAAUACUAAGGCUAUGUGCAUGCUAUGCAACAAACAAAUGCAGCAACCAAAUGCAUUAAACAAACCAGACUCUAUACUACCGAUUUCUACCGGUUUCUACCGGUCGCGCUAACUAGGGCGUCCUACAGCCAGACUUGCUCUGAUACCAAGCCUGUGGCACCCCGGCUCAGAGAAACCGGAACACCCCAUAUUCCAGCCCAGAGAUCAAGGAGAAGUCUCUGGAAUACGGCACUGCUUGACAUAGAACAAAUUAGCUCUUAUUACAAGAAUAAAUACAAAGGUCUGAUGUUACAAUGGUUCACAUUAGCACGGCGACACCACGCCUGUGAUACUACACUUGCUCUAUGCUAGCAGUGGAACAACUCGUAGCAGCGGAAAUAUUCUAGCAGCGGAACAACGACGAAGGUGGUGAACUCCACUCUGCAGGGACUCUGGUUGGGACACGAUCUAGCUCGCACGAACGGAAAUCAUGACAAGCAAUCAAGCAAUCACGGCAUCACCUGCAAUCUGGCAUGACACGCCAGGUCAGUACAUUGAAUGUACUUGCAAGCUCACAACAACCAAAAACAUCAAGGCAAGACAACAACAUAGCAUUAAGCAGGUUAAUUAAAUUAACAUUUACCAUGAUAUAACAGCAACUCAUAAGCAUAAUAUGAAACUACUACAAUACUGAUAAAUCACCAUUUCUGAUCUCCAUAACCAUAUCUCUCUUGGCUAACCGGACAAGCUUAUACCAUCUCAAUCACCUUGUGAUCAAAACCAAAGUGUAACCAUGAUCCUUACGGCGAUCACAACCCAACCAAUACAUGUAACCGUGAUCCUUACGACGAUCACAACCCGACCAAUAAAUGGCCCGUGAUCCUUACGACGAUCACAACCCGACCAAUAAAUGGCCCGUGAUCCUUACAACGGUCACAACCCUACCAAUGAAUGGCCCGUGAUCCUUACGGCGAUCACAACCCGACCAAUACUUGGCCAAUCUGUACUGCUCCAAAUAUCCACAUAUCCAUCACCUAUAAGUCAUUCCGUCAUGUGAGUGGUUAUCGAACGGUGUAUCCUAGUACGAACCCAUGCCCAUGACCGAGGACGCGGCUAUCGAUAGAUUAAACACACACUCUGCAGAGGUAGCGCACUGUACCCACACCACAUAACCCAUGGCCUCGCCCUCCCAUUCGGGUGGACCAACGGCGUUCUGACAAAACCGAUCUACUGCCAUGACACACUCCCGGCCACUCCGACUCACUCCCCUCCGGGCUAAGUCAUGGGUGGCCCCAUGUCUACCUCAAGACACAACGACCACCGUCGUGGCCAAACAUAAAUAAUCCCACACGGGGACCUGAGCCCAAAAUCAAAACCGGGAACACAAGGCUUAUGUCGCCUACCUGAUCAGGGUAGUGCACGCCCAUAACCUUCCCUCGUUAGAGGCACCGAGGAGAGGCACGGCAAUAGAACGCAUUAGGGCCGUCCCAUACCGGCAAAUGUGGUUGCACUAGAAAAGUUCGAUUCGGCGGCACCUGACCAACUUACUGACGGAAUUUAUCCCAAAAACAUAACCAUGGCAACUGAUACUCCGAUGUCAACCAUCAAACUAUAAUCCAUGUCAUAACAAUAUACAACAAAUAAUCCAAGUAUAAUAUCAUCAUCUCAAAAUACUCCGAGGAUAGCAUAACACUACUAUCACGAUGAAUCCGAAACAAUAAUCCUACUAUUCCAAUAACAAGAAUACAACUAUCCAGCUAAGAUCCACAUUUAACCAUCAUCUCCGAAAAUAAUACUCCAAGCAAUAGAACAUCAACUAGCAUCAUGAAAAUAAUCAUACUAACCACUAAUGAUCCAAAGGUAGCAUGUUAUCCAAAGUAGUACUCCAAAACAUACUAACAGAUAUCAUCACGAAACAAUCAUAAUAUCAGCCACUAAUAUUCCAAUGGCAACAUGAUACUCAUCAACUACAAAUAUAACUCCUAGUAAUCCAAACAAUAGCAUGGCAACAACAAGAUCAAAAUGAUACUCCGAGAAAAUGCCAUGCACAGAGUCAUGUAGCUAAAGCAAUAUUUUAAACAAGUUCCAAAUGAAAUAAACUAUGUCACUGCAUUGCAAUCAUGCAAAUGGAGGGUGUGGCUUUCCUGGGGUGGAAGAAAUCACCGGAAGAAAGUGCAAGAAGCUCGCGGAAAGAAUCGCCGGAAAUCUUUCUCUCUCAGAGGGGCUGAAUAGGGGCAAGGGCAUAAUGGUCAUUUUAAGUAUGCCAAAACAUAAUAAAAGUGACACUAGCAGAAAGGGCUCAACGAAACAAAGAAGUGAGCAUUGGUUUCACCUUAAACAGAGUUACGGUUGAAAAGUUAUAGAGGGUUGAAGUUCAGGGACUUUUCUGCAAAAAUUUCAUCACAAACAAGUCCCUGAGUGGAUAAGACAGAAGCGCAAAAUAGGAAAUACGCUUUUGGAAAGCGAAGAUGUAAUCUGUGGAUUACGCCUCCACUUAUCCACGUCAGCGUACCUGGGUCCACGCAGGGCCGGUGGCUGGGAGGAUGACUGGUGGGGCCCUCGGCCAGCUGGCAGGCUUGAGGGGGUCAACGCCCCUAUCUUCGGGAUCCGGCUUGCCUGCUCCCUUCCCAUGCUCCCAUCCGUGCUCCCACUUCAUCCUACGGCUUUUUUUUCUUUUCUUUUUCUAAUCUAAUCAUCUCCCCCCUGAUUUUAAGUGGGUGGGGUCGGGCCUUAUUUUGUUCCAAUCAAAACAAGCCACGUACGCGGGAGCAUAGAUGGACACACGCCGGGGGAGCAGGCAAGUCUCGUCCCUGUCUUCUUCCUCCCGCUCGUCCCUCCCAUCAAGCAGAGCAGGGACCAGAGGGGAGAAGCGGUGAGGGGGCUGGCCAGCUCCGGCCAUCCCCGGCCAGGGCGAAGCUACCGGCGGGCGCGGCCCGACGCGAUGCUCCUAUCCCCAACCAGAGGGAGGCGCGAGGAGGCCAGGAACAGCGAUGGGAGGCGGCGGCAAGAGGUGACAGAGGCGAGCGGCCGAUGAUGGAGCGGCCAACUCCGGCCACCUUAGGCCAAGGCGCGGGCACUGGCGGGUUCAGGGCGGAGCACCGCAUCCAUUCAGAGGCAAAGGAGGCACCGGGGAAGGGGGAAACGGAGAGGAGGCCGUGGCGACAGAGAACAACAGAGACGGCGGCCAUGGCGGCGAUGGCGGCACACAGAGCUCCUCGAGCUCAGGGAAGAAGCUGGGCAGGGCUAAUGGAGGGUGGCAAGGCUGCUGGUGAGCUCGGGAGGGCUCGGGGAUGGCUAUAUAUAGCCGGGCGAGAGGGAGCCGCGCUGGCGUCACGGUGGACGCGUGGCCGGCGCCACGGACAUGUGCCCACGCGCAUGGACUCGGAGGUAGACGAUGCAGGAGGCACAGAGGAGAGCUCAUGGGGAAGAGACGGCCAAGGGAGGGACAGAGGAAGAGGCCGUGCGCCAUAAAAGCUCGGUCGGCCACAGAUCUCUCGUGGGCGCGCGACGACGAGCGCUGGCGGAGGGGCUGACGGAGGGGGAGAGGGCUCUAGGAGGACAUCAACGAGGCGGGGAACACGCUGGACAGGCCCGUGCUCGCUGGGACGCCGAGCAGAGGAGGGGCCCGAGCAAGAAGACAUUGGGCUCGCGUCCAUGGCAUGCCAGAGAGGCGGUCACCGCGUGCACUGGCGGACACAGGGCCACAAUCGAUGCCAAAUGAUGCCUGGGGGUUAGUCCUUCCUAGGGAGGCCUCAACUAUGGUGGUAACUAAGUGAAAACAACUAGGGUUAAAUGGUUAGUGAGCUCUGAAGUUUACUGCAGUAAACUUUAUCAGCUCAGUGUGAUCAACAGGGGGCUGCUAUGUGUCCAGUGUUAUGUCUGGGGUGUUUAGGCUAGGAAGGACUACAGUCCUGGGGAGUUUGGGAAGAAAUGGACCAAGAUAAAUCAUAGUUGCUUCACAACUGCAUUUUUGGUCCAGAAAUGAAGAUCAUGAUGGUGCACUCACAUGGAGUUAUGGGAUGGGAUGAAACUUGGCAAAUCCUCAUUAUAUGGACAUAUAAAGAUGCUCUAAAAAGCUCAUGCCAAAUGGACAAGCCGUACUUGCUUCACAAACACCUCCGCUGACCAGAAACUUGCAAUAAUUAUGGUGAUCAAAUGGCUUAAUGAAAUGAUGCCAAAUUGGGUGGAGGGAAGUUUUAUGGCUAUAAGAAUGACCUGGUAAUUUAUCAGGAUUUUUGAAGCAAUAUAAAAUACACUUGCUUCACAACCUGAAAAUAUUGCCAGAAACAAAGAUUUGCUCCUGUGCUCACAUAGAUGAUUGGAUGGGGCUGAAAAUGGGUGAAGGCGUUUAAUAUGAGCACAUUAAGGAGUGUGCAAAAGUUCAACUUAUUUAGAUACUCCUGGCUAGUACUUCCUUCACAAAGCCUUCUGUUUGACAGAAACUUUGAAAAUUCACUGAGAAAGAUUGGCUAGGCAAAUAAAUAUGAACUUGUGCAUGGGGCAAUUAUUUGGACAUAUACACAUGCCCAAAAAGGUUGGUAGGCACUAGGAGAAACAUAAAUGACACUUCCUUCACAAAGUGCCAUUCAGGGCAAAAUAGACAAAAGAUUAUUGGGGAAUUACUUUUGAACUAGCCAAGGUAAUGUUUGGGAAUAUUUGAGCUAUAUAUGAACCAAAGGAACUAUGAGAAUUGUUUGGGAAUUUUUGGAUGGACAUAAAUACAGGUUGCUUCACAACCUAGGGAAGACAGGGUUAUUUCCUUUAAUGAAAAAGGAAUUUUCCCUAGAAAAAAGUUUAGGGUUUGGUCGAGGAGUGAACUGACAUGAUUUUAGAAAGGUUUUGAGAAUGACUAGCCACUUGGGAGGGGGAAUGAGGAUGAUUUCCUAGGUGGCAAGGCCACAGAACCACUCCAAAAAGAAAAACAGAGCAAAAACCAAAUAAAUCAGAAGAAAAAGAAAAGGGCCAAAAUCCAGGCUGUUACAUCGCAUGCGAAGACUACUUUUGUCAGGAUAACUGUACUACUUGUCCCCUUUCAAAUCCCUCCAUUGUGAAAUCCCUUCCCUCUCAUAUUUGGGAAGAGGACCAAGGCCACUAUAUAUAGGACUUAGCCACCACCAUAGGGGAAGAUUGAUUCCACCCCGAGCAACAUACCAGCUCAAGAACACCUCACCUCCCGAGGCUUGUUCAUCCUUGUACUAGUUCAUACAGAGCCCCUCGAGGCAAUCCACCACACCACACUAGAGUAGGGUAUUACACCACAACGGUGGCCCGAACUAGUAUAAAUCUCUGUCUUUGUGUCUCUGUGGGCUCUUCGCGCUAGGCUAGGGAGGAUCGCGAGUAGGCAGGCUGGGCAGGUUGAGAUCUCCGCAUGCACCCCAGUGUUCGAACCUCUCACGGGUUGCCGGACCCAGAAAUUCGACAUUUGGCGUGCCAGGUAGGGGUGCGUCGGAUCCUCUCUUGUGUCGUUCGACUCGUCUCUGCUCCGACAUCUCCAUGGCCGACGCGUGCAGGGCUCACGUCAAGCAUCAGGCUGUAGUCGCCGCCUGUGUCGCUCAGACGGCUUUGGCGGGUGAGGCUGUGCCUGCCGCGCUCCUUCUCCGGUGGCCAACACCGCCACGGGCUCUGCCAGCCACGAGCAGCAAGCUUCGUUGGUGCACCGUGAUGGCGGCACCGCUACUCCGUCGCUCACCCCAGCAACUUCAUCAUCCCACGCAUGCCGCGGGGCAGGUGGACGCGUAGGCCGCUCUGCUCACGGCGCGCGAGCUGCUUCGGUACCGUCCCAUGGGUGAUCUCUACAAGGAGUGGCUCGAGCGCAUCGCCGAGCUCAUCAGUGUCGCGCACAGGGGCUCUGACGGGCCGGCUCGCUCGCUGCCUCAGCAACCACCUGCAGCGGGUGACGUCGCGCACGAGGCCCCUCCUUCGCCUCCAGCCCGGGGCGCCAUCGUUGAGCCAAGGCGUAUGGCUCCACGGCGCGACCCGCAGUGCCCGGCAACAAUUCGGGAUGACGUGAGCUGCCAGGUGGUUCAACGCCCCCAAGGAGAAGCACGCGUGCUUCCAGUGCCCCAGCACCAGGCUCGUGAGCUGCACAGGAGGUGGCAGUGCACGUUCACCAGGACCAUGUUCCACCCCCUCGGCGACCUCCGGUGGCCACGGUAGGGUGCCAUGCAUUUACUGCAGAGCUCCACAACGUCGUUCGGCCGAGAAAGCUCAAGCCUGACAUGCCUCCACGCUACGACGGCACCGCUGUGGCACCCCAGCUCAGAGAAACCAGAACGCCCCGUAUUCCAGCCCAGAGAUCGAGGAGAAGUCUAUGGAAUACGACACUGCUUGACAUAGAAUAAAUCAACUCUUAUUACAAGAAUAAUAAUACAAGGGUCCGAUGUUACAAAGGUUCACAUCAGCACGACGACACCACGCCUGCGAUACUACACUUUCUCUAUGCUAGCAGCGGAACAACUCUUAGCACUGGAAAUCUUCUAGCAGCGGAACAACGACGAAGGUGGUGAACUCCACUCCGCAUGGACUCUGGCUGGGACACGAUCUAGCUCGCACAAACGGAAACCACGGCAAGCAAUCAAGCAAUCACGACAUCACCUGCAAUCUGGCAUGGCACGCCAGGUCAGUACAUUGAAUGUACUUGCAAGCUCACAACAAUCAAAAACAUCAAGGCAAGACAACAACAUAGCAUUAAGCAGGUUAAUUGAAUUAACAACUACCAUGAUAUAACAGAAACUCCUAAGCAUAAUAUGAGACUACUACAAUACUGAUAAAUCACCAUCUCCGAUCUCCAUAACCAUAUCUCUCUUGGCUAACCGGCCAAGCAGUAUACCAUCUCGAUCACCUCGUGAUCAAAACCAAACUGUAACCGUGAUCCUUACGGCGAUCACAACUCAACCAAUAAAUGGCCCGUGAUCCUUAUGGCGAUCACAAUCCGACCAAUAAAUGGCCCUUGAUCCUUACGGCGAUCACAACCCGACCAAUAAAUGGGCCGUGAUCCUUACGGCGAUCACAACCACGACCAAUACUUGGCCAAUCUGUACUGCUCCAAAUAUCCACAUAUCCAUCACGUAUAAGUUAUUCCGUCAUGUGAGUGUUGAUCUAAUGGUAUACCCUAGUACGAACCCAUGCCCAUGACCGAGGACGCGGCUAUCGAUAAAUUAAACACCCACUCUGCAGAGGUAGCGCACUUUACCCACACCAUAGAACCCAUGGCCUCGCACUCCCAUUCGGGUGGACCAACGGCAUUCCGACAAAACCGAUCUACUGCCAUGACACUCUCCCAGCCACUCCGACUCACUCCCCACUGGGCUAAGUCAUGGGUGGCCCGGUGUCUACCUCAAGACACAUCGACCACCGUCGUGGCCCGUCCUACACGGGGACAUGGAUCCAAAAACUCAAACAACGGGCACACAAGGCUUAUGUCCACCUACCUAAUUAGGGUAGCGCGUGCCCAUAACCUUCCCUCGUUAGAGGCACCGGUGAGAGGCAAGACAAUAGACCGCAUUAGGGCCAUCCCAUACCGGCAAAUGUGGUUUCACUGGAAAAGUUCGAUUCGGCGGCACCUGACCAACUUACUGACGGAAUUUAUCCCCAAAAAUAUAACCAUAAUAAUUGAUACUCCUACGUCAACCAUCAAACUAUAAUCCAAGUCGUAGAAAUAUCCAACAAAUAAUCCAAGCAUAAUAUCAUCAUACCAAAAUACUCCGAGGAUAGCAUAACACUACUAUCAUGAUGAAUCCGAAACAAUAAUUCUACUACUCCAAUAACAAGAAUUCAGCUAUCCAGCUAAGAUCCACAUGUAACCAUCAUCUCCGAAAAUAAUACUCCAAGCAACAAAACAUCAACUAGCAUCAUGAAAAUAAUCAUACUAACCACUAAUGAUCCAAAGGUAGCAUGAUAUCCAAAGUAGUACUCCAAAACAUACUAACAGAUAUCAUCAUGAAACAAUCAUAAUAUCAGCCACUAAUACUCCAAUGGCAACAUGAUACUCAUCACCUACACACAUAACUCCUAGUAAUCCAAAUAAUAACAUGGCAACAACAAGAUCAAAAUAAUACUCCGAGAAAAUGCCAUGCUCAGAUCAUAAGUAGGUAAAGCAAUAUUUUAAACAAGUUCAAAUAAGUGAAACCAUGUCACUACAUUACAGUGAUGCAAAUGGAGAGUGUGACUUGCCUGGGGUGGAAGAAAUCACCGGAAGAAAGUUUAAGAAGCUCGUGGAAAGAAUUGCCGGAAAUCGUUCUCUCUUGGAGGGGGAUGAUUAAGGGCAAGGGCAUAAUGGUCAUUUUCACAAUGUGAAAACAUGGUGAAAGUUAAACCAACAGAUCAGGCUUGACGAAAUGAAGAAGUGAGUGUUGGAAUCACCUCAUUUGGAGUUACGGUUAAAAAGUUAUGAAGGGUUGAAGCUCACGGACUUUUCUGCAAAAAUUUCUUCAGCAAACAGGUCCCUGAGUGGAUAAGACAGAAGCGCAAAUUGGAAAUAUGUUUUCUUUAGAUUAAAACGCACGCACCCAAAAUGUGCUUCCACUUGCCACAUCAGCAUCGACAGGUCAACGCGGGGCCGACCCUUGUGCGGCUGACAGGUGGGGCCCGUGCUGCUUCUCUCUCUCCUCCCGCUUGUCUCCUUCUUCCUCUCGACAGAAGCAGGGGAGAGGCGACGCCGUGCGGCACCGAUGAUGGCCCGGGCAGCUCCGGCCGUCCCCGGUGGAGCUGGGACCACCGGCGGCCGCGGAACAGAGUGCUGCCCCCUCCUGGAGCAACAGCAGGCGCUGGGGAGGCUUGGAGUGACGACAGCUGGCAGGGGCCGAGGGCAGGGGUGACGGUUGACCUUGGGGCACGUAGCCAUGGGCGCUCCGGUGAUGAAACGGGGAGUGGGGGAGGCUUGAGGUGGAGCUGGGACGCCUCUGGUGGUGAAGGGCUGGGUUCGGGUGGAUUUAAGCGCUCCAUGGCUCGACGGAGAGGUUGGGGAUGGCUAGUGGAGGGAGGAGGGGAGGCUGAAGAGCUCGGGAGGCCGCGGGAAAGGCCAUAUAUAGCCGCGGGGAGGAGCUGCCACGUUGUCACCGCCGCGGACGCGUGUGUGGCGCCGCGGACGCAUGCUCGCACGCAUGAACUCGGGGGCAAGCGACGAGGGAGGCACAUGGGAGAGCUCACGGGGAAGAGACGACCAAGUAGGGCAGAGGAAGAGGCCGAGCGCCAUUAAUGCGCUGUCAGCCACAGAGCUCCCAUGGGCGAGCAGCGACAAGCGCUGACGAGGAGACUUCGGGAGAGGGAGAUGAGUCCAGGGAGACGGCGACGACGCGGGCCAGCUAGUAGACACGCUCACGAGCGCGAAGACGACGAGAGGAGGAGGGGGUCCAGCACAAACAGCCACUGGACACGACCAUUGCACACAGAGCACGUGCACAGGCAUGCCAUUGUCAUGGUCACCGUGUGCACUAGCAUCAAGAGGGGCCGAAUGGCUGUCAAAUGUUGUCUAGUGGUAAGUUCGUCGAAGGUGGGUUUCAACUACGGUGGUAGUUUGGUGAAAACGGCUAUGGUUAAAAGGUUAGUGAGCUCUGAAGUUUACUGCAGUAACUUAAAUAGCUCAAGGUGAUCAACAGGGGGCCGCUAUGUGCCAAGUGUUAUGUCUGGGGUGUUUAGGCUAGGAAGGACUACAAUCCUGGGGAGUUUGGGAAGAAAUGGACCAAGAUUUACUGCAGUUGCUUCACAACUGACCAAAAUGGUCCAGAAACUAGAUCAUGAUGGUGCACUCACAUGGAGUGUCAACUUGGGAUAAGAUUGGGCAAGGCAGAGUCAUUUGGUCAUAUGGAGAUGCUCAAAAAGUCUCAUACCAAUUGUCAAAGCCAAACUGGUACUUGCUUCACAAACAUUUCCUCUAGACAGAAACAUCGAAUAAUAUUGAUGAUUAAAUGGAUCAAUGAAAUGAUGCCAAAUUGGGUGGAGAGAUGUUUUAUGGGUAUAAGAAUGAUCUGGUAAUUUAUCAGGAUUUUUGAAGCAAUAUAAAAUACACGUGCUUCACAACCUGAAAAUAUUGCCAGAAUCAAAGAUUUNNNNNNNNNNNNNNNNNNNNNNNNNNNNNNNNNNNNNNNNNNNNNNNNNNNNNNNNNNNNNNNNNNNNNNNNNNNNNNNNNNNNNNNNNNNNNNNNNNNNNNNNNNNNNNNNNNNNNNNNNNNNNNNNNNNNNNNNNNNNNNNNNNNNNNNNNNNNNNNNNNNNNNNNNNNNNNNNNNNNNNNNNNNNNNNNNNNNNNNNNNNNNNNNNNNNNNNNNNNNNNNNNNNNNNNNNNNNNNNNNNNNNNNNNNNNNNNNNNNNNNNNNNNNNNNNNNNNNNNNNNNNNNNNNNNNNNNNNNNNNNNNNNNNNNNNNNGCUCACAUAGAUGAUUGGAUGGGGCUGCAAAUGGGUGGGGGGGGGGGUUAAUAUGAGCACAUUAAGGAGUGUGCAAACGUUCAACCUAUUUGGAUAAUCCUAGCUAGUACUUCCUUCACAAAGCCUUCUGUCUGAUAGAAACUUUGAAAAUUCACGAAGGAAGAUUGGUUAGGCAAAUAAAUUUGAACUUGUGCAUGGGGCAAUUAUUUGGAAAUACAAUCAUUCCCAAAAAGGUUGAGAGUCACUAGGAUAAAUAUAAAUGAUACUUCCUUCACAAAGUGCCAUUCAGGGCAGAAUAGAAAAAGGAAUAUUGGGGAAUUAUUUUUGAACUGGACAAGGAAAUGUUUGGGCAUAUUUGAGCUAUAUAUGACCCAAAGGAAUUAUUAGAAUUAUUUGGGGAUUUUUGUAUGGACAGAAAUAUAGGUUGCUUCACAACCUAGGGCAAAUAGGGUUGUUCCUUUAAUGAAAAAGGAAUUUUCCCUAGAAAAUGAUUUUAGGGUUUGGUCAAGGAGUGAAGUGACAUGAUCUUUGGCAAGGUUUUGCGAAUGAUGAGCCACUUGGGAGGAGGAAUGAGGAUGAUUUCCCAGGUGGCAAGGCCACAGAACCACUCCAAAAAGAAAAAUAGAGCAAAAACCAAAUAAAUCAGAAGAAAAAGAAAAGGGCCAAAAUCCAGGCUGUUACAAACCUUCCCCCCUUAAAGAAAUCUCGUCCUCAAGAUUUGGUUGCUCAGGGAACAAGCUUGGGUAUCCUUUUUCCUUUAUUUAUUGUUUCCCCAAGAAUUUCAGAUGAUCAACUUACCUUGAUCUGGGGUGGUUUGCUUCACCUUUCCCAAAUUCUGACAGGUCUUUGCUCAUAUACCAAAUCUCUUUGUUGACGUGAAUUUUCUCAUAUCUGCGGUGGUAUCCAAUGGAUCUGAGCAUAAAUUUUCUUUUGAUCAUGAAAACCUUUUUGCUUUUGUCAUGUGGUUGCUUCCAAUAAAUGCAUGCCUUCUGGUUUCAAUGAAUGCUGAGAAUUAUCAUGGCCAUCUCCUGAUGGAAUCUGACUGCUCACAAGUGGCACUGAUUUAUCUUGAUUUAUGCCUUUGGCUCGAGCAUGAGAUAUGUACCAAAGAUUUGACUGCCUUCUGUCGUGAACAAUAUAUCGGUGUAUGGAGUUAUAGCUGUGUCAAACCUCAAUUAUUUACAUCUUGAGACUGUCCCGACAGGGGCUGACGGACAACUGCUUUUCCUGACAGACUGACAAGUAUUUGAUUCCAUCGGUGAGUAUACCGGGUCUGAUCUGAUUAUUUGGCUUUUGACUUUCUCAUUUUGUUGGUAUACCCAUCCGUGGUAAUGGGCUGUGAUAUGCUUUAAUACUGCCGCUGGGGUCAAACUGCUGAGUUUGCAAAGAAUUCUCGGCUCUGACAGAGUAGACUUGGAUAUUCCACCCUAACCGUGUCAAGCGGGUCAGUGGGAUAUGAAAAUUCCUUGUAUAAAGAGUAGGUCGCUGAGAGUAUGCCUUUGCAGAUCCAUAUGGAGUAAUGGCCUCCAACUGAUUUGGUUAUCCGGACCCUGGUGGUCAUGCAAAAAUCAUCAUACCGUUGCUGUCAGUCUCAUCCUUUUGACGGUCAUGAUUUUCUUUGUUAGGAUACCUUACUGAAAUAACUUGGCCACACAUAUCCUUGAUUCUUCGUAUGCCCAUGGACGUGAUUAAUGCAUUAUUCCUCGUUCUUUUUUUCUGUCCGGUGUCCGCACACAUAUGACAUAUACCCGGGGUUUGUAGCUAUACGGAGCUCAUUGCCGAGGCCAAUCAUACAAGAAGGUGACAAGGUUUUAUAAUAUCUCCUUGUCAAUUGCGGGAAUAAUGAUCUUGAUGACCAUUGUCAAGACUGUGGAUUUUGUGAUGUCAUCUCCAAAUAUUAUCGCUCCUUGCAUCACAUGAGAUGUAUUUUUGCUUAUUUUCCGUUACCUGGCUAGGGAGGUUGUGGGAUCCUUACUUUUCUUAGGUAUAUCUGCUGGAUCUUUGCCUCAUCUUGUAUGAGUUACUGAUAUGAUCGGGGAUACAUGCUCACCAUAUAUAAGAAGGAUAUUCCACGAUCACUCGAUCCUUGCGGUAGGCAUCUGUUUUGUCUGAAUUUUACAUCUGACAAAAUUAUUGCAAAUCUGGUCCUUGAGCGGUACUGCCAUACAUCGGCAACUCAUCAUAUAAUCUUGGAGGAUGGUGCAAUAUUGUGGUACUGACGCGGAUUGAGUGGCUUACGAGAGAAGCCAUCCGAGUAGCUUGCUGAGGAAGACUUGUUAACUUCUGCUUAAAUAUUUUUCUUGGGUAUCUUGCAGAAGAAGGCUCUAUAGCCUACACAUGAAGCUUGCUCUGAUUAUUGUGCUCGAGAAGCCUGAGUUCCAUACAUGAGAAGCUUCUCCUCAGGUUUGCUUGUUGAAGAAAAAAAUCAUUUCCAUCUGUCAGAAGCCUUUACCGAGGUGUCUUGAUGUGAAAGACUGGGUAUCAUGGACCGGAAGUUGUUCACAUAUCAUAAGGAGGAAAAGUUGAGGAUCCUUGCAUCAUGAAUUCUUCCGUUGGCGUGUGGAAGAAUACUGGGUUUCUUAUAUCCAAAACUUCAUACUGAUAUGCAGACUGAAAUCCAUAGACAUGCCCUUAAUAUUCCGAGGCUGAUUGUUUGCAUGAGAAAAAAAUUGUUUGACUGUCUUACUUGAGCAUACCACAUUCUGACUUCAUUUCGGAUGAUACCAUAUUUCAAGCAUCAUGCAUUGCUGAGCCAAAAUUGUGUAUAUGAUCCAUACCACUAUCGUGAAGAUAUACCGUUGAUCUUGUACCUGACUUGUCUUUCUGGUGACUGGAUCAUAACUGCUGUGAGGAUUUUGCACUGAGGUAGACUCGAUGCUGAUAGUCAAUUCAAUACACCAUUGGUAUUCUGAGCAGAUUUUAAUCCCAUAAUGCAGUUGACUGGGUAGACAAUAAUGUCUAGCUGAGCUUCUUUCAAAUGUUCCAAAUCCUUAUUGCUUCUUUGAGUCCGGUGUUGGUGGAUGAGCAAUUCUUUAUAGGGAAAAAAUAAUGUAACACCGGGGCCCAAAAGAAAGAAGCAAAAGAAAACUCAACUAAACAAAAGCACACAACAACAAACAAUUCACACUCAAUCAAUGUCACAUAUUAUUGCUAGUCACCCAAUAUGCAUGCCUACUUAAGCACACAAAUCUCGCGGGGUCUCCGGUUCUACGAUCUAGCAUGCUGUGACGAUGUGCACGAGGAUGAACAAAUGUGUGGAAGAAUUGGUGUAAACAACGCUACACCAAGUGCUAGCUUAGCCAGAUAGCAACCUAGACAAGCUCGGAGGUGAGGACGUACUCGGUAAUCAUGUAGUGGGACAUGAAGGUCGCACCCACAUUAUUAUCAAGCGGAGGAAAAAGAACCGCACUCGUCCAAGAAAUAGGAUAGCAGGGAAAACUGAGGCUGCUGACAUUGCCCUUUCUUGAUAACUAAGAUCAUUAAGGGUUGCCAACAUGACAAAAUAAAAGAAGGAUCCGGGAUAGAAGCAUGUCCAUCACCGAAACGAUAGACGGGACUGAAAGAAAGACAUCAGUGCGAUACCUGAGCACCAUUUUUGCAAACAGUGUCGGGAUCACUUGGCAUCACUCUACUGGGACAGAGAUGACACCAAACACUGAAAGAAAAAGGAACUGGAGAAAUACAAAGGUUGAGCUGUAGUGGAUCCGAACCGAUGCCAGCUACACUCACCAGAUAAACCGUUAUCACAAAUACUAAGGCUAUAUGCAUGCUAUGCAACAAACAAACGCAGCAACCAAAUGCAAUAAACAAACUAGACUCUAUACUACCGAUUUCUACCGGUUUCUACCGCUCGCGCUAACUAGGGCGUCCUACAGCCAGACCUGCUAUGAUACCAAGCCUGUGGCACCCUAGCUCAGAGAAACUGGAAUGCCCCGUAUUCCAGCCCAGAGAUCAAGGAGAAGUCUCUGGAAUACGACACUGCUUGACAUAUAAAAAAUCAGCUCUUAUUACAAGAAUAAUAAUACAAGGGUCUGAUGUUACAAAUGUUCACAUCAGCACGAUGACACGACGCCUGUGAUACUACACUUGCUCUAUGCUAGUAGUGGAACAACUCUUAGCAACAAAAAUUUUCUAGCAGCGGAACAACAACGAAGGUGGUGAACACCACUUCGCAGGGACUCUGGCUGGGGCACGAUCUAGCUCGCACAAACGGAAACCACGACAAGCAAUCAAGCAAUCACGGGAUCACCUGCAAUCUGGCAUGACACGCCAGGUCAGUACAUUGAAUGUACUUGCAAGCUCACAACAACCAAAAACAUCAAGGCAAGACGACAACAUAGCAUUAAGCAGAUUAAUUAAAUUAACAGCUACCAUGAUAUGACAGCAACUCCUAAGCAUAAUAUGAAACUACUACAAUACUGAUAAAUCACCAUCUUCGAUCUCCAUAACCAUAUCUCUCUUGGCUAACCGGCCAAGGAGUAUACCAUCUCGAUCACCUCGUGAUCAAAACCAAACUGUAACCGUGAUCCUUACGACGAUCACAACCCGACCAAUGAAUGGCCCGUGAUCCUUACGGCGAUCACAACCCGACCAAUAAAUGGCCCGUGAUCCUUACGGCGAUCACAACCCGACCAAUAAAUGGCCCGAGAUCCUUACGGCGAUCACGACCCAACCAAUAAAUGGCCCGUGAUCCUUACGACGAUCACCACCCGACCAAUAAAUGGCCCGUGAUCCUUACGGCGAUCACAACCACGACCAAUACUUGGCCAAUCUGUACUGCUCCAAGUAUCCACAUAUCCAUCACCUAUAAGUCAUUCCGUCAUGUGAGUGUUGAUCGAACGGUGUACCCUAGUACGAACCCAUGCCCAUGACCGAGGACGCGGCUAUCGAUAGAUUAAACACCCACUCUGGAGAGGUAGCACAAUGUAUCCACACAACAGAACCCAUGGCCUCGCACUCCCAUUUGGGUGGACCAACGACAUUCUGACAAAACCGAUCUACUGCCAUGACACUCUCCCGGCCACUCCGACUCACUCCCCACAGGGCUAAGUCAUGGGUGGCCCCGUGUCUACCUCAAGACACAUUGACCACCGUCGUGGCCCGUCCCACAUGGGGACACGGAUCCAAAAACUCAAACAACAAGCACACAAGGCUUAUGUCCGCCUACCUGAUUAGCGUAGGGCGCGCCCAUAACCUUCCCUUGUUAGAGGCACCGGCGAGAGGCACGACAAUAGACCGCAUUAGGGCCGUCCCAUACCAGCAAAUGUGGUUGCACUAGAAAAGUUUGAUUCAGCGGCACCUGACCAACUUACUGACGAAAUUUGUACCCAAAAAUAUAACCAUAAUAACUGAUACUCCGACGUCAACCAUCAAACUAUAAUCCAAGUCAUAGCAAUAUCCAACAAAUAAUCCAAGCAUAAUAUCAUCAUACCAAAAUACUCCGAGGAUAGCAUAACACUACUAUCAUGAUGAAUCUAAAACAAUAAUCCUACUACUCCAAUAACAAGAAUACAGCUAUCCAGCUAAGAUCCACAUGUAACCAUCAUCUCCAAAAAUAAUACUCCAAGCAACAGAACAUCAACUAGCAUCAUGAAAAUAAUCAUACUAGCCACUAAUGAUCCAAAGGUAACAUGAUAUCCAAAGUAGUACUCCAAAACAUACUAACAGAUAUCAUCAUGAAACAAUCAUAAUAUCAGCCACAAAUACUCCAAUGGCAACAUGAUACUCAUUAACUACACACAUAACUCCUAGUAAUCCAAACUAUAGCAUGGCAACAACAAGAUCAAAAUAAUACUCCGAGAAAAUGCCAGGCACAGAUCAUAAGUAGCAAAAGCAAUAUUUUAAACAAGUUAAAAUAAGUGAAACCAUGUCACUGCAUUACAGUGAUGCAAAUGGAGGGUGUGGCUUGCCUGGGGUGGAAGAAAUCACCGAAAGACAGUGCAAUAAGCUCGCGGAAAGAAUUAUCGAAAAUCGUUCUCUCUCGGAGGGGGCUGAGUAAGGGCAAGGGCAUAGUGGUCAUUUUCACAAUGUCAAAACAUGGUUAAAGUGAAACCAACAGAACGAGCUUGACAAAAUGAAGAAGUGAGCGUUGGAAUCACCUCAUUUGGAGUUACGGUUAAAAAGUUAUGAAGGGUUGAAGCUUAGGGACUUUUCUGCAAAAAAUACUUCAGCAAACAGGUCCCUGAGUGGAUAAGGCAGAAGCGCAAAUUGGAAAUACAUUUUCUGUAGAUGAAAACGCAUGCGCCCAAAAUGUGCUUCCACUUGCCACGUCAGCACCGACAGGUCAACGCGGGGCCGACCCUUGUGCGGCUAACAGGUGGGGCCCGCACUACUUUUCUCUCUCCUCCCACUUGUCUCCUUCUUUCUCUCGACAGAAGUAGGGGAGAGGCGACGCCGUGCGGCGCCGACGAUGGCCCGGGCAGCUCCGGCCAUCCCCGAUGGCGCUGGGACCACCGGCGGUCGCGGAACACAAGUGCUGCCCCCUCUAGGAGCACCAACAGGCGCUGGGGAGGCCUGGAGUGACGGUGGCCGGCGGGGGGCGAGGGCAGCGGCGACAGUUGACCUUGGGGCACGCGGCCAUGGGCACUCCGGUGAUGAAACGGGGAGUGGGGGACGCUUGAGGUGGAGCAGGGAGGCCUCUGGUGGUGAAAUAACGGAGGGGAAGGGCACCUGUCGGGUGGUAGGUGCGAUAUAUGCCAACGGGUGGCUUAUCAUUAUGGGAGCCAGUAAGACAUCACCGGUGCCUGGAAACGGGAUAAGGCGAAGACAUGCACGCCGGCGGAUCUUACCCAGGUUGGGGGCUCUCCGUGGAGAUAAUACCCCUACUCCUGCUCUGCGGGGUCUCCGCAUGAUCACUAGAUUGAUAAGAAGCUACAAGAGGCUCCUUCAGCUGUUCGGUGGGAGGAGGAAGAAGGGCAGGGCUAGCUCUCUUCUCUCCCUAUGAUAGUGCCUAAAACUCUCUGAGAUCGACACUUUGCAUGGGUGCCCCGGAGGGUUUAUAUAGGCCUACCCCCGGGGGUACAAUGGUAAUCUGGCCUGGGCGUGGGCCCAGGCCGUCAGCGUCCACGUCCGCCGGGUUCUGGGCCCGCCGACUGGUGGGUCCUGCCGGCUACCGGCCCCACCGCUUGGGGGGUCUUGUCGGGGGCUGGUUACUGUCGCCUCGCCUCUGAUGACAAGGGCUUUGUCGAGGUAAGCAUGGCUACAGUGCUGCCGCCUUGCGGGCGCUCACUGUAGCCUUACCUCGUCUUGUCUGCUUAAUGGUGCGCGCGCCCCGAGGAGGGGAGCAUGCCGGCUAUAGGAAGCCGGCCUGGCCUUAGGCCGGCUGGGGGUAGUCAGGCCGCCUACGGAUGUCUCUCUGACUAAAGGGGCCCGCCGCCUUUGGGUCGUACCGAUGGCCCGUUGUGGAUGGCGUCAUGGUUCGCAUGGCAACAGUGCCUCGCCAGACAGGAGAGGUCCGCCCUAUACGGCAUACUGUAGCCACACUUGCUCCGGGAUUCGGGGAUGGCAGGGUCCACUGUAGCCACGCCCCGUCUCGUCACCGUUAUGGGGGGUUGACUUUAGGGUGUGGCCCAUGGCCGCUUGCCAUGGGCCGGCUUCUUGGACUUGGUCCUUCAUGGGCCGGCUUCUUGGACUCGGUCCUUCAUGGGCUGGCUUUCUUGGAGCCGUUCCUUCAUGGGCCGGGUUUCUCGGAGUCGGCCCAGUUGUGGCAUCCCCCGAAGAUUGUUUAUGGCCGGGCCGCCUUCCGCUAGUCGACCUAGGUGAUAGCUGGCCGGAAGAAGGCGGCCCCGUGUCCUGGGCGCUUCAAAGCUCGGUCGGCCCAUUGUUUUUUCUGAGGGCCAAAGGGAGCCGGCUAGGCUACCCGUGGUCAUUUACUCCGACAGUAGUCCCCGAAGCUGGUUGGGCUUCGUGGCUGAAAGGGGAAACGAGAAGCUCGACCAGCUUCCUAUCCCAAAGAGCCGGCAGCUAGGAGCCGGCUUCCCUUGCGCGUGCCUUCUCGGUGAAGCCUUCCAAAAUUCCAAAGGCGGGAAAACAGCUAGCGCGCCAGCCAAGCGGCGGGCUGACCGCCCGCCGCCCGCGCGUCGUGUGGCUCCCUUCGGCUGGAAGGGCCUGCCAGCCCACGCGCGCGACGGGACGCCGUUGCAGGCCAGGGCCCGCCACUUCCGCGCCUCAGCCCAUGCACGGAUCUUCUGUGGUCCGAAACUGACCGCACAUCUUCUGGCGGCGGUUCCCACUCACCAUUAAGGCGCGAUAAUAGCGGGUCGUUGGGGAGUGGGCGCAGUUAAUCCCAUGCCCCCCCGCGCCUCGCCUCCUCGGCUUCGCCGCGCGAGGCUAUAAGUAGGGGCAGGGAGGGGGAGCAUCAAUCGUUCGCACGCUCGCCCUCGCCCUGCCUCCUCCCUUUUCUUCCUCGCCGCGGUAGCCCUUCGCUGUGCUCCCGCUUCGCCAUUCCUUUCUCCUUCCCAGCGUGCCGCAGGCUUGCUACCUCCGCGCCGAGCGCUCUCCGCCGCCACACUUGCCGCCAUGGCUCCGACGUCGAGCUCUUGGGACGGCUCCACCGUCCGCGAGGACUACAUCAAUUUCCUCCGCAAGACGCGGCGGCUGCCGGGCGAACAUCUUGUGCGAGUCCGUCUUGCGCUAGCAAGGGAGGUGUCGCCGGCGCCGGAGGAAGGCGAGCGAGUGAUCUUCUACUCGCACUGCCUGCGCGGUGUCGGCCUCCCCGCGAGCGGCUUCUUCCGCGCAUUUCUCAAUUUCUACCAGCUUCAGCCGCACCACCUCACCCCCAACACGGUGGUGCUGCUGUCGGCCUUCGUCUCGUUGUGCGAGGGUUUCCUCGGCGUCCUCCCCACCAUCGAGCUCUGGGGGGAGUUUUUUCAAUCCAAGCUCGACACGGUCGUCGCGGGCGUGCCGGCUCCGUGCGGCGCCUUCAUCGCCAUACGGAGGUCUACCGCCGACAACAACUUCCCUCAUAUCGUGCUGAUCUAGUCGGUGAAGCUCUAGCAAUGUUCUUACUUUUACGUGAAGAACAUUGCCCCGAACGGCGAUUACGUCAACUUGCUGGCCUACGUGGCCGGCCCGGCGGCUGCGAGGCCGGCUUUAUGGUCCUACCGGGCCAGGUCGCUAACACCGGCUGGAGCUGGUGCCGUCGCCCGGCUUCGGGUGCUGGUCCAGUCGGAGCUCCUGACCGGGCCCGACUUGAUCGCCGCCUUCGUCGAGCGCCGGGUUCUUCCGCUUCAGGGCCUCCCACAUCUGAUCUAUCAGAUGAGCGGCCGCUUCGGCCCAAGCCGGCUCAUCACCAGGGAGAUUCCUCAUGACGAGGUGUCGUACAAGGUGAACUACAUCGCCAAUUGCAAGCUCACUGAGGACUGGCAGUAUGGCAAGGCGCUGUACUCUCGCGCCAAUCCACCACCCUUGGUAAGUUUUCUUUCUUCCUUCGUUGCCCAAUUUUCUUUUCUGGCCGACUCUUGAUGAGUCGGUUUGUCUUCAAUCAGAAUCCUCUCCUUCAUCCUUCGGCCGGGACCGCGGGGCCAGAGCGCGAGUUCGCCCCCGACCGCGAGGCGGACGACUUUGAGGACGCCGACUUGGGGGCGGCCGCCCUGGACGACUACGCCGCGGGUGGCGGCGGCAAGACAAGCGGCUCCGGCUUCACUGCCGGCCUUGACGACUAGCCCGAUGAUGACGAAGCCGAUCCCAUUCUGUGCCGCCAGCCGGUGACUGACCCCCAAGGCGCCGGCCCAUCCGGCGGGCCGACCGCGCGAGGUGGCGCACAGAAGCGCCGGGCGGCGCCGACUCUCAUCGCAGGACGGCCGAAGAAGCCCAAGGGAUCCGCGGCGGCGACUAGGCGGGACGAGGGGGCCGUGAAGGCGGCCCGCUUCCACAAAGUGGUGAAGCAGCCGCAGGCGGUCUCGGCGUAAGUUCUGGUCCUUACGCACUUUUCUUUCUUUCUUUAGUUGAUGUCCUUCUAAGUUCUUCUUCCGUUUUGCCAACCAAGGCCCCGCUCUCUCUUGAGCGGACUACCACCGCCUCCAUAGUCGGCGGAGCGGGAGGAUUUGCGGGCUCCCGUCGCAUAGACCCCCGCGCCGAGCUUCAGGCAGCAACAGAGCAGAACGCGCGGGAGGCGCGGGAGGAGCGGGAGGCGGAGGAGCGAAGGGCAGCCGCCGCCGAGUCGGCCCAGGAGACGAUGACGGAGUCGGCCGAGGCGCACUCCGACACCGCAGCCAGGGCCCGGGCGGAAGCCGAGGUCGCAGAGAGGGCGGCAGAGGCCGUGCGUGGCCAGCCUCAGCAACUCGUCAUCCCCCUCCGCUCUGUGCUCCCGGACAUCUCGGUGCCCCCGCCGGAGGAAAUCGUCCGCGACCCGCCGGCGAUGGAGAGGGAGGGGAGCGACGUAGUCGUCCUGGAGGGAGGAGUGGUGCCACCUCCGUCGGCCAGGACUAGCCAAGGCGGCCAGCCCGAGGUGCCGCCUAAGCAGCCGGCGGGAGGAGAGCCGACUGCAACGGCGGAUCUUGUAGUCCUGUCGCCGGCUCGCCGGCGUGUGGGGAGGGCGGCUUCAGAGCCGGAUCCACAGAGGGCGGACGGCUCCAGCUCGUUGUCGCAUGAUCUGGAGUCGGCCACAGCUAGCUCGCUGGGGUGGACGCCGGGCGGUGGGACGGCCGCGCUGAACUUGGUGGCGCAAGAUGUUCGUAGCCGGCUUCAGGCUCAAGCCACCGCACUACAGCAGUGUACCCGAGAAUUUCUUGCGACCCGGGCGGUCGUUCGGGUGAGUUUUCUUGCUCAUGAUUUUUUCCGUGGGGGCGCGUCAGCGCACCCACUGGGUGUAGUCCCCGAGUUCCGAGUCGGCUGCUGAGCAGGUGGCUUGGAACUUCUUCGAAGACUUUGCCUUACUGAUUUGCUUUGCUUGCGCAGAAUUAUCACAACCUCGACGCCGCUACCUUCAACUCCCAGGUCCGGGAGGCAAAUCAAAGGGCCGCCGAUCUGACGGAGAGCUGGCGUAAGUGUCUUUGUCUUUUUAUCUCAUGUGGGGGCGCGUCAGUGCACCCAUUGGGUGUAGUCCCCGAGAUUCGGGCUGACUACUGAGCAGUCGGGUCAGAUCUUUUUUGCCGACUUCUUUGUUAACUUCUUUUUUCCAUACUGGCAGGAGCCAAUGCCGACUUGAGGCAACAGCUGGGCGCGGCCCAGACUGCCCUUCGCACCAGGGAGGGCGAGCUCAGUGCCCUGGCUCUGGAGCGUGACCGCCUGGCCAAGAGGCUGGCCGACCAGGAGGAAAGCCAUAGGGCGGCCCUGAAGGCAGCGAAGGACAGUGCAGCCUCCCUCAAAGCCGAAUGCGACACCGAGGCGACGAGCUGGGCCGGGGCAAGGCAAGCUCUGAGCGAAGGCUACAGCCGAGUCGAGGAUUUGGUUGACGGUAGGCCGCCUUUUUCUUCACUCUUUGUUUGUUCCUUGUAAGCUAGUUUAUCUCCUGACUUGCUCUGUUUCUUUCUUCUUUGUGAAGAGUACUUUCCUAGCUAUUCUGCAGUCGCCAACCAAGCCAUCGAAGCUCAUCGUGAGGCCCGGCGGCAGGCUGGGGUUGAGAUCGCGCCGGAUGCCAACUGGUCGCUUGAGGAGCAUCUUCUGGCAAGCCAGGCCCUCCUUCAGCCGGCCUACCGCAUGCUCCGCCGGCUUCAGCGUGCCGGAGCACAGGUGUUGGCUGCCCUCUGGCCAGGCGAAGUAAUUCCUCGCACCCCCAGCCGUACUGCCGACUGGCUGGAGGUAGCCGUCGGCCGCCUCGAGGCCUGGAAGGCUUCAGCAGCUCGAUCCGGUGCUCACCGGGUGCUAGAGUUCGUCCGGGGUUGGUACCCUAGGCUGAACUUGUACCAACUGCGCACCUGGCGGUAGGAGGCUGACGAGGAUCUGGAGGCGGUGCAACCGGCUAUCAUCCAGCGUGCCUCGGCGAUUGCCGACUUCACCGACACCAGCGCCUUUGCUCCUGAGGUGAACGAGGACGACGUCGCGCAGACGGAAGAAUGGUUCGGGCUGAACCCGACCGAUGGUGAAGACUCGGCGGAGGAGAUUGACUCCAGCGACGAGGGUGAAGAGGAGGUGGAGGAAGAUGGUGAAGACGCUAUGCCGGAUGUUGGAGCAGCCAGCCAGCCUCAGCCUGACCGUGCCUCCAGCAACGAGGCGUGCGCGAAUGCUCCGCCUGCCGCCGGUGAUGACCAGGCCGAGACUCGCCAGCCGGCCACUCCUCCAGCCGACACCGCCGUCUCAACCGAUCUUCCUGACGCUCCGGGCGCUUACUUGGCUUGAUUCACUGUUUUUAUUUUCCUGCUUGACACUCUUUAAGCAAAUUUGUUAUGUUUGUGCAAUUCCACCCACUGGGGGUGUAUUCAAACUUUGUUGAAUGCCGGCCUCUCAAAGGCCUUUUGUGUAAAUAUUAUUAUGCAUGAGCUUGGCUUCCAUUCCUACUUGCUUUUUAUCUCUCGGCUUUUUUCCUUUGCCGCCUUCCCUUGGUUGCCGCCUUCCCAGCCGGACAGCUGCUCUGCAGUCUGUGGCAGGGUAAGGAGUUCAGCCGUCUGGGAAGGUAAGUACUCAAGGUUUCUUAGAUUGUAGUAGAGUAGGAAAGGGAGGCCGGCCAGCCGGCUACUUCGACAGCCGGUUGGCGAGGGGGAAGCUGGCUUGUGUUAUGUAAGUUCGUUAGUCCUUAGCCGUUUUUCAUGUGGGCAUCCUUUCCGCCUUGAAGUAUCGCUAGUCGGGCAGCCGAUUCUUCGAGCUGUGCCUUUCGCAAGAGAGGGCUUGGGUGUCGGCACAUUACUUAUCUGACUGCAGGUAGAACUUGGACAUAACUCAAGGCGGCAAGUCCCCGGGCCGACUAGUUGGACCCGGUGCCGGACGGAGAAAAUAAAUGUGGCGGGGUAACCAUGGGUGCGAUACCCAACAUACAUAGAUAAAAUAGGGUAGUCCCCGAGAACUCCUCGGGGGGGCCCAUUGUCUGAUACUUAAUACAAAAGGUAGCAUGAUACAUACUGCAUUUCAACUGUAAAAUCUUCGAAGAAGAUUAGCACUCCAUGGGCGCUCCGACUCCUUGCCAGAGUCGUCUCUCUUGCGUGCCUUCGGCUUCUGUGCAUCAAUUAAGUAAUAGGAGUCGUUUCCCAGAGCCCUGCUGAUGACGAAGGGGCCUUCCCAAGGUGCUGAGAGCUUGUGCUGGCCGGCUGUUCGCUGUAUCAGCCGGAGCACAAUGUCUCCCUCCUGGAAGGAUCUUGGCUUCACCCUUCGACUGUGGUAACGGCGCAGACCUUGCUGGUAGAUGGCGGACCGGCUGAGGGCUAACAGCCGACUUUCUUCCAGCAAGUCGACGCCGUCUUCUCUUGCUUCUUUAGCAUCCGCAUCCGUGUACAUGGUGACCCGAGGUGAGUCGAAUUCGAUGUCAGUUGGGAUGACAGCCUCGGCACCAUAUACAAGGAAGAAAGGGGUGAAGCCGGUUGACUUGUUUGGGGUAGUGUGCAGACUCUAGAGGACGGCCGGUAGCUCGUCGAGCCAGCAGCCGGUCGAACGCUCUAGCGGCACGACCAGUCGGGGCUUGAUACCGGAGAGGAUGAAGCCAUUUGCUCACUCGACUUGGCCGUUUGACUGCGGAUGGGCAACGGACGCUAAGUCCAGUCGGAUGCCCUGUCUCGCGCAGAAACGUGCCAGUGCUCCGUUGGAAAAAUUUGUGUCGUUGUCGGUGAUGAUGCUGUGUGGCACGCCAUACCGAGUUGUAAUAUCCGCAAUCAAUGUCACGGCAGUCGGCCCAAUCAGUUUCUUGAUCGGCUUUGCUUCAAUCCACUUGGUAAAUUUGUCCACGGCGACAAGCAGAUGUGUCAUGCCGCCGCGCGCCGUCUUGAAUGGGCCGACCAUGUCCAGUCCCCAGACAGCAAAGGGCCAAGUGAUGGGGAUAGUCUUGAGUGCGGAAGCCGACAUGUGUUGCUUGGAGCCGAAGACUUGGCACCCUUUGCAGUGUUUGACUAGCUCCUUGGCGUCCUCCAAAGCAGUCGUCCAGAAGAAUCCAUGGCGGAAAGCCUUGGCGACGAGCGCCCUGGAGGCGGCAUGGUGGCCGCAUUUGCCUUGGUGGAUGUCUUCGAGGAUUGCUAUGCCUUUCUCUGGCUCGAUGCAGCGCUGGAAGACUCCGGUAGCACUGCGCCUUACUAGCUCUUGGUUCAUUAUUGUUUAAGCUCCGGCUCGGCGUUGGACUUGACUUGCCGAGAUCUCGUCAGUUGGUAGCUCUCCAUUUACCAGGAAAUGGAGGAUGGGCUGGGCCCAUGAUGGAGCUGUGAUUUCUUCAACUGCGAAAAAUGGGUACUGCAACCAGGGUGGGCAGUGUCGGUGCGAGGACGACACCUAUGGGAUCACGAGAAUCCCUACUACGGUUGCGAGGUGCGGGGUUGUGAGAAGGGUGGAUCAAACAUGUAGCACACGGGUUAUUUAUCCAAGUUCGGGCCGCGAGGAUGCGUAAAACCCUACUCCUGUCUUGGUGAUUUGUUUAUCUGUGUUCCUGAGCUAGCAAUGGGGCGUGAAGAGCUCCAAAAAGCCGAAUCCCUCUCCUGGUCGCCCUGGGCCUCCUUUUAUAGGGAAAGGGGCCGCCACAGUGGCACACAGGAGGUGGAAAGGGCACAGUGAUACGAGUUUAUCCCUCGCAUUACGUGAUAAGGCGCAUUUAAUGCGUCGUGCUUAGGUGUCCCUACUUUAUCAGGGGCGGGGGAGAGCCCAGUCUUGUCCGUAGCCGAUCGUGUCGACACGCGCCCUGGCCUGCGGUGCCUGUGGUGCCAUGUAGGCAGGCAGGUAGCUGAGGUGGCGCAGCGGUGGGCCUCCACGAAGAUCUGCUUGCCGCCACGCAGGUGCUUGCCCAACUGGUUGGGUCAGCAGCCGCAUGCGAACGGCGGUGGAGCUUUGGAAUUGGCGUGGGCCUGACUGUGGCCCUAUGGGUGCCUUUAUCAAGGGCCUCACCGUAGCCCCGGCAAGAGUCUUGCCGGGGCCCCGGCAAGGGUCUUGCCGUGGCGCCUGCUAUCAUCCCCGUUAAGGCUCCUGCUGGGGAUCUUGUGGUCCUCCUUGGCUGGGAUCCCGCCAGGGGUCGUCAUCUUCUAUAGUGUGAAUUUGAUCUUGAAUGUGUCUUCACAAAGAUCUGCAUGCCACCACAGGGAUGUCUCCCGAAUCCUUGCCCCAUGGGGGCAGUGAACUCAAGGGUGAUUUGCUCCAUAGGUGUGGGGCGAGGUGCCACGGCAAGGGCCUUGCCGGGUUUGCUAAAACCGCCCCCGGCAAGGAUCUUACCGGGGGAGUCCACUUCAUCCCCUUUGCUCUUUGUGGUCUUGGUCUUGGCAUCGUUCUGCUCUUUCCGAGCUUCGGUCUUACCUUGGCUUACCUCCCUGCCUUGCUUGGCGUGGUGGUGUCCGUGGCUCGAACUGCCCGUGCACAGUUAUAGGGGUACAAAAAGUGUACCCCUCCUUUUGUACACCGACAGGACCCCCCGGUCCUGGUCCACACGUGAGCGUAAUCGCGUCGUUGGGCUAGGCCCAAAAAUGGUGCGCGGGGAGGCGGGGUAGUUUUUACCGCGGUAGGUUCCUUCGCGCAUCGUGCUUCCCACAUCUCUCGUGCGUGGCUCGGCAUGGGGAGGCGUGUGUGACGUGGGCGGCAUGCGUGGGGCUGAGCUCUGCGCGCAUGCGUCACGUCGCAGUUAAUGUGAAAGGAGGCGGCCCGCGUCUUCCCCCAUAAGAAGGAAUAACCGUGGGCGCGCUGCUCACUUUCUCCUCUUCCCUCGUACCUUUUCUGAUCUCAGAGCCACUGUUUCCUCCCUUCCUUCCCUCCUAAGCUUUCGCCGCCGCCUGCCGUUGCUGUUUUGCCACCCCUCUUCCUCAAUCCUCUAGAUUUCUUGGCCGCCAUGGCGCCCAAAUCUGCCAAGGGUAAGAGAGUAGCCAAGAGCUCUGGGACCGUGGAGACACUGGAGAGUGCGCUGUCGGGGGAUCGGACGAAGUCCGCCUUCUUUCUCCCCUCAUCCAUUGGUUUUCAUGAGCUUCGGGCCUCCUUCAAGCCCUUAUGGGGAGUGAAGACGGGGGGUGAUAAUUCAGGGCAUCCAGCAACACACGUCGUCCCUGCCGCUUGCGCCGAUCCUGCUCCAAAUCGGUAUCCCUUUUUUGUUGAUUACUUUUCCUGUGGGCUAUGCCCCCCUUUUUCCGAUUUCUUCUGCGACAUUAUGCACACCUUAAGUUUUCAUCUCUUGGACUUUACUCAGAAUGCGGUGGCCUGCCUGGCCCUCUUUGCGCAUCUUUGCGAGGGUUUUGCCGGAGUGCAGCCCAACACGACGCUCUUCCGCCAUUAUUUCUCCCCUUGAAUCCAGCCCUGAGGCGCCGUCUCUAGAUGCGUCGCCUGGAUCCCAAGAUCCAAAGGGGCAUACCCGGAGGGAGCCAUGAAGGAGAGGUGGGAUGAAUGGCGUAGCCGGUGGUGCUGGAUUGAAGACGAAGACCCGCCGAAAUUCUGCAAGGUCUUUCGAGUGCCACCGGUUCGCGGCAGCGAUUGGGGUGAUGCUGAUGCCGCCGACGAGAGGCUGAUUGUCGCCACCACCAGGAUCCUUCGGCUGACCCGGGCCGGGCUCACUCUGGAGAUGAUCGGGGCGGGCUUCAUUCGCCGCCGGAUCGCCCUGUUGCAUAAUAAGGGGAGGCCUGCCUUGCUUUUUACAAACCCGGCCGACAUUAUGCGGCUCCGCCCUGGCCUCGAUCACAAUUUCACGGUAAUGUCGCAUGCCCACUUCUGUCAGCGGCUUUUCUAGCUUGGCGUGGGUUGCGACGGCGAGGUCGAACGGACCGGCAAGGCCGCCAGAGCUGCCGCGAAGGUCGGCAAGGCCGUCAGGGGUUCAUUCUUCCAGUUGCCGGCGGGGGUGGUCCCAUUGUGCAAUAAUUCACGUCGGUCCGAAAUCAUCGCUAUGAUGCCAGACUGCAACGCACACGGCCCUGUCCCGAGCUGGAGGGAGCCGAGGGACGCAGAUGUGCAGCAAUUCUUCGACUCCUUGUCCGAAGUAUACGUCGAUGCCGAUGCCGAGCGGCGGCUGGUCAUGGACACCACCCAGGCAGAGCUGGACUACAUCGCCAUCAGGGCGAGGAAGGCACAACUUGCCACGGAGGCUAGCAGCGCCGGGGGGGGUGGAAGACAAGGCCGCGACAGCUGCGGAGGAGGAGCAACUCACCCUGUGGGCGGUGGCCACCGGGGAGGUCAGCAGCGCCGAUGCUGGAGCUCCGCUUGUUGAGGAUGCGGCCAACGAGUCGUCGGAGGAGGAGGACGUGGCGGCGGGCUCGACGCCGACCAGGGGAAGAGGGCGAGUCCUGCGGCGAGCUGGCUCUGGCGAGCCGGUUCGGCCCGGCAGGACUGUGCAGUCUCAAUUGACCCUGGAGGUGUCCGGGCGCCACACGAGGGCCACGACAGCGAAGGGGCUGACGAAGUCUGCUGAGAAGAAAAAGGCGACGGCCCCUUCCUCAUCUGGGUGCACACGAACCCCGCCGCCUUCUUCGCCUCCUCCGGUAGGCGUCAACUCGGAUGAUGACGUGGACCUCCCUUUUGACCUCGGGCCUCUCAGCCCGGAGAGGAAAAGGAAACUGGCGGAUGAGGAGGAGACGGAGGACGAGUAAGUACUCUGUUCCUUACUGUCAUUUCCACCUCCCCGUACCGACUCGCUUGUCUUGAUCCAUUUCUGCUUUUGCAGGGAGACAGAGACGUUGGCCCAGAGGGUGAAGAGGGAGAGGACCCUGGCGAGCAGUGAGCCCCUGGCUGGGGCGUCGGGGACACCGCUGGUGGUGCUGAGCAGCCCGGACAGCAGCCCCCGACGCAGCCCCCAGCGUAAGCCCAUCACUCUCUUCUUAUUCGACAUGCGGUAGGUGCUCGAUGCCAUGACGCUGAUCUUGCCGGAUUUGCAGGAGGGGAGCGGCAGUAGGAGGAGCCGCAGAGGGCUACUCCCAACACACCACCCCCGUCAACUAUGCCGUCGCGGGGGGCGUCCCCAGCAAGGGCACCAGACGCGGAGCCCGCACCCAUGGAGGAGGAGGAGAACUUGGGCGCUGGUGAUCCUGUCGCUGCGCCGGAUGCUGGCGGGGAGGGGACCUCUGCUCCACAGUCCGGCACCGAUGAGUCAUCCGCGCUUCAUCUCUGUUUUCCCUUUAUCCUUUUCUUGGCUUCAUCGCCCCCAUUGCUGCCCAGGCCCUUCCUCCUCAGACUUCGAGGACGCGGACACUAUUGUUGGGGGCACUGCUGAGGAAGCCGCGGUGGGGGCCAGCAGGAUUGCCGCCGAGGAGGCCGCCAAGGGUGCCGCCGAGGAUGCCGCUGCGGGAGCUGCCGAUGCGUCUCGCGGGGCCCCUGCCGAGGACGCCAGUAGUGGGCCUGCCGGCGAGGCCGGCAAGGCCUUUGCUGAGGAGGCGGUGGCGGGUGACCAGCCUCCUUCUUCCUCAACCUCGGGCCCCCGCAAAUAUCUGAAGGUGGGCAACGGUCUUUUCAUCCAUCUCCCGGGGGCGUCAUGCCGAGCGCCCACCGAGGGAGAGGCUUUUGACGGUGAAGUGCUUGCCACCACCGGGCUUGAGGUGGUUGAUGAGCCGAGCAUUGGCGGUGAUGGUUCCGCAGAAGAGCAGCUUUUCCGCGCCAUGGGGGCCGACCUCCGGAAGCUCCAAGCGCUCUACCGUGCCCGCCUGGACAAGGUCAAGUCCAGGAUGGCGGCGGUGGACAACGCGGAGGUGGACUUCAAGGUGCGCAUCGCUGAGACACAGACCUGGUUCCACCGGACUCGCGAGGAGCAGAGGGCCUUUCAGGAGGAAUUAGCCAAGCGCGAUGUGGAGCUUACCAUGAAAAUGGCCGACAUUGAGAAGGCCCUGGAGAAGGCGGCAAACCUGGCUGCCGCAGCCGAAGCCGCUCGAAACCAGCAUCAAGCCGCCCUGGAUUCCCAAGAGGAGGACCUCUCCGCGCGUGAGGCGAAGCUUAUCGCAACGCUUCGCGGCAAGGACGAGGAGCUCGAGGCACUUAUCGUGCGUCGGACCCGCGAACUAGAGCAGAGGCACAAGGAGGCACUUGAUGCCCAAGCUCUGGCCCACACCGGCAAGGUGAAGGAGCUGGAAGCAGGGCAGGAUGAACUGAAGGAGCAGGCCCUCAGGCUGUCCGGCGAGAAGGACACGCUCAACCGCGCCCUGGUCGAGGUGCAUGGAGCGGUCAUCAGUAGGACUGGGGAGCUCUCCGACGCGUGGAACUCCGUCAAAGACCUCAAGCUGAAGCUGGAGGGCCUCGAGAAGAUGCUGUCGGAGAGCAGGGCUCAGGAGAAGACUCUGACCAGGUGCCUCGAGGAGGAGAAGCAGCCGCGGGCAAACGAGGCCGCAUCCCACCAGGAAUAUGUGGUGGGCGAGAACAGGUGGAUCAGCCAUCUGGAGGUCGUCGCCGGCAGGGUCACCUUGCAAUUGGCCACCAUGGGGAUGCCAAACGUGAGGUACACCCCCGAGCGCGGCGGGACCGUCAACACCAAGCUGACCCAGUUCUUCGAGGGCGUCCUUGGAGCCUUGGGCUAUCUUCAUUCCAAGAGAACGGCCACGCUGGCCGAGGAGGCCCGGCGACUUUGCCGGAAGGUCGUGACCAAGGUCCUCACCAAGGUGGCGAAUUGGAAUCCCAACCUUGACUUCGCGGCCUCGAUGAAGAGCUUGCCGGAUGGCGUUGACCUCAUGGUUCUCAAGGAGCGCAUCAAGCCCAUCACCGACGGCAUCGACGAAAUCAAGAGGGUGGAAGGCCAUCGCCGGGAUUAAGCAUCCCGUUCCUCUUCGCCGCUGCAGGUUCCCGAUCAUGACAUGUUUUAUCUUUAGUUAGAACCGCAGCUAUGACGUGAUGUAAUAUAACUUUAAAGUACUCUUAACUUUCAUGCAUGUUAUUCCCCCGUUCAAUUCUUCUUUGUAUGUGCGUCCCUCGCUGAUCGGAUAGGCUUGCCGGCGCGGAAGCCCUUAGCGGCGUUUUGGGGACGGAUCCCCAAGGCCUGUCGGGUGCACGUGCUGCCGGACGAGCCACCUUUCCGUUCCAAACGCGGCCGCUCGGACUGUCGAGGUUGACUCGAAUCAGAACCGAGGGCGUUGUUGGUCGUGGAAGGGUACUCUGCCACUCCCGACGCAGCCACUUGAGCUGUCGAGCGGGCUCGAAACAGGACAAGGGCAUUGCCGAUCUUGGGAGAGCCCCCUGGCGUAUAGGUUUCCCAUGCAAAGACGUGACAUCUCCGGGGGAAAAUUACAUCAAAUAAGAAGGGUUGUACGAACAAGCUUUCAGUGCAACUUAUCUUCCGUAUGCCGUCGCUCGAGCAUAGAUCUUCUGGCCUCCUUUCUCCUCCCAGGGUCACGAAGGCGAAGGAGCGCCGGGCUAACUGCUAGAGCCGAUUCUCACAACCGUGCCCCCUACCUGGCACGCCAAAGAUGUCAGUGCGAGGACGACACCUAUGGGAUCACGAGAAUCCCUACUACGGUUGCGAGGCGCGGGGUUGUGAGAAGGGCGGAUCAAACAGGUAGCACACGGGUUCUUUAUUCAGGUUCGGGCCGCGAGGAUGCGUAAAACCCUACUCCUAUCUUGGUGAUUUGUUUAUCUGUGUUCCUGAGCUAGCAAUGGGGCGUGAAGAGCUCCAAAAAUCCGAAUCCCUCUCCUGGUCGCCCUGGGCCUCCUUUUAUAGGGAAAGGGGCCGCCACAGUGGCACACAGGAGGUGGAAAGGGCACAGUGAUACGAGUUUAUCCCUCGCAUUACGUGAGAAGGUGCAUUUUAUGCAUCGUGCUUAGGUGUCCCUACUUUAUCGGGGGCGGGGGAGAGCCCAGUCUUGUCCGUCACUGAUCGCGUCGACAUGCGCCCUGGCCAGCGGUGCCUGUGGUGCCAUGUAGGCAGGCAGGUAGCUGAGGUGGCGCAGCGGUGGGCCUCCACGAAGAUCUGCUUGCCGCCACAUAGGUGCUUGCCCAACUGGUUGGGUCAGCAGUCGCAUGUGAACGGUGGUGGAGGUUUGGAAUUGGCGUGGGCCUGACGGUGGCCCUACGGGUGCCUUUAGCAAGGGCCUCGCCGUAGCCCCGGCAAGAGUCUUGCCGGGGCCCCGACAAGUGUCUUGCCGUGGCGCCCGCUAUCAUCCCCGGCAAGGCUCCUGCCGGGGGUCUUGUGGUCCUCCUUGGCUGGGAUCCCGCCAGGGGUCGUCAUCUUCUAUAGUGUGAAUUUGAUCUUGAAUGUGUCUUCACAAAGAUCUGCAUGCCACCACGGGGAUGUCUCCCGAAUCCUUGCCCCAUGGGGGCAGUGGACUCAAGGGUGAUUUGCUCCGUAGGUGUGGGGCGAGCUGCCACGGCAAGGGCCUUGCCGGGUUUGCUAAAACCGCCCCCGGCAAGGAUCUUGCCGGGGGAGUCCGCUUCGUCCCCUUUGCUCUUUAUGGUCUUGGUCUUGGCAUUGUUCUGCUCUUUCUGAGCUUCGGUCUUACCUUGGCUUACCUCCCUGCCUUGCUUGGCGUGGUGGCGUCCGUGGCUCGAACUGCCCGUGCACAGUUAUAGGGGUACGAAAAGUGUACCCCUCUUUUUGUACACUGACAGGCGGGCUGGGUUGUGAGGAGUUGGAGUCGGCCUCCGCCUGCUGUGUUGAUGCAGUCCCCGGGCCGCCUGCCUGGUCCCCAAAGUCGGAUCCGACUGCGUCGGUGUCAGGCGGCACGAAGAUGGAACUGGAUUCCGGAGAUGGCUUGACAGAUGGCUUGAGGAGGCGUUGGAGGGCGACGCCGGUUGGUAUAACUUGUCAGGUGGAGCCUAUUCGUGCGAGGGCAUCUGCUUGCUCAUUGUCGGCCCGUGGCACGUGAAGGAACUCGCACCCCUCAAAAUAUCCGCUGAACUGCUGGACGAGGAAACGGUAGCUUGCCAUGUUUGCGUCCUUCGCAUCCCAGUCGCUGGAUGAUUGCUGAACCACUAAGUCCGAGUCGCCAUAACACAGGAUCCGGAGGAUGCCGAGUUCCUUGGCUAGCCGGAGCCCGUGUAUGAGCACCUCGUACUCGGCCACAUUGUUGGAGGAGGCAAAGUGGAUUUGCAGUGUGUAUCUGAGUUUGUCGCCCUUGGGAGAGGUGAGGACGAUGCCGGCUCCCAAGCCGGUGCGCAUCUUGGACCCGUCAAAGUGCAUCCGCCAAUGAGUGGAGUCGGGGGCAGGUGGCAUGUAUUGGGUCUCGGCCCAGUCGACGAGGAAGUCGGCCAAUGCUUGGGACUUGAUGGCAGUGCGGGGCUGAUAGUAGACUGUGUAAGGAGCCAGCGCAAUGGCCCAUUUCGCCACUUGACCGGAUGCGUCCCGGCUGCCCAUGAUCUCGGCAAGCGGGGCAGUGCAUACAACCGUGAUGGGAUGUUCUUGAAAGUAGGGCUUGAGUUUCUUGGAGGCGAAGUACACACCAUAGCACAUUUUCUGAUAGUGCGGGUAGUUCUGUUUUGAGGCGGACAGUACUUCACUCAAAUAAUAUACCGGCCUCUGGACUAGCUGAUCUCGUCCUUCUUCGGGACGCUGGACUAUGAUGACCGUGCUGAGCACCCGGCUGAUGGUGGCGAUGUAGAGGAGCAUGGGCUCCUUCUCAGUUUGGGCCACCAAGACAGGUGGUGUGGGCAACAUCUUCUUUAGCUCGUGGAAAUCUUGGUCCGCCUGGUCAUUCCACUCAAAGUGAGUGGACUUCUUCAUGAGUCGAUAGAGGGGGAGAGCCUUCUCUCCGAGCCGGCUCAUGAAGCGGUUCAAAUACGCCAAACAUCCGGUGAACUUUUGAAUGUCUCGCAGCUUGGUAGUGACUUUCAUUCUCUCUAUAGCCUUGAUCUUCACUGGGUUGCACUCGAUGCCACGUUCGGAGACCAGGAAGCCUAGAAGCUGGCCGGCUGGUACCCCGAACACGCAUUUCUCCGGGUUGAGCUUGAUCUGAAACUGGCGCAAAUUCUCAAAGGUCUCCUUGAGGUCUUCCAACAGGGUGCCGCGCUUCUCCGUCUUCACCACAACAUCAUCUACGUAGAUGUGGGCAUUUCUGCCGAGUUGCUUGAGGAGGCAUUUUUGCAUGCAACACUGAAAAGUGGCACCGGCAUUUCUCAAGCCGAAUGUCAUAGUCAGGUAAUAGAAAGCUCCGAAUGGGGUGAUGAAGGCGGUCUUCAAGCGAUCAGCCGGGUUCAACUUUAUCUGGUGGUAGCCUGAAUAAGCAUCCAAGAAACUCAACAGCUCGCACCCGGUUGUGGAGUCUAUCACUUGGUCGAUCCUUGGCAGGGCGAACGAAUCUUUAGGGCAGGCUUUCUUGAGGUUGGUGUAGUCGAUGCACAUGCUCCACUGCUUGUUCUUCUUCAAUACAAGGACCGGGUUGGCAAACCAUUCUGGAAAGAACACCUCCGUAAUGAAGCCGGCUGCCAGAAGCCGGGCUAUUUCUUCUCCAACUACUCUUCUCUUCUCCUCCGACAGGCGGCGCAAGGGCUGCCUGACCGGCUUUGCAUCAGAUCGGACGUGUAGCUUGUGCUCGGCGAAAUCCGUCGGAACACCCGGCAUGUCUUUGGGGGACCAUGCAAAGACGUCCCGAUUCUCACAGAGGAAAUCGACGAGCUCGCCUUCCUAUUUCCUGUCAAAGCCUGUGCCUAUGACAGCAUGCCUCUCCGGGUGCUCCGGGUCUAGAGAUAUCUUCUUUGUCUCCCUGGCCGGCUGGAAAGAACCUUGAGCUUCACAUUCUUUGGGGUCGGGGGACAACGCCGGCUGCUUGCCAGCCAAGGUCACAAUUCGAUCCAGCAUCUUCUUCUCUUCGGCGAUUACGAGGGACUCAGCCAGCCGACUGCUGGCUGCUGCACACUCAGAAGACUUCUUAUAGUCUCCGGCUAUGGUGAUAAUGCCCUUGGAACUCGGCAUCUUCAUCUUGAGGUAGGCGUAGUGGGGCACAGCCAUAAACUUGGCCAACGCUGGUCGGCCAAGCAAUGCGUGGUACGGGCUCUCCAAAUCCACUACCUCGAACGAUAUUGCCUCUCGGUGGAAAUGAUCCUUGUCCCCAAAGAGGACAUCCAUCUUGAUCUUGCCGAUUGGUGAGCAGGACAGGCCGAGUACGAUGCCGUGGAACACAGUCCGGCUUGGCAUGAGUUGCUUCGGCUUGAUGUUGAGCUUCUCCAUUGUAUCUCGGUACAAUAUGUUGAUACUGCUCCAGCCGUCUAUCAGUACGCGGGAGAAUCGGGCAACGCGUCUCUCCGUUGCCAGGGUGGCAUCCAAAACUAGGGCAUAGGAUCCAGGAGACGACAUCACCUCUGGGUGGUUGUCUCGGCUCUAGCUGAUGGGCUUCUCUGACCAAUGCAUGAACUCAGGGUUACUGGAGGAGACCGCGUUGACUUCUUGCUGCUGUCGGCGCCGGCUGCGCCGAUCUUCUAUCUGGCUGGUGAACACGACGUAGGCCGCUUGCUCGUCCGGGAACUUAGCUUGGAUAGCUCUGACUGCAGGCCGAGCGGCCGGCUGCUGCGUGGUAGGAGGCGGCUGGCCUGCAGGUGGAGGCGGCAACAGCCCCUCGCCCUUGGAGAUUUGGGUGAGCCAAUGACACUUCCGUGUUGUAUGGUUGGACGGCUUCAUGCUGCUGUGGAACUUGCAAGGGGCGUUGAGGGUUUGCUCGUAGGAGAAAGCCGGCUGCCAAGCCGGCCUGCCGCCCUUCUGCUUCUUCAGAGCCAGCCGUCCCUCAGGCUGCUCUUCUUCGAUCGUGGCCACCUGCCGGCUAGUGGAAGGCGGCAUAGGGGCCUUGCACUUGUGGUCGUUUUGAUACGGGCGCCGACUUGAUACUCCAACUGGCGUCUUGGGAGCCGGUGUCAGCACUUUUCCGGAGGCGUAUACCCGGAGCUCGGUCUUCAUUGAGGAGUCGGCCGUGGCAUACUUGUCCGCGAUGAUCAGUAGCUCAUCAAGGGUAGCCGGCUCGUCGCAGAGGAGUCCGUGCUUGAGGAGAGUGCCCUCGCGGCACCCAGCGGUGAAGUACUCUAUGGCCUGGACCUCGUGCACCCCCUCGCAGGAGUUGCGGAGCUCGGGCCAACGCGUGAGGUAGUCACGGGUUGAUUGGCUGGGCCCUUGUACGCAGAAGGAGAGCUGGCGGGGCUUGGGAGCCCACUUGUAGGUGCUGGUGAAGUUGCGUAUGAAGGCUUCGGUGAAGUCUAGCCAGCUGUUGAUGCUGUAAGGCUUGAGGCUAUUGAGCCAGGUGCGCGCCAUGCCUUGGAACAUCAGGGGAACGUAUUUCACGGCAACGCGUCGAUUGCCAUUCGCUAUGCGAACUGCGAUGGAGUAGUCAAUCAACCAAUCUUCCGGCUUCACGGAGCCGUUGUACUUGGGCGUGUCUCUUGGGAGCGAGAACCCUUUGGGAAAGGGCUCGUCGCGGAUGCGGGGGCCGAAACAAGGCGGGCCGACAUCAUCUUCUUCUUCCAGGGCCAGGGAUCGUGCUAGGCAUUCGAUCCGAUGGCGGGCGUCAUUCUUGCCGACUCCUUCGCGGCGACCAAGUCGGCCGCUGAGAGUCGGAUGCUCGACAGGCGGCGGGGUGGGAUAUCUCUCCCCGCGAGGCGGAGGAGGGGGCAGGUCGCCUCGUCGUUCCACUCCUCGGGGGCGGCCUUCUGCAUCACGCUCAAUGGUAAUGCGAGUCCGGCUGCGGCUAGUAGCCGGCUCCUUCUCUUGUCUGGUUCGGGCGCCACCCGCAGUCGGCGUACGCGAUGUCUCGCCGUGCUCUCGGCGAGGGGGGCUUCCAGCUCGGAUGCCGGCUUCAUGCCGUGCUGCGGCUGCGUCGAUCAGCUGCUGGAUGCGUCUGGUCAUGUAGGGGAGCUCGUCGGCUCCCAGUCCGUUUAGCUCGUCAACGAUCGACUGGGCGGCGCGUAGAUUCUUGAGGGGCGUGGCGCAGACCGGGCGGUCCGCUCCCAGCAUGCUGGCAAUGGCCGCGCCGCGUUUCUUGACAACGCCGACUCAGCUUGGCCCUUCUGGAGGCGGCGUGCCGAAGGCGGCACGGUCGACUUUGCGCUGGUGGGCCUCCGUGAGGCGUCUCAUGGUGGCUAUCUUCUGGCCCUCCGCAAGGAGGGCAAGGCGGCGUGCCUCCAACGCCUCAGCGUCAGCGUCCGCCGGGAUGGGGGCGGACAGGUCGUGCAAUGCGGCCUGCAGGGCGUCGUGGGCGUUCUCGUCGGAGGCGACGCCAUGGUUGAUGACUAGCACUUCGGUGACGGUGCUGCUGCCCCUGUCAGGUUAAGGGAGAGGGUCGUCGAAGACCAUCACGUCAGAGGGGAAGGCGUCGAGCGACGCCAUGUCAGAAUCGACAAGCAUCGGGUCGGUGGAGCCGAACAACUCCAAGUCCACGGUAGGCUCGCCGGAGACAUGGAGUUGGUCGAGGAGGCUGAGGAGGCGGCUCUCGGGGCAGCCUGUGCCCGCGUCGGAUGCGGGCUCGUCGGAGAUGCGAGUCUCGCCAAGAAGAUCGGCGAGGCAGCUCGCUGCGCAGGCGUCGUCGAUGCUUUGCAGCACGUCGGGGCAAGUGCCAUCGGGCGUGCCGGGCUGGCUACGCUCACUGGGGAGGAAGAGGGUUCCCGUCCAGAGUAGGUCUCCGGACGACGGUGCACCUAUCCCCAUGGUGGGUGCCAAAUGUCGGGUGGUAGGUGCGACAUAUGCCAACGGGUGGCUUAUCAUUGUGGGAGCUAGUAAGACAUCGCCGGUGCCUGGAAACAGGAUAAGGCGAAGACAUGCACGCCGGCGGAUCUUACCCAGGUUGGGGGCUCUCUGUGGUGAUAAUACCCAUACUCCUGCUCUGCGGGGUCUCCGCAUGAUCACUAGAUCGAUAAGAAGCUACAAGAGGCUCCUUGAGCUGUUCGGUGGGAGGAGGAAGAAGGGAAGGCUAGCUCUCUUCUCUCCCUAUGGUAGUGUCUAAAACUCUCUGAGAUCCACGCUUUGCAUGGGUGCCCCGGGGGAUUUAUAUAGGCCUACCCCCCGGGGGUACAAUGGUAAUCCGGCCUGGGCGUGGGCCCAGGCCGUCAGCGUCCAUGUCCGCCGGCUUUUGGGGUCCGCCGACUGGUGGGUCCCACUGGCUGCCAGCACAUUGGUCGACAGGCCGGCCCCACCACUUGGGGGGUCUUGUUGAGGGCUGGUUACUAUAGCCUCGCCUCUAAUGACGAGGGCUUUGUCGAGGUAAGAAUGGCUACAGUGUUGCUGCCUUGCGGGUGCUCACUGUAGCCUUAUCUCGUCUUGUCUGCUUAAUGGUGCGCGCGCCCCGAGGAGGGGAGCAUGCCGGCUAUAGGAAGCCGGCCUGGCCUUAGGCCGGCUGGGGGUAGUCAGGACGCCUUCGGAUGUCUCUCUGACCGAAGGGGCCCGCCGCCUUUGGGCCGUACCGAUGGCCCAUCGUGGUUGGCGUCAUGGUUCGCAUGGCAACAGUGCCUCGCCGGACAAGAGACGUCCGCCCUGUACGGCGUACUGUAGCCACACUUGCUCCGGGACUCGGAGAUGGCAGGGUCCACUGUAGCCAUGCCUCGUCUCGUCACCGUUAUGGGGGGUUGACUUUAGGGUGCGGCCCAUGGACGCUUGCCAUGGGCCGGCUUCUUGGAGUCGGUCCUUCAUGGUCCGGCUUCUUGGAGUUAGUCCUUCAUGGGCCGGCUUUCUUGGAGUCGGUCCUUCAUGGGCCGGGUUUCUCAGAGUCGGCCCAGUCGUGGCAUCCCCCGAAGAUUUUUUAUGGCCGGGCCGCCUUCCGCUAGUCGUCCUAGGUGAUAGCCAGCCGGAAGAAGGCGGCCCCGUGUCCUGGGCGCUUCAAAGCUCGGUUGGCCCAUUGUUUUUUCUGAGGGCCAAAGGGAGCCGCCUAGGCUACCCGUGGUCAUUUACUCCGACAGCACCCGAACGGCGGCCAGGGCGACGAUGGCGGGCAGGGAGCGCUUUAUGGCUCGACGGAGGGGUUGGGGAUGGCUAGUGGAGGGAGGAGGGGAGGCUGAAGAGCUCGGGAGGCCGCGGGGAUGGCUAUAUAUAGCCGCGGGGAGGAGCUACCGCAUUGUCACCGCCGCGGACGCGUGUCCGGCGCCGCGGACGAGUGCUCGCGCGCAUGAACUCGGGGGGAAAGCGACAAGGGAGGCACAUGGGAGAUCUCAUGGGGAAGAGACGACCAAGGGAGGGGAAGAGGAAGAGGCCGGGCGCCAUUAAUGCCCUGUCAGCCACAGAGCUCCCGUGGGCGAGCGGCGACGAGCGCUGACGACGAGGCUUCGGGAGAGGGAGAUGAGUCCAGGGGGACGUCGACGAUGCGGGCCAGCUGGUAGACACGCUCAAGAGCGCGAAGAUGAUGAGAGGAGGAGGGGGUCCACUGGACGCGGCCACUGCACACGGAGCGUGUGCACAGGCACGCCAUUGUCGUGGUCACCGCGUGCACUGGUAUCAAGAGGGGCCAAAUGGUUGUCAAAUGUUGUCUAGUGGUAAGUGCGUCGAAGGUGGGUUUUAACUGUGGUGGUAGUUUGGUGAAAACGGCUAUGGUUAAAAGGUUAGUGAGCUCUGAAGUUUACUGCAGUAAACUUUACCAGUUCAGGGUGAUCAACAGGGGGCUGUUAUGUGCCAAGUGUUAUGUCUGGGGUGUUUAGGCUAGGAAGGACUACAAUCCUGGGGAGUUUGGGAAGAAAUGGACCAAGAUUUACUGCAAUUGCUUCACAACUGACCAAAAUGGUCCAGAAACUAGAUCAUGAUGGUGCACUCACAUGGAGUGUCAACUUGUGCUAAGAUUGGGCAAGGCAGAGUCAUUUGGUCAUAUGGAGAUGCUCAAAAAGUCUCAUACCAAUUGGCAAAGCCAAAGUGGUACUUGCUUCACAAACAUCUCCUCUGGACAGAAACUUGGAAUAAUAUUGAUGAUCAAAUGGAUCAAUGAAAUGAUGCCAAAUUGGGUGGAGAGAUGUUUUAUGGGUAUAAGAAUGAUCUGGUAAAUUAUCAGGAUUUUUGAAGCAAUAUAAAAUACACUUGCUUCACAACCUAAAAAUAUUGCCAGAAUCAAAGAUUUGCUCCUGUGCUCACAUAGAAGAUUGGAUGGGGCUGCAAAUGGGAGAAGGGGGUUAAUAUGAGCACAUUAAGGAGUGUGCACAAGUUCAACCUAUUUGGAUACUCCUAGCUAGUACUUCCUUCACAAAGCCUUUUGUCUGACAAAAACUUUGAAAAUUCGCUGAGGAAGAUUGGCUAGGCAAAUAAAUUUGAACUUGUGCAUGGGGCAAUUAUUUGGACAUAUAAUCAUGCCCAAAAAGGUUGGGAGUGACUAGGAGAAAUAUAAAUGACACUUCCUUCACAAAGUGCCAUUCAGGGCAGAAUAGAAAAAAGGGAUAUUGGGGAAUUUAUUUUUAACUGGCCAAGGAAAUGUUUGGGCAUAUUUGAGCUAUAUAUGACCCAAAGGAAUUAUGAGAAUUAUUUGGGGAUUUUUGGAUGGACAGAAAUAUAGGUUGCUUCACAACCUCGGGCAGAUAGGGUUGUUCCUUUAAUGAAAAAGGAAUUUUCGCUAGAAAAAGAUUUUAGGGUUUGGUCAAGGAGUGAAGUGACAUGAUCUUUAGCAAGGUUUUGAGAAUGAUGAGCCACUUGGGAGGAGAAAUGAGGAUGAUUUCCCAAGUGGCAAGGCCACAUAACCACUCCAAAAAGAAAAAUAGAGCAAAAACCAAAUAAAUCAGAAGAAAAAGAAAAGGGCCAAAAUCCAGGCUGUUACAACCGCAGACCUCGCGGAGUUCCUGCAGCUCUACGAGAUGAGCAUCGAGGAGGCAAACGGUGACGAGAAGAUCAUGGCAAACUGGUUCCCAAUGGCCCUCAAGGAUGGCGCACGUUCUUGGCUCCUGAACUUGACCGAGGGGUCGGUUUCUUCCUGGGAGGAGAUGCGCAGCCGCUUCAUCGCGAACUUCCAGGGCACUCCUAACCGUCCACCAGCCGCGGGACACCUGCGUCGCGUCAAGCAGCAGCCUGGAGUAACCCUGCAUAAGUAUAUCCUGCGCUUCAACAACGUCGGCCUCAAGAUUCCCAAGGUGUCCGACGAGGCCAUCAUCUCCACGUUCACCGAUGGUGUCCGCGACAUCAAGAUGAAGGAGAAGCUUGCAAUCCGCGAGGACCUUUGCACUGUUCUAGAGAUGUUCAACAUGGAGAACAAGUGUGUGAGAGUUGAGUAGGGACACCUCUCCCUCCUCGAGCUCCCUGAUGCUGAUCCAGAAGACAAGAAGACCAAGACCAAGGACACGGAGUGCAAGGGCCAACUGUGCUUUCGGCAGAACCAGAGCCCAAGCGCGGCUGCAAACACCCCGAGUCAUCCAAGGGCAAGCAGUCGUUCUGUGCCUUCCACAACGUCUACAACCACAACACAAGUGACUGCCAGGAGCUCAGGGCUCUCCGCGACGAGCACCUCGGUCGACGCCCACAAUGAUCGGUGCUACGGUCGUGGAGGUGCCCGAGGUGGAGGUCGCUGGGACGGACGCGACUGCCAUCAGGAGUGGCAUGACCAGCCUCGUGAGGACCGUUGGCAGGACGAGCCUCGCAAGGGUAACUGGAGUGAGCAGCCUCGUGAGGAUCGCCCUCAAGGCAAUGCAGCCUUGCCUCCUCUUCCUCCACCACCAAGAAGGAAUGAAGAUCACCACCAGGACAAAGGAGCUGGGGGCUUCCAGGAGCUACGAGCCAUCGCAUGCAUCUUGGGUGGCUCACAGGCCCCAGCUUCUCACCGUGUCUUCAAGCAGAUUGCGCGUGAGGUCAAUGCGGUGAUCCCUAAGCUUGAGGCAACUCCUCCCCUCAAGUGGUCCAAGUGCUCCGUCACCUUAGACUCCUCAGACCGGCUCAAGUGCGCGGCCACCGCUAGCGCUCUCUGUAGGAUAUCGGGUUCCGGCAAAACCCUUAAGGUUCAAACUCUGGGGUGCGCGUGAAGAUCUUCCUCCUACCGAUCCACGUCCCGACGCCUCGCUGCGAAUCUAAGCUACACGAUGAACAACACCAGGGAUGCAAGGUUUAUACUGGUUCGGGCCACCAUUGUGGUGUAAUACCCUAAUCCAGUGUGUGGUGUGGUGGAUUUCCUCUGGGGCUGAUGACGGACAGUACAGAGGAAGAACAGCCUCGCGAGGGAUGUUCUUGUGGUGGUGUGCUUGGAGAGGAAUUGCUCCGUCUUUAUUGGCUCUAGGUGAGAUCCAUAUGCCUUCUACUGUGAUGGCUAUCUUUAUAUAUAGAGGCCCUGGUCGUCUUCCCAAAUAUUGAGCGGGAAGGGAGCCAAGAAUGGCCAUUUUGAAGGGGAACAUCUAGUACAAGUUAUCUUGACUAAAGUUGGUCUUCGGCUGCCAAAGGCACUGUCGAUAACGCCGUCUUGGGCUCCACGGUGACCUCCGUCCUGCCGCUCUGCUGGUCUUGGUCUCGUUGCACUGAAAUGGUAACCUUUGCUUGGUGCCUCGAUACUCCGCGCCUGCGCUUGCCCCCUUUGCACCAAAGAGGAAACGAGGACACUACACAGGCUAUCGCCCGCCUGGCGCCCUCCUAGUCUUGAUCGUCAUGGCUUGCGUCAUGAGCAGCUCGCGAGGUACCCCUGCCUUGAUCUCUCCGCCUCCUCGCGAGCCUGCCUGGUGAGACCGUUCCUGAGGAAGCCUUGCGUCAUCCGCCCCGCGAGGCUUGGCCCCUCGCGAGGGUCUUGAGCUUGAGUUGAUGAAGAUGGGCCGUACUGGGCCACCCCUCGAGCCACGCUGCAGGACGCACGCAGGCAAGUCUGGGGACCUCCGUUCCCAGAACACCAACAGUAGCCCCCGGGCCCAAGGCGUGCUCGGACUUGGCUUAGCAACGAAGCGAAAGGCAAGUGCGGAGCGCCGCGGGCCCCAACAGCCUGCGGCCUUGGGUGCCACGUGGCAGUUGAUUGGACAUGGGCGUCUCCGCUUCCCCAUGCUGCCUCGGCAACUGCCCGAUUUGACGAGUCCCUGCAUGCAUAGAGGGUCAUGAUUACCUGCGAUCACGGAGGCCGACGGUUGGCCUCCUCUGGACUACAAGUACGGAGAGGCAUGAGGCCCCGCAGUACAUCUCUCCUUGCUUGCUCAUUCUCGAUCUUGUCGCCAAUGGCACCGAUCCGUCGGUUCUCAUCCGAGGAGAAAGGAAAGGACCCCCGAGAGGGGCCCGACCCGCUCCCGUCGAAGAAGCGGCCGGUCCCCGGCCGCCGUGACGAGGUUGCUCGGCCAGAGGCACCGAGGCCCUAGUAGAUGCGGCCUCCUCCUGGGUUUCCACUCCCUCUAUACGCACGGUCCGAGAGCCCUAGAGAAGAAGACGUCAAGCGGCGCCACCCGCGCCGUCGGCGACGACGAUGAGUCACGGUGGUGCGCGUUGUUGCUCCUGGAGUCCAUGCCGCGGACUCCCCUCGUGAGCAUGUGCUCCACUCCGCCAUGCCUCCAAGCUCCUGGAUCUGCUUUCCUCCUUUCUUCGCCUUCGAGAUGCCGCCACGGGGGCCUCUUGAGCUUUGGCUGCAGCACGCCGACUGUGGUACCCCGGCGACCAGAUCAAAGGUUAAGGUCGUCACUCCGGGGAAGGUCUACAUGACCUGAGGCUGGGGCGAGAUUGCACGGGUCUGCCAAACAGGGGGCGCCUUCAUGAUUCAUUUCGAAUACGAUGGCGCCUCCUUGAUGCUCUUCAAGGUCUUCGACACGGAUGGACGCCGGUUGGAGUGCUGCCCCAGAGGAGGCGGCCAGGACGUCAACGUGGCGAGGGCUAGGCCUGCCCUCCGCUUCCUCAGUAGCUCCUAUGGCAGUAGCGGAGAUGCUGGGGGGUCCAGCGACUCUCCCGAGAUUCUCGUGACUCCGGAGACAAGCGACGAUAGCUACGAGCCCCCAAGCUUGUGCCGCACCCGGAGCAAGGGAGCUGCAUCAGGCCGCCGACGCGGCUGAUCUGGAUGGGGUUGGCGCCGGCGCUUGGUGGCCCACUGUUGAUGAUGAUGUCGUCCAUGGAAGCGCGUGUAGUUAGGGAUCCUUAGGAUUAGCACCUUUUGUUCCCUGCGAGGAAUCAAGGAAAUACCCCGUGGGGGCAUGUAAAGCGUAUGCAGCGUCUUUUGUUGAUAUUAUCCUUAUCAUGAAGUGGUGCAAGAUGCUUGUCCUGUCCCGGCUCGGUUCUCUCUUUCUAACCUCGUGACGGCUUGGUGAUCUACGCUGACAGGUCCCGGUCCCCAGGCAAGCUUCAGACGUCGCAGGUAUGCCAGGUCGCGAUGCCGUGGUCAAGGCCAGGAGGUGAGCGGCCUGAGGUCCAGUAAGAUCCCCCAAGGCGCGAUGCUAAGGACGUCCCCCUUAGCGCUCAAGCAGCCGCCGAAAGGCGAGAAAGUAAGCCAACGUCACCAUCACAGAGCCGCAAUGAGUGGAGGUUUGGCACUGCAUCGAUUAGCUAUUCUAGGAGCGGGACUUAUCUCGAAAGCAUGGAGCCGUUCCUUCGUGAGGCGCCAGACUUGCAUGUCGGCAGCUGGGGUGUAUCUGGGUCAGGCCUUCGCGAGCUCCUGCUCCCCUUCUUUGCAUUCUCCUUCGUGCUCAGGUCCCUCCCCUCGAGCGACCUCAGUCACCGCUGGUAUGCCAGGUCGCGAUGCCGUGGACAAGGCCAGGGGGUGAGGGCUGGAGAGCCAGUAAGAGCUCCUGAGUCAUGAUGCUCAGGAGCCCCCCUUUUAACGCGCGAGCGGAUCGUACGGGUAAGGGAGAGAGAGUGCUCACGACGCCCCCACAUUAUUGUCCCUAUAAGCCAACACGAGAGAAGCAAGGGUCGCCAUUACGAUUGCCGGCCGGCCAAUGGUUGCUCCGAGAGAAUGGUGAGGGCACUGAGGAUCUGGUGAGGUGACGCUUGCGGGGCUGCCGCGAGCUAGAGCUUGACCACUCAGAUUUGCCGAUGUUGCAGGGACGGACCCAUGCACAAGCGCCGUGUCAGUGCGAGCGGCUCCAAAGGUAUGUGUCAAUCGAGCAGGCGAUUAUCACAAGCGGCUUAAGCAUGAAGCGCAAAUCAACUUAGAAAAAUGCAGGAAAGAUACAUGUCACUGGGUCCGGCCCGAGCGGCUUGGGGAUGAUGCAGCCUGAGGGGCGCCCCCAGCAAAGUGAAUUGAAGACAUAAGCAAAACAGAUACAUGCUGCGGGGACGGACCCGCGCGACCUGGGAAUGAUGCAGCCCUGAGGGUGCUCCCAGCUGAAAUGAAACUCGAAAGAUAUCACUUGGUAUCAUUGCAGAGCCGGUGUUGGAGUAGCUGAUGAUGCACGGUGAAGAAGCCGAUCCUUACGAGCCAUCAGAUCCUUGAGCCUCGGGAGGCUCUGGGGGUCCGGGCGGCUCCUCAAGGUCCAUAUCCAUCUCUGCCAGGAACGCGUAGUGUCUGGCCUCCCGAGCUUCCAGAAUGCUCCUCAUUAGGCGCUGGUGAGCAGCAUCCGCGUUCGGCAGGCCGAAAGGCAUGCAAACAUAGCUGUGAGGUGGACCCUCGCAACGUCCCACACGCGAAGGCCAGAAACGCACCUGAGACGCGACUCGGUUGAGCCCUGGGUAGUUGAUGUAGACGCGCAGCCCGCCAUCCUCGCCUGGAUGGGGAGCUACGCCAGGCAAGCGGCAAUUUCCGCGCAUGACUCUCGAUUCCUGCAGCUCCUGAGUGACCUUGGUGAUGAACUCCUGAGGGUUGGGCCCUCCUUGCCUUAUGCCUUCCUGAGGGAAACGUGCCGCGAAGCACGCCUCCAAGUGGUGCCCGAGCGCCUCCCUCGUGACCUUGGCAAAGUCAGAGGCCCUCCAGGAGAGCCCCCGAUCCUUGCCCGAGGAGGGCGCCUGUCACAUCCCUGGUCCUGGUCUGCAGUAGGCUAGCCCUUCAUGUGUGCAUCAUGUUUAAUUUUUCAAAUGAACUUGAAUUGGGGAUUGCUCAAACCCUAGCACUAGAUCGAAUCAACUAGGUUCAAAUAAAAACAUUCUCAAUGAACCCAAAAUGCUCUUCAGAAAAGUUCAUUAUUUUUGAAUUGGUCUGGAACCUCUUCCAAAAAUGGUGCACAUUUUCUAGGCCAUUCUGGAUUUUUGAAUUAAAUCAUAUAGUAUUUGCAUUUGGGCAUUUAAAUGCUAUAAAAUAUUUUAAAUGCUCAAAUAAUCCCAAACUGAAAUGUUUACUGUAGGAUAUAUUUCCAACAGUGGUCAUGAGUAGUUGCAUGAUUUUUGGGAUUGAUUUAGUAUUUUUAAUAAAGCCACAAAGCUACAGAAGAAAUAGAAAACUAAAACAAAUAAAAGAGAGGGAGAGAAGUUACCUGGACCUACCUGCUGUGCAGCCCACCUGGCCAGGCCAUCUGGCGGCCCAGUUGGCUGGCCCAGCCCAGCCAGCGCUGCCUGCUUCUUCAACCUUCUGCCAGAAGGAGAAGCAGGUGUGUGGCGAGCGCGCAACCGAACGCGGCCACCUCCUGCUUCCCGCCGCUUCCUCGACGCGGCUGUGAACGCCACGCCACCCCCGGACCCUCUGCACCUCUCCCCUCUCUCGCUGGACCUCCUCCCCCUCCUCUGUUUCUCCCUCCCGCGAACACCCGAGCGCGCUCAUCGCCACCGUUCGCCGCCGCCGUGUCCACCGUAUCCACCUCGCUCCCCCGAUCGGCCUACGAGCUCGGCCUGGUUCCCCUCUUCCUCCUCACCAAGACGCACGGCACCGGAAGCCCCUAGACGCCGCCAGCGCCGCUGUCUCUGUCCUCGGGUGCCGGAGAUCCCCGCCGAUGUUCCGCCGGACCCCGUGUCUCCCCUGCCUCUCCAGCAGCACCAGAAGAACCGCGGUGAGCAUCUGCACCGUUUCCCCCAUACCCCGUCGCCUAAUUCAUCCUACAACCGCCGUUUCCACCGAAGCCGUGAGCUCCUCGCCACCGGCGAUGGUGCAGACGAGGCCAUGGGCACUGCAGCCUGUAUCCGAGCACACCAGCAUGCUCGGCGCACCUCCAGGAACCUGCAGCCACCAGUAGCUCCCCCUCCCAUGCCCUCUAGCACCAUACUCGAUCGCUCCCAAACGCCGGCCGCCGCCACGAGCUCGACUCCGGCGAGCUCGUUCGACCCCAGCCCCUCCUACUUGGCUCUCUGGAUGCGCAAGAGCAAGGGCUAUGCCCUGGUGCCCUCAGCGCACUAAACCGACGUCUCUAGCGCAAGUCCGGCGUGCCCCCGCUGUGUUCUGUGGUCGCCGCCGGCUGGUCUCCAACGUGCUGACGUGGCGCCAUCAUUAGGGGCUAAUGACCCUGCUAAUUAAGCCCUCUGUCACUGACGUAUGGGCCCCACGCCCUUAAUUAAUCUUUGUUUAUUUUCUGUUAAGUUUAACUAACCACCUGGGCCCCACCCGUUAGCUUUGACCGCGCUGACAUGGCUGUUGACUGGCCCCACAUGUCUGUGACCCAGAGAGCACUGUGUCACUGACCAGUGGACCCUACUGGUCAGUUUGACCUAGACCAGCUCUGUUGACUCUGCUGACGUCACAAUGACGCAACGCUGACGCAGUAAUUGUCUUCUGGUUUUCAAAUAAUUCAAGAAAUUCCAGAAAAUAGUCUAAACUUCUAAAAAUCAUAUAAAAUCAACCGUAACUCCAAAUGAAACAAAUUAUAUAAGAAAAAUGAUCAGAAAAAUCCAAUCUAUCCAUCUGUACCAUUUUCAUGCAUGUUAGAACAACCUAUAGCUGCUGUUUAGCACAAGUCAUAAAAAUGACAUUUGAAUUUCACAUAUGGAGUUUGGAUUUGAACUUAGGGUUCAAACCAACUUCAUUUAACUUGCUGCUAGUUGCAUUAGCCCAAACCACAGCAUAUUGCCAUGUCAUGAUCAUGCAUCAUAUUGGGCAUUGCAUUGAUUGUGUUUCUUCUUUAUUUGUCGGUGCUUGUCCCCUCUCAGUAGACGAUGUUCCGACGUUGUGAUCGUUGACACUGAUGAAGAGUCAAUGCUAUCUUCAGAAGUGCCAGGCAAGCAAAACCACCUUGUUCAUUCCGAUAAAAUCCUACUCUCUCGCUCCUGCUCUCUUUUACUGCAUUAGGACAACAACGAUUCAUCUGUUACUUGCUGCGGUAGCUGAACCCCCUUAUCCUUUGCAUGACCUGUCAUUGCCACAGUAAAUAGAUGAAACCCACUAGCAUGAGUAGGAGUUGUUUGAGCCCUAUUGUGCCUACUCAUUCAUACUUGUUUGUCAUGCCUGCUACUGCUUAGAGUUGAGUCAGGUCUGAUUCAUCGGGGAUGAAUUAGAGGUGUGUGAACAUGUCCUACUGUUGAGAGCUAAGUGUGUGAACACGAUUUGGUAAAGGUAGCGGUGAGAGGCCAUAUAGGAGUACAUGGUGGGCUGUCUCAUUCCACCCGUCCUCAGGAACUGAGUUCUGUGUUUGUGAUCCAUGACCAGUUACUACCACGCAUUGGAAUGCUUAAGUGCCCCUCUCGACUUAUUAAUCAACUCGAUCACUGUCCAGGAGUUGCAACUAGUUUCUGGUGUUUGUAGGCUGUGUUAGUAGUCUACCAAGUGGUACCCAGUACAGGUGGGCUUGGGACAGACUAGGCACCAUGGCACGGUGUACCAAGCGUAGAUCCACCCGUUGAGGUGGGCUUGGGAACCCUGCACACAUCCUUUGGGGCCGUGAGCGACACCCCGGCCGGAUCUCCUUGCGGAUGGAACCUGAAUAGGCGAUAAACCUGGACAAGAGACUUGUGUGGUUAGUCAGGUCGUGGCCGACACCCUCGCUGGGCUUCCGCUUGAAGGUUGCCAAGUACAUGUCGUGUAAACGGCGGUAAGUGGUGAGAGUGUGUGUGAAGAAGUACACCCCUGCAGGGUUAAUAUGAUCUAUUCGAAUAGCCGUGUCCACGGUAAAGGACUUCUGGGUUGCCUGUACAGUUCAUAGACAAGUGAAAGUGGAUACUCUAAAAUACGCAAGAUAAGCGUGAGUGCUAUGGAUGGCGUUCUCAUAGGGAGACGGGAGCGGAUCCAUAGUGGUGUAUUGAUAUGGUGAAUAUGUGGACUCGUGUGCGCCACCUCAAAAGAGUUACUUGCAGUCAUAGUUCAGGAUAGCCACCGAGUCAAAGCUGGCUUGCUGCAGUUAAACCCCACCAUACCCUUGUUGAUAAUGAUGCAUAUGUAGUUAGAUCUGAUGUAAGUCUUGCUGGGUACAUUUGUACUCACGUUGCUUAAUUUAUGUUUUUGCAGAGAGACGUCAGUCUCGCUAGUAGUACCGCAUGGACUUCGACGUUUAGCUUGUUACCUCAGCUACGAUCUUGAGCCUUCGGCAGGAUCUAGUAGUUAGUUAGGCUUCUCAGCCUUUUUCAUUUGUAGAUGUCUGUACUCAGACAUGUUAAGCUUCCGCUUGUGCUUGACUUGUUUGCUCUGAAUGUUGGGUCAUGAGACCCAUGUUUGUAAUAUCUCACUCCUCGGAGCCUAUUGAAUAAAAUACUUGAGUUGUAGAGUCAUGUUGUGAUGCCAUGUUGUAUUUGCACAUAUCGAGCAUAUUGUGUGUAUGUUAUUGAAAUGCUUGGUAUGUGUGGGAUCUGACUAUCUAGUUGUUUAUCCUUAGUAGCCUCUCUUACCGGGAAAUGUCUCCUAGUGCUUCCACUGAGCCAUGGUAGCUUGCUACUACUCUGGAACACUUAGGCUGGCCGGCAUGUGUCCUUCUUCGUUCCUGUGUCUGUCCCUUCGGGGAAAUGUCACACGAUGAAUACCGGAGUCCUGUUAGCCCGCUACAGCCCGGUUCACCGGAGUCCUGUUAGCCCAAUGCUACAGCCUGGAUUCACUCGCUGAUGACCGACACGUUUGAUGCUGGGUCAUGGAUGCCUGUCCCAGUAAGUAUGUGCCACUUUGGGUUUACGACUAGCCAUGUCAGCCCGGGCUCCUUAUCAUAUGGAUGCUAGUGACACUGUCAUAUACGUGUGCCAAAAGGCGCAAACGGUCCCGGGCAUAGGUAAGGCGACACCCGUGGGAAUACCGUGUGUGAGGCCGCAAAGUGAUAUGAGGUGUUACAUGCUAGAUCGAUGUGGCAUUGAGUCGCGGUCCUGACAGCUUUGGUAUCAGAGCUUGACUGCCUGUAGGAUUACCAAGCCAAACUGGUCGAAGUUGAGUCUAGAAAUGCUUUAGUUAUAUGUAGGGGAAUUGAUUGUGGGAUGGAACGUAAGGCUCUUUUUACUCCUCAUACCUUAUGCUCUUCUGAUUUGAGUCAUCUUACCUUUCCUGCGGGGUUAAGGAACUAGGCUCUCUCUUCCUUCUAUCAGGAUCACGUGUUACUAAUCCGUAGUCCUAUAGGAUUGAUGGUUCUAAGCUUGAGUUAAGUUCCUACUAUCUCUGUGUAUUCAUAGUUGAUUUCAGAACCUUGAUAUUAUGAUGUUCGAGUGGCUAUGCCACCAUUUUGUAGGAUGUUUUAAAUCUUUUGGAGCAUUUACAGCCGUUAUGCUGUCCGAGUCGUCCCAGGUUUCUAAACAAUCUGGUGCAUUUGCAAAAUCCUUUCCCUCUGAUUUUGAUGUUCUUUUAGGCUAGGUUAAUCACACUAAUUGUUGAGUUGAGGUAUUCUAUUGCCUCGACAUUUAUGUUGGAGCUAUUAUUAUGACCCUAGGUGUCUAGAGUAUCAUCUAGUAAUCCAGCCAUGCUCUGUGUUCCCAGUGUGAUGAUUCUGACCGUCAUUCUCGAAAGCAUCCCGUGAUGCCAUUUAUUUAGUAGGUAUUCCACUCCUGGGUUAUGAACCCGAGAUUCACCUUACUUACUUCAUGUUGAUAGUGUUUGCUAGUUCCUUUAGGAUAUUAGUAACCUUUGCAUUGUUCCUCGAGGUUUGUGGUAUAUCCUUCUUCCAAAUACCAUGAACUGCUUAUGGCAGAAGUUCCUCGCUGAACCGAAAGAUCAUGACCAGUGUGCUCUUGAUGAGUUCUCGAUUCUAUGUUGUGACUCUGCCAGUUCUACCUUUCUGCAUGGGUUAUCCGGAAGAAAUGUUGAACUUUGCUCGACAUACUAAUCUAUGCAUCCAUGACUCACAAAAUCAUAUGUUCCUUUGAGUUGUCCCUCUUUAGGUGUAUUCCGACCCCGUCUAUCAAUUGAUAGUCAAGAGUAUGUGUGCAUUCGAUCGUCGAUGCCUAUUACUGUUGUGGUCCGUCAAGCCUUUCUAUUCCAGAAUGACUAGGAGAAACAAACUCCAGUACCUCACCCAUAUCCAGGAUUGGGUCAAAGCAGUUGUGCUCCGCAGAUCAAAUACUAAUCUAGCUUUUGUUCUGCUCCACCUUGGAGUAUUACCAUCUUUAUAUUAAGAAUAUCAUGGGAAUUGCACACCAUCCUAUGAACUCUUGAUACAGUGAUACUCUCUCCACCAUUAUUCAUUUCUCGGUUCCCGUGUUGUUGCAACCGGAAUGUCGACAAGUGAAUCGUGAUGUGUGAAAUCAAUACUCCUAGCAACCUUGUUGCUUGGUAGUUAAAGGACAAUAAUUUCAUUCUUAGCAUGUUGGUUAUUGAAUCAUCAUUCUAAGAUUGAUCGUGCUACCUAGUCCAUUCUUCUGGUGCACUCCUCGAUCAAUGAGUUAGGAUUAUUUCAAGUCUUCGCUCUAUUGAUCAUAUCGUCUUGCCCUGAGAAGCAAGAUUGUUCUCGAGCUUAGUAACAUAUCGGUGGUUCGUGAUUUCCUGAAUAUCUUCUCGGAAGUAUUGCCAUGUUGUCCCUUGACCGCUAUGUUAAGUUUGUGAUCAUGUUGGUUUCCUUGUAAACCACCCUUUCUCCAAGAAUCCAUGUUGGAUACCCCUGAGCUAGUUGGUUAAGCUAAAUGACAACUUGGAGAGUUGGAAGAUAAAAGCUUACCUAACUUAGUUCAUUUCAAAGGGAUAUCUUGGUGUUGGUGUGUUAGUUGAAGAAAGAUGAUAUCUUCAUCGAUUGGUCCCUGUGAUCAGUUGUUGGACCUAUUAUCUUAUAAAAACUUUGAUUUGAGUGUGGGCUAUUGUCAAAUCAAAUCAGAACCAAUGAUGUUCGCAAUGUUGUCUUACUCGCGGUUAUCCCUCGAGCAUACACCAUUACAUCUUUUGGGUCUGACCAAUGCUAUGUCCUUGUUCACAUAAUUAUGGAAUUCCAUUUAUAUGGUCACCCCGAUGACUUGUUGUUGAGCCCAUCAGCAUCAUUUUAUCUUCUCCAUGAUCAUGUUGAACAUCCAUCUAAUGUUGGAAACUUUUGUAAAAAUUACCUUCAUGUUCCAUUCAUGAGGUAUAUGUUCGGAUGAAAGAAGUGACUUUCUCUAAUUCACGUGCACUUGGUGUAAGUUGCCGCUGUGGAUCCGAGAAAGAUUGUUUUUGCUUCCUUUGGAAUCAUCCCAAGUCAGUCAUGCAUGUGCGAAGUAUACAUUGGAUUGUGAGAUUAGCUACCUCCAUUCUAUAUGUGUCCCUAGCAUGCCAAGCCACUGAUUGACUUGCUCAAGGAUAAGAAGUUCAUCGAUAAGUGCACAAGGACUUCGAUAUCCUCGAUGAUGGUUCCCCACCUGAACUCGGUAGUGUUUUAUUGUAAGACUACCAUGUGAUAAUGUUUUGUCUUGGACAGCAUGUUCACAGGUUUGUAGCAGAACCAACUCAUGUUAUGGAGCUUGCUAUCCUAGUUCAUCUCCCGAGAAUCUCGCAACUUUAUCUCGUCGACUUAUGUUGCAACUCUUCUUUUCGGACAUGUGAGUCUGGAAUAUCCUGACACCAACCAGAUCUGAAUCUCAGGCAGAUAUGAUGGUUGGAACAGUUCCCAAGAACUAUUAUAUUGGUCUCUGUAACCCGGUAAAGUGGAUGUCGUGGCCAACACACCGAGCAGGAAGACCUAUUGCUGUAGUAUCUUGAUUGAGGAAGUUGGCCACCUCCCCAUGAGGAUUUCUUAUGGAUUUACUUCCGUAGUUAUUCCUUAUGAUUUUUGUGUUCCCGAAGUCCGACCUUUACUUGAUGUCCUAGAUAUCAACUCAGUUUGAUAAAUGGGUUGCACUAGCACAUCAAGGAGAACAUUAGAAGCGGAGUGCUAAAUGUCUCUCGGUCGAUCAUCCAGAUUUUGUCCCCUUGGCCCGCCAAGGUGAAAUCUGAGAAGGUGUUAUCUUCCUUUGCAUCUGCAUCUUCUACCGGCAUUCAUCAUGGUAGUACGUUGUGUUGCCAGGAUCCUUGACACGGAUAUUGGUAAUACCUUGAUGAAUAUGGAAGUGCUCAAGUUCCUGAGAGCACGCACAAGUGCUAGGUGUUAUCAUCGGCACUAACUGGGAUUGCUUUCAGUUUCCUCGGUUAUGCUAUAAUUUUUUCAAGAGUGGACUCACUCUCCACUAUUGAGCUUCUCGUCAGUUAUUAAAAUCUUCCGUUGCGUUGUCUUCAACAAGGUAAUCCAUAUCAUCCAUUCUAAUUCGGGCAUCCCAUUCUACUGAACCCCUCCAAAUGAUCGCUUGAGAAUUGCCUUAGGCUGGUAUAAAGAGUUUUAAUGAUCUCUGAAUCAAAGGUAAUUCUUUUUGCCACUUACGGGAUAUUUCUACAAGUCACCUUCCCUAAGGUGCCCCGUUAUGGUAUCAUGGCAACUCAACUCCUCGCUACGUUGACAAUCGUUUACCACCUUCUUAAGUAUGGAAUUGUUGUCUACCUAGUGAAUCCUCGUCAUCUGUUCCACUCCAUCCCUCUAGAUGUAUGCUUCGUGUCUCAGCUCGAGAGAUGUUGCUAUGUCUCAUUCCAUGAGUUGAUCCUAAGUUGUUCGAUCUUUGAGAAGAUCGAUCCUUCUAGAGUCUCCUUCUUCUCUCAUUGUCAUGUUAGCUGGAGUUCUCAGAACAAGACGACGAGACAAAGAUGGUGAUCGAAUCAACGCCCUUGCGAAGUGCAACCUGGAUCGAGAAGAUUGUGAUAGUUUGUGUCCCUCUGUCUUCUUACCUCAUGCUUGAAUCUCGGGACGAGAUUUUUGCUUAGUGGGGGUGAGUUGUCACAUCCCUGGUCUUGGUCUGCAGUAGGCUAGCCCUUCAUGUGUGCAUCAUGUUUAAUUUUUCAAAUGAACUUGAAAUGGGGAUUGCUCAAACCCUAGCACCAGAUCAAAUCAACUAGGUUCAAAUAGAAACAUUCUCAAUGAACCCAAAAUGCUCUUCAGAAAAGUUCAUUAUUUUUGGAUUGGUCUAGAACCUCUUCCAAAAAUGGUGCACAUUUUCUAGGCCAUUCUGGAUUUUUGAAUUAAAUCAUAUAGUAUUUGCAUUUGGGCAUUUAAAUGCUAUAAAAUAUUUUAAAUGCUCAAAUAAUCCCAAACUGAAAUGUUUACUGUAGGAUAUAUUUCCAACAGUGGUCAUGAGUAGUUGCAUGAUUUUUGGGAUUGAUUCAGUAUUUUUAAUAAAGCCACAAAGCUACAGAAGAAACAGAAAACUAAAACAAAUAAAAGAGAGGGAGAGAAGUUACCUGGACCUACCUGCUGUGCAGCCCACCUGGCCAGGCCAUCUGGCGGCCCAGUUGGCUAGCCCAGCCCAACCAGCGCUGCCUGCUUCUUCAACCUUCUGCCAGAAGGAGAAGCAGGUGCGUGGCGAGCGUUCAACCGAACGCGGCCACCUCCUGCUUCCCGCCGCUUCCUCGACGCGGCUGUGAACGCCACAACACCCCCGGACCCUCUGCACCUCUCCCCUCUCUCGCUGGACCUCCUCCCCUCCUCUAUUUCUCCCUCCCGCGAACACCCGAGUGCGCUUGUCGCCACCGUUCGCCGCCACCGUGUCCACCGUAUCCACCUCGCUCCCUCGAUCGGCGUAAGAGCUCGGCCUGGUUCCCCUCUUCCUCCUCACCAAGCCGCACGACGCCGGAAGCCCCUGGACGCCGCCAGCGCCGCCAUCUCUGUCCUCGGGUGCCAGAGAUCCCCGCCGACGUUCCGCCGGACCCCGUGUCUCCCCUGCCUCUCCAGCAGCACCAAAAGAACCACGGUGAGCCUCUGCACCGUUUCCCCCAUACCCCGUCGCCUAAUUCAUCCUACAACCGCCGUUUCCACCGAAGCGGUGAGCUCCUCGCCGCCGGCGAUGGUGCAGACGAGGCCAUGGGCACUGCAGCCCGUAUCCGAGCACACCAGCAUGCUCGGCGCGCCUCUAGGAACCUGCAGCCACCAGUAGCUCCCCCUCCCUUGCCCUCUAGCACCGUACUCGAUCGCUCCCGAACGCCGGCCGCCGCCACGAGCUCGACUCCGGCGAGCUCGUUCGACCCCAGCCCCUCCUACUUGGCUCUCUGGAUGUGCAAGAGCAAGGGCUAUGCCCUGGUGCCCUCAGCGUGCUAAACCGACGUCUCUAGCGCAAGUCCGUUGUGCCCCGCCGUGUUCUGUGGUCGCCGCCGGCUGGUCUCCGACGUGCUGAACUGGCGCCAUCAUUAGGGGCUAAUGACCCUGCUAAUUAAGCCCUCUCUCACUGAUGUAUGGGCCCCGCGCCCUUAAUUAAUCUUUGUUUAUUUUCUGUUAAGUUUAACUAACCACCUGGGCCCCACCCGUCAGCUUUGACCGCGCUGACAUGGCUGUUGACUGGCCCCACAUGUCUGUGACCCAGAGAGCACUGUGUCACUAACCAGUGGACCCCACUGGUCAGUUUGACCUAGACCAGCUCUGUUGACUCUGCUGACGUCACAAUGACGCAAUGCUAACGCAGUAUUUGUCUUCUAGUUUUAAAAUAAUUCAAGAAAUUCCAGAAAAUAGUGUAAACUUCUAAAAAUCAUGUAAAAUCAACCGUAACUCCAAAUGAAACAAAUUAUAUAUGAAAAGUGAUCAGAAAAAUCCAAUCUAUCCAUCUGUACCAUUUUCAUGCAUGUCAGAACAACAUAUAGCUGAUGUUUAGCACAAGUCAUAAAAAUGACAUUUGAAUUUCACAUAUGGAGUUUGGAUUUGAACUUAGGGUUCAAACCAACUUCAUUUAACUUGCUGCUAGUUGCAUUAGCCCAAACCACAGCAUAUUGCCAUGUCAUGAUCACGCAUCAUAUUGGGCAUUGCAUUGAUUGUGUUUCUUCUUUGUUUGUCAGUGCUUGUCCCCUCUCGGUAGACGAUGUUCCGCCGUUGUGAUCGUUGACACUGAUGAAGACUCAAUGCUAUCUUCAGAAGUGCUAGGCAAGCAAAACCCCCUUGUUCAUUCCGAUAAAAUCCCACUCUCUCGCUCCUGCUCUCUUUUACUGCAUUAGGACAACAACGAUUCAUCUGUUACUUGCUGCGGUAGCUGAACCCCUUUAUCCUUUGCAUGACCUGUCAUUGCCACAGUAAAUAGAUGAAACCCACUAGCAUGAGUAGGAGUUGUUUGAGCCCUAUUGUGCCUACUCAUUCAUGCUUGUUUGUCAUGCCUGCUACUGCUUAGAGUUGAGUCAGAUCUGAUUCAUCGGGGAUGAAUUAGAGGUGUGUGAACAUGUCCUACUAUUGAGAGCUAAGUGUGUGAACACGAUUUGGUAAAGGUAGCGGUGAGAGGCCAUGUAGGAGUACAUGGUGGGUUGUCUCAUUGCAGCCGUCCUCAGGAACUGAGUUCUGUGUUUGUGAUCCAUGACCAGUUACUACCACACAUUGGAAUGCUUAAGUGCCCCUCUCGACUUAUUAAUCAACUCGAUCUCUGUCCAGGAGUUGCAACUAGUUUCUGGUGUUUGUAGGCUGUGUUAGUAGUCUACCAAGUGGUACCCGGUACAGGUGGGCUUGGGACAGACUAGGCACCAUGGCACGGUGUACCAAGCAUAGAUCCACCCGUCGAGGUCGGCUUGGGAACCCUGCACAUAUCGUUUGGGGCCGUGAGCGACACCCCGGCCGAAUCUCCUUGCAGAUGGAACCCGAAUAGGCGAUAAACCUGGACAAGAGACUUGUGUGGUUAGUCAGGUCGUGGCCGACACCCUCGCUGGGCUUCCGCUUGAAGGUUGCCGAGUACAUGUCGUGUAAACGGCGGUAAGUGGUGAGAGCGUGUGUGAAGAAGUACACCCCUGCAGGGUUAAUAUGAUCUAUUCGAAUAGCCGUGUCCGCGGUAAAGGACUUUUGGGUUGCCUGUACAGUUCAUAGACAAGUGAAAGUGGAUACUCUCAAAUACGCAAGAUAAGCGUGAGUGCUAUGGAUGGCAUUCUCGUAGGGAGACGGGAGCAGAUCCAUAUCGGUGUAUUGAUAUGGUGAAUAUGUGGACUUGUGUGCGCCACCUCAAAAGAGUUACUUGCAGUCGUAGUUCAGGAUAGCCACCGAGUCAAAGCUGGCUUGCUGCAGUUAAACCCCACCAUCCCCUUGUUGAUAAUGAUGCAUAUGUAGUUAGAUCUGAUGUAAGUCUUGCUGGGUACAUUUGUACUCAUGUUGCUUAAUUUAUGUUUUUGCUUAGAGACUUCAGUCUCGCUAGUAGUACCGCGUGGACUUCGAUGGUUAGCUUGUUACCUCAGCUAUGAUCUUGAGCCUUCGGCAGGAUCUAGUAGUUAGUCAGGCUUCUCAGCCUUUUUCAUUUGUAGAUGUCCGUACUCAGACAUGUUAAGCUUCCGCUUGUGCUUGACUUGUUUGCUCUGAAUGUUGGGUCAUGAGACCCAUGUUUGUAAUAUCUCGCUCCUCGGAGCCUAUUGAAUAAAAUACUUGAGUUGUAGAGUCAUGUUGUGAUGCCAUGUUGUAUUUGCACAUAUCGAGCAUAUUGUGUGUAUGUUAUUGAAAUGCUUGGUAUGUGUGGGAUCUGACUAUCUAGUUGUUUAUCCUUAGUAGCCUCUCUUACCGGGAAAUGUCUCCUAGUGCUUCCACUGAGCCAUGGUAGCUUUCUACUGCUCCGGAACACUUAGGCUGGCCGGCAUGUGUCCUUCUUCGUUCAUGUGUCUGUCCCUUCGGGGAAAUGUCACGCGAUGAAUACCGGAGUCCUGUUAGCCCGCUACAGCCCAGUUCACCGGAGUCCUGUUAGCCCAGUGCUACAGCCUGGAUUCACUCGCUGAUGACCGACACGUUCGAUGCUGGGUCAUGGAUGCCUGUCCCUGUAAGUAUGUGCCACUUUGGGUUUACAACUAGCUAUGUCAGCCCGGGCUCCUUAUCAUAUGGAUGCUAGCGACACUGUCAUAUACGUGUGCCAAAAGGCGCAAACGGUCGCGGGCAUAGGUAAGGCGACACCCGUGGGAAUACCAUGCGUGAGGCCGCAAAGUGAUAUGAGGUGUUACAUGCUAGAUCGAUGUGGCAUUGAGUCGGGGUCCUGACAGUGCCAGGCGCGCCUUCCUACACGACGGAGGGAGGCGCCCUUGCACAGGCGCAGAUCCUAGCGCGGUGCCUCCGGAGAUGCUUGCCUCCUGAGGCCUUGAGCUUGGCAAUGUCUUCUUCUUCUUAGGAACUACCUCGGGGAGGUUCCCACUCUUGCUGCCUGGGUCCUCAACUGAUGCAGCUUGGAAGGUACGCUCGAGAGAUCACACCGCAUCCUUCUCUUCACAGGGGACUAUGAUGACUCUGCCGCUUCCCGGCAUCUUGAGGACAUUGUAUCCAUGGUGAGUCACUGACAUGAACUUGGCCAGGGCUGGAUACCCAAGGAUGGCGUUGUAUGGCAGGAGUGUGGGAAACGUCGAAGUCCAUGAGCUCGGUACGGUAGUUCUUGCGCUGUCCAAAGGUGACAGGGAGGCGGACCUGUCCUAUCGGGGUGGUGGAGCCAUCAGUGACUCCUGAGAAAGGCUUGCUUGGUUGGAGCUGAUCAUAUGGCACUUGGAGAUUGUUGAACGUCUCGACUGACAAAACGUUGAGUCCUGCGCCGCCAUCGAUGAGGGUCCUCGUAACUUGCACAUUGCUGAUGACUAGGGAACAAAGCAUUGGGAGGACGCCGGCUAUAGCCGCACACUUGAGCUGAUCCGCUGAGCUGAAUGUGAUGGCACACGUGGACCACCCGAGAGGGCGUGUGGCCUCGAGCUUGGGCAGCACUUUGUUCACCUCGCGAGCAAACUGCUUGAAGAUGUGCUAAGAGGCUGUGGCCUGGGCACCACCCAACAUGCAAGCGAUAGCACGUGGCUCCUGGAAGCCCCCAGCCCCCUCGUCCUAAUGAUGGUCGUCAUUCCUUCUUGGCAGUGGUGGCAGAGGAGGAAUGCCUGCGUUGCCCUACGGGUGAUCCUCGCGAGCCUGAUCCCUCCAAGCCCCCUCACGAGGCUGGUCCUGCCUACAGUCCUCGCGAGGUCGGUCAUGCCACCCUUGGCGAGGGCCUCGGUUGUCCCAUCGUCCUCCACAUCUUCCUCCUCCUCGGUCGUAGCCCCGAUCGUUACGCUCGGGGAAUCGACCGAUACGUCCUUCUCGCACGGACCUGAGCUCUUGGCAUUCGUUGGUGUUGUGGGUGUGGAGGUCAUGGUACAUGUAGUACCUGCUGCCCUUGGACGACUCUAGCUGGUCCCUACCGUGCUUCGUAUCUGGCUCUGCUGCGAGCACGGCUGCUCCUUUGCGCUUCGCAUCCUUGGCCUUGGCUUUCUUCUCUUUAGGGUCAAUAGCUGGGAUCUCGAGAAGGGAGAGGCGUCCCUCCUCAGCCCUUGCACACUUGGUCGCCAGGUUGAACAGCUCCAGAGAUGUGCACAGAUCCUCAUGGAUAGCUAGCUCCUCCUUCAUCUUGAUGUUGCGGACGCCAUCAGAGAAUGUUGAGAUGAUGGCUUCCUCGGUCACCUUGGGAAUCUUGAGGCGAGCGCUUGAUGCGGGUUCUCUCCUGGUUGCUGCUUGAUACGGCGCAGGUCACCCACGACUGGAGGUCAGUCGUGAGUGCCCUGGAAGAUGGCGAUGAAGCGGGUGCGCAUCUCGUCCCAAGAGGAGAUCGUGCCAGGAGGCAGGUUCAGGAGCCAGGUGCAGGCACCAUCUUUGAGCACCAUGGGAAACCAAUUCGCCAUGACCUUUUCGUCUCCGUUGGCCUCUUCGAUGCCCAACUCGUAGAGCUGCAGGAACUCCGCGGGGUCGGCAGUGCCGUCGUAGCGAGGAGGCAGAUCCGGCUUGAACUUGCCCGGCCAGGCGACACUUCGUAGCUCGAUGGUGAAGGCGCGGCAGCCUGCGGUGGCCACUUGAGCUCUUUGCAGAUGCGGGGCUUGCUCCUAGAGAUUACCGCGCACCGCCGCCAGAGGCAGCGCGGGAUCUCGACGUGCAGGCGCAGGGAUGCGGUCUUGACGCGCUGGAGCAGGGAGCACGCGAGCACCUUCUUGGGGACGAGGGACUUCUUGGUAGCUCCUUUCUUGUCGUGGGGGACAGGACACGGUGGGUCUCGUCCAGGGGCCACGCGCCUUGGAGCCAGGGCGCCUUCUUGGGGAGGAGGUGGCGGAGGCACCUCCUGAGCUGCAUCACCCAUGCAGGACGGAGGGCAAGGCAGCGAGAGGGACGGUGCAGGGGAGCCCCCUGCAUCGCUGACGAGCUUGGUGAUGCGAGCGAGCCACUCCUCGUAGAGGUCGUCGACGGGGCGGUAUUGCAGGAGCUCGCGUGCCAGGACCAACACGGCAUGUGUGUCCGUGGGAGCGCGACGGGCAUGCGACGACGAACCAGCUGGAGUCGGCGAUGGAGUGGCGGUGCGGCCUUCCCGCCACACCAAGGGAUGCAGCAACGAUGCCUGCUCCUUGUUCCUCGCCGGGCCGGUGGCGGCAGGCAGUGGAGAACGAAGGGAAGGCCCACGGACAGGAGCCGUUUGGGCGACACGGGCUGCGAGAGCAGCCCGACGCUCGGUGGGAGCUCGGCGAGCGUCAGCCAUGGAUGCGACGAAUGAUCAAACACAGAACAUCGGAAGAAAGAUUCCGGCGCACCCCUACCUGGCGCACCAAAUGUCAGAUACCGGGUUCUGACAAAACCCUGAAGGUUCGAACUCUGGGGUGCGCGCGAAGAUCUUCCUCCUACCGAUCCACGUCCUGACGCCUCGCUGUGAAUCUAAGCUACACGAUGAACAACACCAGGGACGCAAGGUUUAUACCGGUUCAGGCCACCAUUGUGGUGUAAUACCCUAAUCCAGUGUGUGGUGUGGUGGAUUUCCUCUGGGGCUGAUGACAGAUAGUACAGAGGUAGAACAGCCUCGCGAGGGAUGUUCUUGUGGUGGUGUGCUUGGAGAGGAAUUGCUUUGUCUUUGUUGGCUCUAGGUGAGAUCCAGAUGCCUUCUACUGUGAUGGCUAUCUCUAUAUAUAGAGGCCCUGGUCCUCUUCCCAAUAUUGAGCGAGAAGGGAGCCAACAACGGCCAUUUUGAAGGGGAACAUCUAGUACAAGUUAUCCUGACUAAAGUUGGUCUUCGGCUGCCAAAGGCACUGGCGAUGACGCCGUCUUGGGCUCCACGGUGACCUCUGUCCUGCCGCUCUGCUGGUCUUGGUCUCGUUGCACUAAAAUGGUAACCUUUGCUUGGUGCCUCGGUACUCCGCGCCUGCGCUUGCCCCCUUUGCACCAAAGAGGAAACGAGGACACUGAGCAGGCUAGCGCCUGCCUGGCGCCCGCCUGGUCUCGAUCAUCAUGGCUUGCGUCAUGAGCACCUCGCGAGGUACCCUGCCUUGAUCUCUCCGCCUCCUCAUGAGCCUGCCUGGUGAGACCAUUCCUGUGGAAGCCUUGCAUCGUCCGUCCCGCGAGGCUUGGCCCCUCACGAGGGUCUUGAGCUUGAGUUGAUGAAGAUGGGCCGUACUGGGCCACCGCUCGAGCCACGCUGCAGGCCGCAGGCAGGCAAGUCUGGGAACCCCCGUUCCCAGAACGCCGACAUGCUCCCCAUGCUCUGCUCCCCCGUCAUCAGCAACGUAACCGUCACGAAGACUCUCAUUGAUGGCGGAGCAGGGCUCAAUGUUCUCUCCGUCCAGACGUUCGACAGACUCCAAGUGCCAUACUACCAGCUGCACCCCACCAAGGUUCUCCUCCCAGUCACCUUUGGCAAGCGCAACAACUACCGCAUCAAGCUCAUCGAUAUCAACGUUGCCGACAUCCGCCUGCCCUACAAUGCCAUCCUUGGGUACCCAGCGCUGGCCAAGUUCAUGGUGGCCAUUCACCAUGGCUACAACAUCCUCAGGAUGCCAGGAAGCGGCGGCAUCAUCACGGCCGCGUGUCAGGAGAAGGAUGCGGUGUGAUCCCUUGAGCGUGCUUUCCAGGCUGCAGCAGUUGAGAACCCGGAAGACAAAGACGGCGCCCUCCCUCCUGAGGUCGCCCCCAAGACAAAGAAGCUACAGCUGAGCCAGGGGUCUCGUGAGGAAUCAUCACUCGAGGACGCAACACUGAGCCUCGCAUCCCUGGACGUGGCACCUUCACCGAUCGCAUAGGAAGGCACACCCGGCGCCCCUCUCAGGCUGGGCUCGGGGGCUCUCCUCUGGAGGGCCUCAGACCUGGCCAAUGUCGCGAGAGCGGUGCUUGGGCACCAUGUGGAGGCGCUCUUCAGAGCACGCUUCCCAGGAGAAGGCAACAAGCGUGAGGCACCAGGUGUUCAGGAGUUCAUCAGCGAGGCGAUCAAGGAGAUCUAGGAAGGAAGGGUUCUGCAAGGCGAUUGUUGCCUGCCGCGAGGCGGAGCUCACUGCCCUAGCAAGGGUAAGGAGUUCCGCGUCUGCAUCGACAUCCCUGGGCUCAGCAGGGCCACAUCUCAGCAGCUCAUGUGACUGUCUUGUGUCUGCCGAUGCGAGGGACCGCCCCAUAGCUAUGUCCGCAUGCCUUUCAGCCUGGCGGGUAUGGCUGAGGUGUUCCAGCGCUGCAUGAGGGACGCUCAAGUAGCCUGUGAGGCCAAGCGCCAGGCGAUCCUGGCGGAGAUGGAGGAGCACCCUCAGGAGCCUUCUUGUCCCUUCGAGCCUCCCGAGGCCCGGCACCGGAGCGGCUCAUGAGGAACGGCUUUAGCAGCAUGCGUUUUGGCUACUUCAACAACUCUUCAGCAACGGUAUCAGGUCACAUCUCCUUAGUUCGUUCAUUUUGGGGGCGCCCCUCGGGCUGCAUCAUCCACAGGCCAUGUGGGUCUGUCCCUAUGGCGUGUAUCCCUUUUGCAUUUUAUCAGAGUCAGUUACUAUUCCUUGCAAACUUCUUUCGAAUUACCAACUGCCUGACCGGCGCUUCGUCGCUAAGAACAUCUCGCACCCUUGCAAGCCCUCCAACGACCACCUCGUGAUUAAGGACUAGCACGACGUCUGUGCUUGGGUUCGUCCCUGCAGCAUCGCUAAACCCAAGUAGCAGAGCUCUGGCUCACGAACCGGUCCCGUGUACGUCACCUCCCAUGGCUCUUGGUGCCUUGUUCUCGCAUGAGCUAAUUGUGAUGGGUAAGCAAGGGCGCGCGACCUGGUGCCCCCGUGGCCACAGGAACCACGCGCCAGUUGUUUUUCUUCAGGAUCUUCGCAUGAGAAGACUAGGCACAGCGUCUGUGCUCGGGUCCGUCCCUGCAGCAUCGAUAGAUCCAGCGGCUGAGCUCUGUCUGGCAGCCGGCCCCGUUCACGUCACCUCCAAGGGUCGUUGGUGUUUGGCCUUCUCAUGCAAUAACAUCAGGAAACUCAUUCAGCGCAGGCUGCCUAACCAUCUCGCAGGACCAACCCAAGCACCCCCAAUCAAGACCACGCGCAACCUGCCUUGAGGUAGGGCCUCGUGAGUCCCCCGCUGGCUCACAUGUGCCCAUAUACACCUCCUCCAGCACUGUCGUGCAAGCCACGUGUCAGGGUGGGGCUAUACACGCCCCGGGGGCUCUCCUCGGAGGGAGCCUCCUCCCACGCACCAGUGGAAGCACCAUGCUCCGUGCUGGCCGUCGACACAGGCGAGGAGCGGUAUGCCAGUGCAAGAGCCGAAGCGCUAUGCUCUGCACUGGUGAUAAACAACUGGGGGUGGCCUCACGGACGCAUUAACCUCAGGGAGCCUCCGGGCCUAGUGACUAGCCCCACCGUGCUACUCUCCCUUCGGAAGGUAGCGCGAGGGGGCUCGGCAUGGGGGCUACGCUCAGGUCACUCCUGGCGUACCCCACCUCGCCAGGCCUCACGUGCAUGGUCUUCGCGCACCCCUCCCAAGUGAGAUCUCGGCGAGGGAAAGGUAGGAGGGUCUAUUCGUACGUCCAGGGGGACUCCUGAGCAUCGCGACUCGGGAGCCUAACUGGUCAUGUAUCCCCUCACCUCUUGGGCUCGUCCUGGUGAUCCGUACGACCCAACGAUGGCCGAGGAAUGCGCAGGGCUGGGCCCUGCCGAUGCAGAACGCCAAGACCUGGUUGUCACCCUUCUCUUUCAAGCCGUUUGUACGUCAAGGGGACUCCUGAGCAUCGCGACUCAGGAUAACUGUUUCCAUAGCCCCUCACCUCUUGGGCUCGUCCUGGUGAUCCAGACGACCCAACGACGGCUGAGGUAUGCGCGGGGCCGGGCCCUGCCGACACAGAACACCAAGGCUUGCCCCUACAUCUUUUCCUAAGUUGUUCGCACGUUAAGGAGGACUCCUGAGCAUCGCGACUCAGGAGCCUAACUGGUCGUGUAGCCCCUCACCUCUUGGGCUCGUCCUGGUGAUCUGUACGACCCAACGACGGCUGAGGUACGCACGGGGCUAGGCUCUGCCUACGCAGAACAAUAAAGCAAACAGAAAAGUUGAAGGAGCAUAAUCUAGUUAUUACAAGAAAAAUUAUUCCAAGCAAAUAGUUUUAAACGCCUCCCCGAGGCAUGUCGCAUGGUGCAGGAUAAAAAGGCGAAAAGCAGAAUCUCUGAAACCACCUGUUCAGACUUGGGCAUCGCCGCUUGCUAGCGGAACCUCAUCGCCAAGCGCGUCGCUUGUCCCACCGGCUUUGUUUGGAGGGCCAACCACCAUGUCCUUGUUCAGCAUGGCGUCCACGGGGCUCUUCACGGCAGCAGCAGCAGCAGCACCCCGCGAGUCGGCGUCCACCGGAGCAAGGAAGGAGGAGAGGUUGAAGAUGGCAUCCUGGAGAUAAAGAUGGCUGAAGACGCACGUCAGAGCUAAGGAAGAAAUUGAGCAUGCCUCGCCUUCCACCAGGGACGUAAACCCGUCGAUAGCAUCUUCAAGAACCACCACGACUUCAGGAAGCAGAACAACAGGGGUCUCCCUCGGGGUCGUCACCACCGCCUUUCCGGAGGGACCAUCUCCGAAGAGCGCCUUCUGGGACUUGAGGAAGCGCGCCUCAAGGGAGGAAAGGGUGUCGCGUUCCAUGGCGGCCGCUUUCUUAGCCUCGGCCAGGGCUGCUUGGGCUGCCUCCGCCUCCUCCCUCAGCUUCACCAGGCGAUCACGCUCCCCAGCCUGCUCUAAGGCCGUCUUCUUCACCUCGACGUCCCAAUUGGCAAUGGCACCCUCCUGGGGCUUCAGCUUCUCCUCGCGCUCCUAGAGCUGGCUGGCCUGGGUGGCCUUCUGAUCCAGGAGGGCCUUCAGCUCAGCCUUCACCGCACGGCACUAGUUCUCAGCUUCUGUGGCCUCCUUCCGCGCCACAUCGCGCACUGUGGUAGCCACCCCAAGUGCCUUCUGGGCCUCCUCCGCAGAUCUCCAGGCCGCGCGAACAAACGCGUGAUAACCCAGAAGUAUAGGGGAUCACAACAGUUUUCGAGGGUAGAGUAUUCAACCCAAAUUUAUUGAUCCGACACAAGGGGAGCCAAAGAAUAUUCUCAAGUAUUAGCAAUUGAGUUGUCAAUUCAACCACACCUGGAUAACUUAGUGUCUGCAGCAAAGUAUUUAGUAGCAAAGUAGUAUGGAAAUAACGGUAACAGUGGCAAACGUAACGAUAGCAGUUUUGUAGUAAUUGUAACAGUAGCAACGGUAAAGUAAAUAAUCAAAUCACAAUAUGUGAAAAGCUCGUAGGCAUUGGAUCAGUGAUGGAUAAUUAUGUCAGAUGCGAUUCCUCAUGUAAUAUUUAUAACAUAGGGUGACACAGAACUAGCUCCAGUUCAUCAAUGUAAUGUAGGCAUGUAUUUCAAAUAUAGUCAUACAUGCUUAUGGAAAAGAACUUGCAUGACAUCUUUUGUCCUACCCUCCUGUGGCAGCGGGGUUCUAAUGGAAACUAAGGGAUAUUAAGGCCUCCUUUUAAUAGAAUAUCGGACCAAAGCAUUAACACAUAGUGAAUACAUGAACUCCUCAAACUACGGUCAUCAUAGAGAAGUAUCCCGAUUAUUGUCACUUCGGGGUUGUCGGAUCAUAACACAUAAUAGGUGACUAUUGUCAUGCCCAUUAUGCGAUACUAUCCUAAAGAGACUCAAAGGUCCCACAACUGCAUAUUGAUACACUUUUGCAAGGUGGAUAUCAUUACAUCAACAUUACAUAAUAGAUGGGGAUACAUACAAAAGGCAUACAAUGCCACAUGAAUACAACAUCAUUAUACAAGAGAGCAACAUCUGACUAUGGAUGAAACACAAACAGAAACUCAAAUGACAUCCACCCUACUAGCCCAGGCUACCGACCUGGAACCUAUCCCCUGAUCGAAGAAGAAGCAGAAGAAGAACUCCAAAACAAGUAAACAUCGCUCUCGCGUCAUGAUCAUCGCAAAACCUGUACCUGCAACUGUUGUUCUAGUAAUCCGUGAGCCACAAGGACUCAACAAUCCCAUUACCAUGGGUAUCAAGACUAGCAAAGCUUAAUGGGGAAGGAAGGGGUAAAGUGGUGAGGUUGCAGCAAUGACUAAGCAUGACAUUGUGGCUAACAUACGCAAAUAAGAGCGAGAAGAGAAGCAACGGAAUAGUCGUGAAGCUAGAAAUGAUCAAGAGGUCACCCUGAACUCCUACUUACGUCAAACAUAACCCAAAAUCGUGUUCACUUCCGGACUUCACCGAAAAGAGACCAUCACGGCUACACACAUGGUUGAUGUGUUUUAAUUAAGUCAACUGUCAAGUUAUCUACAACCGGACAUUAACAAAUUCCCAUCUGCCACAUAACCGUGGGCACGGCUCUCGAAAGUUUAUACCCUGCAGGGGUGUCCCAACUUAGCCCAUCACAAGCUCUCACGGUCAACGAAGGAUAUUCCUUCUCCCAGGAAGACCCGAUCAGUCUCGGAAUCCCGGUUUACAAGACAUUUCGACAAUGGUAAAACAAGACCAGCAAAGCCGCCCGAUGUGCCAACAAAUCCCGAUAGGAGUCGCACAUAUCUCGUUCUCAGGGCACACCAGAUGAGCAAGACAUCGGGUUGGCAUAGACCCUGGUGGCCCAGGGGGCGCCGGACAUCGCUCGGUUUGGACCAGCACUCGGAGGAGAACUGGCCCGAGGGGGGGGGGUAAAUAAAGAUGACCCUCGGGCUCCAGAAACCCAAGGGAAAAAGGCUUUGGUGAGGCGAAUGGUAAAACCAAGGUUGGGCCUUGCUGGAGGAGUUUUAUUCAAAGCGAACUGUCAAGGGGGUCCCAUAAAUCACCCAACCGCGUAAGGAACGCAAAAUCAAGGAACAUAACACCGGUAUGACGGAAACUAGGGUGGCAAGAGUGGAAGAAAACACCAGGCAUAAGGCCGAGCCUUCCACCCUUUACCAAGUAUAUAGAUGCAUUAAUUAAAUAAGAGAUAUUGUGAUAUCCCAACAUAAUCAUGUCCAUCAUGGAGCAAUCUUCAACUUCACCUGCAACUAACAACGCUAUAAGAGGGGCUGAGCAAAGCGGUAACAUAGCCAAGCAAUGGUUUGCUAGGAAGGGUGAAAGGGUUAGAGGCUGGCAUGGCAAUUUGGGAGGCUUGAAGAGAAAAUGAUAAGUAGCACAGCAUAGCGAUAGAACGAAGCAACUAGCAAUAGUAGUGAGAUCCAAGGUGACAGUCAUCUUGCCUAAAAUCCCGAUAGGAAGAAGAACGAGUCCAUGAAGAAGAUGAAUGGGAGUAGUCGAACGAAUCCUCACAAUCGCAACAUUACCGGAACUAAGAAGCAACACCGGAAAGAAACAAACAACAUGGUAAAUGCACAAGCAUAAACAUGGCAUGAUGCACAAACAAGUAUGAUGCAUGUCCGGUUUAAUAAGGCAUGGCAUGGCAAACUGCAACACACAAUACUACAAAUUAAGUGGAGCUCAAUAUGCAAUGAGUUGCAUAUUGACGAAACACCACAUUCAACUAUUUAGUUAGCUCCCGUUUAGGUACCCAACAAUAUUAAAUGUUGAUUAACAUGGCACGAGGUGAAGCAUAAUAAAACUACCUAUCUAGGCAAGUUUAAAUGAGGCCGGAACAACAAACAACAAUUCCAAAAAAUCCCCAUGUGCAUAUUUUAGAUUUGGUACUAUUCUGCCCUAAAACAUAUUUUAUUGUUGUUAAACAGGAAAAUAAAGUGGACCAUGUUAUUCUAUGCAUUUUUCCACCACAUUUACAUAUAAAGUUUAUUAAAUUCGGAGCUACAGUUAAUUAGUUAUGAAAUAAAUCAUUUUAACAUGCUAUUUAUGCAAAAUAAUAGCAAACAGCAAGUUAACAUGUUUAACAUGGAUGAAAGUUGCAUAUUAUGAAACUAGAUGAAAAACUAAGCAUUUUACAUAUUAAAAUCAUUUUAAUCCGAUGCACCAUUUGUGAGUUAUUAAAUGCAUGAUCUAGAGGGACUUUUCUGUAAAACAGUAAAUCCCAGAUAAAAGCUAAAUCGCAACAGAGGAAAAAACACACAUCGGGCCGAAUCUGAGAUCUGGACCAUGACGCUGGGGAGCUGCUCACAUCGGGCCUCGAGGCCGGUCGGUGGAUCUGAUCCAAGGGGCGGUUUGGAGGCAGACCGAGCGAGUGCACGGUCAACGGGAGGCGAGCGGCGCUUGAUCUCCAUGUGCACGGGACGAGCAGAGCUCCUGCUCGAUGAAGAGGAAGCAGAGGCCGUGGCGUGGACUUGGCGACAGGGACAUCCCAGGGAUGGUGGCGGCUUGGCGUUUGAUCCGGAGCAGGGGAGAAAAGGGGCGGCGCGACUGGAACGGCCGAGGCGUGGGGUCAACGCGGGGUUGUCCCACUCGAUGCAGGUGGCACUGAGAUGCAAGGGACUUGGCGCAGCGACGCAGAAGCUUGACGGGCGGAGGCGAGCGGCGCUAGCGAGGCGGCAGUGGCUUCGGGAACUUGAAGGGGCGGUGGAGCCGCAGGUGAGGUCCGAGACGAGGCAGUUGCCAGAUCCGGGGCGGAGGGACUCGUUCCCGGCGGCGACAAAGCUGCGGGCAACCAUAGAGGCUCAUGGAACACAGAGGGAGAGGCAUGAGAACCGAGGGAGUGAACCAGAGAGAGGAGGGAAGGAGGAGAAGAAGAGGGAAGGGACGACGGGUUCCUGGAGGAGCUCGAGCAUGAGGGCGGCACUCGGGGUGGCUGGGUACGCCAGCGGCGACGGCGCCAUGGAGAAAGGAGCAAACGGGAGAAGCUCGCUCUCGGUCGGGGUAGCAGGGGUCGCUUGGUGGCUCCGACCGAAGGAGCUCGGGCUCGGGCGCUGGUUGGAUGGCUGCGUAGAUCGAGGGAGGAGGCUGCGGGUGCGGGUUGGAGGAAGGAAGCUAGGCUGAUUGGCGACGGGUGGAUGGGACAAGGUCCCUAGGUUUUAGGGUUAGUCUUUAUAUAAGAAGUGAAUUUUGGAUAGGGGUAUUUGGUCCCUCCGAUCUUAAUUGGAUGGUCUAGAAAUAAAUAGAUAGGGAGCCAAAUAAGAAAACGGAGAUGUUUUAUAGAUGUUGGGGGAUGAUCCAGACCGAUCGGUCAUGACUGGCCGGGUCGGGUUCGGAGAAGUUUCGGACGCGCACGCGAGGGGUCGAUGCACUAUACAAAGAGACUCCGGUUUAGGCAAGAGGGAAAACGAAGAACAAGGUUGGUCUCGGAACGGUCAAUGAAAGCAAGGGGGGACAUGGCAACUACGAGCGGACGCAAACUUUGUGAAAACAUGCAGAUGCAAUGCGCAUGAUGACAUGAGAUGAAAUGCAUGACAUGAACAAAAUGCAAAACAAAAGACAAAAAACCCAACCACGGAGGAAAAUAAUAUAUCACAUAGCCGGAAAUGGCAAGGGUUCGAGUUACAAAUAUGUAAAGUUGUGUCCGGGGCGUUACAACUAUAGACUUGCAAGAUAGGAUCAAGAACUCACAUAUAUUCAUAAAAACAUAAUAGGUUCAGAUGUGAAAUCAUGGCACUCGGGCCCUAGUGACAAGCAUUAAGCAUAGCAAAGUCAUAGAAACAUCAAUCUCAGAACAUAGUGGAUACUAGGGAUCAAACCCUAACAAAACUAACUUGAUUACAUGUAAAUCUCAUCCAACCCAUCACCGUCCAGUAAGCCUACGAUGGAAUUACUCACACAUGACGGUGAGCAUCAUGAAAUUGGUGAUGGAGGAUGGUUGAUGAUAACAACAGCGAUGAAUCCCUCUCCGAAGCCCCGAACGGACUCCAGAUCAGACCUCCCGAGAGAGAUUAGGGCUUGGCGGCGGCUCCGUAUUGUAAAACGCGAUGAAAUUUUUCUCUGAUUUUUUUCUCUACGAAAGCAAAUAUAUGGAGUUGGAGUUAAGGCGGUGGACGUCCAGGGGGCCCACGAGGCAGGGGGCACGCCCAGGGGGAGGGGGCGCGCCCCCACCCUCGUGGACAGGGUGUGUCCCCCCUGGCACUAUUUCUUUCACUAGUAUUUUUUAUUAAUUCUAAAAAGUUGCUCCGUGGAUUUUCAGGUCAUUCCGAGAACUUUUAUUUCUGCACAAAAAUAACACCAUGGCAGUUCUGCUGAAAACAGCGUCAGUCCGGGUUAGUUUCGUUCAAAUCAUGCAAGUUAGAGUCCAAAACAAGGGCAAAAGUGUUUGGAAAAGUAGAUACGACGGAGAUGUAUCAACGCGUCGGCCCUGAGCCAACCAGAGAUCAACCCCAGGCGUCCUCGCACCGAACGAUAGUCCAGGCCCUGAAGCUCACCCUGGAGGAGGUCCAGCGUUGCCUUUGCCUCUUCCAAGGUCCCAGAGGGAGCAGAAGCACCAUGGCUCGGCCAUGCACUGGGCAAAGGAGGAGAUGCCCUCGACGCGAAGGCAGAAGAAACCUCAGCCUGAUGAAGGACCGGGGUCUUCCAGAGAUUGGUUGCCCCCAGUGGCCGCGACAAGGCUGGGCGCUCGAGGGGCCAGGCCUGCCACCUCCUGAGGACGGGCAUCCACAUCCUCCAGAGCUGCCGUUGCCCCUGGGCUGCGGGGGCUGCGGCACUCUUCUUCACCAGGGCCUCAAAGGUCGCUCCGUCGCCUGCGACUGCGGUGAUCUCCGUGCCUUCCCCCUGCUUCUUCGCUGGCUGCUGCCUAGCGACAAGAGAAUACAUUCAGCAUCACUUCAAGAACUGACAAGCAAGGAUAAGGAAGAAGCUUAUUGGUCAAUGAAGGCGUAUUGCCUCUUCAUGCUUAGCAGCGGGACCUGAGGUGGCGCAGCUGGCGCCGAGCCCUUGUGAGCAGGGGAGCUUGCGGUUGGCGCUCCCUGGGACGACGUUGGCGAAGGUGGGCUGCUGCCCGGAGAAAUCACCGCAGACCUGCUCUUCUUCACAACUGCUCGCUGGUGCUUCUUCAAGGAGGCCACCGCAGACCUCGUGGCGACCCCUGGAGGGCGCGACACCUCUACCACCGGGGGCUCGCCUUCAUCAUCGUCGUUUGGCAGAUCAUGUAGGAGCUCCCUCUGCUCCGGGGCGGAGGAUUCGCCCAUGACAUCAUCCUCGGUUUCCUCGGAGGAUUGGCCGUUGGAGGAGAGGAGCACCAAGGUAGUAGGCGGCAUGGAAGACCCCAGCCGCACAAACCUGAGGUCCUCGGCGUCGUCGCGGUCGUACAACGGGAGCCAGCCCUCCGGAGGGUCGCUCAGGUCCUUUCCCGUCACAUAGGUCAGCACCUUGCUCAGCUCCUCCUCAGGAAGGGAAUUCCGGCGCAGGCGAAUCUUGUCGUCAUCACCGCCAAGCUUCCACAAGGGACGGGGGCAGUCUUGAAGCAGCGCGAUGCGCUGCUUCAGGAACUCCCUGAUGAGCAUUGCCCCCAUCAGCUUCGCGUCCUUCAGCUCCUUGUCCAUCAUCCUCACAAAGGGCGUUAGGGCAGGGUCGGUGAUCUUCUCAAACUUCCACCACUUGUUGGAGACGGGGAAUGUGGUCGGCAGCUGCAGCGAGCUCUAGGAGCUCUUGGCAUCCAUCAACACCCACCUCUUCAUGGUGUCCUCCACCUUCUUCCCUAUGCAGGAUAUUGCGUUGCCACCCCGCACCACGACGAAGCCGAUGUACCCGACUGGGUUAUCGCCGGUCUUGUGAAGAUAGAAGAAGUGGCAAAACAAGUCAACGGAGGGCAGCACGCCCAUGAACGCCUCACAAUAGAAGGCGAAGAGGGACAGAAGGUGGAUGGAGUUGGCAUGGAUGUGGAGCGCAUGGAGUCCGUACUGGUGAAGGAUGGCGAAGAAGAAAGGGGAGAACGGAGGCACUGACCCAAAGUAGAUGUUGUGCAUGAAGAAGGGGAAGAAAUUGCUGCCCGCGGGCUCCGGGACAGCCGUGGCGACCAGGAGCAUGGUCUCCCCCAUUGAUUGUCGUUGCUCGCUGUCAGGAGGAGCUUUGUCUUGAGCUUCUCUCCUGUCAUGCAGGGUGCCAUCAGCCCUGGCUCGUACCGGUUGGCACCGGCGGCCGAGGACGAACCCGUGGCAUUUUUAGCGGCCAUCAGGCAGGAGAUUUGGUGUAUAAUCGGCGGAUCUAGUGAGCUCUUCUGCUGCGGGGAGAAGGGGAUCUGGAGCAAGACGAAGAGGAGCAAUGAAAUCCUGGCGGCAGGCGGCACCCCUUUUGUCAGAUGGGAGCAGUUGCCGAGGCAGCAUGGGGAAGCAGAGUCACCCACGUGCAAUCAGUCGCCGCGCGUCAUCAAGGCCGCAGGUGGUUAGGGCCCGCGGCGCUCCGCACUUGCCCUUUGGCUUCGCCUCGAAGCCAAGUCCGAGCGUGCCUUAGGACCGGGGGCUACUGUCAGCGUCCUGGACUUGGGGCCAACUUUGACCCACCACGUGGCCCAUCCAGUCCUGCCUGCUUGUGGCCCACCAUGUGGCUCCAUCGACGGCCUGGUACAGCCCAACUUUGACCACAAUACAGCAAGACCCUCGUGAGGGGACAAGCCUCACGAGGCGGACGAUGCCAAGACCCCUGAAGGAGUUGCCUCCCUCAGGAGGGCUCCUAAGGGGCAGAGAGUUCUAUGUAGCUACCUCAUGAUGCUCAGUUGACAUGAGCCAUGACGACCAAAGCCAGGCGGGCGCCAGGUGGGCGCAGAGCGCAGGUUUCCUCUUCGGUGCAAGGGAGGCAAGCCACAGGCGCAGAGUCCCGAUGAAUCAACCAAAUGUUUCCAUUCUGGUGCAACGAGACCAAGACCGCCAUGACGGCAAGAAGGAGGUCAUCACCGAGCCCACCGCAGCGUCACGACCAGAGGCUUUUCGUAGGUGAAGACUACUUUUGUCAGGAUAGACUGUACUACUUGUCCCCUUUCAAAUCCCGCCGUUGUGGAAUCCCUUCCUGCUCAUAUUUGGGAAGAGGACCAAGGCCACUAUAUAUAGGACUUAGCCACCACCAUAGGGGAAGAUCGAUUCCUCCCCGAGCAACAUACCAGCUCAAGAACACCUCACCUCCUGAGGCUUGUUCAUCCUUGUACUAGUUCAUCCAUAGCCCCUCGAGGCAAUCCACCACACCACACUAGAGUAGGGUAUUACACCACAACAGUGGCCCGAACUAGUAUAAAUCUCUGUGUCUUUGUGUCUCUGUGGGCUCUUCACGCUAGGCUAGGGAGGAUCGCGAGUAGGCAGGCUGGGCAGGUUGAGAUCUCCGCACGCACCCCAGUGUUCGAACCUCUCACGGGUUGCCGGAGCUAGAAAUCUGACAAUUCAUGCCAUGUUUAUAAUAGUUUUACAUGAUUUUGGUAUGAUUUGAUUAGAACUAACCUGAACUGACAUUGUUUUCAACAGAACUACCAUGUUGGUAUUUUUGUGCAGAAAUAAAAGUUCUUAGAAUGCGCUGAAAAUCAACGGAGAUUUUUUCUGGAAAAUAUAAAAAAUACUGGAAUGAAGAGUUAUCGGAGGGGAGUCCCGUGCGCCCUAUGAGGGUAGAGGGCAUGCCCCCUGCCUUGUCGACUCUCCAUGGGACCCCCUGACUUAUUCUCGGCGCAAACAUCUCCUAUAAAUCCCAAAACCUCCAGAACAUGACCUAGAUCGGGAGUUCCGCCGCCACAAGCCUCUAUAGCCACCAAAAACCAACCGGGACCCUAUUCCGGCACCCUGCCUGUAACGCCCCGAGACCGAUGCUCUAGUUGCCUUCCUUUUAUUUUAGUUGCUGCCGUGUGGUUAUUGUGUUUGUUGCAUUAUCAUAAUUAUUGUUGCAUAUUUCAUUCCUAUAUGAUUAUGCCAUGAUCAUGUUGAGUGCCUUGUCAUAUAUUUGCUUCGUGCACCAUCCCAAUAUCACAUGUUAUGUUGCAUUGUACCCUUGUCAUUUUGCAUUUCAUCAUGCUCAUCAUGUUGUGUGUGCAUCAGCCCUUGCUAUCUCUCUCAAGCCAUAUGCCCAUGUAUCAUCACCUCUCCCUUCCUUCUUCCUUCAUGUUUUUGCAAGUGACAUUAUUCCCUCCUCCAUUAAUGUUCAUUUAUUUCGUGGCGAUCUUACUCAAUGCCUUAUACCUCUAUGUCAAAUUUUAUCUCAUUUGGAGUUGAUUUGGUUGGGUUCAAAAAUGGCUCAAGUUUGAAUUUAAUUCAAACUUGAAUUAUUUUUCUAUCCUUAAAAAUGCCCAAAUCAAUUUAUCAAAUUUCUCCACAAGUUCUGGACUCCAGAUAUAUUCUCAUAUCUCUCUCAUGCCUUCCCUUUAUCUCUGAGCUUUUCUCUCUUAUUUUUUGUUUGAGGAAAUUGAGAAAAGAAAGAAUAAGAGGGAGAGAGAGAGCCCAUCUAGCCCAACAGCCGCAGCCCAGCUCACCUCCCAUGCAGUUGACCUGGCCCAGCUCUGUUCACGGCCACCUGCCCUGUUGCGUCGCCGUCUCUGUUCCAGAGACAGAGCACUCGCGCUCGCGCCGUGAGCUUCACGGACGCCGAGGUCGCGCCGUCUUCUCCCCUCCUUUUAAGCCAGCAGCCACACCCUAGGGUUUCCCCUUCUCCCUCUUGUUUUCCUUCGCCACCGCCACCAUGGAGGGCAGCUCCUCCCCGCUCCAUCUCCUCCCUGCAGCCACCAUGGCCGGCUCAAGCAAGAGCUCAAAAGCAGAGUAGGAGCAUCGCUAGCCUCCCCUCCCUCGACCCCGAGCACCGCAACAACUCCCCGAGUCCGUUCUAACGCCGAUCCGAGCCCGAGGACGCCUUCCCCGACGUCCUCUUCAUCCUCUGCUUCGUCUUCUUCACAGACAACAAGUCCACCGGAGUUCCUCGCCUCCUCUCCGUCUAUAUUCUGCGUCCGCGACCGGAUCCUCAUGUCAUAGGUAUACUAGGUAUACCCAACUCCAUCUCUGCUCUUUUUGAUAGCGAUUCGAUCACCGGAGUAGUCGCUAGAUCCAUGCCAUCUUCGUGUUCUCGGUGCUCCGACGAGUUCUGAAUUUUGUUGUGUAGUUGUAGUAGUCACCGUGGUUCCUCACUUUUCGCCCCCGCUCUGGAUCCUCUCACACGCACGGCCGCGCUCGAUUGCGAGCCCGUGGCCUUGCUUUGUCUCGCCACCACCAUGACCGAGCCAAGCUUAUGCUCGUCCACGAGCUCCACGCACUCACACCCCUCCCGCAUAUCACACACACCAUGCGCACGUCCACAGCAGCCGCAUCAUGCACAAUAGCUUUCCCACCUCGUCCGCACGCCUUGCAUAACUCUGCUGUAGCUUCUGACUCGCCGUGCUUCACCGCCAUGGCCGCAGGAUCAUGCCUGCACACAGCCCCGCAUGCACGCGCGCAUCUUGCAGUGCACCCCCUCCUUUGUCCGCACCCGCGCCAUGCUCGCGUCCUUGCCAGUUUUUCCUCGCUCACGCCCAGCAGCUGCCACAUAGUCACACGUCGUGCCUCGUCCGGGACGAGCUUCUGCUCGAGGCUUAUGCUCCGGCCCCUCUCGCAGCUCUCCGCAAGCACGCGUGCACCUUCUUCUGUUUCCGCACGCCCGCCGCAAGUUCAUAACCCCAACGGCCGUUGCUUUUGCUUGCCCUCGCCGUCGGUUGUCGCCGUGCAGCCAUAGCCAAGCUCGACCUGCUCCUGAAUAGCUCAAAAGAGCCUGGGAGCUUGUUUUAUCACGAACUCAUACCUAGCCCAGUGGCUACCGCAGCCACUAUCCAACCAGGAGGUCUGGAGUUCGAAUCUCAGGCGCCACCUAUUUCUUUUUAUUGCUUUGCUUAUUCUCUCUCACACGCAAUGGGUUCGAUCUGCUACUGGGCUUGCACAGUGCGUUGAAUCCGGCCCGUGCAUUUUUUUCCAGUUUGUGCAUUUUACCAUUUUCCAGUGCAUUCUUAUUUACAGUAAUGCCAUCAGUUUAAAAUGCUCAUAACUAAAUAUCCAUGCAUCCAAAUGAAACAUGUCAUAUAUGCAUCUUGCUCAGUUUUUCAUGUUCUUUAACAAUAUACAACUUUCAUCCCUGUUCAAACUGAUUAAAAUUGUUGUUUGCAUUGUUUUGCACAAAUGACAUGUUAAAAUAGUUUAUUUCAUAACUUAAUAACCGUAACUCCAAAUUUAAUGUUCUUUAUAUGUAGAUGGGCUAGAAAAUUACAUAGAUUAACUUGGUGCAUUUUGUUUUGCUGUUUGAAAACUCUAAAAUUAUGUUAUAGGUAGAACACUACCAGAUUCAUAAAUUGCAUAUGGGGAUUUUUCGGAAUUGUUGUUUGUUAUUCCGGCGUCAUUUAAACUUGCCUAGAAAGGUAGUUUAAUUAUGCUUCACCUCUUGCCAUGUUUAACAACAUUUAAUAUUGUUUGGUGGCUUAAACAAGAUCAAACUAAAUAUGUCAAUGUGGUGUUUUGUGAAUAUGCAACUCGUUGCAUAUUGAGCUCCACUUAACUUGUAGUAUUGUUUGUUGCACUUUUCCAUGCCAUGCCUCAUUAAACCGGUCAUGCAUCAUACUUGUUUGUGCAUCAUGCCAUGCUUAUGCUUAUGCAUUUACCAUGUUGUUUGUUUCUUUCCGGUGUUGCUUCUUAGUUCCGGUAAUGUUGCAAUUGUGAGGAUUCGUUCGACUUCAUCCGUUCGUCUUCUUCAUGGACUCGUUCUUCUUGCUAGCUGGAUUUCAGGCAAGAUGACCGCUACCCUGGAUCUCACUACUAUCAUUGCUAUGCUAGUUGCUUUGCUCUAUCGCUAUGCUGCGCUACCUAUUACUUGUUUUUCAAGCCUCCCAAAUUGCCAUGUCAGCCUCUAACCCUUUUCACCCUUCCUAGCAAACUGUUGCUUGGCUAUGUUACCGCUUUGCUCAGCCCCUCUUAUAGCGUUGUUAGUUGCAGGUGAAGUUGAAGAUUGCUCCAUGAUGGACAGGUUUAUGUCGGGAUAUCACAAUAUCUCUUAUAUUAUUAAUGGAUCUAUAUACUUGGUAAAGGGUGGAAGGCUCGGCCUUAUGCCUAGUGUUUUGUUCCACUCUUGCCGCCCUAGUUUCCGUCAUAUCGGUAUUAUGUUCCCGGAUUUUGCGUUCCUUACGCGGUUGGGUGAUUUAUGGGACCCCCUUCACAGUUCGCUUUGAAUAAAACUCCUCCAGCAAGGCCCAACCUUGGUUUUACCAUUUGACUCACCACCACCUAUACCUUUCCCUUGGGUCGGCCAACCCAAGGGUCAUCUUUAUUUUAGCCCCCCCCGGGCCAGUGCUUCUCUAAGUGCUGGUCCGAACCAGAGCCACUAGUAGCGCCACCUCGGGGAAACUUGAGGGCUGGUUUUAGUUGUACGUAGUGUUCAUCCGGUGUUGCCCUGAGAACGAGAUAUGUGCAGCUCCUAUCGGGAUUGUCGGCGCAUCGAGCGGUCUUGCUGGACUUGUUUUACCAUUGUCGAAAUGUCUUGUAAACAGGGAUUCCGAGUCUGAUCGGGUCUUCCUGGGAGAAGGAAUAUCCUUCGUUGAUCGCGAGAGCUUAUCAUGGGCUAAGUUAGGACACCCCAGCAGGGUAUAAACUUUCGAAAGUCGUGCCCGCGGUUAUGGGAAGAUGGGAAUUUGUUAAUGUCUGGUUGUAGAUAACUUGACACCAGAUCCGAAUUAAAAUGCAUCAAUCGCGUGUGUAGCCGUGAUGGUCUCUUUUCGUCGGAGUCCGGGAAGUGAACACAGUUUUUGGGUUAUGUUUGACGUAAGUAGGAGUUCAGGAUCACUUCUUGAUCAUUGCUAGCUUCAAGACCGUUCCGUUUGCUCUCUUCUCGCUCUUAUUUGCGUAUGUUAGCCACCAUAUAUGCUUAGUUGCUGUUGCAACCUCACCACUUUACCCCUUCCUUUCCCUUUAAGCUUUGCUAGUCUUGAUACCCAUGGUAAUGGGAUUGCUGAGUCCUCGUGGCUCACAGAUUACUACAACAACAGUUGCAGGUACAAGUUAUGCGAUGAUCAUGACACGAGCGUGAUGUUUGCUUGUUUGGAGUUCUUCGUCUGCUUCUUCUUCGAUCAGGGGAUAGGUUCCAGGUCGGCAGCCUGCCCUAGCAGGGUGGAUGUCGUUUGAGUUUCUGUUUGUGUUUCAUCCGUAGUCGGAUGUUGAUCUUAUGUAAGAUGAUGUUGUAUUCGUGUGGAAUUGUAUGCCUUAUGUAUGUAUCCCCAUCUAUUAUGUAAUGUUGAUGUAAUGAUAUCCACCUUGCAAAAGCUAUUCAAUAUGCGGUUCUAUCCUUGGUGGGACCUUCAAGUCUCUUUAGGAUAGUAUCGCAUAUUGGGCGUGACAAGUUGGUAUCAGAGCCUCGACCGACCAUAGGAGCCCCUUGAUUGUUGGCUGUUGUUGAGUCUAGAAGAAAACUAUUUUUCAGUCUUAGGAUUAUAUAUAUCGGAGAGUAUGAUUCUUUUCACUCCUCGGUCCCAUCGUCGCUCAGGUGAGGCCUCCUAACGUAGAUGUUUUGUCUUUCCUCUCCUCAAAUUUCACUAAAAUAAUUUUAGGAUCACGCGGGUAUCUUGGAAUCGUUCCGAUGGUUUUGUGACGAGAACAUUGUUCUUGGUGCCUCCUAUCUUUUAUGUGGUAGUGACCCGGGGAGUUGAGCUCCGAGGUGUUGUCGUCAUAAUUUUAUCGUUGCAGUUCUGGAAUACCUGAGUUUUGCCGACAUCGAAAAUCUCUUUUAUGCAGUUGUUGGUGAGAUAACCUCGACGCCACCCAGUACUGGGGCGGGAGUUCGGGAGUAUUGCCAUAGCUUGUAUAACGGAUGCUUUUCGAAGGUUGAGGUACAUGAUUUCCGAUGGUUUCUUGGUUAUGUGUUGACGGAUGGAUACAGCUGGAUGUAGGGAUUGUUAGUUUGUGUGAGAUAUAUUGCUUCCCCUGUAUCCCCAACACCAGAUUGCAUAACCAAAAAGUUUUGGGAGUUUUAUAGGUGGGAAUUCAAGUAGCUCCUAGUAUAUCUUUCCGAUAGAUGCAUGAUAUGGGAUUGGGUAAAUCUCUAUCAUAUGUAUUUGUUCCGGCUUAUUCUACUAGCCAAUCCUUUGUUUUGUUUUGAGUUGUGGUAUUCGAGUUGCUUCAAUGUCAAGUGUUGAUUCCAUACCUUUCAAGCGGUGUUCUCAUAUUUCUAUGAGAGUGCUAAUCCUUCUUGUUUAUCGAGAUUGUCAUGUUAAUUCUUUUCCAACAGGCGUGUUUAUCUUCAAGUGAAUCCGAUCAUUUCAACAUUUGCGAGGUCAAUUCUUAGUUCUCUCAAUGGUGUUUGUUUCAUCCGUCCCAAGUUGUCUUUGUUUUCCCGCCCUCCCACCCCUUUUCUUCAAGGACUCAGCUUUCUUAAUCAAGUAUCCUUUUAUUGAUGGGAAGUCUCUCCAUUCUUUUCCAUCAAUGCUCUUAUCCGGUGAUUCUCAGGAAGAUACUAACGGAGCUUCAAGUUCCUCAUUCUUCAUUCUCGUAUUCUUUUCUGAUGGAUUUAACUCAAGCUUUUAGUGUUGAUCAUAUCUCUUCCUUUUGUUUCACAUAUCUUGCCAUGUGAGUUUCUUAUCCAAGGCUCUCUUAUUUAUUCAACUUGCCCAGUUCAUAUCCGGAGUGCUCAAGAUAUCUCAAAAGAUUUGUGUUUCCAUUCUUAAUCCGUUAAAGCUAUCUGGAGGUUGUUAUCCCAUUCAAGCCAUUUAAUUCAACCGGUGCAUUUUUUUAAAUUGUUCAACGGUGUUUCCUUUUGAGUGGGCCCUAACCCACAUGUCUUUUCCCAGGAUCUUACCUGACUCUUCUAAUUAUCAGGAGCCAUUCGCAAAUUCAUAUCCAAGUUUGACGUAAGAAUGAAUUUCAUCGUCGGAUGUUUUCCAAGAUCAAUUUCAAAUUAUUUUUCCUUGUUGGCUCAACCUCUUUGUUUUUCAUUUCCCCGGAGUAUCUCAACCAUUCAUGGUAGUGUUUCUCGUCGUCAUUCUCGGAUUUUGAAGACCGAAGAAGAGUUCCUCUUAAAUCCUUACCCGUUCUUCCAGAGAUUCAUGGUUCUAGCUUCAUGCCAUCCUCAUAAUUGUUUUGAUUGUGGAAAUUCUUUUCUUACCAUCCGGAGCAUCUCAUGAGUUGUUUCCAUUUCUUUCCUCCGAAAGCCAUCAUGUCAUAAUUCUUCAUUCGUAACAUGUAGCUAUCAUUCUCCAAAACUUACUGGUGCAUCGUUCAAAUAUCCUCUAAUCAGUUCAUGAUCUCUUCGUUCUCUUGUAUCUAAAUCCCCUCAAGUAUCUUCAUUCGUUUUCCAAUUCUUCCCAGUGAAUUGUGGCUUUGCUACUUUCAUUUUCAAUUCUUACGGCGGUUCAUUCAAGUUUUCACUUCCUUCAUUAUCGUAUCAAUUCAUUCGUUGUUUUCAAAUCCUACUGGUGGAUCGUUGAAGACCUUCCCAAGUUGUGCUAUUUCUCUCUUUAAUGUUUUCAAGAAGAAUAAGUAGUAUGCCAAAUCCGUUGCUUGUCAUCAAUUUAUAUUGGUGAAGGAUACGCAUAACAUAAUUCUUAUUCUUGUUUCAUCCAAGUGAUUAAUUCCUCUUCCGGAGUUCCAAGUUUUCCGCUUUAUCUCGUCACGAAGCUCCAUCUAAAUCAUCGCAAGGCUUCACCUUGUGUUUCAACCUCUCUUUCUUUCUAUCAUCCUUUUAUUACCGGAAUUUUUCAUGGAGGCUCUACAUGAUGGUUCGUCAAGGAUUCUUUUCAUUCUUCAAUUGUUUUUCAAGAUUUCUCUUGAAGUUAUGACCCGCCAAGCUAUACUCUAAAAUAAACAUGGUGCUCAACACAUGUUUUGUUUUGAGGAGUUCAAGUAUUCUUCUUCAUGCAUUUCGAAGUGCAAUUCUUUCUACCUUAGCUUUUGAGGUGGUGUUAUAUCAUUCUUGGCAAUUUCCAUUCAGGUUUCGCGAUUCACAUGUUGUCAAGAAUGAGAUAUUUUAAAUCCAUCAAUCUUUUCUUUGGAGUUAUCUUGGUAUAGAUUUCACCUAAAGCCCUCCCUAAGGAAUGUUGCUAUUUGUGGUGCUUAUCAAUGAUCCAAGCUUUCUCCAUAUCCUUGGCGUUGAGUGAGGUUUUUCAUCUCUUCAUUGAUCUCAAGCAAGCAUUUGUUUCCGUUAGUGGCCGCUUGUCACCUCAUAGUCUUGAGAUGUUUUCCAUAAGCCCACUACAAGAUUAUUCUUUUCGUUGUUGGUUUUGCAACAACUCCAUUAUAACCUUCUUGGAAGGGUGCUUUCCAAUCUCUUUUGUGGCAGAAGUUGGCAUUUUCUCCUACAUUCUGUUAUUCCAAUGAUCUAGCUUCUAUUCUUUCAUUCCGGAGGCAUUGUGAUGUUGCUCUCUUCACCCAUCACCUCGUCUUGUCAAGUUCAUGUUCUAUUCCUUCCAUGUUCAACCGGAGUGCUGCCCGAAUUCUUCCUCUCUCAUCUUGUUUUAACCAGAGUGGUUUCAAAUUCUAUCUUGUCCAUUAAACUCUUGAUUCAUGUCUUUGCAACCUCUUGGUUCUCGGCGUAUCCCUUGUUCCUCUUUUCUAACGGAGUGUUUUCAACUUUGUUCAUCUUCGUUGUUUUCUUUCUUUCAUUUUGCUCAACAUCAAGGUUCUUUGGUUUCACUCUUUUGUCGAAGAAGCAACUUAGUUUUACCUCUUCUCAUCCUCUUCCGUUUCUCUCCGGUGCCAUCCUAGAUCUCGGGACGAGAUCCCCUUAUAGUGGUGGAGUGUUGUAACGCCCCGAGACCGAUGCUCUAGUUGCCUUCCUUUUAUUUUAGUUGCUUCCGUGUGGUUAUUGUGUUUGUUGCAUUAUCAUAAUUAUUGUUGCAUAUUUCAUUCCUAUAUGUUUAUGCCAUGAUCAUGUUGAGUGCCUUGUCAUAUAUUUGCUUCGUGCACCAUCCCAAUAUCACAUGUUAUGUUGCAUUGUACCCUUGUCAUUUUGCAUUUCAUCAUGCUCAUCAUGCUCAUCAUGUUGUGUGUGCAUCAGCCCUUGCUAUCUCUCUCAAUCCAUAUGCCCAUGUAUCAUCACCUCUCCCUUCCUUCUUCCUUCAUGUUUUUGCAAGUGACAUUAUUCCCUCCUCCAUUAAUGUUCAUUUAUUUCCUGGUGAUCUUACUCAAUGCCUUAUACCUCUAUGUCAAAUUUUAUCUCAUUUGGAGUUGAUUUGGUUGGGUUCAAAAAUGGCUCAAGUUUGAAUUUAAUUCAAACUUGAAUUAUGUUUCUAUCCUUGAAAAUGCCCAAAGCAAUUUAUCAAAUUUCUGCACAAAUUCUGGAGUCCAGAUAUAUUCUCAUAUCUCUCUCGUGCCUUCCCUUUAUCUCUGAGCUUUUCUCUCUUAUUUUAUGUUUGAGGAAAUUGAGAAAAGAAUAAGAGGGAGAGAGAGAGCCCAUCUAGCCCAGCAGCCGCAGCCCAGCUCACCUCCCAUGCAGCCCACCUGGCCCAGCUCUGUUCACGGCCACCUGCCCUGUUGCGUCGCUGUCUCUGUUCCAGAGACAGAGCACUCGCGCUCGCGCCGUGAGCUUCACGGACGUCGAGGUCGCGCCGUCUUCUCCCCUCCUUUUAAGCCAGCAGCCACGCCCUAGGGUUUCCCCUUCUCCCUCUUGUUUUCCUUCGCCACUACCACCCAGGAGGGCAGCUCCUCCCCGCUCCAUCUCCUUCCUGCAGCCACCAUGGCCGGCUCAAGCAAAAGCUCAAAACCAGAGUAGGAGCAUCGCCAGCCUCCCCUCCCUCGACCCCAAGCACCGCAACACCUCCCCGAGUCCAUUCUGACGCCGAUCCGAGCCCGAGGACGCCUUCCCCGACGUCCUCUUCGUCCUCUGCUUCGUCUUCUUCACGGACAACAAGUCCACCGGAGUUCCUCACCUCCUCUCCGUCUAUAUUCUGCGUCCGCGACCGCAUCCUCAUGUCACAGGUAUACUAGGUAUACCCAACUCCAUCUCUGCUCUUUUUGAUAGCGAUUCGAUCACCGGAGUAGUCGCUAGAUCCAUGCCAUCUUCGUGUUCUCGGUGCUCCGACGAGUUCUGAUUUUUGUUGUGUAGUUGCAGUAGUCGCCGUGGUUCCUCACGCUUCGCCCCCGCUCUAGAUCCUCUCACGCGCACGGCCGCGCUCGAUUGCGAGCCCGUGGCCUUGCUUCGUCUCUCCACCACCAUGACCGAGGCAAGCUUAUGCUCGUCCACGAGCUCCACGCACUCACACCCCUCCCGCAUAUCACACACACCAUGCGCACGUCCACAGCAGCCGCAUCAUGCACAACAGCUUGCCCACCUCGUCCGCAUGCCUUGCAUAACUCUGCUGUAGCUUCUGACUCGCCGUGCUUCACCGCCAUGGCCGCAGGAUCAUGCCUGCACACAGCCCCGCAUGCAUGCGCGCAUCUUGGAGUGCACCCCCUCCUUUGUCCACGCCAGCGCCAUGCUCGCGUCCUUGCCAGUUUUUCUUCGCUCACACCCACCUACUGCCGCAUAGUCGCAUGUCGUGCCUCGGCCGGGACGAGCUUCUGCUUGAGGCUUAUGCUCCGGCCCCUCUCGCAGCUCUCCGCAAGCACGCGUGCACCUUCUUCUGUUUCCGCACGCCCGCCGCAGGUUCAUAACCCCAACGGCCGUCGCUUUUGCUUGCCCUCGCCGUGCAGCCAUGGCCAAGCUCGACCUGUUCCUGAAUAGCUCAAAAGAGCCUGGGAGCUCGUUUUAUCACGAACUCAUACCUAGCCCAGUGGCUAGUGCAGCCACUAUCCAACCAAGAGGUUUGGAGUUCGAAUCUCAGGCGCCACCUAUUUCUUUUUAUUGCCCUGCUUAUUCUCUCUCACACGCAAUGGGUCCGAUCUGCUACCGGUCUUGCACAGUGCGUUGAAUCCGGCCCGUGCAUUUUUUUUCUAGUCUGUGCAUUUUACCAUUUUCCAGUGCAUUCUUAUUUACAGUAAUGCCAUCAGUUUAAAAUGCUCAUAACUAAAUAUCCAUGCAUCCAAAUGAAACAUGUCAUAUAUGCAUAUUGCUCAGUUUUUCAUGUUCUUUACCAAUAUGCAACUUUCAUCCCUGUUCAAACUGAUUAAAAUUGUUGUUUGCAUUGUUUUGCACAAAUGACAUGUUAAAAGAGUUUAUAUCAUAACUUAAUAACCGUAACUCCAAAUUUAAUGUUCUUUAUAUGUAGAUGGGCUAGAAAAUUGCAUAGAUUAACUUGGUGCAUUUUUAUUUGCUGUUUAAAAACUUUAAAAUUAUGUUAUAGGCAGAACAGUACCAGAUUCAUAAAUUGCAUAUGGGGAUUUUUCGGAAUUGUUGUUUGUUAUUCCGGCCUCAUUUAAACUUGCCUAGAUAGGUAGUUUAAUUAUGCUUCACCUCUUGCCAUGUUUAACAACAUUUACUAUUGUUUGGUAGUUUAAACAAGAUCAAACUAAAUAUGUCAAUGUGGUGUUUUGCGAAUAUGCAACUCGUUGCAUAUUGAGCUCCACUUAACUUGUAGUAUUGUUUGUUGCACUUUGCCAUGCCAUGCCUCAUUAAACCGGUCAUGCAUCAUACUUGUUUGUGCAUCAUGCCAUGCUUAUGCUUGUGCAUUUUACCAUGUUGUUUGUUUCUUUCCGGUGUUGCUUCUUAGUUCCGGUAAUGUUGCGAUUGUGAGGAUUCGUUCGACUUCAUCCGUUCGUCUUCUUCAUGGACUCGUUCUUCUUCCUAGUUAGAUUUCAGGCAAGAUGACCGCUACCCUGGAUCUCACUACUAUCAUUGCUAUGCUAGUUACUUCGCUCUAUCGCUAUGUUGCGCUACCUAUUACUUGUUUUUCAAGCCUCCCAAAUUGCCAUGUCAGUCUCUAACCCUUUUCACCGUUGCUAGCAAACCGUUGCUUGGCUCUGUUACCGCUUUGAUCAGCCCCUCUUAUGGCGUUGUUAGUUGCAGGUGAAGUUGAAGAUUGCUCCAUAAUGGACAGGUUUAUGUUGGGAUAUCACAAUAUCUCUUAUAUUAUUAAUGCAUCUAUAUACUUGGUAAAGGGUGGAAGGCUCGGCCUUAUGCCUGGUGUUUUGUUCCACUCUUGCCACCCUAGUUUCCGUCAUAUCGGUAUUAUGUUCCCGAUUUUGCGUUCCUUACGCGGUUGGGUGAUUUAUGGGACACCCUUGACAGUUCGCUUUGAAUAAAACUCCUCCAGCAAGGUCCAACCUUGGUUUUACCAUUUGCCUCACCACCACCUAUACCUUUCCCUUGGGUUGGCCAACCCGAGGGUCAUCUUUAUUUUAGCCCCCCCGGGCCAGUGCUUCUCUAAGUGCUGGUCCAAACCAGAGCCACUUGCAGCGCCACCUCGGGGAAACUUGAGGGCUGGUUUUAGUUGUACGUAGUGUUCAUCCGGUGUUGCCCUGAGAACGAGAUAUGUGCAGCUCCUGUUGGGAUUGUCGGUGCAUCGCGCGGUCUUGCUGGACUUGUUUUACCAUUGUCGAAAUGUCUUGUAAACCGGGAUUCUGAGUCUGAUCGGGUCUUCCUGGGAGAAGGAAUAUCCUUCCUUGAUCGCGAGAGCUUAUCAUGGGCUAAGUUGGGACACCCCUGCAGGGUAUAAACUUUCGAAAGCCGUGCCCGCGGUUAUGGGAAGAUGGGAAUUUGUUAAUGUCCGGUUGUAGAUAACUUGACACCAGAUCCGAAUUAAAAUGCAUCAACCGCGUGUGUAGCCAUGAUGGUCUCUUUUCGGUGGAGUCCGGGAAGUGAACACGGUUUUUGGGUUAUGUUUGACGUAAGUAGGAGUUCAGGAUCACUUCUUGAUCAUUGCUAGCUUCACGACCGUUCCGUUUGCUCUCUUCUCGCUCUUAUUUGCGUCUGUUAGCCACCAUAUAUGCUUAGUUGCUGCUGCAACCUCACAACUUUACCCCUUCCUUUCCCUUUUAAGCUUUGCUAGUCUUGAUACCCAUGGUAAUGGGAUUGCUGAGUCCUCGUGGCUCACAGAUUACUACAACAAUAGUUGCAGGUACAGGUUAUGCGAUGAUCAUGACGCGAGCGUGAUGUUUGCUUGUUUGGAGUUCUUCUUCUGCUUCUUCUUCGAUCAGGGGAUAGGUUCCAGGUCGGCAGCCUGGGCUAGCAGGGUGGAUGUCGUUUGAGUUUCUGUUUGUGUUUCAUCCGUAGUCGGAUGUUGAUCUUAUGUAAGAUGAUGUUGUAUUCGUAUGGCAUUGUAUGCCUUAUGUAUGUAUCCCCAUCUAUUAUGUAAUGUUGAUGUAAUGAUAUCCACCUUGCAAAAGCAUUUCAAUAUGCGGUUCUAUGCUUGGUGGGACCUUCGAGUCUCUUUAGGAUAGUAUAGCAUAUUGGGCUUGACACUGCUGGAGGGUGGGAUCCAUCACUGGUGGCCAUCUUCAUCAUCCUGACGCUCUCCAUGAUGAGGAGGGAGUAGUUCACCCUCGGGGUUGAUGGUAUGUACCAGUAGCUAUGUGUUUGAUCUCUCUCUCUCUCUCUUGUUCUUGAUUUGGCACGAUCUUGAUGUAUCACGAGCUUUGCUACAAUAGUUGAAUCUUAUGAUGUUUCUCCCCCUUUACCUUCUUGUAAUAGAUUGAGUUUUCCCUUUGAAAUUAUCUUAUCGGAUUGAGUCUUUAAGGAUUUGAGAACACUUGAUGUAUAUCUUGUGUGGGAUACCCGUGGUGACAAUGGGGUAUCCAAUUAUGUUAUCCUUGUUGACAGAACUUGCACUAGUGAAAGUAUGAACCCUAGGCCUUGUUUCGAAGCAUUGCAAUACCAUUUGUGCUAACUUUUAUCAUUAGUUAACUUGCCAGGGAGGUGAGUGCUUGACGGUAUAUCUUUAGUUCUUGCAAUUGAAUCUUUUAGUUUAUUGUUUUAUCACUAGUUUAGUCUAUAAAAGAAAACUAUAAAAAAAUGGAAUUGAGGGUGCCUCAUAUGCUUCAUCUUUUUAAUGUCUUUCGUGAAAAUGAUGGAAAGGAAAAUUGUGCUCAAUUGCGAGAAGAAGAAUGAAUUAAAAUGUUUGGAACCAAAUUUUUGAAUGAUGAGCAUGAUUGCAAUGUUGUUAGUAUGAAUUCUUUGCAUAUCCAUGAUGCUAAUGAUAUGCAAAGCCACAAGCUUGGGGAUGCUAUGUUUGAUGGAGAUUAUAUUUUUUCUCCCCCAAGUUUUGAUGAGCAGAUUUAUUAUGAUGACAGCAUGCCUCCUAUUUAUGAUGAUUAUAUUGAUGAAACUGGGUUUGCAAGAGUGUCAACUUUAGGAAGUAAUGAUCCCACUAUUUUGGAUGAUGUUGAAUCCUAUUGUGAUAAUUAUGAAAGUGGACUUGGAGAGGUCAUGACUUUAUUUAGUAAUGAUUCCACUAUCUUGGAAGAGGUUUCAAUUGAUUAUGAUGAGAACAAAGUUGCUACUUAUGAUGAUGAUUGUGAUGAUACUUAUGCUAUAAAAAGUAGUGUUGAUUAUAUUUAUAAAACUUGUCAUGAUUAUGAUUACCCUUUUUCUGAACAUUACUCUUUUAAUGUGGAAACAAUUUAUAGUAUUCAAGUUUCUUAUGAUACUCCCACUAUUCCAAAUGAGAAGAAUUUUGCUUAUGUGGGUAGUAAUAAAAUUUCUUCUUGUAGAGCAUGAAAAGAAUGAUUUAUGUGAUGGCUAUAUUGUUGAAUUCAUUCAUGAUGCUACUGAAAAUUACAAUGAGGGAGGAACAUAUGAUUGUAGGAAUUGCAAUAAUAUCAAGUUCCCUCUCUAUGUGUUGAAAAUAUUGAAGCUAUGCUUAUUUUGCUUUCCUAUGCUAGUUGAUUCUUGUUCCCAUAAGUUGUUUGCUCAUAAAAUCUGCUAGUCAUAUUCUUCAUGCAGCUCUCUUUGUGUUUCAAUUCUUAUCUUUUAUGUGACCAUCAUUGAAAUCAUCAUGCCUAGCUAGAAAGACAUUAAAGAAAAGCGCUUGUUGGGAGACAACCCAACAUAUACCCCUACUGUAGUAAUCAUGUUUUAUAGCUUUUGUUUCAAUAAAGUGCCAAGUAGAACCUUUGGGAAGACUUGGGUGAAAGUUAAUGCGAUCUUUCCAUAUAAACAGAAACUUUGCGCUCACGAGAUUAGCUGUCCAUUUUUACAUAAGAGCGAUUUUAAGUUGAUUCUUUUUGCAGAAGACUAAUAGCCAAAUUUCACAGGUCCACCGAUUUAUUUCAGAAUUUUUGGAGUAAAAGAGUAUUCGAGAGUUACAGAUUACUACAGACUGUUCUGGUUUUGACAGAUUCUGUUUUCUAUGUGCUGUUUGCUUAUUUUGAUGAAUCUAUCAGUAGUAUCGGAGGGAAUGAACCAUAAAGAAGUUGGAAUACAGUAUAUAUUACACAAAUAUGAAUUUAUAAUGAGUUCACAACAGCAAAAGUGGUGAUUUAUUUUCUUAUACUAAUGGAGCUUACGAGUUUUCUAUUGAGUUUUGUGUUGUGAAGUUUUCAAGUUUUGGGUAAAGAUUCGAUGGACUAUGGAAUAAGGAGUGGCAAGAGCGUAAGCUUGGGGAUUCCCAAGGCACUCUAAGGUAAUAUUCAAGGACAACAAAGAGCCUAAGCUUGGGGAUGCCCCAGAUGGCAUCCCCUCUUUCGUCUUCGUUCAUCGGUAACUUUACUUGGAGCUAUAUUUUUAUUCACCACAUGAUAUGUGUUUUGCUUCGAGCGUCAUUUUGUUUUGCUUGUUGUUUGAAUAAUAUUCCAAGAUCUGGGAUUCUUAAAUUUUAGAGAGUCUUCACAUAGUUUCAUAAUUAUUCAACUGCUCAUUGAUCUUCACUUAUAUCUUUUGGAGCAGUUUGUCAUUUGCUCUAGUGCUUCACUUAUAUCUUUUUAGAGCACGAUGGUGGUUUUCUUUUGAAGCAAUAGAUGUACACUCAUGCUUCACUUAUAUUAUUUAGAGAGUCCUAAACAGCAUGGUAAUUUUCUUAGGUUAUUAAUUUAGUCCUAAUAUGAUGGGCAUCCAAGAGGGAUGUAAUAAAAACUUUCAUAUAAAAUGCAUUGAAUACUAUGAGAAGUUUGAUUCUUUAUGAUUGUUUUGAGAUAUGAAGAUGGUGAUAUUAGAGUCAUGCUAGUGGUGUAAUUGUGAAUUUGGGAAAUACUUGUGUUGAGGUUUGUGAGUCCCGUAGCAUGCACGUAUGGUAACCGUUGUGUAACAAAUUUGAAGCAUGAGGUAUCUCUUUGAUUGUCCUCCUUAUGUGUGGAGGUCGGGAUCGCGUGAUGGUUAACUCCUACCAACCCUUCCCCUAGGAGCAUGCAUGUACUGCUUGGUUUUGAUGGCUUGUAGAUUUUUGCAAUAAGUAUGUGAGUUCUUUAUGACAAAUGUUGGGUCCAUCGAUUAUACGCACUCUCACCCUUCCACCAUUGCUAGCCUCUCAUGUGGUGCGCAACUUUCACCGGUACCAUACAACCACCAUUUACCUUCCUCAAAACAGCCACCAUACCUACCUAUUAUGGCAUUUCCGUAGCCAUUUCGAGAUAUAUUUCCAUGCAACUUGUCACCGUUCCUUAUAUUAUGACACGUUUUGUCAUUGUCAUAUUGCUUUGCAUGAUCAUGUAGUUGACAUCGUAUUUGUGGCAAAGCCACCUUUCAUAAUUCUUUCAUACAUGUCACUCUUGAUUCAUUGCACAUCCCGGUACACCACCGAAGGCAUUCAUAUAGGGUCAUAUUUUUUUCUAAGAAUUUAGUUGUAAUUCUUGAGUUGUAAGUAAAUAAAAGUGUGAUGAUCUUCAUUAUUAGAGCAUUGUCCCAUGUGAGGAAAGGAUGAUGGAGACUAUGAUUCCCCCACAAGUCGGGAUGAGACUCCGGACAAAAAAAGGCCAAAAAAAGAGAGGGCCCAAAAAAAGAGAAAAAAUGAGAGAAAAAGAGAGAAGGGGCAAUGCUACUAUCCUUUUACCACACUUGUUCUUCAAAGUAGCACCAUGAUCUUCAUGAUAGAGAGUCUCCUAUGUUUUGACUUCUAUAUACUAGUGGGAAUUUUUCAUUAUAGAACUUGGCUUGUAUAUUCCAAUGAUGGGCUUCCUCAAAUGCCCUAGGUCUUCAUGAGCAAGCAAGUUGGAUGCACACCCACUUAUAGCUCUAGUGCAUCCGUUGCAUGACAAUCCCUACUCACUCACAUUGAUAUCUAUUAAUGGGCAUCUCCAUAGCCCAUUGAUAUGCCUAGUUGAUGUUAGACUAUCUCCUCUUUUUUGUCUUCUCCACAACCACCAUUCUAUUCCACCUAUACUGCUAUGUCCAUGGUUCACGCUCAUGUAUUGCGUGAAAGUUGAAAAAGUUUGAGAAUACUAAAGUCUAAAACAAGUGCUUGGAUGAAACCGGGGUUGUGCAUGAUUUGAAUAUUUUGUGUGACGAAGAUGGAGCAUUGCCAAAUUAUAUGAUUUUGUAGGGAUAAGCGUCGGUGGGAAACGACACCUAUGGGAUCACGAGGAUCCCUUCUGCGGUUGCGGGGCGCGGGGUUGUGAGAAGAUCAGGAUUAGCAGUCAGCACAAGGAUCAUUUACCCAGGUUCGGGCCGCAAGGAUGCGUAAAACCCUAGUCCUGCUUUGGUGGAUGUAUUGCGUGUUCUUGAGUUCUUGAACUAGCUACGGUGGCUGUGUGGUUCCAAAGAGCCGAAUCCCUCUCCAGUAUGCCAUGGGCCUCCUUUUAUAGUCGAAAGGGGCUACCACAGUGGCACACUGGAGGUGGAAAGGCCUACAGUGCUAUGAGCUUAUCGCUCGUAUUACAGGACAAGGCACAUUUAAUGCGUAGCUUAGGUGUCUUCUUGCUUUAUCGGGGACGGGAGUGAGGCAUGUUCCGUCCGUCGCCGCUCCUACUUGCUUCGACACGCGCCCUGGCCAGUGAUUCAUGCGGCGCCAUGUAGGCAGGCAAGCAGAUGAGGUGGCGCGGUGGUGGAGCCUCCACGAAGAUCUGCAUGCCGCCACACAGGCGAGUGCUGAGUUGGCCUGGAAGCUGCAUGUUGCCAUGCAGGUGCCUGCCCAGCUGGUUGGGCUGGCGACUGCAUGUGAACGGCGAUGGAAAUUUGGUUGGUGUGGGCCUGGCAGUGGCCCCCGCUGACGCCCUUGGCAAGGGUCUUUUCGGGUGGCCCGGCAAGGGUCUUGCCAUGGCGCGCUGUCAUCCCCGGCAAGGAUCUUGCCGGGGGUCUUGUGGAUUUCCUCGGCAAGAAUCUUGUCGAGGAUUGUUGCCUUCCAAUCCUCAUCUGAUCUUGAAUAUUCUUUGUCUUCACAAAGAUCUGCAUGCCACCAUGGAGGUGCCUCCCGGGCCUUGGCCCAACGUGGUUGAUGGUGUUGGACAUCGUGGAUUCGAGGGUGGCUCACUCCGCUGGUGUGGGCGAGCCGCCCCGGCAAGGGGCUUGCCGGGGCUGCUGAGCCCCCCCGGCAAGGGUCUUGCCGGGGAAACCUGCUUCGUCCAUCUGCUCUUUGUGGUCUCUUUCUUUGAUGUUGCGCUGAUCAUCUUGUGGCUUCGACUCCUCCCUUUUGCCCUGCUAAGUGCGGCUUCGGCCUGUGGCUCUGACUACCCGUGCACAAGUAAAGGGGGUACAAAGGAGUGCCCCUACUUUAGUACACCGAUAGGAGCCUCUGGGCCUGGGCCACACAUAGGCGCAACGCGUUGUUGGGCCGGGCCCAAAAUGGUGCGCGGCAGGCGGGGCGGUUUUUACCGCAGUAACUUUCCGUCUGCUGCGCUUCCCCAUGACCCGCGUUGGACGCGCGACAUGGGGUCGCGCGCGCGUGCGUGACUGAAGCACACUGGCAUCAUCUUGUGGUGGAUAGUAAAGAGGCGGCUUGCAUGUCCCCUUGAGACCGCAGGGCCACCGCUCAUUUAGUGCCCUUACUUGGGAACCGUCGCUCCACGCGUCCCACUGCGUCCGUCUCUUGCACCACGUUUGCUGCAUGCAUGACACAGAGCGAAUGGCAGGUGACCGGGAUACGGGAAGUCGCGCGCGCAUGGAUCGGUUCCUCGUGCGCCUUCAUUUGGGCGGGAAGGGCAGUUGACGGCCCUGCCCGUUGUCACUUCAAAGAGCCGGAUUGGCCGAAAGGGGCGGCCGAGCCCCGCCCCCGCCCCUUUAUAAAGAGGGGAGCGGGAAGAACGACGCCUCUCAAUCCUUUGUCAUCCGCUUCUCCCCAUUCCUGCUCCCUCCUUCGUUCUGCCAUGGCGAGGGGGCGUGGCGACGCUUCAUCGGUGGCGGCGAGGGUCUCGGCUAGACAACGCAUCACUCCUCCCCAAGAGCUCGUGGCGGUAGAGUCAACCGUUAGAGGAAGGGGGAGGGACGUGGUCAAGGCCGUCGCGGUGCUCGGGGAAGAGGAGGACGGGGCGGCGCAUCGGCCUCGCCUGCGCCAGCGGGCCCUCCCCCGAUGGAGGGCCACAUCGGGAACAACCCUUACGACUUCUUCAUCAGGUUGCGCCAGCCGCCGCACCGUCGUCUUCGCCUCCCGACUCCAUUUGCGCGGGAGAUGGAGCUGGACCCACCGCAGGCGCUGCGGCUGCAUAUGAGGGGUUGUGGGAACAGCAGCACAUGGGUCGAUGUCGAGUUCCCCGCCCCUCACGUCAUGUAUCUUCACCGAGGGUGGAAGACUUUUGCCCGCAUCCACAGCCUGAUGGAGGGGCUCACUCUCCAUUUCAAAUUAAUGGAGAGAGGCAUCCUCUCCGUCAAGGUCUUUGGGCACUUCAGGACUCACGUAAGGUGCUGCAUGGAGAGCUCCUCUGACGAUGAAGAUUCCUUCUCGAGCAAGAGUGGAGAGGAGGACAGCAGCAGCGACGGCGAGGGUAGCGGGCGGCAGGAUGACGGGUCCGACUAAGCGUCGGGCGCCUCUUCGGGCGACACCGGCGAACCCAUCAUCCGUGUCGCCGAUUCCUUGAACUUCUCGGGGUCACCUCCUUGGGCGGCUGGCGUAGGGAGGCCGGAGAAGGCGAAGAAGGCGGGUGGCAGGCCGUCAAGUCGGAGUUCAAUGGCACCGACGCCUUCAUAGCGUAUUGACGGACCGCUGCCUCAUCUUCCAGCUCUUCCUCCGGCGCCACCACUGCCAACCCUCUCCUAGGCGACUGCCGGCAUGUUUUCUUGGCGCCUUCUGCUGCUCGUACCUCGCCUAGGCGCCCCUUUUGCACUUUUGCUUUCUUGUUGCAUUUCUUGUAUGGAACGUAUUAAUGGAAAAGGGGGCUUGCCGGGUCUUGUGUGUGCGUGUGGGAAAAGCCCAUACCAAGGAACAUAUCCUUGUUAUUUUUAAUAUAAACACCACUGCCUGACAGCAGGCCUUGCCGUUCCCCCACUCCGUUCGUCCAUACUCAUGCCUUUGGCGGAGGCAGGGACGAGGUGGGGGUGGGCCCUACGCUUGCUUCCUUGCCGCUGCGGCUACAACCAUAUUCCAAACCAAGAAGCUCUUGGGUGAUAGGAAUGAGGGGAGCAUGAUAGCUUUGGAAUAAAACAAGGUUUCGUACGUCCCAAGUUUUAUACGGAAAUGCAUGACAGGGAAUGGGAAAACUUAUCAAAAUCUACAGCCCCCCGGCAAACCAACCUUGCCGUGGGUGGACCCUCGUGUCUUUAGCCCUCGGCAAGCUUGGCUUGCCGGGUCCGGAGCACUGGCUUGUUUUCUUCCUUCCACUUGUCUUGGUGGAAACAUUCAUGUACCCUGCGCACCAAAGAUGAUAGAUAGGAACAAAAUUACGCAAGCUCGACCUCUAAGCUAGGGGUUAGUCGCUGCUAAGCACUAUCAACCCUAACCAAGGGAGGGACUCAAUCUAGAAUGCAUGCUAUAACUUAGGGCGCCAGUGCUUCAUUAUUUAUGCUCAGGGUCUGUGCCUGGCUUUGUACAAAGGGUUACAUGCCUUGCUGGCAAGGCUUGUACAAAAGGUGGCUUGCCGGGAGGCCCGACAGCUGAUACGUCUCCAACGUAUCUAUAAUUUUUUAUUGUUCCAUGCUAUUAUAUUACCCCUUUUGGAUGUUUAUGGGCUUUAUUUUACACAGUUAUAUCAAUUUUGGGACUAACCUACUAACCGGAGGCCCAGCCCGUAUUGCUGUUUUUUGCCUAUUUUAGUAUUUUGAAGAAAACGAAUAUCAGACGGAGUCCAAACGGAAUGAAACCUUUGGGAGCGUGAUUUUUGGAACGAACGUGAUCCAGAGGACUUGGAGUACAAGCCAAGAAGCAAUCGAGGCGGCCAGGAGAUAGGAGGGCGCGCCCACCCCCUCUGGGCGCGCCCCCUGUCUCCUGGGCCCCUCGGGGGGCCACCGACGUACUUCUUCCUCCUGUAUAUACCCACGUACCCCAAAAACAUCCAGGGAGCCAACGAAAAACAAUUUCCACUGCCGUAACCUUCUGUAUCUUCGAGAUCCCAUCUUGGAGCCUUCGUCGGCGCUCCGCCGGAGGGGGAAUCGACCAUGUAGGGCUUCUACAUCAACACCAUAGCCCCUCCGAUGAGUUGUGAGUAGUUUACCACAGACCUUCGGGUCCAUAGUUAUUAGCUAGAUGGCUUCUUUUCUCUUUUUGGAUCUCAAUACCAUGUUCUCCCCCUCUCUUGUGGAGAUCUAUUUGAUGUAACUCCUUUUGUGGUGUGUUUGUCGAGAUCCGAUGAAUUGUGGGUUUAUGAUCAAGUUUAUCUAUGAGAAAUAUUUGAAUCUCCUCUGAAUUAUUUUAUGUAUGAUUGAGUUAUCUUUGCAAGUCUCUUCGAAUUAUAAGUUUGGUUUGGCCUACUAGAUUGAUCUUUCUUGCCAUGGGAGAAGUGCUUAGCUUUCGGUUCAAUCUCGCGGUGUCCUUACCCAGUCACAGCAGGGGUUGCAAGGCACAUAUUGUAUUGUUGCCAUCGAGGAUAAAAAGAUGGGGUUUAUAUCAUAUUGCUUGAGUUUAUCCCUCUACAUCAUGUUAUCUUUCUUAAUGCGUUACUAUAUUCUUAUGAACUUAAUACUCUAGAUGCAUGCUGGAUAGCGAUCGAUGUGUGGAGUAAUAGUAGUAGAUGCAGGCAGGAGUCGGUCUAGUUGUCACGGACGUGAUGCCUAUAUACAUGAUCAUGCCUAGAUAAUCUCAUAAUUAUUCGCUUUUCUAUCAAUUGCUCGAUAGUAAUUUGUUCACCCACCGUAAUACUUAUGCUAUCUUGAGAGAAGCCACUAGUGAAACCUAUGGCCCCCGGGUCUAUCUUCUAUCAUAUAAGCUUUCAAUCUACUUUUAUUCGCAUCUUUACUUUUCCUAUCUAUGUUAUAAAAUACCAAAAAUAUAUUUAUCUUAUCAUACUAUCUCUAUUAGAUCUCACUUUCGCAAGUGGCCGUGAAGGGAUUGACAACCCCUUUAUUGAGUUGGUUGCGAGUUCUUUGUUUGUUUGUGUAGGUGCGUGGGACUUUUGAGGAGUCUCCUACUAGAUUGAUACCUUGGUUCUCAAAAACUGGGGGAAAUACUUACACUACUAUUGCUGCAUCACCCUUUCCUCUUCAAGGAAAACCAACACAAGCUCAAGACGUAGCAGCAGUCGCGCCUUAUGGGUAAAACUUGCAAAGAUGCUCGAUGUUCCAGGAGUUGCUCACUGGAAUGGCAUCUUCGGUCUCCAGGCGGGCUGCGCCGGACCUGGUGACUCAUGUUACCCGAUAAGGGCCUUCCCACUUUGGCGCCAACUUGUUGGAAUUCUUGGUCGACUGAACAUGCCGAAGAACAAGGUCGCCUUCCUCAAAGCUCCGGGCAUGAACCUUGCGGCUAUGGUAGCGGCGCAAGGCUUGCUGGUAGCGUGCUGCUCUCACAGCCGCCCGGAGACAAUCUUCCUCAAGGAGCGUUGCGUCAUCUUGCCACAAUCGCUCUUGCUCAAGCUCAUCAUAAGAGAGCACUCGAGGUGACCCGUAUAUGAGUUCUGUGGGGAGAACUACUUCUACCCCGUAGACCAGGGCAAAGGGUGUCUGGCCAGUGGCUCGAUUUGGUGUCAUUCUGAUCGACCAAAGAACCGCCGGCAACUCAUCAAUCCAGCACCUUCCACUCUUGCACAGCCUGUCAAAAGUCUUCGUUCUUAAGCCUUGCAGAACUUCAGCAUUUUCUCUCUCUACUUGGCCGUUGCUUCAUGGGUGUGCCACGGAAGCAAAACAGACCUUGCUGCCGAGAUCCUCAAUGUACUGCAUUAAGGCGCGGCUUGUGAACUGUGUGUCGUUGUCGGUGAUGAUCCUGUUGGGUACCCCGAAACGCAAACUAGCCCCUUGAAGAACUUGAUGGCUGACUGCACUGUGACCUUCCUCGCUGCUUCCACCUCUGGCCACUUUGUGAACUUGUCGAUUGCAAUGUACAAGUACUCAAAGCCCCCGAUGGCAUGAGGGAAAGGGCCCAAUAUGUCGAGCCCCCAGACCGAGAAGGGCCAGGAGAGAGGGAUGGUUUGAAGAGCUUGAGCUGGUUGAUGAAGCUUCUUCGAAUGGAACUGGCACGCUUCACACUUGGUUACUAGUGCCGUCGCAUCGCGGAGGGCAGUAGGCCAGAAGAAACCUUGUCGGAAAGCCUUGCCAGCAAGAGCCCUUGACCCUAUGUGGGAGCCACAUAUGCCUCCAUGUAUCUCUGCCAACAGCUCUAGUCCUUCCUCCCGGGAGAUGCACUUUAAUUUCACCCCAUUUGGUCUCUUUCUAUGCAAGACGUUGUCAACGAAUUGGUACAGAGCGGACCGGCGGGCUACUCUUUCUGCCUCUUCCUGCUCCUCAGGAAGCUCUCCUAUUUGGAGGAAUCGGACGGUGUGCCGCGCCCAUGCGGGAGCCCAUGGCUUGACGACAAGGACCAAAGGCAUCUCUUCUGCCACGGGAAUGACCGUCUCUACGGCCAUGGCCUGAGGCCCUGCCGGAGUCAGUUACCCCGCGGCAGGAUCGGCAUCCACGGCAACAUCUUUGCUAGAGGCUCCGGGGAGCUUAGUGGGAAAGUACUUGCCGGGGCCUAGCUUCCUCCGCUUGUUCUGCCCGGUUGAUGGUUCGACGGAUGGUUGAGUUAACCGAAGCACAAAAGUACUUGGUUCCAUAGGUAGCUUGAGGGUAACACGCUUUGACAGGUAGUCGAUGAUGUCGUUUUCCGUCCGGGGGACAUGCUCUGCUCGUAUACCGUCAAAGUGCUCCUCCAGUUUCCUCACUUCAUCCACGUAAGCUUCCAUCAACGGGCUUUGAUAAUCUUUGUUGAUCUGCCUAACGACGAGUUGCAAAUCACCCCUGACGAUGAGCUUUUUGACUCCGAGGUCCACCGCGAUCCUGAGAGCGGCAAGCAAGCCCUCGUACUCGACGGUGUUGGUGUCCUGGAGGUCGCCGCGCCGCCGUCUGGCGGCACGACUACGCCACUAGAGGGCCCCGCGCCGCCUGCAGGGGGCCCGACUCCGUCUCUGGAGGUCGCGAUGUGUGGCUCAUCGUCUCGUGUACGAAUGACCCCGUUCACCAGGCCUGGACUGCUAGGGUGAUGUGGAUGUUCGCGGGCCACGCCACGGGUUCUCUCCGCGACUGCCCUGCUACUCGUCUGCAUCGGUACUGGCAGUCCGGUUCCGGACGAACCGAUCGCCGUGGUCGUCUUCUUCUUAGGAGCCAUGGCGAUGAAGAACUGUUGGGCCAACUACUAGAUCAGAUUCUCACAAUUGUGCUCCCCCUACCUGGCGCGCCAAAGGUGUCGGUGGGAAAUGACACCUAUGGGAUCACGAGGAUCCCUUCUGUGCUUGCGAGGCGCGGGAUUGUGAGAAGAGCAGGAUUAGCAGUCAGCACACGGAUUGUUUACCCAGGUUCGGGCCGCGAGGAUGCGUAAAACCCUAGUCCUGCUUUGGUGGAUGUAUUGAGUGUUCUUGAGCUCUUGAACUAGCUAUGGUGGCAGUGUGGUUCCAAAGAGCUGAAUCCCUCUCUAGUACGCCAUGAACCUCCUUUUAUAGUCAAAAGGGGCUGCCAUAGUGGCAUACAGGAGGUGGAAAGGCCUACAGUGCUAUGAUCUUAUCGCUCGUAUUACAGCACAAGGCGCAUUUAAUGCGUAGCUUAGGUCUCCUCUUGCUUUAUCGGGGACACGAGCGAGGCCCGUCCAGUCCGUCACCGCUCCUCCUCGCUUCGACACGCGCCCUAGCCAGCGAUUCAUGCGGCGCCAUGUAGGCAGGCAAACAGCUGAGGUGGCGCGAUGGUGGAGCCUCCACGAAGAUCUGCAUGCCGCAACGCAGGCGUGUGCUGAGUUGGCCUGGAAGCUGCAUGUUGCCACGCAGGUGCCUACCCAGCUUGUUGGUCUGGCGGCUGCAUGCGAACAGCGAUGGAGAUUUGGUUGGUGCGGGCCUGGCAGUGGCCCCGCUGACGCCCUUGGCAAGGGUCUUGCCGGGUGGCCCAGCAAGUGUCUUGCCGUGGCACGCUGUCGUCCCCGGCAAGGAUCUUGCCAGGGGUCUUGUGGAUUUCCUCGGCAAGAAUCUUGUCGAGGAUUGUUGCCUUCCAAUCCUCAUCUGAUCUUGAAUAUUCUUUGUCUUCACAAAGAUCUGCAUGCCACCAUGGAGGUGCCCCCCCGAGCCUUGGCCCAACCUGGUUGAUGGUUUUGGAGACCGUGGGUUCGAGGGUGUCUUACUCCGCUGGUGUGGGCAAGCCACCCCGGCAAGGGGCUUGUCGGGGCUGCUGAGGCCCCCCUGGCAAGGGUCUUGCCGGGGAAACCUGCUUCGUCCAUCUGCUCUCUGUGGUCUUUGUCUUUGAUGUUUUGCUGAUCAUCUUGCGGCUUCGACUCCUCCCUUUUGCCCUGCUAAGUGUGGCUUCGGCAUGUGGCUCUGACUGCCCACACACAAGUAAAGGGGUACAAAGGAGUGCCCCUACUUUAGUACACCGACAAUAAGCUUUCUUUGGCCAUGUUAUUUUGAGAAGACUGUCGGUGUAUAAAAGUAGGGGCCUAGCUUUUGACCCCUUUACUUGUGCACGGGCAGUCAGAGCCACCUGCCACGACCACACAUGAGCAAGGCAAGAGAGGGAAGCCGGAGAAAAGCCAAAGCCACAGGGACAAGCAAAGCAAACAACAAAGGACCAAGACCACAAAGGUCGCACGGGCAAUGCAGGUGCCCCGGCAAGGACCCUUGCCGGGACAACCCGUCCACACCCGCUGAGCGAGCCACCUUCGAGCCCACCAACACUGAGCAGUCGCAUUGGGAUAGGGUUCGGGAGGCACCUCCGUGGUGGCAUGCAGAUGUUUGUGAAGACAAAGAGAAAUCAAGAUCAAAAGAGGAUAGGAAGGCAACCAUCCCCAGCGAAGAAAUCCAUAGGGGCCCCUGGCAAGAUCCUUGCCGGGGAAGCCAGCUUGCCACGGCAAGACCCUUGGCGGGCCACCCGGCAAGACCAUCGCCAAGUGCCCCGGCAAUACCAUCGCCAAGCACCCCGGCAAGGCCACUGCCAGGCCCGCACCAGCCAAGUUCCUACCGCCGUUCGUACGCAGCCGCCGACCCAACCAGCUGGGCAAGCACCUGUGUGGCAGCAUGCAGACCUUCGUGGAGGCUCCACCACCGCGCCACCUCAGCUGCCUGCCUGCCUACAUGGCGUUGCAUGUGUUGCUGGCCGGGGCACGUGUCAAAGCCAGGAGGGGCGGCGGCGGACGGGACGGGCCUCACCCCUGUCCCCCGAUAAAGUGAAGGACACCUAAGCCUCGCAUUUAAUGCGUCUUGUCCUGUAAUGCUAGCGAUAACCUCGCAACGCUGUAGCACUUUCCACCUCCUGUGUGCCUCUGUGGCAGCCCCUUUGCCUAUAUAAGGAGGCCCAUGGGAUACUGGGGGGGGGGGGAUUCGGCUCUUUUGGACCUCGCAGCACCCAGAGCUAGUUCGAGAGCUCAAGAACACUAAUACAACCACCAAAGCAGGAUUGUAGGGUUUUACGCAUCUUUGCGGCCUGAACCUGGGUAAAUCCCCUUUGUGCCAUCCACUAGCCCCGCUCUUCUCAUGAUUCCGCGCCCCGCAACCAUAGAAGGGAUUCCAGUGAUCCCAUAGUUGUCGUUUUCCACCGACAUCUUUGGCGCGCCACGUAGGGGCACGCUAUUAUGACAAUCUGGUCUAGCAGUUCGCCUAGCUGUUCUUCAUCGCCAUGGCUCCUAAGAGGAAGACGACCACGGCGAUCGGUUCGUCCGGGACCAAGUUGCCGGCACCGGUGCGGACCAGUAGUGGGCCGGUCGCGGAGAGAACCCGUGGCGUGGCCCGCGAACAUCCACAUCACCUUGGCGGUUCAGGCCUGGCGAGUGGAGCCGUUCGCGCGCCAGGCGACGAGCCACCAGUCGCGGGCUCCAGAGACGGAGUCAGGCCCCCCGCAGGCGGCGCGGGGCCCCUCAGGGGUGCCACCGUCCCGCCAGGCGGCGGCACGGCGACCUCCAAGAUGCCAACACCGGCGCCCAUGGUGCACUCCUCUCAGGUUGUGCGUGAUGAGCAUCGUCACUCUGCCGGUGAUCCUGUGCGCCGCCCUGGGAAGAGUCCCGUGCGCCCAUCACAUGAAGAGGAGCGCCAGCAUGCGCACCGAGGUGCUGAUGGAGGUGGAGAAUGGCUGCGGAGCCGGGAUGGAGGUGGAACAUGGUUAGGAGUCGAGGUGCAUCGCGGUCCACCCAGCUUUCACCGCCACCCAUGCCAGCGGAAGCCCUAGCGCGCGCACAGCUGCUCCUUGAUUUUCCUCCCGCCACGGAGAAGCUUGACGAAUGGAGGGCCACCGUCCGGAGCCUCGUCGGCAUCGCCAACAACGACGGGCUGCGGCCGGCGGAACCAGUCGGCCGUCGCUCCGCCGUGCUGCCAUGUGCUAGUGGAGGCCACGCCGGAGGCGACGCGGCCACGGUGUAUUACCCGCCUCCAUCCCGACCGCCCCGGGCGUCGGCUUGCCAUGGCGACGCUCGUGAUGAUAUCUCCAUCGCGCCAUCCGACCCGCGAACCAACCGCGAUCAGUGCCAGGUCCUCCGGGAGCAGGCUCAUGAGGACGCUCGAACUACGAUUGAGCGCUGACGUGACGCGCGCCACCAGUCGGACAGGCGGGCAGGGCCCGCUACGGACCACCUAGUGCCGAGAGGCUACGGUGGCCUACCUUACGAGGUGGGUUGUCCGGCCUUCACCCGUGAGCUACGGAAGUUCCAAUGGCCCUCCCACCGUACGUUCAAUCCUGACGUUGGCGAGGAGUACAAUGGCAAGACCCACCCGUCGGAGUUCCUCAGCAUCUACACCAUCACGAUGCAAGAUGCUGGGGCCCGCAACGGUAAGGUGCUUGCCAACUACGUCCCGUUGGCACUCAAGCCUAAUUUUAUGUCAUGGUUGAUGCACUUGCCGGUGGAUUCCAUCUCUUCUUGGGCGGAUCUGUGCCAUGAGUUUGUUGGCGUGUUUACUGGAGGUCACCAAGCUCAUGGCCAGGCGAGUGAUUUACACAUCAUCCCCCAGAAGGAAGGAGAAAACCUGUGCAAGUACAUCCAAAGGUUCAGCCGGGUGCAGUACAACAUCCCCGAUGUUCAUCCUGCCGCCAUGAUCAGUGCUUUCCACCAGAACGUGCGCAAUCACAAGAUGCAUGAAGAACUGGCGAUGAACAAGGUUAAGGAUGUGGCCGAGCUCUAUGUUCUGGCCGAUCAGUGUGCUCAUGCUGAGCAGGGAAGGAAGUACCUCGGCGAAGAUGCCGGUGCGGAAACCGACUCCACUGGCGAUACCGCCACCCCAGCAAAGAAAGUCCGACGCCGUAAUAGGAAACGCAAGGGCAAGGUCGUGCUUGCCGUUGAGGGAUCCGACGACACUGGUACCAUCAAGAAGACCAAGGAGAGCGACACCGGCAAGGAGGUUGACGGGUGUGACGCUUGCCGUGCCUUGGCGGCCACCGACAAGCCAAGAGGCUCCAACAAGCAAUACUGCAAGAUCCACCGCACCAAGGGCCACGACCUCCAGCACUGCCGACAAGUAGAGCUUCUCGCUGAGAAGCAGAAAGCCGAGUAUGAGCGGCGGGAUAAGGAGAAGGGCCAAGAUGGUGCCGAGGGGUCCGGCAAGAAACAUGGCGGCCAAGGAGGCCGCCGCGGUAAAGACGGUCAGCAGGAGAGGCCCGCCAGGGGCCACGACAAGAAACAAGAAGAUGAUGAUCAUGAUGGGGACGACGAGUCCGGCGAUCAUGAGUUCCAGAAAGCCAUAGAGGCCAUGUGCGUCGAUGGUGGCGCCUUGCUGCAUACAUCCCACCGCCAGCUCAAGCAGUGGGCGCGUGAGAUCACAGCAGUGGAGCCAUCGUUCAACACGCGGAAGCCACUGAAAUGGUCCAGCACGCCCAUCAUCUUUGAUACCGAGGACCACCCCGACCGCACUACCGUGGUCGGGGAUUGCCAUUGUUGGUUUCCCCAACGAUCCGCAACCUCAAGGUGACAAGGAUGUUGGUCGAUGGCGGGGCCGGCCUGAACUUGAUCUUUCCUGCCAUGGUCAAAAAGCUGCAGAUCCCUGAUGGAGACCACAAGGAAACAUGCACAUUCCAAGGGGUUAACCCAGGGAGGAUCCAGCUGAAGGGAAAGGUCAUGCUGCCUAUGACCUUCAGAGGCGAGCUGAAUCACAGAACAGAGAGGAUUGUUUUCGAUGUAGCCAAAAUCCCCUUGCCAUACAAUGGGAUCCUCGGCCGCCCGGCACUAGCCAAGUUCAUGGCAGCUUCACAUUACGCCUACAACAUGUUGAACAUGCCCGGGCUGAUGAACAUCAUCACCGUCCCCUCCGAGAAGAAAGAUGCGUUGAUUUGCACCGACCAACUCUACCAGGAAGCGGUUGCAGCAGCUCCCACCAAGGCACCUACUCCUGCCGACAGAGCCCCGGGAGGGAAGAAGAUUGGCGAGACCCCUCGCACCCACUCUGGCAAGCGCAUCUCUUUGGGGUGUUGUGCUGCCGUCGAGGACGUGCCAGAGAGCUCCGCCGACUGAAGCAACAAGCCCAGGGCUGCACCGCCAAAGACCAAGAAGGUGCCCGUCAAAGAGGACGGCACGGGUGGGGUUUUCAUCCUAAGCUCCACCCUCGACAGCAAAUAGGAAAGCGAGCUCGUCACUUUCUUGCGGGCGAAUGUUGAUGUGUUUGCAUGGAAAGCCUCCGACAUCCCCGACGUUCCCAGGAAAGUGAUUGAGCACCACCUUGUUGUCUGUCCUCAUGCGCGGCCCGUCAAGCAGAAGGUCAGGAAGCAAGCUCUGGAGAGGCAAGAGUUCAUCAUGGAAGAAAUUAGGAAGCUAGAGGCGGUAGGCUUGGUAAGAGGAGUGCUCCAUCCGACGUGGUCGGCCAAUCCGGUAGUAGUGCGCAAGGCAAACGGGAAGUGGAGGCUGUGUAUUGAUUACACAGACAUCAAUAAAGCUUGUCCAAAGGAUCCCUUCCCGCUACUGCGCAUCGACCAGAUUGUUGACUCCAUGGCAGGGUGUGACCUAUUAUCAUUCCUUGAAGCCUACUCCGAAUACCACCAAAUCUUCAUGACAAAAGAAGACGAAGAAAAGAUAGCGUUCAUCACCCCAUGUGUUACGUACCGCUUUUUACGGAUGCCUUUUGGGUUGAAGAACGCUAGCUCAACGUUUGCAAGAGUAGUCCAGAUUGGUUUUGAACCCCAGCUACAUAGAAAUAUGGAAGCUUAUAUGGAUGACAUAGUGGUCAAGACAAAGGACAAAGCGACGCUCGUACAAGACCUGGAGGAGACCUAUAGGAACCUGCACAAGAUUAACCUCAAAUUGAACCCUGAGAAGUUUGUCUUCGGUGUCCCAUCCGGCAAGCUUCUAGGGUUCUUUGUGUCAUAGCGCGGGAUUGAGGCCAACCCGGACAAGAUUAAGGAAAUCGAGCAGAUUGAGGCACCCAAGCGGAUCUAGCACGUGCGUCGGCUCACUGGCUGCGUUGCCGCCAUGAGAAGAUUCAUAUCCAAGUCCGAAGAGCGUGCCCUCCCCUUCUUCAAGAUCCUAAAGAAGACGAGCCCCAUGGAAUGGACCCCGGAGGCCGAGGCGGCGUUGCAAGAUUUGAAGAACUAACUUUCCUCUAUCCCGGUGCUAGUUGCGCCUAAACCACAAGAGCCGUUGCUGCUAUACCUAGUAGCAACAAAUCAAGUGGUUACCGCCGCAUUGGUGGCCAGAGAGAGGUUGACGGGAAGACAGCAGCGGCAGCAGAGCCAACGGCUGGCGGGUCGGAACCCUCCCCGGCAGGGCUCGGUCCCGGCAGGACUGAGUCCCUGGCAGGGCCCGAUCCCGGCAAGCCUGACGCCAGUGCGACAAGACCCGCGUGGCCAGGUGAAGUGAUGCAAAGAAGGAAGAUGGUGCAGCACCCAGUUUACUUCGUUAGCUCCCUCCUACAGGGGGCUAGGUCGAGGUACUCAGGUGUACAAAAGUUGCUCUUCAGCCUCCUUAUGGCCUCGAGGAAGCUGCGCCACUACUUUUAGGCGCACGAGAUCACCGUGGUUACCCGCCUUCCAUUGCAACGGAUACUACACAACCAAGAUGCGAUAGGAAGGAUUGUGGAAUGGGCCCUAGAGCUGUCGAGUUUCGGCUUGAAGUUCGAAAGCACCUCGACGAUCUAGAGCAGAGUCUUGGUGGAGUUUGUUGCAGAAUGGACCUCGACACCAGAAGAAGAGGUACAAGAGACCACUCUCCCCAGCAAGGAAACAAGUGGCGACUGGGUCAUGUACUUUGAUGGGGCUUUCUCGCUGCAAGGCGCCGGUGCUGGUGUGCUGCUUGUCGCACCCACCGGGGAGCACCUCAAGUACGUCAUCCAAAUGCACUUUCCCCGGGAGAUGUCAACCAACAACACCACCGAAUACGAGGGUUUGCUCGCCGGUCUCAGGAUCGCGGCGGACCUCGAAGUCAAAAAGCUCAUCGUCAGGGGCGACUCACAACUCGUCGUCAGGCAGGUCAACAAAGAUUAUCAAAGCCCUUUGAUGGAAGCCUACGUGGAUGAAGUGAGGAAACUAGAGGAGCAUUUUGACGAUAUACAAGCGGAGCACGUCCCUCGAGCGGAGAACGACAUCGCUAACUACCUGUCAAAGCGCGCCGCCCUCAAGCUACCUAUGGAACCAGGUACUUUUGUGCUUCAGUUAACCCAACAAUCCGUUCAGCCAUCGACUGGGCGGAACAAGUGAAGGAAGCUAGGCCCCGACAAGUACUUCCCCACUGAGCUCCCCGAAGCUGCCGGUGGAGAUGUUGCCUUGGAUGCCAAUCCCGCCGCGGGACCUCAGGUCAUGGUCGUGGAGGUGGCUGCCCCCGCGACAGAAGAGAUGCCUUUGGUCCUUGCCAUCAGGCCACAUGCUCCGGCAUGGGCACAACACACCGUUUGAUUCCUUUAAUAAGGAGAGCUUCCCGAGGAGCAGGAAGAGGCAGAAAGAGUAGCCCACCGGUCUGCUCUGUACCAGUUCAUUGAUAACGUGCUAUACAGAAGAAGGCCAAAUGGGGUGAAAUUGAUGUGCAUCUCCCGGGAGGAAGGACUAAAGCUGUUGGCAGAGAUACAUGGAGGCAUAUGUGGCUCCCACAUAGGGUCAAGGGCCCUUGCCGGCAAGGUUUCCUGGCAGGGUUUCUUCUGGACCACCGCCCUCCAGGAUGCAACGGCACUAGUAACCAAGUGUGAAACGUUCCAGUUCCAUUCGAAAAAACUUCAUCAACCAGCCCAAGCCCAUCAAACCAUCCCUCUCUCCUGGCCCUUCUUGGUCUGGGGGCUCGACAUUUUGGGCCCCUUCCCCCAUGCCGUCGGGGGCUUUGAGUACUUGUACGUUGCCAUCGACAAGUUCACAAAGUGGCCAGAGGUGGAGGCAGUGAGGAAGGUGAUGACACAGUCAGCCAUCAAGUUCUUCAAGGGACUAGUUUGCCAUUUUGGGGUGCCCAACAAGAUCAUCACCGACAAUGGCAUGCAGUUCACAAGCCAUGCCUUCAUGUAGUACAUUGAGGAUCUCGGCAGCAGGGUCUGUUUUGCCUCCGUGGCGCAUCCACGGAGCAACAGCCAAGCGGAGAGAGCAAACGCUGAAGUCCCGCGAGGCUUGAGGACAAAAACUUUUGACAGGCUGCACAAGAGCGGAAGGCGCUGGAUUGAGGAAUUGCCGGUGGUUCUUUGGUCGAUAAGAACGACGCCAAAUCGAGCCAACGGCCAAACACCCUUUGCCUGGUUUACGGGGCAGAAGCAAUUCUCCCCACGGAACUCAUAUACGGGUCACCUCGUGUGCUCGCUUAUGAUGAGCUUGAGCAAGAGCAAUUGGGGAGGGAUGACGCAACGCUUCUCGAGGAAGAUCGUCUCCGGGCGGCUGUAAGAGCAGCAGGCUACCAGCAAGCUUUGCGGCACUACCAUAGUCGCAAGGUUCAUGCCCGGAGCUUUGAGGAAGGCGACCUUGUUCUUUGGCACGUUCAGUCGGCCAAGAAUUCCAACAAGUUGAUGCCAAAGUGGGAACACCCUUAUCGGGUAACGCGAGUCACCAGGCCCGGCGCAGUCCGCCUGGAGAUCAAAGAUGCCGUCCCAGUGAGCAAUUCCUGGAACAUCAAGCAUCUUCGCAAGUUUUACCCAUAUGGCGCGGCUGUCGAGCCUCCCGUCAAGCCAUCCUUUUGUACAAGCCUUGCCGGCAAGGCAUGUAACCCUUUGUACAAAGCCAGGCGUAGACCCUGAGGUUAAAUAAAUGUAGCGCUUUGCGCCCUAAGUUAUAGCAUGCAUGCUAGGUCGAGUCUCUUCCUUGGUUAGGGUUGAUAGUGCUUGGCGGCGACUAACCCCAAGCUUAGAGGUCGAGUAUGCGUCUCUGUCCUUCCCUGUCUUCUUUGGUUCGUAGGACAAGUAAAUAUUCUUGCCGAGCUAUUCUGGAAGGAAGGAAACGGACUGGCGCCUGGGCCUCGGCAAGCUAGAAUUGCCAGGAGCUGCGAGAACGAGGAUCUCUCCACGGCAAGCCAAGAUCGCCAGGGGCUGUAGAUCCAGAUAAGUCUUUAAUCCCCUAUCAUGCGUUUUGUUAUGGGCUGGGAUGCGUGAAACCCCGUUCCAUCUCUGAGCUACCGUGCUCCCUCUUUUCGGCACCCAAGGAUAUUUCCUGGGUCGAGAUCUGGUCAUAGCCGCGACAGCAGAGGAGGGGAACGAGGGGCCUAAGCCCACCUCAUCCUUGCCCCCGCCAAGAGCGUGAGAAAGGUCAAGCGAGGUGGGGAGACGGCAAGGCCUGUUGCCGGAAAAAAAAAAUUGUCUCGAAAGAUGAUAGGGAUUCACCCCUUGCCGUGGGUUUCUCCCGCGAACGUAAUCCCGGUGAACGUCCCUUUUUCAUUAAAAAACAUCCCGUACAGGUACAGUCCAUACGAGAUGAAAAACAUGAACAAGGGGAAUACAAGUUAUAAAGCUAACAAAGGCCCAAAGGCUUACAGAACUAAAAAGAUAUAAGGUGCCCGUAAUCCCUUUCUUGUCCCUCUCCUCAGGACAUGGAACAAGAAGGCAGAAGGGCACAAGGGGCACCUAGGCGAGCUACGAGUGGAAGGAGACACCAAGAGGAUAUCUCAGUGGCCGUCCGAGGGCUGGAUGGUGAUGGCGACGCCGAAGGCAGAGCUCGAAGACGAGGCGGCAGGACGCCAACACGCGACGAAGGCGUCGCUGUCCGCGUACUCUAACUUGACGGCCUCGCCGCUCAUCCUCUUCCUCUUCCACAGCCUCCCUACGCCAACCGCCCAAGGAGGCGACCCCGAGAAGUUCAAGGAGCCGGCGACACGGAUGAUGGGGCUGUCGGUGCCGUUCGGAGCGACUCCCGACGCCCAGUCGGACCCGUCAUCUUGCUGCCCGCUACCCUCGUCGUCGCUGCUGUUGUCUUCCUCGCCAGUCUCGCUUGAGGAGGACUCUUCAUCGUCGGAGGAGCUCUCUACGCAGCACCUCACGCGGGUCCCGAAGUGCCCGAAGAUCUUGACGGAGAGGAGGCCGCCCUCCAUUAGUUUGAAAUGGAGAGCGAGCCCGACCGUCAAGCUGUGGAGGCGAGCGAAGAUUUUCCACCCUCCGUGAAUAUACAUGACAUGGGGGGCACGGAACUCGAUGUCGACCCACGUGCCGCUGUUCAUGUGUAGCCGCAGCGCCUGCGGCGGAUCCUGCUCCAUCUCCCGCGCAAAUGGGGUCGGAAGGCAAAGGAGACGGCAUGGCGGAUGGCGCAGCCUGACGAAGAAUUCACAGGAAUUAUCCCCAGCAUGGCCCUCCAUCGGAGGAAGGGCUGCUGGAGGGGGCGAGGCGGAUCUGCCGCCCCGUCCUCCUCUCCCCCGGGCUCCACGGCGGCCUCGGCCUCGCCCCCUCCCCCUUCCUCUAGCGGCCGGCUCUGCCGCUAUGAGUUCCUGGGGAGGAGUGAUGCAUUGUCUGGCCAAAACCCUCGCCGCCACCGAUGAAGCAUUGCCACGCCUCCUCGCCAUGGCAGAAGAAGAAAGGAAGCAAGAAUGGGGAGAGGUAGAUGGCGAAGGACUGAGGGGCACCGUCCCUCUCGCUCCCCUUGUUAUAAAGAGGCGAGGGAGGGGCUUGGCCGCCCCCUCCCAGCCAAUCAGGCCUCUUGGAGUGACAGCAAGCGGGGCCGUCGACCGCCCUCCGCGCUCCACUGAAGGCGCAAGGGAAUCAACCCACGCGCGCGCGACUACCCACGACCCCUGCGCCUGUCAUUUGCUCUGCAUGCAGCGAACGUAGCGCAAGGGGCGGGCACAAUGGGACGCGUGGAGUGACGGUUCCCGAGCGAUGCCAGUAAAUGGGGGGCGGCCCUGCGGUCUCAAAGAGACACGCAAGCCGCCUCUGUACUGUCCACCACAAGGUGACGCUAGCAUCCCCACGUCAUGCGCGCACGACCCCCACGUCGCGCGUUCGACGCGGGGCGUGGGGAAGCGCAGCGAGCGGAACAGUGGCCGCAGUAAAAUCCGCCUCGACUGCCCGUGCACCGUUCUGGGCCUGGCCCAACAACGUGCUGCGCCUAUGUGUGACCCAGGCCCGGGGGCUCCUGUCGGUGUACAAAAGUAGGGGCCUAGCUUUUGACCCCUUUACUUGUGCACGAGCAGUCAGAGCCACCUGCCAUGACCACACAUGAGCAAGGCAAGAGAGGGAAGCCGGAGAAAAGCCAAAGCCAUAGGGACAAGCAAAGCAAACAACAAAGGACCAAGACCACAAAUGUCGCACGGCCAAUGCAGGUUGCCCCGACAAGGACCCUUGCCAAGGGCAGCCUCAGCAGCGCCGGCAAGAUCAUUGCAGGGGCAGCCCGUCCACACCCGCUGAGCGAUCCACCUUCAAGCCCACCAACGCUGAGCAGUCGCGUUGGCACAGGUUUCGGGAGGCACCUCCGUGGUGGCAUGCAGAUCUUUGUGAAGACAACGAGCAAUCAAGAUCAAAAGAGGAUAGGAAGGCAACCAUCCCCACCGAAGAAACCCACAGCCCCCCCGGCAAGAUCCUUGCCGGGGAAGCCAGCGCGCCAUGGCAAGGCCCUUGCCGAGUCACCUGGCAAGACCAUCGCCAAGUGCAUCGGCAAGGCCACCGCCAGGCCCGCACCAGCCAAGUCCCUACCGCCAUCCGUACGCAGCCGCCGACCUAACCAGCUGGGCAGGCACCUGCCUGGUAGCAUGCAGACCUUCGUGGAGGCUCCACCAUCGCGCCACCUCAGCUACCUGCCUGCCUACAUGGAGCUGCAUGCGUUGAUGGCCGGGGCAUGUGUCGAAGCCAGGAGGGGCGGCGGCGGACGGGACAGGCCGCACCCACGCCCCCCGAUAAAGUGAAGGACACCAAAGCCUCGCAUUUAAUGCGUCUUGUUUUGUAAUGCUAGCGAUAACCUCACAACGCUGUAGCACUUUCCACCUCCUGUGUGCCACUGUGACAGCCCCUUUCGCCUAUAAAAGGAGGCCCAUGGCAUACUGAGGGGGGAUUCGGCUCUUUUGAACCUCGUAGCACCCAGAGCUAGUUUGAGAGCUCAAGAACACUAAUACAACCACCAAAGCAGGAGCGUAGGGUUUCACGCAUCUUUGCGGCCCGAACCUGGGUAAAUCCCCUUUGUGCCAUCCGCUAGUCCCGCUCUUCUCACGAUUCCGCGCCCUGCAACUGUAGAAGGGAUUCCAGUGAUCCUAUAGGUGUCGUUUUCCACCGACAUCUUUCCUGUCGUGUACAAAAGUAGGGGCCAAGCUUUUGACCCCUUUACUUGUGCACGGGCAGUCAGAGCCACCUGCCACGACCACACAUGAGCAGGGCAAGAGAGGGAAGCCGGAGAAAAGCCAAAGCCACAGGGACAAGCAAAGCAAACAACAAGGGACCAAAACCACAAAGGUCGCACGGGCAAUGCAGGUUGCCCCGACAAGGACCCUUGCCUCAGCAGCCUCAGCAGCCCCGGCAAGAUCCUUGCCGGGGCAGCUCGUCCACACCCGCUGAGCGAGCCACCUUCGAGCCCACCGACGCUGAGCAGUCACGUUGGGACAGGUUUCGGGAGGCACCUCCGUGGUGGCAUGCAAAUCUUUGUGAAGACAACGAGCAAUCAAGAUCAAAAGAGGAUAGGAAGGCAACAAUCCCCACCGAAGAAACCCACAGGGCCCCCCGGCAAGAUCCUUGCCGGGGAAGCCAGCGCGCCACGGCAAGACCCGCGCCGGGCCACCCGGCAAGACGAUCGCCAAGCGCACUGACAAGGACACCGCCAGGCCCGCACCAGCCACGUUCUUACCACUGUUCAUACGCAGCCGCCGACCCAACCAGCUGGGCAGGCACCUGGGUGGCAGCAUGCAGACCUUCGUGGAGGCUCCACCACCGCGCCACCUCAGCUACCUGCCUGCCUACAUGGCGCUGCAUGCGUUGCUGGCCGGGGCACGUGUCGAAGCUAGGAGGGGCGGCGGCGGACGGGACGGGCCUCACCCCUGUCCCCCGAUAAAGUGAAGGACACCUAAGCCUCGCAUUUAAUGUGUCUUGUCCUGUAAUGCUAGCGAUAACCUCGCAACGAUGUAGCACUUUCCACCUCCUGUGUGCCACUGUGGCAGCCCCUUUCGCCUAUAAAAGGAGGCCCAUGGCAUACUGAGGGGGGAUUCGGCUCUUUUGAACCUUGCAGCACCCAGAGCUAGUUCGAGAGCUCAAGAACACUAAUACAACUACCAAAGCAGGAUCGUAGGGUUUUACACAUCUCUGCGGCCCGAACCUGGGUAAAUCCCCUUUGUCCCAUCCGCUAGUCCCGCUCUUCUCACAAUUCCGCGCCCCGCAACCGUAGAAGGGAUUCCAGUGAUCCCAUAGGUGUCGUUUUCCACUGACAUCUUUGGCGCGCCAGGUAGGGGAGCGCAAUUUGUGAGAAUCUGGCCUAGGGGUAGGCCUAGCAGUUCAUCAUCGCCACGGCAUCUGCGGAGAAAGCGGCCUAGAGGGCGGCGCUGCCCAUUGGCGGGAAGGAUGCCGAGGCGGCGACGAAAGAGCUAAGUCAUGCUAAACUUUAAAUUUUUAUCCUUAAAUAUAAUGUUGUUAUCCUCGGUGGUUCUGCCUAUGUAUGGGAAACCUAUACGCGAAGGGCCCUCCUUUGAUUGGCAACGCCCUUGUUCUAUUUCGAGCCAGCUCAACAGUUUGAGCGGCCGCGUUGAGAGCGGUAGGGUAGCCUUCCGCCACCAGCUACGCUCUCAUUUUUGACUCGAGUCAAGCUCGACAGAUCGAGCGGCCGCGCUGGCAGCGGUGAGGUGCUUUGCCGGCAGCAAGCACACCCGGCAGGCUAAUGAGGAUCCGUCCUCAAGGCGCUGCCCCGGGUUUACACGCUGGCAAGCUUACCCAAUCGACGUGGGGCAUACAUACAAAGGAAAAUCUAACAGGAAAAUAACAUGCAUAGUUUCAAGGGUACUGCAGAGUCGUAUUACAUAAAUUGCCGGCGCGGUUCUAACUAAAGAUAGCAUUUGUAUUGGUCAUGAACCUGCAGCGGCGAUAAGAAAUGAGGUGCUCAGUCCCAGCGCUGGGCCUCCAACCUCUUGAUUUUGUCGAUGCGGCUGAGGAUGGGCUGGAUACGCUCGUUGAGCGCUGCGAUGUCAGCGUCCUCCGGCAAGCUCUUCAACACCGCUUUGAAGUCGAGGUCAGGAUGCCAAUGCGCUAUCUUGACGAGCACCCUGGUGAUGGCCCCCUGGCAAAGAAUCCGGGACUCUUCAGCAAGGGAGGCCGCCCGAUUAGAGUGGAGCCAACGACCCUCUCAAAGUAUAUUGUCAGGCUGGCGUUGGGGCUCAGGUUCACUUCCGGGGUGUACUCCAUGCCCGGCACCCCCAUGAUGGACAGCUGGUCGGCGGCGGAGUUUGCGACGGCGGCAAGGCGCUCAAGCCAGCGUUUCUCGCCGGCCUUGUGAUCCUCGAGGUUGGCGGUCUUGUUCCUCAGCAGCUGCUUCUCCGCCUCCAGCUCCCUUGUCAGGAGUCCCUCCCGGGUCAAGGCCCACGACAGCACCUCCUCGAGCUCUCCUAGCUUCAGCUUGAGAUCUUUGAUGGAGGCAUUGGCUUCGGAGAGCUCUCCAGACUUGCAAAUGAUCUCGCCCUGCGCCUCUGUCAGGGCGCCGUUGAGCGUGUCCUUCUCUUGAGACAGCUUCAGAGUUUGAUCCUCCAGCUCCUUCACCUUGCCGGCGUGAGCCUGAGCCAGGGCGUUGAGUGCCUCUUGAUGCCUCCUCUCCAGCUCUUAGGUCCACUGGAGGACGAGCUUGUCCACUUCUUCAGCCUUGCCGUAGAGAGUGGCGGCAAGCUUCUCCUCGCGCGCGGCAAGGUCCUCCUCCUGGGUCCUCAGGGCGGCCUCGUGCUGGGACCGGACGGCUGCGGCCUUGUCGGCCAGCCUCUUCGCCGUUUCCUGGGCCUUCUCGAUGUCGGGCAGCCUCAUGGUGAGCUCCAGGUCGCGCCUGGCCAGAUCGCCCUGAGCGGCCUUCAGCUCAUCCUGAACCUGGCGCCACCAACCUUGUGCCUUGGCGACGCGCUCCUCAAAAUCUGCCUCCACUUUCUCCACCACCGCCGUGUUGGACUUGGCCUUGUCCAGGCGAGCGCGGUGGAGAGCCUGGAGUUUCCGGAAGUUGGCGCCCAUGGCCAGGAGCAGCUGCUCCUCCUGGGAGCCAUCACCGUCGACGCUCAACUCAUCAACAACGUCAAAACCGGCGGUGGUGAGCACCUCAUUGUCAAGAAAUUCCCCCUCGGCGAUGGCUCUAGAGCUUGACGCGCCUGGAAGGUGGACGAAGAGGUCAUCGCUCACCUUCAGGUACUUGCCGGAGCCAGAGGCAGCGGAGGAGGAGGGCUGGUCGUCGACCACCGCCUCCUCGGCAGUGGCCUUGCCGGUCCCCUCGGCGGCCCCCUUGCCGGGCUCCUCGGCACGCUCCUCAAGGGGGCAUUUAGUGGGCCCCUUAGCAGCGUCUUCGGCGGCACCCCUGGCGCUCUCCUCGGCAGCAAUCUUCUCCGCCUCCACCGCGGCCUCCACGGUAACAUCCUGGAUGGUGGUGUCGACAGCCUCCGAAGAAGGGCCUGGACACCAAGAAAGAGACGGGGUGGAGCCAAGGUCGAAAGCCGGUGAGGAAAAGAGGAAAAGAAGAAUGUCAACAAAAACAAACGGGUAGCCUACCUGUGCCAGGCCGAGAGGCGGAAGCCCUUUCUCCGCCAAGAUCCGGAGCCGAAGGAAAGCCACCAGCUCAUGCGUUCUCCUCCUCCUCCUCCGUGUGCAUAGCCUCAGGGCUUUGUGCCCUUGCCGGGGACGCCCCUUGGGGCGGUGUGGUUGACGGAGGAGGCACGAUAGGAGAACCCUUCGUGGCUCCCCUUGGUGCUGCUCCCCUCAUGCAUCCACGUCAUGGUUAGCACUGAAGCAUCACGCAUAACGCACGCUGAUGGAGGGCGGGUGAUGGACUCACGCUGGGGGCUGUGCCGGGGGCUGCUGUCCGGGCUGCUCGACACCACCAGUGGCAUGCCGGAGGUGCCUGUCGAGGGCUGGCUACUCGUCGACGUCCGGGCCCUAUUCAUCCUCUGGGCCAGCGUCUCCACAUCCCUGCAAAAUGAAGGCAAGUGAGUAACACCGUCGGGGGAUGUGCGAGGAAUGAGGGAGAAAAGCACAGGCUUACUCGUCAUUUCCUUCCUCCUCCUCCUCCUCCUCCUCCUCUGGUGCCUUCCUUUUCCUCACUGGGUUGGGUGACCCAGAGUAUCUGUCUGGGCUGAGGGGCCCGAAGUCCAAGGCAAUCCCCGCGCCAACGUCUGCUGGCGGCGGGGAGGGCGGUGGCGUCUGAGCAUGCCUGGACGACGAGGAAGCAGGUGUCUUCCUCCUCGCUGCCUCGACUUCCGCCGCCUUCUUCGUCAUCGCGGCCCUCGUCUAGCGCGUCGCCGCUCCAUGCGCCAGCCGCAGCUGUGCGGCCCGUCUAGGGCGAACCGGCUCACCAGAGGCAGCCCACCGUAGAACUCGCCCCCUCCCGGUGGUCGGAGGGACGGAGGCUGCAAUCUCCUCCUCCUCAUCUUCCUCGGAAUCCCCGUUGCCGACGUCCUCGACAAGGGGGGGGGGGCGGCGCUGGCACCGCUGGCCUUCCCAGCGGCCACUGCCCACUAGGAGAGGUCCUCCUCCUCCGCUUCUGCCGCGGCACUGUCCACCGUGCCACCGAUGCUGCCGGCCUCCACGUCAAGCCUCGCUUCCCGCAACCCGCGGGUGAUGUAGUCCAACUCCACCUGAGAAGUGUGCUGGACAAGCCGCGGCUCGUCGGUGACAUAUGCCUCGUGCAAGGUGUCGAGGAAAUCCUGCACCCUAAGCUCGUCAAGCUCGACCCAGCUCGGCUCGAGGCCAUGCGCAUUAAAGAGCGGCAUCAUGGCGAUGAUAUCCGACCGACGAGAGUUGUUGCUGAGCGGGACCACCCCCGUCGGCAACUUGAAGAUGGGCUCCUUGUCCACCUUGUCGGCCUUCGCGGCAGCCCUUGCCACCUGGUCGGACCGCUCCAUCACGCCCUCUUCAUUAACCUCGAGCUAGAAGAUUCGCCGGCAGAGAUGAGCAUGCCUCAGCACUAUCAGAUUAUGGUCGAGGCCAGGGCGGAGCCGCAUGAUAUCAGCAGCAUUCACAAAAAGCCAGUCCGGCCUCCCCUUGUCGUGCAGAGGGGCAAUCCGGCGGCGGAUGAAGUCCGCGCCGAUCAUCUCGAGGGUGAGCCAGGCCCGGGUAAGCCUGAGGAUCCUGGUGGUGGCGAUCGUGAGCUUCUCGUCGUUGACGUCGACGUCGCCCCAGUCCUUUCCACGGACCGGCGCGACCUGACGGACCUCACAGAACGCCGGCAGUUUCUCCUCCUCGAUAAAGCACCACCGGCCCCGCCACUCUUCCCACCUCUCCUUCAUGGCGUCGUCCGGGUAUGCUCCUUUGGCCCUUGGGAUCCAAGCGACGCUGCCGGUGAUGGCGCCUACCUUUUGGAUUCGAGGGGAGAAAUAGUGGCGGAAGAGCAUCAUGCUGGGAUGCACCCCGUCGAAGCCCUCGCAAAGGUGUGCGAAAAGGGCCAUACACGCCACGGCAUUUGGGGGUGAAGUCCAGGAGGCGGAAGCCGAAGGUGUACAUGAUAUCCUUGAAGAAAUCAGAGAAAGGGGGAUAGAGCCCGCAGGAGAAGUAGUCGACGAAGAAAGGGUACCGAUUUGGGGAGGGCCCGGCGCUGGCGGGGACGACACGUGUGGCCGGAUGUCCCGUCAUCUCUCCCCCCAUCUUCACGCCCCACAGGACCUUGAAGUACUCCUGGAGCAUGGGCACGUCGACCGUCGAGGGAAAGAGGGCAAACUGCGCCCGUCGCACCACGAGCUCGCUCUCCGACGGCUUCGCCGCGCCGGCAUCCUUGACUGCCCCCUUUCCUUUGGAGGAUUUGUGCGCCAUUGCGGUCGUAGAAAGAAGGGGAUGGAGGAAGCGCGUCGGUGAUGAGCAGAAGCGGGGGCUCGAGGAAGAAGAAAGGGGGCGGCGGUUUCAAGAUGGAGGGAGGCGCACGAAAGGGGAAAAGUGAGCAGCGCGCCCGCGGGCCUCCUUUCCCAUUAACUGCGACGCGACUCAUGCGUGCGGUCGCCAUCCCACGCAUGCCCCCCACGUCACGCACGCGCACGACCCCCAUGUCGCACGUUCCAUGCAGGGCGUGGGAAAGCGUAGCAGGCAGAACAGUGGCCACUGUAAAAUCCGCCUCGAGUGCCCGUGCACCGUUCUGGGCCUGGCCCAACAACGUGGUGCGCCUAUGCGUGACCCAGGCCCGGGGGUUCCUGUCGUUGUACCAAAGUAGGGGCCUAGCUUUUGACCCCUUAACUUGUGCACGGGCAGUCAGAGCCACCUGCCACGACCACACAUGAGCAAGGCAAGAGAGGAAAGCCGGAGAAAAGCCAAAGCCACAGGGACAAGCAAAGCAAACAACAAGGGACCAAGACCACAAAGGUCGCAUGGGCAAUGCAGGUUGCCCCGGCAAGGACCUUUGCCGAGGGCAGCCUCAGCAGCCCCAGAAAUAUCCUUGCCGAGGCAGCUCAUCCACACCCACUAAGCGAGCCACCUUCGAGCCCACCAACGCUGAACAGUCGCAUUGGGACAGGUUUCGGGAGGCACCUUCAUGGUGGCAUGCAGAUCUUUGUGCAGACAAAGAAAAAUCAAGAUCAAAAGAGGAUAGGAAGGCAACCAUCCCCACCGAAGAAACCCACAGGGCCGCGCCACAGCAAGACCCUUGUCGGGCCACCCGGCAACACCAUCGCCAAGCGCCCUGGCAAGACCAUAGCCAAGCGCCCCGGCAAGGCCACUGCUAGGCCCGCACCAGCCAAGUUCCUACCGCCAUUUGUACGCAGCCGCUGACCCAACCAGCUGGGCAGGCACCUGCGUGGCAACAUGUAGACCUUCGUGGAGGCUCCACCACCACGCCACCUCAGCUGCCUGCUUGCCUACAUGGCACUGCAUGCAUUGCUGGCCAGGGCACGUGUUGAAGCCAGGAGGCGCGGCAGCGGACAGGACGGGCCUCACCCCCGUCGUUCCCCGAUAAAGUGAAGGACACCUAAGCCUCGCAUUUAAUGUGUCUUGUCCUGUAAUGCUAGCGAUAACCUCGCAACGCUGUAGCACUUUCCACCUCCUGUGUGCCACUGUGGCAGCCCCUUUUGCCUAUAAAAGGAGGCCCAUGGCAUACUGAGGGGGGAUUCGGCUCUUUUGAACCUCGCAGCACCCAAAGCUAGUUCGACAGCUCAAGAACACUAAUACGACCACCAAAGAAGGAUCGUAGGGUUUUAUGCAUCUUUGCGGCCGAACCUGGGUAAAUCCCCUUUGUGCCAUCCGCUAGUCCCGCUCUUCUCACGAUUCUGCGCCCCACAACCGUAGAAGGGAUUCCAGUGAUCCCAUAGGUGUCGUUUUCCACCGAUAAAGACAUAAUUGCUUUGUUUGUAUGCUUGAAGUAUUAUCGUUUUUAUGUCAAUUUUGAACUUUUUUUUUGAAUCUUAUGGAUCUGAAUAUUCUUGCAACAAUAAAGAAGAUUACAUUGAUAAAUAUGUUAGGAAGCAUUCCACAUCAAAAAUUCUUUUUUUAUCAUUUACCUACUCGAGGACAAGCAGGAAUUAAGCUUGGGGAUGCCGAUACGUCUCCAAUGUAUCUAUAAUUUUUGAUGUAUUCAUGCCAUGUUUAUAAUAGUUUUACAUGAUUUUGGUAUGAUUUGAUUAGAACUAACCCGGACUGACGGUGUUUUUAGCAGAACUACCGUGCUAUUGUUUUUAUGUAGAAAUAAAAGUUCUCGGAAUGCGAUGAAAAUCAACUGAGAUUUUUUCUGGAAAAUAUAAAAAUACUGGAAUGAAGAGUUACCGGAGGGGAGUCCCGUGGGCCCCACAAGGUUGGAGUGUGCGCCCCCCUAGGGCGCACCCUCCUGCCUCGUUGACUCUUCGUGGCCCCCCCUGACUUGUUCUUGACGCCAACAUCUCCUAUAAAUCCCCGAACCUCCAGAACAUAACCUAGAUCGGGAGUUCCGCCGCCGCAAGCCUCUGUAGCCACAAAACCAAUUGGGACCCUGUUUCGGCACCGUGCAGAGGGGGGAUCCAUCGCUGGUGGCCAUCUUCAUCAUCCCGGCGCUCUCCAUGACGAGGAGGGAGUAGUUCACCCUCGGGGCCAAGGGUAUGUACCAGUAGCUAUGUGUUUGAUCUCUCUCUCUCUCUCUCUCUCUCGUGUUAUUGAUUUGGCAUGAUCUUGAUGUAUCACGAGCUUUGCUACUAUAGUUUGAUCUUAUGAUAUUCUCCCCCUCCACCUUCUUGUAAUGGAUUGACUUUCCCCUUUGAAGUUAUCUUAUCGGAUUCAGUCUUUAAGGAUUUGAGAACACUUGAUGUAUGUAUUGCGUGGGAUACCCAUGGUGACAAUGGUGUAUUCUAUUGAUUCACUUGACGUAUGUUUUGGUGAUCAACUUCUGGGUUCCAUGACCUUGGGAAUCUAUGCAUAGGGGUUGGCACACGUUUUCGUCUUGACUCUCCGGUAGAAACUUUGGGGUACUCAUUGAAGUUCUUUGUGUUGGUUUGAAUAGAUUAAUCUGAGAUGUGUGAUGCAUAUCGUAUAAUCAUACCCGUGGAUACUUGUGGUGACAUUGGAGUAUCUAGGUGACAUUAGGGUUUUGGUUGAUGUGUGUCUUAAGGUGUUAUUUUACUACAAACUCUAGGGGUGUUUGUGACACUUAUAGGAAUAGCCCAAUGGAUUGAUCAAAAAGAAUAACUUUGAGGUGGUUUUGUACCCUACAAUAAUCUCUUCGUUUGUUCUCUACUAUUAGUGACUUUCGAGUGACUCUUUGUUGCAUGUUCACGGAUAGUUAUAUGAUCCAAUUAUGUUAUCCUUGUUGAGAGAACUUGCACUAGUGAAAGUAUGAACCCUAGGCCUUGUUUUGAAGCAUUGCAAUACCGUUUGUGCUCACUUUUAUCAUUAGUUACCUUCCUAUUUUUAUAUUUUCAGAGUAUAAAAACCUAUAUCUACCAUCCAUAUUGAACUUGUAUCACCAUCUCUUCGCCGAACUAGUGCACCUAUACAAUUUACCAUUGUAUUGGGUGUGUUGGGGACACAAGAGACUCUUUGUUAUUGGGUUGCAGGGUUGUUUGAGAAAUACCGUCUUCAUCCUACUCCUCCCAUGGAUUGAUAAACCUUAGGUCAUCCACUUGAGGGAAAUUUGCUAUUGUCCUACAAACCUCUUCACUUGGAGGCCCAACAACGUCCAAGAAGAAGGUUGCGUAUUAGACAUCAACUAUGCAAUACGUCCAAAAUAAUAUUAGGAGGCACCGACUUACAAUGAGAUCCAAGAUGGCUUAAGUCAUCAACCGCCUCAUUCUUCCUUCGAUCAAGGUUAUCCACCUGAUAACCCUUGAAGUGACCAGCAAUAUUAUCAACCACCUGGCAAUAAGCCACCAUGAGCGGGUCUUUGGAAUCUCAUGUGCCUGAGACUUGCUCAGCCACAAGGUCUGAGUCGCCCAGACACCUGACCCGACUUAAAUUCAUCUCCUUGGCCAUACGAAGGUCGUGGAGUAAAGCCUCAUAUUUAGCUGCACUGUUAGUACAAUGAAACAUUAGCCUUAAAACAUAACAAAAAAUUUCACCUUGUGGGGAAUUCAAAAUAACUCCAGCCCCCGAGCCUUCCAACUGCCUGGACCCACCAAAGUGGAUCGUCCAAUAUGUGUUAUCAGGCUUCUCCUCAGGUGUCUGCAACUCUAUCCAGUGAUUGAUGAAAUCCACCAGAGCCUGAGAUUUGAUGUCUAUUCUUGGCACAUAUUUCAAACCAUGAGGUCCAAGUUCAAUUGCCAACUUAGCAACCCAGCAUGUGGCCUCCCUAUUUUGAAUAAUGUCUCCUAAGGGAGCAGAACUGACCACAGUAAUAGGAUGACUAAGAAAAUAAUGCUUCAGCUUGCGACUCGCCAAGAACAUCCCAUAUACCAGUUUCUGCCAAUGUGCAUACCGUUGCUUGGACUCAAUCAACACCUCACUGACAUAAUAAGCCGGCCACUGGACAGGGUACUCCUUACCCUCCUCCUUGCGCACCACAACAAUUGCCGCACUGACAGCCUUGCUAUUAGCCGCCACAUACAGGAGAAAAGGCUCUUUUUCAAUCGGAGCCACAAGGACGGGCGGCUCAGCUAACUAUUUUUUGAGUGCCUCAAACGCCUUAUCAGCAGCGUCACUCCAGACAAAGUGAUAUGUCUUCUUCAUCAUCUGCUAUAAAGGAAUUGCCUUUUCUCCUAGGCGGCUUAUAAACCGGCUCAGAGCCGCGAUACGACCCGCCAGGCGCUGGACAUCAUUGACACACGCCAGCUUAGCCAAUGAAGUGAUGGCCUUAAUCUUCUUGGGUUAGCCUCAAUGCCCCUCUCUGAGACCAGAAAACCCAAUAGUUUACCUGCUGGCACACCAAAGACACACUUGGUCGGGUUAAGCAUCAUCUUAUACACCCGGAGAUUGUCAAAGGUCUCCUUCAAAUCAUCCAGCAGAGUCUCGUUCUUUCUGGAUUUGACCACAAUAUCAUCCACAUAAGCAUGCACAUUACUCCCAAUCUGACUGUGAAUGCAAUUUUGAACACAGCGUUGAUAAGUCGCCUGAUCACUCUAAAGCCCAAAAGGCAUUGAAACAUAGUAGAAGACUCCAAUGGGGGUGAUAAAAGACGUCUUCUCUUGGUCUUUAACUGCCAUCUUGAUCUGAUGAUAACCAUAAUAAGAAUCCAGGAAGCAUAAGCUCUCACAACCAGCUGUGGCAUCAAUAAUCUGGUCGAUACGAGGGAGAAAAAACGGGUCAGUUGGACAAGCUUUGUUAAGAUCGGUGUAGUCAACACACAUACGCCAUGUGCCAUUCUAUUUGAGUACAAGCAUAGGGUUAGCCAACCACUCAGGGUGAAAGACUUCCACAAUAAACCUAGCUACCAAGAGCCGGGUUACCUCCUCUCCAAUGGCCUUACGUCGCUCUUCAUUGAAACGAUGAAGGAAUUGCUUGAAUGGCUUAAACUUAGGAUCCACAUUAAGGGUGUGCUCAGUGAAUUCCCUCAGUACACCCGGCAUGUCAGAAGGUUUCCAUGCAAAGAUGUCCCGAUUCUCACAGAUGAACUCAAUGAGCGUGCUUUCCUAUUUAGGAUCCAUAUUAGCCCCCACUGUGAACUGCUGAGACGAGGCGCCAGGGACGAAGUCAACCUCUUUAGCGUCAUCAGCCGACUUAAACUUCAAACAAGGGUCUCGCUCACAAGCGGGCUUCUUUAAAGGGGUCAUAUUAGCCGGGUCAACAUUGUCCUUCUAAAAUUUAAGCUCCUCCGUGGCACAGGCCGACUCAGCAUAGGCAUCAUCUCCUUCCUCACAUUCCAAGGCAAUCUUGCGAUCACCAUGGACCAUAAUGGUACCCUUAAUCCCUGGCAUCUUAAGCUACAAACAAGGCAUGAUAACGAAUCUUGAUCUUGACCACUUCAAACCAUAUCGUCUCUAUUCUGUGGUCAUAGUCAUCACCAAAACCCACCUCCAGGGCAAUCUUUCCAAUAGGAUACACUGACUUACCAGGCACCACGCCAUGAAAAACUGUAGAAGACGGCUAAAGAUCCUUGUCAGUUAAGUUCAUCCAGCGGAAGGUGUCAUAAUACAAUAUGUUGAUAAUGCUACCACUAUCCAUGAGUACUUUAGUGAAUUUAUAACCCCUGACCUAAGGGGCUACCACCAAUGCCAGCUGACCUAGAUUGUCAACCUGGGGCAGGUGAUCCUCCUGACUCCAUGUGAUUGGGUAUUCUGACCACCGCGUGUAUCAAGGUACCGCUGGCUCAACUGUCCUGACCGGGCGCUUAUGAACCUUCUGAUUUCGCUUGUAAAGACUUGUGGUGUAAACAUGAUACUGGCCACUGUUGACAUGCUUUGGAUAACUCUAAUAUCCUAACUGAUGCUGUUGGUUACCCAGAUUAGAUUGUUAGUUAUAACCACCCUGACUGCCCUGUCCUUGAUAACCAGGAUUUGAGCCGCUACCACCAAAGCCAUGCCCUUGUGAGCUGGAACCUGACCCGCCAGGCAGGCCAUUGUUGUUACCAUGAUUUUGACUAAAGUUGGAAUUCCUGUAUUCUCGCAUGAUAAAACAAUCUUUCCAAGCAUGAGUCAUCGGCAUAUUAGGUAUAUUGUGUUUUAGGAAGGCUCAUUCAUCAUUGCCUCAAUAUUAAAGUUCUUCCCUCUGAAGGAUGGCUAACCAUUACCAUUGCGGCGCUGUUUUUUAUAUCAAGUGUUGGUGUUGGCUACAAGAUCUGACCCGACAUCGGGUUGUCUGCGCUUACCACCAUUACCCUGGUUGUUUCCAUUGUGCCCUGCCAUAUUCUGUUGCUGACCAUUACCAUUACCACCUUUCUUUCCCUUGUUGGAUUUCUCAUCAUCAGAUCCAGGAUCUUUCGUGGUAUUAGAGUCAGCAUACUUUAUGAGAGCCGCCAUGAGCUCACCCAUGUCAUUAUAGUGACGUUUGAGCUGCCCAAGCUUCUGCUUAGGGGGGGGGCUAAAAUGACAGUUCUUCUCCAAAACCAAAACCGUUUGACCUGACGCAAUACUAUCCCAAGAGUGAAUAAUAGCAGAGACCCGACAGACCCAAUGAUGGGCCAACUCAUCCUCACGCUGCACACAAUUAUUAAGGUCAAUAAUCAUCAGAGGCUACUUGCAUGUUCCUUUAGAGUUUUGGAAUAAUCGUGCUUUCAACUCUGCCCAUGAACUAAUGGAAUUAGCAGGCAAUCCUUUUAACCAGGUCCGAGCUGGCCCAUCCAACACGUAGUAAAAUAUUUAGCACAUACACCGUCAUUGACAUCCAACAUCUCCAUGGCUAACUCAUAACUCUCAAUCUAGGCCUCAGGGGGGAGAUCAACUGUAUGGUGGGCGCCAACUGUCAUGACUUUGUCACGACAGAUGUCCUUGUGAAAGGACUUAAGUGUGGAGCCAUCGCAACGUAGGUUAGCUUAAAGGGGUUGAUAGGGAUGAGAGACACGAGAUUACCCAGGUUCGGCCCCUCACAACAAGGUAAAAUCCUACGUCCCGCUUCGUGCUGUAUUGAUUGGAUCUUGAUUACAAGGGAGCGGAAUCACUUGACCUAACUAUCGAUUGAUUGUUUCUUAAGUUAACCCGCCACAGGGUCAAGCCUUUAUAUACACAGGUCGAGGUCCUGGGCUUACAAGAGUCCAAGCCGGAUCACACAAUGUGUCAAACUCGGGUUCUAAUUCACCUUGGCUUUCUAGGCAAGCCACCAUCGGGCGGCUCACACCUCCGGGUCAUAGCAUCAGUGCCGGGUCUUGGGCCUUCAACAGGCCUGCCUCAUGAGCAGCCUCAAGUAUUCAUAUCUUCUCUUCUUGGGCCUAUCUAGGCCUUCUCUUGUUGAGUCGCCAACAGUGUAACCCGGCCCCUCCUGGGCGGGUCACACCGCGGGGUUAUAUCCCCAACAAAUGCAGAAUUUGUUUGUGCGCUGCUUGUCGACCUUGGACCUUGUCAUAGACACAUUGGUGGUGUUCUUGUAGGUUUAGCCCGACACACUGAUGUUGAAGGCGGUCAACAUCUUGGAGUCGUCGUGCUCAUUGAGGGAAAAAUUACUGAUGUAUAUCUUGAACUGUGAGGUGGCCGUCCUGUUGUUCUGCGUGAUCGACGACAGCAUGCCACCAUGGUGACAGUUGGUGGACUUCUUGUUGUGCGACGUGCCGGGCGGCAGAUCCACCAUGACCUGUUUCUUCUCGCAGCAAUGUAGAGUGGCACCAUUGGCAGCAUGGAAGCGGUGCAGUUGCCCUGAUUUGUCGUAUCGACUCCAGUCAUGAUCGGGAUGAACUCGGGCUCGGCUCAUACCCAACUCAGCCGCUACCCCGAGCGCUCGAUGUGGUGGUACAGUUGGUAAUUGUGGACAGUGACCCUUACCUGCACACAUGAAUUCGAUUGAUGUUUCAGUGGCACAAACACCAUGAUCAGAUGGGAUUUUCUGUCCAUGGAGCAGAGUGGAGUGGAAUUUGAAGUUAGCCCAUUUUGGCUCACCCCGUGUAAGGGAUACCUGGGGGGUGUGCAAUGAGCUACCAGCAAACCCGGAGGACAAAUAGCACAUGAACAUGGACAUGACAAACUAUUUCAAUGCCAUCGAUCUCAUGCUAAAGGGAUUCUUCAUGAAGUGGCGCCUGACAAGAAGAACGUGCGCAACUUGGCACCUGGUCUAUGUAGGUAGGAGAUGAGACAAGGGGAAGAGGGAUGGCAGGAGGAUUGGGUGUACAAGAAAGAGGACAUGGAUUGCUGGAUUGGCACACAUAUAAUCCGAUCAAUAUUUAUUUGAACAAUGAUAUGUAUGAUGAAGGCAUGACUCUUCUGGUAACUGGCACUCGAGUUUCUAAGAGUUUGUUUAACACACUGCUACUUCUUGAGCUUGCGUUGAUUUUUCCCUUGAAGAGGAAAGGGUGAUGCAGCAAAGUAGAGAUAAGUAUUUCCCUCAGUUAAGAACCAAGGUAUCAAUCCAGUAGGAGGUACAAGCAAGUCCCCAAUAUAUGCACUUGCACAAACUAACAAACACUUGCACAUAACACGAAAAAGGGGUUGUCAAUCCCUCCAUGGUCACUUGCAAGAGUGAGAUCUAAUAGAGAUAGAUAUAAAAGAUAAUUAAAAGGGAAAAUAAAGUAAAUACAAAUAAAGUGCAGCAAGGUAUUUUUGGGUUUUCGGUUUUAUAGAUCUGAAAAUAUAUGAUGGAAAAUAGACCCGGAGCCAUAGGUUUCACUAGAGGCUUCUCUCUCGAAGAAAGCAUACGGUGGGUAAACAAAUUACUUUUGAGCAAUUGAUAGAAGCACAAAGUUAUGACGAUAUCUAAGGAAAUGAUUAUGAAUAUAGGCAUCGCGUCUAUGACAAGUAGACCGACUCGUGCCUGCAUCUACUACUAUUACUACACACAUCAAUCAACUCUUGCCUGCAUCUAGAGUAUUAAGUUCAUAAGAACAAAGUAACGCCUUAAGCAAGAUGACAUGAUGUAGAGGGGUAGAUCCAAUCAAUAUGGUAAAACCCCCAUAUUUUUAUCCUUAAUGGCAAGAAUACAAUACGUGCCUCGCUACCCCUACUGUCACAGGGUGAGAACACCACAAGAUUGAAUCCAUCAGAAAGCACCUCUCCCAUUGAAAGAAAAAACAAACUAGUAGGCCAAACCAAAUCGAUAGAUCGGAGAGAAAUACAAAGCUAUCUUAAUCAUUCAUAAAAGAGUUUAGAGAAGACUCAAAUAAUGUUCAUAGAUAAUCUGAUCAUAAAUCCAUAGUUCAUCCGAUCUCAGCAAACGCACCGCAAAAGAAGAUUACAUCGAAUAGAUCUCCAAGAACAUCGAGGAGAACAUUGUAUUGAAUAUCAAAGAGAGAGAAUAAGCCAUCUAGCUACUAGCUAUGAAACCAUAGGUCUGUGGUAAACAACUCACACAUCAUUGGAAGGUCAGCAAGGUUGGUGUAGAGGCCCUCCGUGAUCGAAUCGCCCUCCAGCAGAGUACUGGAAAAGGACCCAAGAUGGGAUCUCACGAGAAUAGAAGCUUGCGGCGGCGGAAAAGUAUUUUUGGUGUGCCCUUAGAUGUAAGGGGAAUAUUUGGGAAUUUAUAGUGCUGGAGUUAGGGUUAGGAGAGUGCUACUUCUUGAGCUUGCAUUGAUUUUUCCCUUGAAGAGAAUAGGGUGAUGCAGCAAAGUAGAGAUAAGUAUUCCCCUCAGUUAAGAACCAAGGUAUCUGAAUCCAUUAUGAGGCAUAAGCAAGUCUCCAGUAUAUGCACCUGGACAAACUAACAAACACUUGCACACAACGCGAAAAAGGGGUUGUCAACCCGUUCAUGGUAAUGAACAAGAGUGAGAUCUAAUAGAGAUAGGUAUAAAAGAUAAAUAAAAGAGCAAACAAAAGUAAAUAUAAAUAAAUUGCAACAAGGUAUUUUUGGUUUUUUUAUUUAUAGAUCUGAAAAUAUAUGAUGGAAAAUAGACACGGGGGCCAUAGGUUUCACUAGAGGAUUCUUUCUUGAAAUAAGACAUACGGUGGGUAAACAAAUUACUGUUGAGCAAUUGAUAGAAAAGUGCAUCGUUAUAACGAUAUCCAAAGCAAUGAUCAUGAAUAUAGGCAUCACGUCCGUGACAAGUAGAACGAAGCGAUUCUGCAUUUAGUACUAUUGCUCCACACAUCGACCGCUAUCUAGCAUGCAUCUAGAGUAUUAAGUUCAUAAGAACUGAGUAACACCUUAAUUAAGAUGACAUUUUGUAGAGGGAUAAACUUAAGCAAUAUGAUAUAAAUCCCAUCUUUUUACCCUUGAUGGCAACAAUACAAUAUGACACCGCAAGAUUGAACCCAAAACUAAGCACCUCUACCAUUGCUAGAAAAACCAAUCUAGUUGGCCAAACCAAACUGAUAGUUCAAAGUGAAAUUCAAAAAUAUCUUAAUCAUGCAUAAAAGAGUUCAGAGAAGACUCAAAUAACAUUCAUAGAAAAUCUGAUCAUAAAUCCAAAAUUCAUCGGAUCUCAACAAACGCACUUCAAAAGAAGAUUACAUGGAAUAGAGUCUCCAAGAACAUUGAGGAGAACACUGUAUUGAAGAUCAAAGAAAGAGAGAGAGAGAGAGAGAGAGAGAGAAGAACCCAUCUAGCUACUAGCUAUGGACAUGUAGGUUUGUGGUAAACUACUCAUGCUUCAUCGAAAAGGCAGCAAGGUUGAUGUAGAGGCCCUCUAUGAUCGAAUCCCUCUCCGGCAGAGUGCUGGAAAAGGCCCCAAGAUGGGAUCUCACGAGAACAGAGGCUUGCGGCGGCGGAAAAGUAUUUUGGUGGAUGUCGGUGUCAAAACCGGCGGAUCUUGGGUAGGGGGUCCCGAACUGUGCGUCUAAGACUAAUUGUAACAGGAGGCAGGGGACACGAUGUUUACCCAGGUUCGGCCCCUCUCGAUGGAGGUAAAACCCUACUUCCUGCUUGACUGAUCUUGAUGAUAUGAGUAUUACAAGAGUUGAUCUACCACGAGAUCAGAGAGGCUAAACCCUAGAAGCUAGCCUAUGGUAUGAUUGUUGUUGUGUCCUACGGACGAAACCCUCCAGUUUAUAUAGACACCGGAGGGGGCUAGGGUUACACAAAGUCGGUUUAUAGAGGAGGAGAUCUACAUCCGAAUCGCCAAGCUUGCCUUCCACGCCAAGGAGAGUCCCAUUCGGACACGGGAUGAAGUCUUGAGUCUUGUAUCUUCAUGGUCCAACAGUCCGGCCAAAGUAUAUAGUCCGGCUGUCCGGAUACCCCCUUCUCCAAGACUCCCUUAGUAGCCCCCAAACCAGGCUUCAAUGACGAUGAGUCCGGUGCGCAGAUUGUCUUCGGCAUUGCAAGGCGGGUUCUUCUCUGAAUCCGGUGCACCCGUCAUAGCGAAUAGUGUCCGGCCUCCCAGUAAGGUUGUACUGCUCGGCUUCUGUGCUUCAAUAAUGGCCAUCUCCACGUGUCGAUCGAAGACGAGGGGCCGGGGCAUUUUUACAUUGCCACCCUAAUCCCGUAGGUGAGUCGUCUAUUUUAGGUGACGGGGAUCCUCAGAUCCAAAUCACACCAUCUUACCCCAAGCAAGCAUUCCGCAAAGCGCGCCCAAAAGAGGCCAUUCCAUCAUGACCGGUCGCCGCAGCCCCGCUCGCCGCUCCCCCAGCUCGAAGCCAGGGGAUUGGGAAAAGUGUUCCGUCCCUCACAGCCGCCUAAUCUAGCUGCAGACCAAAGGGUUCCUUCCGCCCGCAUACAUGGUCCCCGUCUGAUCCGUAUUAGCCACCUAUAAUGGUGGGGAGCAAGCGGAGAGAUUUCCUAACCCAUCUCGGGGGGAGCGGGUAUGCCUAGUCCCAUAUCUGCUAAGAGGCGUCAGGUUUCCAAUCCACCCGUUCCUCCGCGGGCUCCUGGAGUUCUACGGUCUCUAGUUGCAUAGUCUUACCCCGCCUCCAUAGUGCACAUUGCGGGCUACGUUGCCCUCUGCGAGCUGUUCCUGGGCUGCGAAGCUCAUUUUGAGCUAUGGAAGAGGUUAUUUUGCCUCGUCCCCCGCAACCAGGAGGGGUCUAUAUAUCAAGUGGGCGGGGCGAAAUAUGGCGCAUCGCCCAGACGGAUACCUGUCCGGUACUGCCAAGAAGGCGUCCGAAGACUGGCCCUCGGAGUGGUUUUAUGUUGAUGGCGUUCCCCUGCCGGACCCAGUCCGGAUGGGCCUUCCUGAGUUUACUAAUACUCCGCAGAAGAAACGCCAAAGCUGGCGCCCUCGGAGCCCCAGGAGGAAGAAAACAGGGAAGUCUUCUAUCUGAUGAGCCGGAUACAAACACUGGCCAAAUCAGGAUUGACAAUAAUCGAAGUUAUGUCAAUAUGCAUAAUAAGGGGAGUGCAGCCACUUCAACAUAGGGGAAAACCCAUGUGGCACUUCAAUGGAGAAGACGAUGCCUCCCGCUAUGGUUGCAAAGGUCCGGACUCCGCCACAUCUCUGGCAAGGAUACUAUCUGAAUUGUACAAGGGAGAAGAAGAGGAGUUCGUCCGCAUCAAACCGCAGGAUGGAUUUUCCAUGAACAACCCCCGAAGCUAGGUAAGUGGUCGUCUUUUACUCAACUCUAUCUGUUCUUACCUUCUUUGCCACAAUUAUUUACCUUGCUGUUUCAAAACGGGAACUAAGGAGGGCCGUGAAAGAGUUCAACAGCCCCCCUCCGCAGCCGGAGGAUCCCGGCCGGGCUCUCGACCCCGGAUUUAAAGAAGAUCCGGACAUAUCAGUGGCAUUCAUCGACGGGAGUUUCUAUCAGGCGAGCAGUGAUGGCUCUUUGGUGGCCACCAUCGCGGAUUAUCCCGGACUGCUUCCCGUGUCGCAUGUAAGUAAUGUCAAACUUCCGAAAGGAUUCCUUUGCUUUGCCGUACCUUAUGAUCGCACGCCGUGUUUUUAUAGAAACAGCGGUCGGGAUGCCGUGCAGAACCCACGGGGGCCUCUCAGCAAGAGGUGCCUAGACAAGGUAGGCUUAAAAGGAAGGCGGUUAGGAGCGACACACAAGCUCAGAGGUAUUCAUUGAACUUGUCCCGUGGUCUAUUUGGUCUAUCUGUCGAGGCAUGACGGCUUUGAUUAUGUCCUGUCAGGAAGCGCAGGACUAUGCCCGGGGACCCUUCCGGCCAUGCUUCUGGCAGCCGGAUUCCUGGACCAGAUUCACAGGUGGAGGCUGAUGCGGGGACAGUGCCAGACUGUCCUCCUGUGGAGGACACGGAUAUGCUUUCCGCCACAAAUUCAGAAGUGGAGAGCGCCAUGAAUCACCGGCGCCGACGGGCCGUACUCCGCGGGGGUAUUUUUACCGAAGAGGCGUUCAAUGCCUUCAAUUCCGGACAUGCCUAUAUCCACGCUGCUCAAGAUGGACUUGCCAAAGCAACGGACCAGUAUGUGAAGGACAUACGGGUAAGAGAAUUUAAUAAGUAUGUGUAGUGGUAGCCCCUGAGACUUGAAAUAGUUGGCACAACUGAUUUAAGGAUCAUUAAAUGCACAGGUUCUUGUAGAGAAGAAUACCCAGUUGUCUCAAGAGCUGGAGGAGUGUAAGGCCCAGAUGAAGGCUAAUGCAGCCGAACAAGAGGGAUCCAAAAAGAUUUCUUCUGGUAAUAAUUUCCUCUACCAGUUUGCGUCUUCGGCAUAGUUUAUAAAUCUGACGAAGUAUUCGACAGACAAUGCCGGAGGAAAUCCAGAGACUGUGGGGGAUGAUGAGCUGCAUCUGCGAAGUCAGUUGAAGGCGGGCGAACGCAUGCUGACGCAAUCUAUUCAGGAGAGGAUAAAGCUGCAAGAUGCUAAUCUCCAACUGAGCGUCGAACUGAAAGAUGUUCGGGCUCAGCUCAUGGACUCCAUGAAGGAGAACCGUAGGCUUCGACGCGGACACGGCAUUUAUAGUAAGUGCUUGAACAAACUGUGGUAUAGUUCGGCGAGGAGGCGUAUUGACAGAGUUAUGUCUGCAGGUAUGUUGACAGGACACCCUGGAGAGGAGAUGCCCGGUUCCGCAGGCGAUAUGCUGCAGGAGCUUUGACAACUGCAUGAGCGAGCUCGGCAGGUGAUGUAGGGUAUUGCCCAGGCUUUGUGGUCGUCCGCUUUCCUGUCGGGAGGUAUGAGCGAACUUGUAGAGAUGCUCAAAGGAGCACGGCGGCGCUUCCAUUUAUGGAAGGUGUCAGCUUGCCGGCAAGGUGCGAGAGAAGCUUGGGCCAUGGUGAAGAGGCGAUAUGCCAAGGCUGACCCUAACCAUAUGGCCGAAGUUGGACCGGCUGGGCCAGAUGGGCAAGAGAUACCCGCUAGUUUGGUGUAUGAUCAAGUAGCGUUAGCUGCAAAGUAUUCCCAGCAGGAUUGUAAGUUAGACAGCCUAUUGGAUGGUAUAGAGGAAGAGUACGGCCAGUCGAUAUGAUUAUGUAAUUUGAACGGGCUCAUGUACUCCCUAGCUGGAUUGAAAAUCAUUUGUCAUGGCGGACCUUUUCGCUUCAGCCCCCGGAUCUGAUAGUCCGGGGUGUGUCCGAAUACCCGCACAGUUAUGAAAAAACGGGGUAUGCGUGGAGACCAGGCGUAGGGGUCAUAAGUGCCUGAACAGACAAGUACCCAACUAGUUAUGUUAUAUUACAUGGAUAGUAAGAAACAUCUUCCAGAUAGAAUAGUUCCGUUAAGGGUUCCUUUCUCUAGGUACGCAUGCAUUGAUGUGCAUGUCCGAUCUGCGAACAGAAGCGCAGGAAACAAAACAUCUGGGUUUUUUCAUUGUUAUGAACGAGGACAUCUUUUAUUCAUCAACUGAAUAUUCCCUUAAGAACACUAGCUUUCGGCUUCACCCAGUCUGAGGUACACAUCCGGCUCAACCGGCAGUAACAAUUGCAGAGGUGCUCCCCUUAUGCCCUAGCCGAAUUAAUGGGAAUGUAGGGCAUAAAUACAAGAGCCAGGCAACCCAGCAUGGCCAAAACUUAAGUCAUAUCGAUGCAUAUAAUGGUGAAGGAAAGUCACAUAUGGAAAGAAAAAUGCAUAUGUGGCUGGCAAGAAGCCAUUAAAAGUGGUUAUAUUUAGCUUCCGAAUAGGAAGCCCCCAGGUAUAGUGUGCACGCAUAGUGCAGCCGGAAUGCUCAGGGCAUCCGUACAGUUUUAAGGCUGUGAAAAGAAAGAAAAAGAAAAGGGGAGAGAAAGGAGGAAAGGGAACAUAAUUGAAGAAGCGGAGUGAAGGAGAUGAACACUGGGUUCAGCACUAGGCGUAGAAUCUCCGGAGUCUGGCCACGUUCCAUGGGUUUAGCUCGAGUCUGUUAUCAGAUGCGUUGCGCAGACGGUACGCUCCUCCAGUGAGAACUUUACCAAUGAUGAAGGGACCCUCCCACUUGGGUUUGAGUUUGUCCUUCUUCUCAGGUAGGCAUAGAACGAGUUCGCCAAUGUUAUAAGUUUUGGCGCGUACUUCUCUGCUUUGAUACCUUCGAGCAUGUUGCUGGUAGAAUACAGGAACGGGCUUUAGCAACAUCACGCUCCUCCUCCAAAGCAUCUAAGUAGUCCUGCCGGUCUAACUCGGCCUCCUUCUCUUGAUACAUGCGCACGCGAGGUGAGUCAUGAAUUAUGUCGCAGGGUAGUACUGCUUCUGCGCCGUAUACCAUAAAAAUGGUGUGUAUCCGGUAGUGCCAUUCGGCGUGGUCUGCAGCCCCCAGAGUACGGAGUCGAGUUCCUCGACCCAAUGCGUGUCUGAUUCCUUCAAGGAUCGCACUAGUUUGGGUUUGAUGCCGCUCAUGAUAAGACCAUUUGCAUGUUCAACUUGACCGUUUGUUUGGGGGUGAUAGAUAGAGGCGUAGUCGAGCUUAAUGCCUAUUUUGACGCAACAGGCUUUUACCUCUUCGGCUGUAAAAUUGGAGCCAUUGUCCGUGAUUAUACUGUGGGGGACACCGUAGCAGUGUACAACCUCCGAUAUGAAGUCUAUCACUAGUCCGGAUUCGGCCGUUUUAACUGGUUUGACUUCUAUCCAUUUGGUGAACUUGUCCACCAUGACCAAUAAGUAUCUUUCUUAUGGCUUCCCCCUUUAAGGGGUCCUACCAUAUCCAGCCCCCAGACCGCGAAGGGCCAAGUUAUGGGGAUUGUUUCGAGAGCAGUAGGGUUCAUAUGGCUCUGAUUGGCAAAUAGUUGAGAACCAACGCAAUGUUGGACGAGUGCCUGUGCGUCCGCCCGGCCUGUCGGCUAGUAGAAUCCUGUCCGAAAGGCCUUGCUCACGAGAGCUCGGGCUGCCGUGUGGUGCCCGCCUAGUCUGGAAUGGAUUUCGGCUAAGAGCUGCCGCCCUUCCUCUUCGGAGAUGCAUCGUUGGAGCACUCCGGUGGAGCUCUUCUUGUAGAGUUCUCCUUCAUGGACUUUGUAGGCUUUACAGCGCCGCACAAUACAACGUGCCUCAUUUUGGUCCUCGGGGAGCUCUUGCCUAUUGAGGUAGGCCAAGAAGGGCUCGGUCCACGGGGCGAUGACAGCCAUUAUUUCGUGGGUCGAAGAUGUUAUUGCGUUGGCCGAGCCUCCGAUUACGUCUGAAGGUUCAGAAUCUGGGGUUGUGUUUGGAGCCGGACUAAUAGUACUGGACUCCCCUUCCCAUGCCACGGACGGCUGGAACAACCUUUCUAAGAAGAUAUUAGGUGGGACGGGGUCGCAUCUAGCGCCAAUGCGGGCGAGGAUAUCGGCCGCUUGAUUAUUUUCUCUGACCACAUGGUGGUAUUCGAGCCCCUCGAACCGAGCUUACAUCUUGAGGACGACAUUGCGAUAAGCCGCCAUCUUCGGGUCCUUGGCGUCAAGGUCUCCAUUUACCUGAGAUAUUGCGAGGUUUGAGUCCCCGUGCACUUUGAGGCAUUGAAUGCCCAUGGAGACCGCCAUCCAAAGACCAUGCAAUAGAGCCUCGUAUUCGACGGCAUUGUUGGAAUCUGUAUAUAGUAUUUGAGGACAUACUGUACCGUAUCCCCGGUGGGGGAUGUCAGGACGACACCUGCUCCCAAUCCAACUAGCAUUUUGGAUCUCUCGAAAUGCAUGAUCCAAUUUGAGUACACGCCGUACUCUUUAGGGAGUUCGGCCUCUGUCCAGUCGGCGACAAAGUCAGCUAGUACUUGCGACUUAAUGGCCCGCCAUGGUUUGUAUGUUAUGUCGAUCGGAAGGAGCUCAAUAGCCCAUUUAGCAAUUCGGCCUGUUGCGUCGCAGUUAUUUGUUAUGUCAUUGAGUGGUACUUAGGAGGCCAUCGUAAUUGAACACUCCUGAAAGUAGUGUCGUAGUUUCCGGGAUGCCAUGAAAACCGCAUACGCUAUCUUUUUAUAGUGCGGGUACCGAGAUUUACAUGGAGUGAGGACCGUGGACACGUAAUAUACUGUCUUUUGGAGCGGGAACUUGUGUCCGUCUGCCUCUCGUUCGACGACGAGCAUUGCGCUCACAACUUGGUUUGUUGCGGCUAUGGAUAAUAGCAUGGGUUCGCCAAUGUUUGGCGCAGUUAGGACUGGGUUGGUGGCCAAGAGUGCCUUUAUUUCUUCCACUCCGGCCAUGGAUGCAUCUGUACACUCGAAGUGUUCGGUGCGUCUAAGAAGGCGAUACAGGGGUAGUCCCUUUUCUCCUAAGCGGGAGAUAAAGCGGCUUAAGGCAGCCACACAUGCAGUUAGUUUCUGGAUCUGGUUGAGGUCUGUUGGGGUAGCCAACUGUGACAGAGCUCGGAUAUUUUCUGGAUUGGCUUCAAUUCCUCUAUUGGAAACGAUGAAGCUGAGCAACUUUCCGGAGGGUACUCCGAAGACACACUUCUCCGGGUUGAGCUUGAUGUCGUAUGUUCGGAUAUUAUCGAACGUAAGCCUCAAGUCGUCUAUUAAGGUUUCGACGCGUCUUGUUUUGACGACCAUGUCGUCUAUGUAGGCCUCGAUUGUCUUGCCGAUUUGUUUUUCCAGGCAUGUCUGAAUCAUGCAUUGGUAGGUUGCGCCGACGUUUUUUAGCCCGAAGGGCAUGGUGUUGAAACAGAAGGGGUCGUACGGAGUGGUGAAGGUUGUUGCAGCCUGGUCGGACUCCGCCAUCUUUAUUUCAUGGUAUCCGGAGUAUGCCUCGAGGAAACACAAUGAGUCGUGUCCUGCGGUGGCAUCGAUUAUUUGAUCAAUGCGGGGGAGGGGGAAGGGAUCCUUAGGGCAAGAUUUAUUGAGGUCUUUGAAAUCGACACACAAGCGCUAGGAUUUGUCCUUUUUUGGUACCAUUACCAAGUUUGCUAGCCAAUCCGAAUGUUUGAUGUCUCUGAUGAAUCGGCCCUCGAGUAGCUUGGCUAGCUCUUCCCCCAUGGCUUGUCGCUUAGGCUUGGAGAAGCGUCUAAGAGUCUGCUUGACUGGCUUGUAUCCUUUUAGUAUGUUGAGGUUGUGUUCAGCCAGCCUACAUGGGAUGCCCGACAUGUCUAAAGGAUACCAGGCGAAAAUGUCCCAAUUUUCAUGCAGGAAGUCUCGCAGUGCGGCGUCUAUUGUGGGGUUCAGCUGUGUCCCGAUGGAAGCGGUCUUCGAAGGGUCCGUUGGGUGGACCUCGAAUUUGACUAUCUCGAUCGUCCGCUGGUUUGAAGGAGGUGGAUUUAGGUCACUUGUCGAGUAUCACGUCGUCUCUGUCUACUGUUGCUCGUAGUGUUGUCAGUUCUUUGUCCGCGAGGGCUUCUGACAAUGCCUCCAGGGCGAGGGCGGCGGUUUUAUUUUUGGCGUGGAGUGCGACGUCUGGAUUGCUAGCUAGAGUGAUGAUUCCAUUUGGCCCGGGCAUUUUGAGCUUCAUGUACCCGUAGUGGAGUAUAGCCUGAAAGCUCGUGAAAGCGUCCCGCCCCAAGAGGGCGUGGUAUCCACUGCUGAACGGGGCCACUUGGAAUGUAAUUUCUUCGGACCCGUAAUUCUCCGGCGUGCCGAAUACCACAUCUAGUGUGAUUUUUCCCGCGCAUUGUGCCUCCCGACUAGGGAUGAUUCCCCUGAAGGUCGUGCUGCUCCAUUCAAUGCGGCUCUUGUCAAUUUCCAUCUUGUUAAGUGUUUCCUCAUAGAUGAGGUUUAGUCUGCUUCCACCGUCCAUGAGCACUUUAGUAAGUCUGAAGCCAUCCAUGAUUGGGCUAAAGACCAAAGCGGCUGGUGCUCGGACUAUUCGGAAUUGAGGUUCGUCACUGGCAUUGUAAGUUAUAGCCGUGUCGUUCCAUGGGUUUAUUGUUGCCACGUGGCAAACUUCUGCGAGGCUGCGCUGAGCUCGCUUGUGCCUAUUAUUUGAGGCGAAAGUCUCGAAGACUGUAAAUACCGUAUUGUUGUUUCCGGCGGGAUGUUGCUCUGCUGUAUGUUUUAUGAGGAGAUCCUCGCUGCUCUUUGCUACCUGCCGGAGUAUCCAACAUGCUCAGGCUAUGCGUUGGCAUAGUAUCCGGUGUGCUGUGAAUCUUGCACGGCCCGUUUAGCCAUCCUUCCAAUACGGCUCCGUGCCUUACGGCGGGCUUUAUUUUCUUGGUACUUGAAUCGGGUGACUUACGAGAGUUUACCCUUUUAGUCGGACAGAGGAUUUGGCUAGAGCCGGAUUGUCCCAGAAACUUGUUUGGGUUUUCCAGGUGCUUUCCAUCGCGUAGUAUUUUUCCACUAUGGCUGCUAAGUCAGCGAAGUGUACUAUUUCACGGCGACUUAUAGCAUUGAGGAUCCCUUUGUCCGUGCAAUUUUUACAAAAGAGGGAGAUUUCAUCUGCCUCGCGACAGUCCAUGACCCUGUUUAUCACAAGGAGGAAUCUGGCCCAGUAAUGAUGUACUGUUUCUUGGGGCUCUUGUCUGAUAUGGGAAAGAUUGGAUAAAUCUGGGUGGGUGGGAAGAUUUGAAUCCGAAUUCCGACCCAAUCUGGGACCCAGGGGCAAAGGAGCUUCCGAGCUUAACGGCUCGAGUUCUGGGGUGUUGCCUGAUUUCUUUGGCCCGCCCCGCGAUCCUGAGUCCGGGACCGGGGUCAUGUCCUCCCGCGAGCGGGUGUCCGGCUCGGAGAGCUCGGAAAUCCGGACAUAGUUCAUCCUCAUAGUGGAGGGAGAAUUAGGAUGAUGCUCUUCCACUACCGCUAUCUCGUGGGUGACCGGUGGAGAGUGAAUCUCCCUUUGAUCAGGUUUAAGACCAAUCCGGUCAUAGUCCGUAGCGACGCACAGGGCGGCGAUGCGAUCCAAGAGCUCAUUGAGGGAGAAGAGCUCCAUUGGGUCCAUCUGUUCGGGGAAUUCCAAAUCGACAUGGACGCUAUUUUUAAUGACCUGAGAAGUCAUUGUCGGUGCAACAGCCGAUCGGGCGGUCAUAACGAAGCGGCCCAGGCAGAGGGUUUGGCCUAAAGCCAGGGCUCCCCAGGAGGUGAUGUUGUCUUUGACAACGAGACGAGCUAUCAGGCCUUAUUGUGAUGGCACAGUGGAACUCUCAAUGAAAGCACCAAUGUCGGUGUCAAAACCGGUGGAUCUCGGGUAGGGGGUCCCGAACUAUGCGUCUAAGACUAAUGAUAACAGGAGGCAGGGGACAUGAUGUUUACCUAGGUUCGGGCCCUCUCGAUGGAGGUAAAACCCUACUUCCUGCUUGAUUGAUCUUGAUGAUAUGAGUAUUACAAGAGUUGAUCUACCACGAGAUCAGAGAGGCUAAACCCUAAAAGCUAGCCUAUGGUAUGAUUGUUGUUGUGUCCUACGGACGAAACCCUCCGGUUUAUAUAGACACCGGAGGGGGCUAGGGUUACACAAAGUUGGUUUACAGAGGAGGAUAUCUACAUCCGAAACGCCAGGCUUGCCUUCCACGCCAAGGAGAGUCCCAUCCGGACACGGGACGAAGUCUUGAGUCUUGUAUCUUCACGGUCCAACAGUCCGACCAAAGUAUAUAGUCCGGCUGUCCGGAUACCCCCUUAUCCAAGACUCCCUCAAUGGACGCUUUUGAUGUUUGCGGAAUAUUUGAGAAAAUAUAGAGGCGGAGUUAGGGUUAGGGGACUCCAUAGGGGCCCACAAGUCAAGGGUGCCCCCCUGGGUGCGCCUUGAGGGCUUGUGGCUCCCUCGGGAUUCUUCUGGCCCUCUCCCCAAGUAUUCUGGGUGUCUUCUGGUCCAAGAAAAAUCAUCGUAAAGUUGUAUUCCAUUUGGACUCCGUUUGAUAUUCCAAUUCUGUAAAAUUCAAAAACAAAUAAAAAGUAGAAACUGGCACUUGCUCUAGGUUAAUAAGUUAGUCCCAAAAAUAAUAUAAAAUAGCAUAUUAAUGCAUAUAAAACAUCCAAAGCAGAUAAUAUAAUAGCAUGGAACAAUAAAAAAUUAUAGAUACGUUGGAGACGUAUUAAGCAUCCCCAAGCUUAAUUCCUGCUCGUCCUCGAGUGGGUAAGUAAUAAAAACAAAAAAUUUGAUGGGGAAUGCUACCUAAUAUUUGUCAAUGCAAUCUUCUUUAUUGUGGCAAGAAUAUUUAGAUCCAUAAGAUUCAAAACAAAAGUUUAAUAUUGACAUAAAAACAAUAAUACUUCAAGCAUACUAAUAAAGCAAUCAUGUCUUCUCAUAAUAAGACGCCAAAGAAAGUUAUCCCUACAAAAUUAUAUAGCAUGGCUAUAUGCUCCAUCUGCAUCACACAAAGUAUUUCAUAAUGCACAACCCUGAUGACAAGCCAAGCAAUUGUUUCAUACGUUUGGUGUUCACAAAUUUUUUCAACUUUCACGCAAUACAUGAUCGUGAGCCAUGGAUAUAGCACUAUAGGUGGAAUAGAAUAUGGUGGUUUUGGAGAAGACAAAAAGAAGGAGAAAGUCUCACAACUAGGUAAAUUUUUAAUGGGCUAUGAAGAUGCCCAUAAAUUGCUAUCGAUGGAAGUGAGUAGGGAUUGCCAUGCAAUGGAUGCACUAGAGCUAUAAGUGUAUGAAAGCUCACAAAGAAACUAAGUGGGUGUGCAUCCAACUUUCUUGCUCAUGAAGACCUAGGGCAAUUUGAGGAAGCCCAUCACUGAAAUAUACAAGCCAAGUUCUAUAAUGAAAAAUUCCCACUAGUAUAUGAAAGUGACAAAAUAGGAGACCAUUUAUCCUGAAGAUCAUGGUGCUACUUUGAAGCACAACUAUAGAAAAAGGAUAGUAACAUUUUCUGUUCUCUCUUUUUCUCUUUCUUCUUUUAGGGCUUCUUUGGCCCCUUUUUUAUUUGGGCUUCUUUGGCUUCUUUUAUUUUUUAUAAAGUCUGGAGACUCAUCCCAACUUCUGAGGGAAUCAUAGCUUCCAUCAUACUUCCCUCACAUGGGACAAUGUUCGUGUGAUGGUGAUCAUCACACUUUUAUUUACUUACAACUCAAGAAUUACAACUCGAUACUAGAACAAGAUAUGACUCUAUAUGAAUGCCUCCGGCAGUGUACCAGGAUGUGCAAUGAUGAAGAGUGGCAUGUAUAAAAAAUAUGAACGGUGGCCUUGCCACAAAUACUAUGCCAACUACAUGAUCAUGCAAAGCUAUAUGACAAUGAUGGUAUGUGUCAUAAUAAAUGGAACGGUGGAAGUUGCAUGGCAAUAUAUCUUGGAAUGGCUAUGGAAAUGCCAUAAUAGGUAAGUAUGGUGGCUAUUUUGAGGAAGGGUAUAUGGUGGGUUUAACGCACCGGCGAAAAUUGCGCGGUACUAGAGAGGCUAGCAAUGGUGGAAGGGUGAGAGUGCGUAUAAUCCAUGGACUCAACAUUAGUCAUAAAGAACUCACAUAACCAUCGAAACAAAGUACUACACGCGUGCACCUAGGGGCAUAUAUUGGUAGCAAAAUACCAUCGCUCGUCCCCGACCGCCACCCGUAAGGAAGACAAUGAAAAAUAAAUAAUGCUCCGACUUCAUCACAUAACGGUUUACCAUACGUGCAUGUGAUAGGAAUCACAAAAUUUAACACAGGUAUUUCUACCAAUCCACAAUUACUCACUAGCAUUACUCUAAUAUCCCAUAUUUAUAUCUCAAAACAAACGCAAGGAAUCAAACUUCUCAUAUAUUCAAUGCUCUUUAUAUGAAAGUUUUUAUUAUAUCCCUCUUGGAUGCCUAUCAUAUUAGAACUAAAUUAAUGACCUAAGAAAUUACCAUGCUGUUUAAGACUCUCAAAAUCAUAUAAGUGAAGCAUGAGAAUUCAUCAAUUUCUAUGAAAUAAAGCCACCGCCCUGCUCUAAAAAGAUAUAAGUGAACCACUAGAGCAAACUGCCUAAUGUAACGCCCUGGAUCCGAUGAGCCAGGUGUUUGCCAGUUAUUCGUCGUUGUUGCCAUGUCAUUUGCUUGCGUGUGGCACUUUGCCAUGUCAUCCUGUGCAUCUCAUUUUUGCAUACGUGUUCGUCUCAUGCAUCCGAGCAUUUUUCCCCGUUGUCCGUUUUGCAAUCCGACACUCAUAUGUCCUCCGGCGCCCCCUUUUUGCCUCUUUUCGUCAGCGGGUGUUAAACAUUCUUCGAAUGGAUCGAGAUUUGCCAAGCGUCCUUGGUACACCACCGGUAGACCGCCUGUCAAGUUUCGUGCCAUUUGGAGUAUGUUUGAUACUCCAACGGUUAACCGGGUAACCGUAAAGGCCUCUUUUGGGUGCAGCCCAACACCCCUCCAAAACAUCCCAAUAACCCAUCCAAACCCCCUCCAUGCUCUCAGUCGUUCAAUCACGAUCUGUGGGCGAAAACUGCACCCCAUUUGGACUCUCCUAGCUCCCAGAAUCUAUAAAUUAGCCCCUCCCCCCGAAAUUCACGGAUGAUUUCCACCCUAACCCUAGAUCCACCCUCCUCUACGCCGCCGGACACGUCCAGCGCCGCCAUCCCCGACGAACCCGCCACCACCAUCUGGCCCAGCCAUCACGCGCCGCCACUGGCCCGCCAGGCCCGGGGCGGGCCCGCUGAGCCCAUCGGGGCCCAGCCGCCCCGAGCAGCACCCCACUCCGCCUCCCUGCCCUCCGGUCCCGCCGCCGGCGAGCUGCGCCACCGCUGCUGGCAGCCGUCCCCUCCGCCGCCAUCGCCAAGCUUCUCGGCGCCGGCGCCCCUCUCCGCGCGCAGCCGUCCUGGAGCGUUCCCGCCCCGAACCGACCAUCGCCCCGCCGCCCGUUCNNNNNNNNNNNNNNNNNNNNNNNNNNNNNNNNNNNNNNNNNNNNNNNNNNNNNNNNNNNNNNNNNNNNNNNNNNNNNNNNNNNNNNNNNNNNNNNNNNNNNNNNNNNNNNNNNNNNNNNNNNNNNNNNNNNNNNNNNNNNNNNNNNNNNNNNNNNNNNNNNNNNNNNNNNNNNNNNNNNNNNNNNNNNNNNNNNNNNNNNNNNNNNNNNNNNNNNNNNNNNNNNNNNNNNNNNNNNNNNNNNNNNNNNNNNNNNNNNNNNNNNNNNNNNNNNNNNNNNNNNNNNNNNNNNNNNNNNNNNNNNNNNNNNNNNNNNNNNNNNNNNNNNNNNNNNNNNNNNNNNNNNNNNNNNNNNNNNNNNNNNNNNNNNNNNNNNNNNNNNNNNNNNNNNNNNNNNNNNNNNNNNNNNNNNNNNNNNNNNNNNNNNNNNNNNNNNNNNNNNNNNNNNNNNNNNNNNNNNNNNNNNNNNNNNNNNNNNNNNNNNNNNNNNNNNNNNNNNNCGCCCUCGCGCCUCCCCGCCGGUGACCUCGUGCGUCCCAGGCCGCCUCGCCCCGCUGCCAGUUCACGGCGCCCGCCGCGCCGCCGCUCGGGGACGGCCGAGCGUCGUCCUCCGCCUCUCCCCGUCGACCUCUACCACCCUCCGCUGCCGGCAUCGGCUGGAUCCGGCCUAGAUCCACCGGAUCCGGCCAUCUCCGGUGACCUCCCCUCCACUCCGGCGUGUUCUCCGGCGAGAUCCGCCUCACCUCGAAAUCCGUGCAAAUCUGAGGUUGACCCCGUUUUCCUCCAAGUCCGCGAAUUAUUUCAUCUCAUGUGGGCUACUUUGACCUGUCAUAUCUCGUCGCAUAUUGCUCCGUUUUGCAUGCUUGAUAUAUCAAAAUGUUCACUGAGAGAUGCACUUCAUUUCAUUCCAUUGUUCCAUGUUCAUUUGAGUUCAUCUUGAUGCCCUAAUCAUCGUUGCAAUAGUGCUAUAUGAUGUUAACUGUUGUCUGUUAGCAGAACUUGAUGAUUUGUCAUUUUUGUUGCAUUUUGUGUGUGCAUAUUAUGAGCUUGAUGUCUACAUGAGUUUUGAGCUACAUCAUGCCAUCUUUACAGGGGUGCAACCCAUCUAUUUUUAUGAGUCUUGUAGUGAGUGCAUCGAGCUCGUGAAGUAGGGUACUUGCUGUUACUGUUUUGCUAGGCUAAAUCUGCUAUAUCAUGAUGCUAUGUAAACCUGCUGCUACAAGUCAUUCUAUGCAUAAUCUGGAGAUGUUCACUAAGGAUGUUUUGUUAUACAUGUCAUGUUCUAUCCAUUCAUUCCCCUGGUUGCAUUUAUAGCCUUCUGUAACUUGUUGCUAUCUUGCUCUAAACUUGCUAAAUAAUGUUGCUGUUAGCCUGUUAACAUUAAGUUCAAUGUUGCCAUGAUUGUUGUUAGUAAUCCAAGCAUGCUAUGAACUCGCUCUUGCCAUGAUUAGCUUCAUAAACAUGCCUUAUUGCUGUUGGUCACCUUGCCAUGCCAUGUAUUGCUCUGUGGUGAGUUGUACAAGCUCACCAACAUGCCUACUUAUUGUUGUUCCUGCCAUGUAUGAAUCUGUCAUAUCACUUGCUAUGUUUACAUGGGUGCCAUCAUAUUUUCUGUGCCCUUUUGGCUCAUGGUCAGUAAGGGACUUGUCUUCUAUGCAAUUAGUAGAUUCAUGCCAUGCCUUUGUUUGCCAUGUUAAGUUCCUGUAACAUGUUGUUUGAUAGCUCUAAACAUUGCAAUCUGAUGUUAUUUCUGCUAAGUCUGAAACUGUUAUUAUUUGCAAUCUUGCCAUGUCCUUUUGAACAUGUUCUAGUGAUUUCUGGAGAUAGCUCAGUGUUCAUGUUUUGUCAUGCUCUACCUGUACUUCAUGCCCAUGCCUUUUGUUAUUAUGUUGAGGUGCUGUAGCAUAUUGUUUUGAUGCUUGCUAGAUGCCUAGUUGCUGUUUUGGACAGCUUGUCAUUUAAACUUGUAUAGUCUAUGUGUUGAACCGUUGCUCUGUUUUAAGUGUGCUCUAUAUGAAACUUGCUUAGAAUUGCUUGUAGUUUCAUAUUACCUUGUUGCAUCCUUGUUUUGAAGUGUUUGCUUGAUGUUUGUAUGCAUUUUGCAUCAAUGCCAUGUUUAACUUGUUUUGCUCAUAUCUUCUAGGCCGUAGCUCCGAAUUAAAUGAACUUUAUAUGUAACUUGACUAGAAUUUCGUGUAGAUCAUCUUGGUGCAUCUUAACUUGCUGUUUAAAAACUUGAACAUAAUGGUUAUUCACAUCUGGACCAAUUUCUAAAUUUGCAUAUGAGGACUUACCGGAAUUGUUAUAUGUUGUUUCCGGUCUCAUUUAAACUUGCCUUGAUAUGUUGUUCUUGUUUGCAUCAUCUCUUGCCAUGAGUAGCCUCAUGUAGCUUUGUCAUGCACCAUGCUUGGUUGAGCAUCAUGCCUUGUUCAUGUGUUGUGUGUUUACCUUGUUGUGUGCUUCUUCUCGAUAGUUCCCGUUUCGUUGUGAUCGUGAGGAUUCGUUCGUCUACGCUUGGUUCGGCUUCAUCCGUUCGUCUUCUUCAUGGACUCGUUCUUCUUCCUAGCGGGAUUUCAGGCAAGAUGACCGUCACCUUGGAUCUCAUUACUAUCAUUGCUAUGCUAGUUGCUUCAUUCUAUCGCUAUGCUGCGCUUCCUAUCACUUGUUCUUCAAGCCUCCCCAAAUUGCCAUGAACCUCUAACCUUUGUCACCCUUCCUAGCAAACCGUUGCUUGGCUAUGUUACCGCCUUGCUCAGCCCCUCUUAUAGCGUUGUUAGUUGCAGGUGAAGUUGAAGAUUGCUCCAUGAUGGACAGGAUUAUGUUGGGAUAUCACAAUAUCUCUUAUAUUAUUAAUGCAUCUAUAUACUUGGUAAAGGGUGGAAGGCUCGGCCUUAUGCCUGGUGUUUUGUUCAACUCUUACCGCCCUAGUUUCCGUCAUACCAGUGUUAUGUUCCCGGAUUUUGCGUUCCUUACGCGGUUGGGUGAUUUAUGGGACCCCCUUGAUAGUUCGCUUUGAAUAAAACUCCUCCAGCAAGGCCCAACCUUGAUUUUACCAUUUUCCUCACCACCACCUACUUUUCCCUUGGGAGUAAUUAACCCAAGGGUCGUCUUUAUUUAAGCCCCCCCCCUCGGGCCAGUGCUUCUCUAAGUGCUGGUCCGAACUAGAGCCCUUUGCAGCGCCCCCUCAGGGAAACUUAAGGUCUGGUUUUAGUUGUACGGAUUGCUCAUCCGGUGUUGCCCUGAGAACGAGAUAUGUGCAGCUCCUAUUGGGAUGUCGGCACAUCGGGCGGUCUUGCUUGUCUUGUUUUACCAUUGUCGAAAUGUCUUGUAAACCGGGAUUCCGAGACUGAUCGGGUCUUCCUGGGAGAAGGAAUAUCCUUCGUUGACCGUGAGAGCUUAUCAUGGGCUAAGUUGGGACACCCCUGCAGGGUAUAAACUUUCGAGAGCCGUGCCCGCGGUUAUAUGGCAGAUGGGAAUUUGUUAAUGUCCGGUUGUAGAUAACUUGACACCAGAUCCGAAUUAAAACGCAUCAACCGUGUGUGUAGCCGUGAUGGUCUCUUUUCGGCGGAGUCUGGGAAGUGAACACGGUUUUGGGUUAUGGUUGACGUAAGUAGGAGUUCAGGAUCACCUCUUGAUCAUUACUAGCUUCACGACCGUUCUAUUUGCUCUCUUCUCGCUCUUAUUUGCAUAUGUUAGCCACCAUAUAUGCUUAGUCGCUGCUACAACCUCACCACCUUACCUCUUCCUUACCCAUUAAGCUUUUCUAGUAUUGAUACCCAUGGUAAUGGGAUUGCUGAGUCCUCGUGGCUCAUGGAUUACUACAACAACAGUUGCAGGUGCAGGUUUCACUACAAAAAAAGACACAUCCAUGACAUUUUGGGCCGAACGAAAAAAAAUUCUGUCAUACAUAUGACACUUCUAUGACGAUAAUUGUGACAAAACCUGGUAUCAUCAUAGAUGUGGUGGGCUCCUACUUCUAUGACAAAAAAUCAUGACAGAAAAUGGGCUUUUUGUCCUGGGUGCGCCGGAGACGCAGCUGCAUGACAUUCUUUGGGCCGUCCAUGACGGAAAAAACCAUGGUAGAAGCGAGGGAGAGGAAAAUUUCGGGGAGUUGCCGGUUAUGGUGGGAGGUCGGGAGCGGAGUGAUGCGCGUUUCUCUCGUACGUACGCGCGUGUGUGCGAGGCGUUGGCUCUAACUGAAGCCGAGCGAGGCGUUGGGCUCUAACUGAACCCGAGCGAUUGCACUGCAGGCUACGCGUUACUGAACCCGAGCGAUCGAUCGAUGGCUGUUAACUGAACCCGAUGGAGCGAUUCCUUCGCUACUGCUGCUAGCUGAAGCCGAUCGAUGCUGCCUCUGGGAUGAACAGUGAGUGUUGCGGGGGGUGGAUGAACAGUGAGCGGUGGCGUUGCCUCUGGAUGAACAGGAACCCAUGGUGUGGAUGGCUGGAUGAACAGUAGACGGUGGAGGGGUGGUUGAACAGGAACCCAUGGUGUGGAGGGCUGGAUGAACAGUAGACGGUGGAGGGAUGCCCGUGGAGGGGUGGUUGAACAGUAGCCGGUGGAGAGCGCACGGUGGAGGCUAGAUGAACAGGAGCCCGUGGAGGCUGGAGGAGGUCGACGGUAGCCCAUGGAGGCUGGAGGGGGUCGACGGUGGAGAUGAACAGUAUCCCGUGGAGUCCAGUUUUGCGGUAUNNNNNNNNNNNNNNNNNNNNNNNNNNNNNNNNNNNNNNNNNNNNNNNNNNNNNNNNNNNNNNNNNNNNNNNNNNNNNNNNNNNNNNNNNNNNNNNNNNNNNNNNNNNNNNNNNNNNNNNNNNNNNNNNNNNNNNNNNNNNNNNNNNNNNNNNNNNNNNNNNNNNNNNNNNNNNNNNNNNNNNNNNNNNNNNNNNNNNNNNNNNNNNNNNNNNNNNNNNNNNNNNNNNNNNNNNNNNNNNNNNNNNNNNNNNNNNNNNNNNNNNNNNNNNNNNNNNNNNNNNNNAGUCCGUUUCGUCUGUUUUGCGGUACGCCACACCCCUCCCAUGAACAGGACCCCCGUUUCGACCGUAGCGCUCCAACACAAGUCUGUUUCGUCCAUUUUGCGGUACGCCACACCCCUCCCAAUCCACAGGACCCCCGUUUCGAUCGUAGGAGGUACGUUUCCUCCGUUUGGCGGUACGCCAGGCCCCUCCCGAUCAACAGGACCCCGUUUCGAACGUAGGAGGUCCGUUUCCUCCGUUGUGUGGUGCGCCAGGCCUUGUUUCCAUCACCUGUUCUGUCCAAGCCGGUUGGCUCCCACGCGUUCCAUCGCCUCUCGAUGAACACGACGCAUUCCGUUGCAUCCCCAUGAACACGACGCAUUACGUUGCCUCCCGAUGAACACGACACAUUCCGUUGCCUCCCCAUGAACACGACACACUCCAUUGACUCCCCAUGAACAUGAGCCCUCGCCGUACGUAUGCGCGACUAGGCGUUCGAGACCCCGCCCGUAUGUACACAUACGUGGCCGUAUUUUCUUUCUUGCACCCUGGCCGUUGUACGUACGUGUACAUGCUACGUGCGCGCCUCUACUACGACACGUGCGCGCCUCUACAACGACCAGUAUGUACGUGCAUGUUCGCAACCAGAAUGACAACGCUACAUACGCUUCGACCAGGUGGGUCUCGACUAUCAGGCACUCCUUGCGUGUGAAAAUGUAGCUGGUGGGUCCCAGCAGUCAGAGGGGCGAAUCGUUUUUUUUGCCCGGACGCACUUCCUUGCGUGUGAAGGUGUAGCUGGUGGGUCCCAGCGGUCAGGGGGGAAACGUUUUUUUCGCGAAAUACGGUGGCCCGUCCGGUGGGUCCCCGCUGUCAGCUGGAGGAAUAAUUAUUUUCCGCGUAAUAAGGAGGCACUUCCUUGCUGCGGCCAUGGACCCAGCUGUCAGCCUCUCCACAUACAGUCCACGUCCGAUGGAAAUCAUUCCUUGACCAUGUUGACCACACCGCCCGAGAGCACCAGGGCGGUGGACGAUAGCGAGGCCUAGGAAGGGGACGACGGGGAGCCGGGGAAGACGCGGCAGUGGAAGCCCGCGCCGAGAGGAGUACGAGGGUUCACUGGUUCGGCUGCGGUAUGAAGCUGUGCCGCAGGGCCUGGCCAGCGGUGGGAAUAGUAGGGGCGGUGAGGCCUCCGCGGCAGCACAUCCGGCCACAGGAGGCAGGAGCAUGCGGCACGACCGGCGCUGCUUUGGGCGGCUGGAGCAAGAAGACCAGAGGUUGAAGAAGCACUACGGCCGUUGGAUGGACAUCGUACGGUCACUGGAGCUAGAAUCGUUUAUAUUGACUAAGUUGACAAAGCCCUCUGUCCCCGUCAACUUAGUAGUCCCACAAGUCAGCCUCCCACCAAGGUGGGUCCCAGCUAGCUGGGGGGUAUUCAUUUUUUUGUGCAUAAUAAGGAGGCACUUCCGGUGGCUCCGAGCUGACAGCAGGGGGAAUGUUUUUUCGCGAAAUACGGUGGCCCGUCGGGUGGGUCCCAGCAGUCAGGGGCAAACGUUUUUUUCGCAAAAUACUGGUGGCCCGUCUGGUGGGUCCCUGCUGUCAGGUGGAGGAAUAAUUAUUUUCCGCGUAAUAAGGAGGCACUUCCUUGCGGCACCGGUGGACCCAGCUGUCAGCCUCUCCACGUACAGUAUUCUUCUGAUGGAAUUCAGUCAUUGAUCACAUUGACCACGCCGCGCCAAGAGCACCACGGUGGUGGACGACGGCAAGGCCUAGGAAGUGGACGACGCGGAGCCGGGGAAGACGUGGCAGUGGAUGCCCACGCGGAGAGGAGUACGAGGGUUCAUUGGUUCGGCUGCGCUACCGUCGCCGCAGAAUAACAGGGGGUGUAGGUGAGUGGAGUGGAGGGAUGGCCUGGCCAGCGGUGGGAGUUGUAUGGGGGCGGUGAGGCCUCCGCGGCAGCACAGCCGGCCAUGAGAGGCAGGAGCAGGCGGCACGACCGGCGCUGCUUUGGGCGGCUAGAGCAAGAAGACCAGAGGUUGAAGAAGCACUACGGCCGUUGGAUGGACAUCGUACUGGUCAGUCGAGCUAGAAUCGUGCAUAUUGACUAAGUUGACAAAGCCCUUCGUCCCCGUCAACUUAGUUGGCCCACUAUACUGGGUCCCAGCUAGCAGGGGGAGUAUUCUUUUUUUUUGGGCGUAAUAAGGAGGCACUUCCUUGCGUGCGAAGAUAUAGCUGGUGGGUCCGAUCUGUUAGCGGCGGUAACAUUUUUUCGCGAAAUACAGAGGCCCUUUUGGUGGGUCCCAGAUGUCAGUUGGAGGAAUCAUUAUUUUGCGCGUAAUAAGGAGGCAUUUCCUUGCGUGCGGCCGUGGACCCAGUUGUCAGCCUCUCCAUGUACAGUCCACUUCCGAUGGAUGUCGUUCAUUGACCACGUUGACCAGGCCGCGCCAAGAGCACCAGGGUAGUGGACGAUGGCGAGGCCUAGGAAGGGAACGACACGGAGCCAGGGAAUACUUGGCAGUUAUUUCCCAUGCGGAGGAGUACGAGGGUUUACUGGUUUGUCUGCCGUCGCCGGAGAAUAACAUCAUGUGUGGGACUGAGGGUGAGUAGAGGGAUAGCUAGGCCAGCAAUGGGAGUACGGUGGGGCGGUGAGGCCUACGCGGCAGCACAGCCGGCCGCAGGGAGGAGGGAGCAGGCAGUCCUGCCGGCGCUUGUUUGAGCGGUUGGAGCAGGAAGAGCAGAGAAUGAAGAAGCACGACGGCCGUUGGAUGGACAUCCAACAGUAUACAGGCCAUCUGUGGAAAGCCUCAAAUCUGUGGAAAACAGCAUACAUCCCAUCUGCCAUUAUUUGAAAUAGUUUACAGCCCAUUUGCUAAUUCUUACGGGUUUUUUUGGAGCCCAUAUUCUUUUUGUUAGCAUUACAGCCCAUAUUGUGGCCACGGUUAAAAAAUUAUACGAAAUUUUGCAUAUGUCGGUGCGGUCUGAACUGUUUUUAAUCCCGAAAUUUCGAGUCACAUUCAGACUGAUUUUAAAAAUAAAUGUAUAUCAAUAUAAAAUCCAAUAAAUUGUCCACGCAUAAAAAUCAAUGCAAUUUAAAAUCCCGAAAUGAAAAAAAGAUAUUUGAAACUAAUUGCCGGUUUGAUGUGUUUUAAAAAUGUACAUCCCAUUUCUCAUUACUGAUAGGCCAUUUUCUCGGCCAGCUGAAUGAAGCUCUCCUCGUCUAGCUCAACAGGCCUGAUAAAGUGACUUAUUUGACAAAUCACAAAAAAACUGGGCUAGCCAUUUUCAAAAAGAAAAAAAACUACUGGGCUGGUCUGUGGUAAACAUAAAAGAAAAGGCUGUCUAGACAGGCCAGAGUGUCCCGCACAGCCCAGUUAACACCCUGCUUCCGUCUCAAAAACAUAUUAGAUAAAUGCCACUCCAAUUAUGGCGAUUCAAAAUGCCACUGCAAUUUCCAAACUUUGAAAAAUACCACUACAAUUUUUGCAAACUUUGAAAAAUGCCACUGCAGUUUGCAAACUUUGAAAAAAGCCACUCCAGACUUCAAAAAAUGCAACUAGAAAUGGCAUGAAAUGGCAUUUUUCAAAGUUUGGAAAUUGCAGUGGCAUUUCUCGGAGGCAUUUAUCAAAUUAACCCAAAACAAAAAUAACUGGGCGAGCUGCUGGGUCCCUGGUGUCAGCCGCUCGUUGUGCAAUUCUCUCGUUUAUUGACUACGUUGACAAUGGCAUGGGACACAGAUGUCAGAAAUCCACUAGGAGGAGCCAUUUUUUUAUUGGCUUGAAAUAAGGAGGCACUUGCUUGCGUACUGCCAUGACCUUGGCGGGUCCCUGCUGUCAUCCUCUCCACAUACAAUCAUCUCCUGAUUGUGUACGCGUCAACUUGCUAGGCCCACAAGUCAGCCUCUAAACCCGUGGAGGACAAAUACAACCCAUUUAAAAAAAUAAUAGCCCAUUCUAUAUGUUCAAACGGAAAGUUCAACAUUCAGAGCAAAGUAACAGGUCUGAUCCACAUAUAGAGUACUGAACUUCCACGUUGACAACCAUCAUAGCCAAGUUAACUAUCUACUCCCACUAGACAAGUACUAACUUACUCUUAGCUAACUAGAUGAUGCUGGCGGCACACGCUAAACGCCGGCACCGGCGUCCUGCGCCUCGCCUCGGACUUGCCAGAGGUGCGAUAGGGCGCGUUGCUCGCGCGUGUUGGCCCUUUCCAUGUCGGUGUGGUCCACCGAAGCUUCGGCUUCCAAGCGGGAAACCCACUUGACGAGUUGGUAAUAAAAAUCGGCGUCGCGAACGUGUGCGUGCCCGACAGCCUCUAGGGCUAUUUGUCGGGCGCCGGCCUCCAUGAAGUCGGGCCAGUUGCGGGCGCUCUGCUCGCGACUCAGAGCAUCGGUGCACUGCUGCUCCAUGUCCCGCUGGCGGCGCAAAUCGGCGUUAUGCUGUUCCUCCGCCAGGCGGUCGCGCUACAACAACUCCUACUCCUCCGCCAUACGGUCGCGCUCCAACAACUCCUCGAUCUGCGCAUUGCCAUCUAAAGACAGAUAGAAUGCCUCCUCCUUCCGUCUGCCUUCUGGUGAAAAACCGAACACUAGUUCCGAAGGUGACCGCAUCCGGCGUCGCCUACCACAGACGGACGGGGGCAUGGCGGACGUGGCGAGCGACGUCGGGCUGGUGGGGCUUAUGAGGAUAUGGCGAGUUGGUCACUGUGGCACUAGAGAAUGCCGAGAAAUAGUACUUACAGGGGGAAGGUAGCGCGAUGGUCAUCGGAAUUCAAUGCAUAAUGGCUUAGCGCGCCAGCUUGCCGUGGAAAACUAGGGAAACUGAAAUUAUGACUGUGUCGUCCCGUCCCGUCUGGGUCGCAUGCCGGCAUGGCGGUCAAACGAGUGCACUCGAAUCAUCUCCCUCCUUGUCAAUAAUGAUUUCACGGAUUUAAAAAGCCCGCAACAAUUAAAGUGUAUCUUUUUUCGCAUCAGUUAGCUGCCUUAAUUACGGCUGGCUGCAUGCAAGCACUAAGAAUCGCUCGCAGGCAGUACGCAAAGCAGCAUGCAACGAGUCGCAGCCGAGGGCAUGCAUGCAGCCACUUAAAUCACUGGAAUUAAUUAGGCUUAAACUUCUGCAUGCCGUUAAUAAUUGCCAUGCCUUGGUCUUGCUGUUUUGCUCACGGGACUAACAAUCCCGGACGGAGGGAGUACCUUGGUUGGUGAGAGGUUUGAAUUAAGCCCUGCAAACCGGAAAGGAGGUACUAGUACGUGCGUGAUCUGCUAUUUAUUCGUGUAGGAUCGAGUAGGCCGUUUCUUGAAUUGAGCCCUGCAAACCGGAAAGGAGGUAGUACGUGCGUGAUACGCUAUUUAUUCGUGUAGGAUCGAUAGUGUAGCUUGUCAGUUUCUUCAGAGGUAGGCAUUUUUAUCCGUGUAGGAUCGAUAGUGUAUCUUGUCAGUUUCUUCAGAGGUAGGCAUUUUUAUUCAAAAAACUGCCACUUUGCAUCUUGCGUCGCAAAUAAAACUGCCAGGUGCGCAUUUGUAGGCUAGCUAGUGAUCGAUCAGUAACUUCUAAACACUGAGCGAACAGAAAUAAGUAACUGUUAAUGCAUCUCAAUGAUUCACAGAUCAUAUACAAAUAUGUAGCUCCAAAAGCAAAGAUCAGCCACUUUGGAUCUUGCGUCGUAACUAAAACUAACUAGUACGAUUCCCAUACAUAAGAUCAACAUGUUAAUGCAUCUCAAUGAUUCACAGAUCAUAUACAAAUAUGUAGCUCCAAAUGCAAAGAUCUAGAAAAAACAUCUAUUCUUCCUACUAACAUGGAUGCUUCUCUUGGCCAACAUUCAGUACAGACUGAAAGACAAAUUUGUUUGUGAAGUCUACAAUUCCUCUUACAAACGUAAGUGGUUUCACCAACAGCUGGAACCAUGAGAAUGAACCACACAUGAUGGAGGAACAUCCACUGCAAUAUGAUUUGGUCUUCUCUCGAUCACACCGCGAGACUAUUUUCGGAAUACAAACUUUAACUUAGGGAAAAUGAUGCCCAUUGUAUAAUCAGACCAAAGCAAUGAAGCACCAACUGUUGGCCAUUAAAUAGUACAGUACUACUUUUCUGCAGUCCAUGAAGUGACUAUACAAUCUUUGUGUCUAUUUUCAAAUGGCACUGCAUGCAGUGACUAUACUAUUCUCUUGUGCAGUUCAACCAAAAUUGCGGACACUUUGUUUGUUUGCCAAAUAGCAACGGGCAGACAUCUCUGUCUGCACAAAUAUCAAGCAGCUAGUAAACAUAUACCACACCAUGUUCGCAGUGAUGGAAGAGGUGAAAUCGAUACAACCGAAAUUGAGCAUCCAAUCAUUGAAUCAUGUCCUGCACCUCCAAUGUAGGUCCACCCUGCCAAUAAAUUCACAUGCAAACCACUAGUAUUACUAUCUAAUGACAGUACAAAAAGAGUAGCAAGAUAGUAGAAAAUCAUGUACCAUCGUAAUGAACAGCUCAUAGUGCCACCAAUUGGAUAUAAAGGUUUGGAAAAAACAUGCUCCUAAUGUUGAACUAGUUGGACUUUUUGUGCAGCUCCACUAAAAUCGAGCAUCCCUGUUUGCAUAGAUAUUGGAAGUGUGAUUACUAUAAAAGUGGCACUAGUUGAAGCAUAGACUCACAAAUAUAAGCAUUACAAUUUCUUAAUGGGAAAAGGUAGCAAGACUGUUUCUAACCACCUGUUUGAAGGAAUAAAUAAAGCAUCAGCGGCUGAUGUCAGGAAGGCAUACAUAGUUUUUUUCUGAAAAACUGAGCCAUUCCUGACCUUUCCUCUUCUUUUAAGCAAUUUUUGUGUAGUUCUACUAAAAUAAAAUGCCAUCACCGCCUUGACAAUUUAGUUACACUGUACAAAAGGAAAUGACUUAACAUUACAUCAUGAUGUCGGGUAUGUAGUAGACAGGCAUUAGAGACAAACAUAAAGACCUCCUCCGAUAACAUAAUGAACAUUAAUUUUAACAAAGGUGUGACUAGCUUUACCGGGAUAAUUUGAGUGAACUCUACACCCUUUGUUCCUUAAUAUAAGACAUUUUCGCGGUUCAAUUUAAAGUACCCAAACGUCUAGUAUUUAGAAAAACAGGUAGUAGUUUUCUUGAGCACAUAUCUGGGAAAGCUUGCCACACUUUAUUUAUGUCCAUACGCUAAAGCAACUCCAUUCGAAUACUACAAAUAUACACUAAUCCAGUGGCUAGUGCAACAGUAGAGUAGUUAGUUUAUUACAGGGUACAGUACAAUGGUUUUACUGAAUAGAUUUCAAUAAACUCUAGCACUGGAAGGUUUCUAUAAGAAUUAACAAUACAAAAUGUAAAGGUAACAAGUUUCAGCAUUAGUAUACUAGCUGUGCAUGAGCAUUAAACCAAAUACAAAAGUCUGAAGGUAACUAGCAUUAUUAACUAAUGAAAGUAUAAAAAAAUUGCAAACCAUGUACCUCCAAGGUAAAUAUCAUUUUGAACUCGGGGGGACCUUAAAAAUUUCUAUCCCAAUCUUGAUAAUCGAUCAAACAUAAAAACUUGAUAUUUCCUCUUGAUAAUCAAGAGAAUAGCCGGAGGAGGAGGUGCCCACUCUUGACCUUUCCUCUUGUCUUCAUAAUUGUCUGUGUAGUUUAACCAAAAUAAAAUGACAUCAGCGCCUUGGCAUUUUGGUGACACUGUACAAAAAAAUUAACUUAUCUCAUGAAAGUGAGGUAUGUAAUCUAUAAGCAUUAACAGUGCAAAAAAUCUGAAGGUUAUAAAAUUGCUUGACUUGACUGCUGGCGUUAUACUAACAGCAAAAAAGUGGAAAUAAGAGCAUGGGAGGCCCAUUCGGACAGUGGGCGCACCAGUACGAUGUACCUCCACGGACGCAGAGUGGUGAGGGAGGUAUGGUUGCCCAGAGCAAUAAAUAUCCAGGCAGCAUAUGUGGAUUACGUCCCAUUUUUGUUCUGUUUAGCCACCUUUUUCCUAUGUGAGGACAACAAACCGAUCGACCUGGUCAUUCUCUAUUGCUUUGUCAUGCCUUUCUACCCUUCUUCAACCAAGAGACACGAGACUCGUUCCUUAGCUACUGAUUUUCCCCUUUUCAACCUAGAUGCGGGUUCGAUGCCUACUCUCUUGGACAGUACAGUCUCCCUUCCUUUCCUUAUUCAACCCAGACAUGCAUUAGUCUGCAUGAAGUAGGGUUUCCUUUAAUAGUGCAAAUUAUGGUUUUCGUCUGCGUGGCCAGUAGAGCAGAGGAUAGCAAAUUGGGAAGAUGCUGGAGUGGAAAAAGAUCCACAUGCAAUGACGUGCCAUAUGGGGCAAUAGAACAAGGGUAUGGUUCGAAAAGAGGUAGCAUACCUGAGGGUCGGCAGGAAGUGGCUUCGCUCGUGGUCGUCGUCCUUCACACACACUCGGCAGCGAUCCCGCGCGGGCGCUAGGUCUGAGAGGACGGCCUUCUCGUUAGUGUGUGACCUCGCUCCCCGACGACGAGUGCGUCAAUGUUGCACGUCCUUUUCUUCCCCGGCGAAUCUAUGACCACCGGUGAGGAGGGAGAGAGGGGCCGUAUUUUUUAGAUCUGGAGAGAGGGUGGUAGUGUGAGAAGCAAGUGGGCAGCCCUUGGCAAGAAAGCGCUGAAGCUCCAGCCUAUAUAUCUUCUUUAUACUACUAGUACUGGAGGUGGAGUAGUGGUAGAGUAGUUUAUAUUUUCUCUGCGUACAGUACCAGUUAGUCGUGCUUCAAAACUAAACGGCGCGCCAUUAAAAAAAUAAAGGCCGAUAACUAAUGCGGCACCUCGGGCCAACGCAGCCAGAUCGCAUUUUGCACGAGAAAUUACACACCAUGUCUCAUUGACAUGUGGUCCCGUUCCACAUAUCAGUGAGAUGACGGCGAGUAGUAGGAGUACUUCCGAACCGACGUGUAGGCCAGGGCGCCCCUUCGUGAACCGUGGUAAACUGGUAACCGUCCACCGACUCUUCGCCUUUCCCUCUCGAUUUGGAACUGCUGUCGCACGCUCUUCCUCUCCCUCCUCCAUUUUCCUUCAGCCCUUCACCCUUUCUUUUACCAUUGUUCGAUCAUCUUCUCCAUGGAGGGAACAGGACAGAAACGACCCCGUUAUUCUUGCCCCCUGAAAGAUGACGUGGUGGAGGAACUCAUUGAUCGGUGCGACAUCAUCACCUCGGCUAGCAUGGCAGGUUCGUUCAAGCCCAUUCUCGACUCAACUAAUAACAUCAUUACAAGGAACCCAAGAGUCAAGGAGCGGUUUGAUCUCCCCUAUCUACUUCGCCGUGACCCUGAUGACUGGCGCCGUCAUGAUGGAGGCCUCGCCCUGUGCAAAUUGAUGCCGCUUGAUAAUGAUACGUAUGAUGUUAAGAUGCCAUCGCUUGAGGGCAAGGCUUGGGCAGGCACAAAUGGAGAUUGGGUUGUUUACAUUGGGUCCAACUGUGAGUGGGAACUUGUGAAUGUGUACACUCGUGACCGGGUUCCACUUCUGAAAAUCUCAGCAGACUGCCCAGAGGUUGAGCACACCGGUAUUGUACGCACAUUCAAAUACAAUCAUGGUGAUUGUCUUCUACGGAAGAUAGCAAUUUCUCGAGUCCCCAACCGCUCUUGGAAUUAAAACAACUAUGAAGUUGUUUCUAUCUUCGACAAGCUUGUUGCCGUCGUCAGUGGUUUGACUGGAUGGAUAUUGCUCAAAAAUCAGUUUCUGUACAUGGAUGAGUAUUGUGAUGCAAUUCAAUACGAGGGCCUUGUGUUUGCUGCCACCACACGUGGCACUAUUUUUGCAUGGCAUCCUCGUUGUUUCGGUACGUUUUUCUUCCACCGUAAUUAUAAUUGUUUCAUCCACAUGCAUGCGGGUUAGCAAGGCUGGUCAUAGUGGGGAGUAACUUAGACUAGUAACAUGCAUAUGUUACUAGUUUAUGUUACUACCUCUAUAGUGCAUAGUAUCUUAGAUUAGUAUCAUAUGUGGUCUCAUUUAUUGCCAUGCAUGACACAUAGUAGCAUCACAUUUAUUAUGUUACGGUAUCUACCUAUGUUACUAUAACCAUCUCUCUCUUCCUUAAUUGCCUACCACAUAAGCAUGUUUGCGAGUCCCAGGUGCAUGAUACUACUUAUGUUACACCUACUAUGGCCAGCCUUACUAAUUAACCUUAUUCUUGUGUUUCCAAGGUCCUGUGAACAUUCCACCACCUAUACUUGAAGAUUUUUAUAACCAAGGGGGAGAUGAUGAUGGUGAUGAUCAUGAGCAUGAGGACGAGCAGCACCCAUAUACUAUUUGGCGCCUGGCAACUAAUUUCGAUGGAUCACCUCUUCUCAUGUGUAUACAGCCCACUGAUGAUGUUCUGCUAAGGAAGCAGGUGUAGUCUCCCAUGGUCGCACUCUCCGGACCUAUUCCAACACCUGUUGCAUGGUAUUCAGGAAGGAUACUAGUGUGCUAGCGCCAACUCCUUCUCCCUGGUACAGAAUUGAUAGUCUUGGAGAAAACUCGCUCUUCCUUGGACAAAACUAUCCAAUGAUGGUGAAAGGCGAUCCAACUGUUGUUGACACAACGUUGCUACCAUUUAUGAGAAGCAACUGUGUCUAUACCUCGAACAUUUGGGUGGUUCCCUACCCUGGUACUGAUAUAGUAGGCCGCUUCAGCCUGGAUGAUCAGUCCUGCGUUGGUCUCCAGAUCGACAAUGGAUGGCCCGUCCCAGAGAAUCACUUGUGGUUCAAAGCAAGCAUUUCCAACACCGAGGAAUGGUUGAGUUGAAGUUCAUUUCAUUGCUUGCUAUUUGUUGUGUGGUGAAAAAUUUAGUAUUUAUAAUGUAUUCUCGUUGUCGAUGUGGGUUGAUGACCUGUUGUAUGUAAUAAAAUGACAUGCCUGUGAUGAACUUACUAAAUUUAUGAAUGGCUUUCAAGUUUUGCUUCUGUGAGUGGGUGGUGCGACGAGGCAAAAAAAAUAUUUUCCCAAUACAUAAUUGUGCGUGCAUUGCAACAGGUUAUCGGAUGGGGCCAAUCAACAAUAGUAGUACACUAUUUGUACUAGCUUCACAUGCUUUGUGCGUCGUGCGGGUGUUUUUACAGUAGCCAUACUGUACUACGUAACCAGCACCUCAAAUCCUCGAUACUAGUAGUACUAUAUAGUACUAACUAGUAGGAGUAGUAGGGUGGCAUGGGCUAGAACAAGCAUUCACGUCUAGGAGUACAGCACAGGCCACCAGCACGACUUCCAUCUGACAUCAUAUUUCUUGGAGUCCGUGCUAGAGCAAUCUCUUCAACCUCAUCGUUUCUCUAACUCAGCCAUCGCGCGGCGGGCGAGGUGGGGGUUUGUCGAUAGUCAGUUUCCUUAACUGCGGUCCCACUUGUAAGGCCAACUGCAACGCACAACCCCAAACGGACCUCCGUUUUGCAUGAACUCCAACGAUAAUUUUGAUUAGUAAAGCAAGACCAAAGAAAACAAGAACCACAAGAAUACAUUUUACUACUCCUGUAAGUUGGAUUAGUGCCUUCUCGAUGCAUUCAUUGUUGAUCUGCGAAGGCUCAAUCUUGCGUGCUUCUUUCUUCUUCGAGUGUAAAGAAGUAGACGUUGCUUCCUCGCAUCUAGUCUCAUGUCUAGCCUCUGUUCUAGUACUCCCUCCGGUCCAUUUUUCUCUGCGUCUAAGCAGCAACACGCAUACCAAGUAGGAGUAUCAACAAGUGCACUAAUCUCAUCCAUAGCCUUUGUGCUAGCUAAAAGUGAUAGAACAUCUACUAAAUUGCACUCUAUCAAUAUAUGGAUGUACUCUUCUUCCCAAUACAAAAAAUCGCAUCCAUUCUACUCCCUUCGUUCUACUACCUCCAUCCUGGUUUAUAGGUCCCCUUUGUAGUUUGUGUCAAAUUUUGACUAAAGAUUUAACUAACAAAAUGUUAAUGCAUGUCAAGAAAAAUUAUCUCAUUGGAUUCGUAUUUGAACAUAGUUUUCAAAAAUAUAAUGUUUGGUGACAUGCGUAAACAUUUUGUUAGUUUAAUCUAUGGCCAAAAUUUGGCACGAAAUAUAAUGGGGACCAGUAAACCCGGACGGAGGUAGUAUUUGUCAAAAUAUAUAUGUAUCUAGACAUGUUUUAGUAUAUAGGCACAUCCAUUUUUGGACAAAUGGAAGUCAAGUAUUUUGGAACGGAGGGAGUACACAAUAAAAAAUUUAAGUUACCACAACUAGUCUAAUCCGAGAGCACAACCGAAGAUUUGGUCGGGUUCUUCCUCCUUUUGCUGACUUGUGGGACAUCCAGCAUCCAGGUCGUGUCAUGAAAGAAAAUAGAGUGGUAGUUGAUAAGUUGAUGCCACGAGAUGUGCAUCUUGGGUUAAACUGUAAAUAGAAUCUUACUACUCUUGAGUAACUCCAAAAGCGGCCACCGAAGAUCUUUCUUUGAUUUUUUUCUCAUCACCAGCACGUCAAGGUGAAAGAUGUGCAGGUUCAGUGGGUCCCCUUGCGUUUUCACUGACAUGUGGGACCGCAUGUGAGCAAACAGACGAUGGGCUCCGCGCGUCCGCUGGCUGGCUAAGAAGAGAGAUAGAGGAGUGCUGAGCACGAACUGCAGGAAAUUUGUUCUACGUAUUGUACCUCGAUAUAGGCUCAAUAUAGAGGGGUGGCAUGGGCCAUAACUAGCAUUCACGUCUAGCACUACAGCACACGCCACCCACACGAGUUCCAUCCGACACCAAUUUUCUUGGAGUCCAUGCUACAGCCAUCUCUUCUCCCUCCUGUUUUCUCAGCCAUCGCGCGGUGGGCGGGGUGGGGGUUUGCCGAUAGUCAGUUUGCUCAAAUACGGUCCCACUUGUAAGUGAAAAUGCAACACCGCGUGCAUUCCCGCUUGAGCGGCAUGCCGGACCAAUCGUGUGGGGGUGCGGCGCGAACACAGCAGGCUUUUCCUUUUGAACUCGUAACUUGUAAAAUUUGGUUUUUCUCCAUGGUGCGAUCGGUAGAUAGAAAAUAACGAUUUUGCCUAGAGUAAUGAGAAGUUUGGUUCUGGCGCCGUUCAUGCAUGGAGUACGUAUGAAAAUUAUGAAGUUGAUGCGAGAUAAUUACUGUAGUAUCAUAUACUACUACAUGGAUUUGACGGAAAGAUAAAAACACAUACGGAUCCAUCAACGACAUCCUCAUGCCCUAGUGCGCCGGGUCACCAACCGACGUGUGAGGAGCAGCGGCGUUGGCGGCGAGCUCAACGUGCUUCUAAAUAGUGCGUCCAAGGUUGCCCUGCGGUCCAAGAAGGCCAGCGUCUUAUCGUCCUCCUCUUGCAUGCGUGUAAACGUGGGUGAUUAUGUCCAUGGUGUCUUGCUGCGCCAGGCGCUGCGCGGCGAGCGCGACCUCAAGGUGGACAUUCUCCGGCGCAAUGGCGGGCAGUCGCAGGGCCACCAGUGCGUUGAAGAGGUUGUCACCAUAGUGGCCAUUGAGGGUGGCGGGCAUCACAGAGCCUGGGCGCGUCGGCUGAAGGCUUACGUCAAAGUCGUCCACGAGCUUCUUGACAACGGUGAACUUGUCGAGGAAACCGACGAGGACCUCGUCGAACAAGGAGACGAAGUUGUCGUCCAAGCGGCCCCUCAGCCUGCCGGCCUCAAGCAAUACUACCUGGAGACGUUCCUCGUUGCCGAGCCGUAGGCCGGCGUCGUGGACCAUCUAGCACAGCCGGCUGAUGCUCGCGCUCAUCGCCUCCAUGGGUCUAGCUUAGCUUCUAUUAGUCAACUGAUCUUGCGAUUCGAGUGAUCACUCUUGCCCUUGGUUAGCAUGCGUAGGUGCGUAGGAUUUCGUACUACUCCUCGGCCCUCUACUUCACCUGCCUUUGGCUGUAAGAUAGGUGGGCCAGCCACCCCCUGGGCCCACGUGUCAUUCACCCAAAGGCAGUUGCCGUAAGUCAAUGAAGUUGCGCCCCCCUUCGUGCCGAUGCAGUAUAGUCAUCUCACCGGACCUCUAGUUGGGGCCAAACGAGAGAAGUUUGAUGUUUACUGGUUUAUUGGUCCCCUUUGCAUUUUGCGCCAAGUUUUGACCUUUGAUUUAACUAAUAAAAUGUUAAUGCAUGUAAACAAAAAUGUUGUGUAAGUCACAUUACGAAAACCAAAUAAUCCCAAAACACUUAGGCACGUUGCAUUAAAUCCCUCCUUGUUUCUUAUUUCGUGACAUAUCAACCAAUGAGAGAUGUGGGCCGUGCAUGCUUUCAAUGACUUGAGACUACCAAACAUGACAUGCAGUGUUUAGUUCAUUGCAUGUAAUCCUAUUAAGACUCUAGUUAGCAAGAAAACAUUAAGUUCUCUUGCCGAUAGGAAUAAAACACCAUGUAUUUAUUUACAGAGGGAGUAGUACAUUUUUUGUGACAUGCAUUACUAGAUAUUGCUAGUCAAAUACUAAAAUCUAGAUGGACGUGGUAGUACUCCUAAAUCCAGAUGGUGGUGCUACUAGUAUUAGUAGUAGUACUACCAGUGUAGUACUCCUAGGGGUACUAGCACUGUACUACCCGUUGUCAAAUUAUUACGUGCUGCUCCUCACAGUGAAGUGACAAGACCCUGCGCCGGAGAUGACACCUGAGUAUAGGCGCCGUCUUCGGCAUACCAUAGUCAGCCUCACUGUCUGCAGUCACUAUCAUCAUGGCUGUAGAGCUAGCCUGCUUACAACUAGCCCUGUUCGACAUAAUUUCCCGUGCGUAGAUGCCUGUGCAUUGCACGGAACACCAAGAUUGGGGGUGGACUGCUCCGGCAGCGGCCAUCGCGCCAGAUUUUUCAACGGCCUUCUAGAUGUGGUGGGGAGGAGAUAAGGCUAAUUGUGAGAGACAGGGAGUUGUUUGUAAAUAGGGAACAAGUGCGGGCAUCUUUUUGCAAAAAUGGAGAAGCUUGGUUUGUAUGCGUCAGAUCUAGAUCCGACGGAUACUGGUGAAAGAUGGGAGGCACAACAUCAUCACCAACUCAGAGACCUGUUUGAUUCGCAGGAUUUUGAAAACACAGGAAUAGGACACAGCAAUAUUACAAGUUUCAAACUGAUAUUACAAAUGUUAGGAGUAAUGUUGCACCUAGGAAGAGGGAAUUACUAGGAAGUUCACGUAAGAACUUUCGUUACUUUAGGUGGAUACAGCGUUAUCGUACAAACUAAAAUCCACCUCCCUGACAAGUCACUAAUGGGCAAAUAAGUUUUCGAGUCUCUGGCCACUUGAUGUUUCAAAAACAAAUUCAGCUUCUGCGGAGACUUUGUCCUUUAGGCUUAGACGCUUGCGGUGAUUAGCACGCCAUUCAUUUUUGCGCCAAAGAAUGCCAAACCUCAUUACCUUGAGCACACUUGCCUCCAGAACAAAGAACCUGGCCAAUUUAAUCUCAGAUGUGCUGCCUCGAUAGUCGAUCAAAUCAAUUUCUGUAAGAGGGAGAUCAAGGCAUUCGAUGAGAUUGUUAUAGUGCAGCACAUUUUUCACUUUUGGGUAUUUUUUUAUCUGCAAAAGAAGAGAACAUAUUAGAGCAGCUGGCUGCAUAAGAUUGCCGUGUCAUCAAGAGGUACCAAUAUCAUUCGCUCAUACGAUAGGGUUGGCUGGCUAGUGAUAUUUUUUCACUCUCUCUCUCUCUCUCCCUCUCUCUCUCUGUUUAUGUUUCCUCUCAUUUAACUAGGAGCACGUGAAGAGCUUGGGCAUUUGUUGCCUUCCACUGUGUGGCCGAUGCCAUAUUUCACAAAAGUAUGCCACAUAAUACGCAUCAAUGUCAAAUCAAAAGAUUUUGGCACCGCUCUCGCGAUGUGAGAGAGUUGGCACCGAUGUGCACACAGACCCACAUGUAUAAACAAAGCAAUCAAACCAACUACACCAGCCUCUCACUCUCCCAAACAAGUGUUUUUUUAUUGCCUCAGUCAUCUCUCUCUCCCACGCAGUGUUUUUUCAUUGUGUGAGUUAAUUUGGCACCGGAGCAAAGUAGGUGCUCCAGAUUGGGGCACCAGGUGAGCAAUGGAGGGGCAUCGAUGCCAAAUGCAUCACAAGUGAAUUUGGCACAUGUUUUGGCCUACAUAGCCCACUUUUGUACUCCCUCCGUCCCAAAAUUCUUGUCUUAAAUUUGUCUAAAUAUGGAUGUAUCUAGUUACAUUUAAUGUUAGAUACAUCCGUAUCUAAACAAAUGUAAGACAAGAAUUUUGCGACGGAGGGAAUACUACCUUGUAUUUAGUAUAAAAUUUUGACCAUAGAUUUACCUAAGAAAAUGCCAAUGCAUGUCACUAAAAAUUACACCAUUUGAAAUUUUGUUCAAAUACGAAUCCAACGAUAUAGUUCUUAGUGACAUGCAUUAACAUUUUGUCAGUUAAAUCUAUGGUCAAAUUUUGAUACUACAAAAUAGGAAGAGUAAACCAGGACGGAGGUAGUACUUGCCCUUAGGGUAACCAUAGAGUUACUGGAGUAGUCUAAGUUACUUUCCACUAUGACUAGCCUAGGCUACUAUAGUAGUACAGCAUAAAAAUGAUGCAGGUGAUCACGUGAGAAAAAAAUACUAAAAACAUUUAUUUUGGUGCAGUGCGUAGAUGUAGUUUUGAACACUACACUUGUCAUCGUAAUUUGGGAAAAUUACGAAAAAAAUUGAGCUACGUUGUGAUUACCGUUUACUAAUAGGAAAGAAGUUCACCUCGAUGAGUAGCUUCUCCGUGCAUGGAAAGCAUGUAAGGAAUCCAACAACUUGAUCCAAAUUGGGGCCAAUAGAUUUUAGUGCUAAGAUCUUCACUGUGUGCAUGGACUGGGUCAAGCUUGUGGGAAUCAUUUUCUGGAAGACGGUCGUAAAUACAUCAAGAAGAAAUUUAAAAAUGUGAAUUUCAAGAAGACGGAGAAGAAGAUGAGUGUUGUACCUGAACGAUUACGGAUCCAAUAAAGAGUUCGGAGAAUUUGGCAGACGAGUACACCAACGCAGUCAAUUUCGGCGCGUCAAUGACCCUGGUUUUUGUUGGACCUUCUAGAUUCGAUACAAGCAAUCUCUCAAGGAAAGGCGCAUUCUCAAUGACCAUAACACAGAACAGCUGGAGUGAUCUCUUCCCAAUUGAUGUCUUGUUGCGGGGCCAGCAAGACACAUAAAUCCAUCGGAGAUUCGUCGAGGCGAUGUGGAGGCUAAUGAACCCGUGGAUCUGCUCAAGACGAAGGUACUCGAGCAUAGUACAGCUACGGAGCAGGUGCUCCAUAGCCUUCUUCGAGAUGACAACGUCGAAGAGGUCGAGCUGCUUGAGUUGAGGGAGAAGAAGGGCGGACGUGGCAUUAAUCUGGGGAAGAUAGCAGGAGCUGAAGCUGGCGCCGCGCAGCGUUGGCGUGAGGCGGAGCACGGACAGUGGCAGAGAGCGACAUCGUCCAGCUUCAAAGCUGAGAUCCUCAAGCUGAUCUAGGGUGGGGGAUAAGAACCACUCAUUGAACUUGGGUUGGACCUUGCAGUUGGUACUGAACAUGCGGAUGUCAAGGCGUCUGGCUGGCCCAGGGUACGAUGAAAGGAUCUUGGAAACUGCGGCCAUGCAUUUGCAAUCCCCGUCGCAGAGGCAGCUGUCGACGGUGAGGUUGAGGGGGACGCAGCGCCAGAGGGGGCGCCACCGCCGGGAGAGUAGGGCGGUCCGCACGGCAGAUUUGGUGGGUUGGAGGCCGAUGAUGACGAGCAGCAUGUCAUCGGGGAGGCUGCUGAUGAAGUCCAGGCUCACCAGAUGCGGUUUUGGCUCGAGCGGCCUCUGCUUGUUGGCUGCCUCGCUGUCCAUCUCAACCGGCGGUGACGCCGGUGUACACGUGUGCUGGUGUGUGUUGUGUGUUGGGUGUGCGCGAGUGCGUCCUUCUAUGCAUGCCGCCGCGCAGUGGUGAAUUGUGCGCGAGUGCGUCCUUCGCGCGCAAGAAGUUUGUCCUCAAUGCGCCCUCAAUUUACUAGCGUGCAGGGUGCUACCCCGAGUGGUUUCAACUUUGUUUCCUUCACCGCGUGUCAGAUGGGCCUCUAGUUUACUUAUUUUCACCCACUGCCACAUGGGCCAGCACACCAAGAUACAGAACACGAGCUGACAACACGGCAUGUGGAUUGGUUGACCGGUCAACUAAACAAUAUACAGAGCUAUACGCUGACAUAGUGAGGGUAUAAUCCGUCGGUAUAGAGAGUUCGAGUGAGAGGGGAGGCCCAUGAGAGAUAGCAGAGAGAGAGAAAGAGCUACUCCCUCCGUUCGAUAAUGUAGUUACAACAUUGUUUUAAAGUCAAACUUUUGAAACUUUGACCAAGUUUAUAAAGAAAUUACUUAUAUCGGCAAUACCAAAGAUAAAUGAUAGUGUGAAGUAAGUACAUGUUGUGAUGAAUCUGAUGAUCGUUCCAGAUGUAAAUGUUUUUCUCCACAUAUACCUAGUGAAACUUUUCUGAGGUUUGACUUUUCAAAACAUCCAUAUGCUUAUGGACGUGACAGAGUCCCUGACGAGAGAGAGAGAGAGAGUGAGUGAAAAAAAUGUGCGUGCGUGUGUGAAAGAGACAUGGACAACACACGAAAAAGUGGAGAAAAAGUGUGCGUGUCUUAUGCAAACAUAUCACACAUGCAUCUUCGACAAAGGAGGCAAGGUGAGGAGAUAGUGUGUGGUUGUUUGGAACCGAGAGAGGAAGACCCCUAGCACGUGGCCAAGAGGGGUCUGAAAAACAAGGGAGAGAGGUCGAGAGAGACGUACGGAGAAAAUGCAGACAUGGGGAGGAGAGAGUGUAUGUUUGUCAUAGAGAGAUCCCCUGGAGAUCGUGAUGGGACUACAUGGGUGGGAGAUCGAGUGGCAAGGUGUGUGCGCGAUAGAAGAUGCCCCGAGAAAUAUCGAGAUAGACGUAUGGAUGGAAGGAGACAAUACGUGUGUUCUUGAUGGCUAGUAAGAGAUAAUCAUACUUAGGAGGGGGGAGUGCUUGCGCCUACGGCCCUGUUUGGAUACUCUAACUCAGUUAGAGGUUAGAGUUAGAUUCUAACCCUGAACUAACUCUAAGUAAAGAGGUGUUUGGAUGGCAGGGUUAGAUGGAGCACGGAUACGGCAAGGCACCUUCACGGGCGGUGCGAGAGGGAGGGAGGGAUAGGAGAAGAAGCUUCGAGGAAGUGGGGAGGGAUCUGCUGCAGGGAGAGCGAGAGAAAAAAGUGUUUAUUAGUGGUCCCAAGAAGAACUAACCCAAAUAAGCACCUCUUGGAUGGGUUAGUUUUUUUGGAUGGGUUAGAUGCAUCUAACCUAAAUUAACCCUCCUGUUUGGAUCUUUUUGGGUUAGUUGACUCCAAACUAACCCAAACUAACUCUAACCCAUGGAUCCAAACAGAGCCUAUGAUGGAGUGAGGGAUUAUGGUACUUAGGGGGGUGCGUGUCACAUGGAGAGAGAACAAGGGCAGAGAGUGUUGGAUGGGUCUAUAUGUAUAGCGCAAGCGAGACAUGUGUAUGUGUGAACCAGGGAGAUAUAAGGCCCGUUUGGCUUGCGUCGUGAGGAUCUUUUGCGUGGCCUGGGGUUGUGGCUAGAUUUCAUGCACGCUUGUUUGGUUGCUACCCUAUGAAAAAGAAAGCCCGCCUGGGUUGGGUUCCCUUGCACUUUAAUUAUCCUGGCUGAACUCCAGACACUGCAAGUAGCCUGGCCCAAGCGACCAGUUUCGAAUGCCUGGCCAUGCCUGGUCGUGCGGCCACGAGGCUAACAGCAACAUGGAUGGAUAUUAGCAUUAAAUAAUUGAUGCAUGGAUUGAUUGAUGGGACGUUGAUGCUUUGCCUGAGCCGGGCAUGAAUCAAACGCUUCAUCACCACACAAGCCUGGCCAGGCAAAAAUAUUUUACAUCUCACGUCCACACCAGGAAGUACCGACCAUCAAGGUAUGAGGGUCAGGUCACGAACCAAAUUGACCAAUAAAGUUUGAGAGAGAUUGAGGAGCCCCGAUAAGGCCGAGUGGUGCGUCAGAUAGCUGAGAGGGGGAAGAUAUUCCAUCCGCUCGAUAAUGCAGUGCAUGUGAAUUUUUUAGAAGUCAAACUGUGGAAACUUUGAUCAGGUUUACGCAAAUGUUAUUUAUAUCUACAAUACCAAAGAUACACCAUACAAAACUACAUCUCAUGGUGAAUCUAAUGGUAUAUGUUUGUCGUACUAGAUGUAAUUCUUUUUCUCCACGUACAUGGUCAAACUUUGUGAUGUUUGACUUUUCAAUAAAUCUAUGUGCUAUGGACGGAGGUGAGUGCCUCAGUCGAGACAGAUCAAGUGCGUGUGAAGGAGAAUGAGUAAGUGUACAAAAACAGUAUGUGUGUGAAAGAGAAAGUGACAACAAACGAUAAAUUAGAGAGAGUGUGUGUUUUUUCGUUUCUUAUGCGAACAUAUCACGCAUGCAUCUCCGAGAUGGAAAAGCGAGGCGAGGAGAUACACGAAGAUAGCUAGUGUGUGAUUGUUUGCAAUGGAGAGAGACACCCCUGUAGCACAUGUCCAACAGAGGUCUGGCCAACAAGAAAAAAAGGUCGAGAGGGACACAUGGAUGGCAUGGACGCAUGGGGAGGGAGAGAGGGUGUGUUUGUGAUAGAGAGAUCCCCUCGAGAUCGUGAGGGGACUAUAUGGGUGGGAGAUCGAGGGAGUGCGUGCGUGAUAGAAAGAUGCCCCGAGAGAAAUCGAGAUAGACCAUGCACAUGUUUGUGAUGGAGACUAAGAUUAGCUAGUCAUAUACAUAUACGGGGGACUACGUGUGCCUACAAUUGAGUGAGAGACCAUCAUACUUGGCUAGCUGGGCAUGAGAUUGUGUGUGUGUGCGCGUGUGAGAUGGAGAGAGAACGAUGGAGAGAGAUAGAGUUUUAGAUGGGCCUAUCGAGUGCGAGUGAGAUAUGCAUGUGUAUGUGUGACCCAGGUGGAUGGAGAGUUUGAGAGAGGGGGGAAGAGCUCCGAGACAACAUAGUGGUGCGUGAGAGAGUUACGGGCAAAGAGCCAAGGAAUUUGUGUGCGUACGAUGAGUGCACCCAAGAUAUCUAGCUUGGACUAGCUAGAGUAUCAUACAUAGUGUGCGAGAGAGACCUAUAGAUGGUGUAUAUAUGAAUGCGGACUAGAAAGACCCCCCCCACACACACACACACCCAGAGAGAGAGAGAGAGAAAGGGAGAGGGACGAACAAGGUUUUUGUGUCGGAUGCGUGCGACAGAAUUGAAGAUUGUCGGCGAGAGUGAGAGAGAGAGAGAGAGAGAGAAAACAGGAGUCCGGGAGAGGGGGAGGUCGCGUUUUAUGCAUCAAAGACUGAUAUAAACUUGCAUUCAAAUAUUUAAAUUGGAGACCAUGCUGUCUGCAAUCCACACAUGAACGGAUAUAUGCGUAUGUCAAACAAGUUCAUUAAUUUGACUUUCAACAUGUUCAUGGAGCAAUAUAAUACUGUACAACAUGCUACUCGAUUGAGGUGUUCAAUUUUGGAUUUAGUUCACUAUUUUGACCUACUGAACGAGCUAGUUCAUUGAAUCGAGAUAUUUCAUUUUGGAUUUGAUUCGCAUUUUUGAGUGGGUCAACUAUUUGUCAUAUAGUAAAUCGCUAGCAACGAGCAUGUAAAAACACAUUACUCCGGAGCAUCAUCUCUCCAUCUAAAAAAGAAGUGGCAAGCUAAUAUUUCAAAAUUUGAUUCGAAUCGACUUGGUAAGGUAGAUGUGGAUGCUCGUUCUCCCAAAAUUUGAAUGAACCGUUAAACAUCCUCUCUACACGGUGGAUUUCGCCCGAGCAAAUAAAUGGGAGACGUGAAAUUACCGUCCUAUGUGGGACACGCAUCAAUUGGCCCGUUGUACAUCGAGGGUAGGUUCGUAACUUCAUCCAAGCGCGCCUUCUCCUUGGCUGAAAUGACAUGUGCUAAAUAAUUCAUAAACCAUGGUCGGCAAAACACGCUCUCCUCGCCCGAAAUAGCUCGCGCCCACUAUUUCAAAACACGCUCUCCUCGCCCGAAUUCGCUCGCGCCCACUAUUGUUCAAAACACGCCCUCCUCGCCCGAAAUCGCUCCAGGCCACUAUUUGGGGAGAAGCAAAGUUACUCUACUAUCCCCGACCCUCAGUACACAGACCCAAGACAAGAAGCCUAUAGGCAAGGGUAGAACUGUAACUCCCCCUCACAUUUCAGACAAAUGCGUCUGUAAGACAUGGUUCCACUCCCCUCCCAAUUCCCCCCCCCCUCCCGCCCCCAUUCAUACCUCGUGGGCGCCAAAUCACCUUCUCCCCGGGAAGUUCCCUUCUCCCGAGCCGUGAAACCUCAGCCCCACCUCCAUGGCGCCCCCCACCGCACCAAUUUCACAGCCGCCCUCCUCCCUAAUGCCGGAGACGUUGUCCAAUUGCCGUCGUGCACUGGGCCGUGUGCCUCUUACUCCGUGCUGCUGGUGCUGCCUCGACGACGGCUGCGUGAACCGUACCGGAGCCGAUUCACCCCCGCCAUUGUUCACGGCGCCGGAGCGGCUCCAACUUCGUAUCCGUCCAGAGUCCUGGCACUGCUUCCGCGUAGCCGUCGACCGUCGCGACAUCGCUCUUUCUCUGCCGCCGGUCACCACCGCAACCGCGCCGGCCUCACCGACUCGGCAGCUGGACCUGCCUACUUCACCAUAUCGCCAGAUAGGUCACACCCUCAUCUGAAAUCACUUUAUUUAGGCGUCAGUUGUCUGAAUUUUUUCUGGGCCAAUCGAUUCCCAAUGGGAAGCAGCACCCCUCAAGGCGGCGGAGCUCCUAGGCUGCCAGUUGGCUGGUGUCUAACGUAAGGGUGCGGGCUGCAAGUUCGUCGUAGAAGCAGCGCCUAGAUGGCUAUCUUUUAGAGUUUCGUGGGUUGAAGGUACUGCCGCCACCAGAUCUGGAUGAUGGGGAGUCGUUGUGGAUUGGCCUGGGGGUGGCGCAACCACGGCAGUGCGGUGGGGCAGGGAGCGGGGUUUUGGACGGGGCCACGGACAGCGGAGGCAGGCUGCUCUGCCGUUGGUCACUGGCUCUUCGGGGAAGAUUCCGAACAGUGUUAGCCGAGAGGCACAAGACGGCCAUCAAGCCAUCCAGCGUAGAUCGGACAGUACCAAAAUAAAAUAAAAUCGUGUGACCCCAAUUUAGUCUUUAGUCAACAGACGUGUGACCACUCUCGUACCUUGCUGUUGAUCUCUUAGUGUAUUUCUUCAGAUCAAAGAGAUAUGUCGUUCUUAACUUUAUGCGUUAUCUGCAUCUUCAGACACACCGUCUUCCGACUCACCGCAGCUGCUCCAACAAGGGAAGCAUACACCAAAAGGGAGCUACAGUCCCCACUCAACAGUUCCCUGCAUCGAAUGCGCGUGCUCGACAUGGACAACCACAACAACUGCAGGGCCAUCGACAAGUCAACACAUGAUGCUCACCCCUAUGGAUGGCAGCCAGAUAGGUUGUACCCUCAUCUUACUUGUGUGCAACAUUCAUGGCUUUGUUAUUCAUCUAAGCAUGGAAAAUAGAUCAUCACAUUUCACUUUAUAUUCAUGUUGAUCUCUUAUGGGUCUUGUUCAGGAGUUCACGUUGUUCCAUAGUUCAGCUAAGAUACUUGUUCUUUAGGUAACGCUAUUCCAUAGUUAUCAUCCAUCAGCCAAUGCUACCCCACAGGCUGGUGAUUAUAGUAUUAUACCACGUCUAGUAUUACCUAUGUUGUUCUUUAAUACUUUUGUGUGCCAUCUAGUUAAUCUCGAGUACAAAUGAUACAUAUUGUAUAGCUUUCAUCUGUGUUCUCCCUUUAGUUUAUGAGACCUAUUGCUGCUAGUUAACCCCAGUCCUACUAUUUAUGUCGUCUCCUACAGGCACUCAUUUACAUAAAUCUAACUACUAGUUGUCUUCCAUGCAUGUCGGAUAUAAUUGCACACACUGAUAUAUCCACAAGAACCUCACGGAGCAAUGUAAAGGCCAAUAAACUUGAUGUCAAUGAUACCCAAUAUGAUGGAACAUAUAAAGGCAGUUCUUCAGAAGACUUGCAGAAAGAUGAUGAAUCCUCUUCACCCCACAAGGUCCUUGCUCUAACUUGGCCUGUGAUAUGGGUACAACAUGCAUAUAAUGUCCUGGAGUGUAUCUACUCUGUUGCAAUGCCAUGUGCUUAGCAUGCUGAUCAUGAAUGUAAAUAUGUCAUGCCUUCCUGUUUUUCAGUACCUAUUCCAUUCAUGAUAACAUGUUUUCAAAUUCAAGUACUGUCAUUCUACUCUAUCGCAAUGCCAUCUGCUUGAUUUGGACAUCAUGCUUCUGAAUAUCGUAUGCAUUGUUAUUCAUCAGUAUGUACUUCAUCUGUCUGCCAUACCAUGUUUUUUUACAUUGAAGUGUUGUUCUAGUGCUCUGUUGCAAUGCCAUCUUAUUUUCCCAAUCAUACACGUGUAUGUUGCCUUGGUUAUUUAUGUACGUAUUCCGCUAGCAUAUAGUUUUACAUUCAACUAGUUUUUUUUUGCUAUGUUGUCCUGUCAUAUCCCUAGCUCUUACACCAUACUCCCUCCGUCCGGAUUACAUGUUGCCGAAAUGUAUAAAAAAGGAUGUAUCUAGAACUGAAAUAUGCCUAGACCCAUCCAUUUUUUUCCGGAUGGAGGGAAUACAUGUCAAUAUGUCAUGCCUUUCUAUUCUUCGGUACCUAUUCCAUCUCUCUGUUGUCGCAUGUUUUAUAAUUAAAGCAUCAUUCUUCUAUACAAGGCAUGCAAGGGGAAGACGACUAUGUUAGAAUCUGAAGGGUUACAAACAAGGCCUUUGCAAAAGAUCCAAAUGCCAGGAGAUAAUAAACCAACUCCAGUUUUUAUAGAUACUGCUCCAGCAUAGAGAAACCCAACUCCUACUGAUAAUAAGCAGAUUCCAGUGUCCAAAGAACUAGUCCGCUCCAGUCGAGCAAAAAUAUGUCAACUCAAUUCUAAGAAGCGUGUGCGUAUCCUUGCAUCAUGAAAUUUUAUAGCAUGCUGAUCAUAGUUUCUACAUGUUUCUUACCCAUCUCUCUUUUAGAAAAUAAGCUUAACAGAUAGAAGAAUUUCUGCAAUGGUAUCGUUUGUGAGGAAAGAUUCUUGCAGGAAUUCUCUAUGCUCCAAUGUAGAUGUAAGUACCUGUUGUAUAUCACUAUAUUUUUACAUCAGCAUGUAUUUUGUUAAUCGGCAUGAAUCCAACCUUUAUCUAAUCUAAAUUUAGUUGUAGCAAAAUGUAUGAUUAAAGGCCACAAUGUUGAUUUUUGUAAGGAAAACUGCCUGGUAGUUUGCAUCCUGAGCUGCAUGAGUGUACUAUCUCAUAUCAGUGGGUUUGAAUACUUUGGUUCUGCAGUGGGUUUUUCAGUGUUUUUUUACUGUGUUGUCCUCUCGUAUCCAUAGCUCUUACAUCAUACUCCCUCCGUCCGGAUUAAAUGUCGCAGAAAUGGAUAAAACUGGAUGUAUCUAGAACUGAAAUACGCCUAGACCCGUCCAUUUAUUUCCGGAUGGAGGGAAUACAUGUCAAUAUGUCAUGCCUUUCUAUUCUUCGGUACCUAUUCCAUCUCUGCUGUAGCAUAUUUUAUAACUGAAUCACCAUUCUUCUAUAUAAGGCAUGCAAGGGGAAGACGUCUCUAUUAGAAUCUGAAGGGUUACAAACUAGGUCUUUGCAAAAGAUCCAAAUGCCAGGAGAUAAUAAACCAACUCCAUUUUUCAUAGAUACUGCUCCAGCACAGAGAAACCCAACUCCCACUGAUAAUAAGCAGAUUCCGGUGGCCAAAGAACUAGUCCGCUCCAGUCUAGCAAAAGAAUGUCAACUCCAUUCUAAGAAGCGUGUGCGUAUCCUUGCAUCAUGAAAUUUUAUAGCAUUCUGAUCAUAUUUUCUACAUGUUUCUUACCCAUCUCUCUUUUAGAAAAUAAGGUUAAACAAUAGAAGACUUCCUCCAUUGGGAUCGUAUUCGAGGAAAAUAUCUUGCGGGAAUUCUCUGUGCUCCAAUGUUGAUGUAAGUAUCACUAUAUUUUUACAUCAACAUGUAUUUUGUUAAUCGGCGUGAAUCUAACCUUUAUCUGAUAUUAAAUUAGUUGUAGCAAAAUGUUAAAGGCGCCAAUGUUGAUUUUUGUAAGGAAAACUACCUGGUAGUUUUGCAUACUGAGCUGCAUGAAUGUACUAUCUCAUAUCACGCACAUUACUGAAUUGUAGUGCUUCUCUGGUUGCCCAUUCAUUCAUUGUGUCAAUGUUGCUUUCGUACUACCUUACCUGGCUGAUGAUAGCUGUGCCACAUUGUGUUAAUUUGGUGUAGGCUACUUGCCCAAACGUUCAUUGUGUCAAUGUUACUUUCCUAUUAUCUGACUUGGCCAAUGAUAGCAAUGCUAGUGUGUUAAUUUUGAGCAGGCUGCUGAAGGUAAGAAGACAAAUUCUGAAAAUAGCAAGGCAACCCCAUUGUUUCUUUCCAGUAAAUCUAGGCCAGGUAAUAUGGCAAUAACUCAUGAUUAAUCUGUUUGGUUCCCGUCCUAAUUUAUGUUAUGAUGCAGUGGUCGAGACACUCUCCACUAUCAAUAAUACAAGCCUGCCAAAAUUGCCAUCUGAAUCUGUUCAGUAUCCUCUGUCUCGAAUGCAACAGAAUAAAUGUAUGUUUGUGAAUCAAUUAAUUGCUGAAGCAAUGAUGGAAAUGGUGGAUGAAUCAGAGGUGCAGAGUUGUGCGACACAACAACAGAUCAAUGUUUUCAGAGACAGUGUAGCAAAGCAGAAAAAACAUGCCCACAUGCUUAUGGGCGUCAUUUGUGCUGAGGUUGCAGAUUGUGACGUUGUAGAUGGUUAGGUUCUGCUCAUUUAUUUGCACUGGCAUCAAUCUUUGAUUGCCCAGUGGAUGUAAUUUCCUGUAAUAUAUGCUGGAUGUGCAACGUUAUUCCCUGUAUGCCGUACCUUUGCGUGAUCGGUUUUGGUCCUUUGCAUAAUUGCUCGUCGUAAUGGGCUCAAAUUAUCUAAUUUGGCCUAAAGACAUGUAUGAACUUUAGUGGGCCCAUUAAGUUAAACGGGUCGUUAAUAGGCUGAAAUUUCAUCGGGCCAAUAUUGAGCCCAGAUAUAUAGCGGGUUGUUAACGGGCUCGAACUGACGAUGGGCUGUAAUGGUGUCAAAUCUUUAACGGGCCGUUGACGGGCCGAAUUGGCUCAUCUCGUAUGGGCCGUGGGCUUAAAUGGACCUGACACAAGUAGGCCUUAUAUGGGCUGGCAUGCUAAUUUUUACUGGGCCGGCCUUUUCACAGGAAUGGGCCCCUGUUGGGUCGUGCCACGUAUCGAUGUACCAUAGGCGUCUUCCGUCCAGUGAGUGGAUGACAUCUGUCCCAACGGUGAGCCGACACGUGUUUCCUCCAGCCAAUGAUGAUUUUACACGUGGAAAAUCCCAAUUGGUCGGGGCUGUUAACGGGUUAUCGGAUCCAAAACCCGACCCGAUAGCUUAACGACGUUCCGUUAGGUGGAUGCCACGUGUUGGUCACCCUUGACGAAAGCACUUCUGUGACACGUGAUUUAUCGUCAUGGAAGUGGACACUUCUGUGAUGAUAAUUUUGGUAAUGUCAUGGAACACUUCUACGACAGCACACGUAUGACUAUCUUGAUUCUGUCAUAAAUUUGUCAUGGAUGUACAUGCAUGACAAAAAACGCGACCUACUAUGACAAACACGUAUCAUCACGGAAGUGUAUUUUUUGUAGUGUUUAUGCGAUGAUCAUGACGCGAGAGCGAUGUUUGCUUGUUUUGGGAGUUCUUCUUCUACUUCUUCUUUGAUCAGGGGAUAGGUUCCAGGUCGGCAGCCUGGGCUAGCAGGGUGGAUGUCGUUUGAGUUUCUGUUUAUGUUUCAUCCGUAGUCGGAUGUUGAUCUUGUAUAUGACAUGAUGUUGUAUUCGUGUGGCAUUGUAUGCCUUAUGUAUGUAUCCCUAUCUAUUAUGUAAUGUUGAUGUAAUUAUAUUCACCUUACAAAAGUGUCUUCAAGAUGCGCUUCUAUCCUUGGUGGGACCUUCGAGUUCCUUUAGGAUAGGGUCACAUCUUGGGUGUGACACCUAGCUCAAAAGAUAUAAUUGAAACACAAAGAGUAUUCUAAUAAAUUCAUGAUUAAUGCGUGUCCCUCUCAAAAGGUGUUGGGGAACGUAGUAAAUUCAAAAAUUUCCUACGCACACUCAAGAUCAUGGUGAUGCAUAUCAACGAGAGGGGAGAGUGUAGUCCACGUACCCUCGUAGACCGAAGGCGGAAGCGUUAGCACAACGCGGUCGAUGUAGUCGUACGUCUUCACGAUCCGGCCGAUCAGGUACCGAACGCACGGCACCUCCGAGUUCUGCACACGUUCAGCUCGAUGACGUCCCUCGAACUCCAAUCCAGUCGAGCUUUGAGGGAGAGUUCCGUCAGCACGACGGCAUGGUGACGAUGAUGAUGUUCUACCGAUGCAGGGCUUCGCCUAAGCAACGCUAUGAUAUUAUCGAGGUGAACUAUGGUGGAGGGGGGCACCGCACACGGCUAAGAGAUCUCAAGGAUCAAUUGUUGUGUCUCCAAGGGGUACCCCUCUCCCCGUAUAUAAAGGAGUGGAGGAGGGGGAGGGUCGGCCCUCUCUAUGGCGCGCCCUAGGGGAGUCCUACUCCCACCGGGAGUAGAAUUCCCCCUUUCCUAGUAGAACUAGGAGCCCUUCCAAGUAGUAGGAGUAGGAGAGAAGGAAAGGGAAAAGAGAAGAGAAGGAAGGAGGGGGUGCAGCCCCUCCCCCUAGUCCAAUUCGGACUAAGACUUGGGGGGGCGCAACCUCCCCUCUCUCUUUCCCUAAAGCCCAAUAAGGCCCAUCUACUCACCGGUGAAUUCCCGUAACUCUCCGGUACUCCAAAAAAUACCUGAAUCACACGGAACCUUUCCGAUGUCUGAAUAUAGUUGUCCAAUAUAUAGAUCUUUACGUCUCGACCAUUUCGAGACUCCUCGUCAUGUCCCCGAUCUCAUCCGGGACUCCGAACUACCUUCGGUACAUCAAAAUACAUAAACUCAUAAUAUAACCGUCAUCGAACUUUAAGCGUGCGGACCCUACGGGUUCGAGAACUAUGUAGACAUGACCGAGACACGUCUCCGGUCAAUAACCAAUAGCGGAACCUAGAUGCUCAUAUUGGCUCCCACAUAUUCUACGAAGAUCUUUAUCAGUCAAACCGCAUAACAACAUACAUUGUUCCCUUUGUCAUUGGUAUGUUACUUGCCCGAGAUUCGAUUGUAGGUAUCUCAAUACCUAGUUCAAUCUCGUUAACGGCAAGUCUCUUUACUCGUUCCGUAAUACAUCAUCCUAUAACUAACUCAUUAGUUAUAAUGCUUGCAAGGCUUAUAGUGAUGUGCAUUACCGAGUGGGCCCAGAGAUACCUCUCCGACAAUCGGAGUGACAAAUCGUAAUCUUGAAAUAUGUUUCCGGUUAAUACAAUUCUAGCAUGAAUAAUAAACAUUUAUCAUGAAAUAAGGAAAUAAAUAAUAACUUUCUUAUUGCCUCUAGGGCAUAUUUCCUUCAGUCUCCCACUUGCACUAGAGUCAAUAAUCUAGUUCACAUCACCAUGUGAUUUAACACUAAUAUUCACAUCUGCAUGUGAUUAACACCCAUAGUUCACAUCGUCAUGUGACCAGUGCCCAAAGGGUUUACUAGAGUCAAUAAUCUAGUUCACAUCAAUAUGUGAUUAACACCCGAAGAGUACUAGGGUGUGAUCAUGUUUGCUCGUGAGAGAAGUUUAGUCAACGGUCUAUCACAUUCAGAGUCGUAUGUAUUUUGCAAAUAUUCUAUGUCUACAAUGCUCUGCACGGAGCUCUAUAGCUAAUUGCUCCCACUUUCAAUCUGUAUCCAGAUUUAGACUUAGAGUCAUCUGGAUCAGUGUAAAAGCUUGCACCGAUGUAACUUUUUACGACGGGCUCUUUUAUCACCUCCAUAAUCGAGAAAUAUUUCCAUAGUCCUCACUAAGGAUUUUCUUGACCUCUGUCCAGUGAUAUACUCUUAGAUCAAAAAUUGUACUCCCUUGCCAAAUUCAGAGCAAGGUAUACAACAGGUGUGGUACACAGCAUAGCAUACUUUAUAGAACCUAUGACUGAGGCAUAGGGAAUGACUUUUCAUUCUCUUUCUAUUUUCUGCCAUGGUCGGGUUUUGAGUCCUACUCAACUUCACACCUUGCAACACAGGAAAGAACUCCUUCUUUGACUAUUCCAUUUUGAACUACUUCAAAAUAUUAUCAAGGUAUGUACUCAUUAAAAAAUCUUAUCAAGCGUCUUGAUCUAUCUUUAUAGAUCUUGAUGCUCAAUGCGUAAGCAGCUUCACUGAGGUCUUUCUUUGAAAAAACUCUCAUUCAAGUAUCCUUUUAUGCUAUCCAGAAUUUCUAUAUCAUUUCCAAUCAACAAUAUGUCAUCUACAUAUAGUUUUAGAAAAUGCUACAGAGCUCCUACUCACUUUCUUGUAAAUACAGGCUUCUCCAAAAGUCUGUAUAAAACCAUAUGCUUUGAUCAACUCAUCAAAGCGUAUAUUCCAACUCCGAGAUGCUUGCACCAGUCCAUAGAUGGAUCGUUGGAGCUUGCACAUUUUGUUAGCACCUUUAGGAUUGACAAAACCUUCUGGUUGCAUCAUAUACAACUCAUCAUUGGUAAAUCCAUUAAGGAAUGCAGUUUUGACAUCCAUUUGCCAGAUUUCAUAAAAUGUGGCAAUUGCUAACAUGAUUCAGACAGACUUAAGCAUCGAUACGAGUGAGAAAAUCUCAUCGUAUUCAACACCGUGAACUUGUCGAAAAACUUUUUGCGACAAGUCGAGCUUUGUAGAUAGUAACACUACUUAUCAGCGUCUGUCUUCCUCUUGAAGAUCCAUUUAUACAAUAUGGCUUGCCGAUCAUCGGGCAACUCCACCAAAGUCCACACUUUGUUCUCAUACAUGGAUCCUAUCUCAAAUUUCAUGGCCAAAAGCCAUUUCGCGGAAUCUGGGCUCAUCAUCGCUUCCUCAUAGUUUGUAGGUUCGCCAUGUCAAGUAACAUGACUUCCAGAAUAGGAUUACCGUACCACUCUGGUGCGGAUCUUACUCUGGUUGACCUACGAGGUUCGGUAGUAACUUGACUGAAGUUUCAUGAUCAAUAUCAUUAGCUUCCUCGCUAAUUGGUGUAGGAAUCACUGAAACUGAUUUUUUGAUGAACUACUUUCCAACAAGGGAGUAGGUACAGUUACCUUAUCAAGCUCUACUUUCCUCCCACUCACUUCUUUCGAGAGAAACUCCUUCUCUAAAAAGGAUCCAUUUUAGCAACGAAUAUCUUGCCUUCGGAUCUGUGAUAGAAGGUGUACCCAACAGUUUCCUUUGGGUAUUCUAUGAAGACGCACUUCUCCAAUUUGGGUUCGAGCUUAUCAGGUUGAAACUUUUUCACAUAAGCAUCACAGCCCCAAACUUUAAGAAAUGACAACUUUGGUUUCUUGCCAAACCACAGUUCAUAAGGCGUCGUCUCAACGAAUAUUGAUGGUGCCCUAUUUAAAGUGAAUGCAGUUGUCUCUAAUGCAUAACCCUAAAACAAUAGUGGUAAAUCAGUAAGAUACAUCAUAGAUCGCACCAUAUCCAAUAAAGUUCGGUUAUGACGUUCGGACACACCAUUACGCUGUGGUGUUCCAUGUGGCAUGAGCUGUGAAACUAUUCCACAUUGUUUUAAAUGAAGGCCAAACUCGUAACUCAAAUAUUCUCCUCUACGAUCAGAUUGUAGAAACAUUAUUUUCUUGUUACAAUGAUUCUCCACUUCACUUCUGAAAUUCUUUGAACUUUUCAAAUGGUUCAGACUUGUGCUUCAUUAAGUAGAUAUACUCAUAUCUGCUCAAAUCAUUUGUGAAGGUCAGAAAAUAAAGAUAUUUGCCACGAGCUUCAACACUCAUUGGUCCGCAUACAUUGGUAUGUAUUAUUUCCAACAAGUCAGUAGCUCAUUCCAUUGUUCCGGAGAACGGAGUUUUAAUCAUCUUGCCCAAAAGGCACGGUUCGCAAGCAUCAAAUGAUUCAUAACCAAGUGAUUCUGAAAAUCCAUCUUUAUGGAGUUUCUUCAUCCGCUUUACACCGAUAUGACCCAAACGGCAGUGCCACAAAUAAGUUGCACUAUCAUUAUCAACUUUGUAUCUUUUGGCAUCAAUAUUAUGAAUAUGUGUAUCACUACAAUCGAGAUCCAACAAAUUUCUUUCAAUGGGUGUAUGACCAUUGUAGGUUUUAUUCAUGUAAAUAGAACAACAAUUAUUCUUUUACUUUAAAUGAAUAACCAUAUUGCAAUAAACAUGAUCAAAUCAUAUUCAUGCUCAACGCAAAUGCCAAAUAACAUUUAUUUAGGUUUAACACUAAUCCCGAAAGUAUAGGGAGUGUGUGAUGAUGAUCAUAUCAAUCUUGGAACUACUUCCAACACUGAUCGUCACUUCCCCUUCAACUAGUCUCUGUUUAUUCUAUAACUCCUAUUUCGAGUUACUAAUCUUAGCAACCGAACAAGUAUCGAAUACACAAGGGCUACUAUAAACACUAGUAAGGCACACAUCAAUAACCUGUAUAUCAAAUAUACCCUUGUUCACUUUGCCAUCCUUCUUAUCCACCAAAUAUUCAAGGCAUUUCUGUUUCCAGUGACCAUUUCCUUUGCAGUGCAAGCACUCAGUUUCAGGCUUUGGUCCAGCUUUGGGCUUCUUCACGGGAGUGACAACUUGCUUGUCAUUCUACUUGAAGUUCCCUUUCUUUCCCUUUGCCCUUUUCUUGAAACUAGUGGUCUUGUCAAUCAUCAACACUUGAUGCUCUUUCUUGAUUUCUACCUUCGUUGAUUUCAACAUCGCGAAGAGCUCGGGAAUCAUUUUCGUCAUCCCUUGCAUACUAUAGUUCAUCAUGAACUUCUACUAACUUGGUGAUGGUGACUAGAGAACUCUGUCAAUCACUAUCUUAUAUGGAAGAUUAACUCCCACUUGAUUCAAGCGAUUGUAGUACCCAGACAAUCUGAGCAUAUGCUCACUAGUUGAGCGAUUCUCCUCCAUCUUUUAGCUAUAGAACUUGUUGGAGACUUCAUAUCUCUCAACUCGGGUAUUUGCUUGAAAUAUUAACUUCAACUCCUGGAACAUCUCAUAUGGUCCAUGACGUUCAAAACGUCUUUGAAGUCCCGAUUCUAAGCCGUUAAGCAUGGUGCACUAAACUAUCAAGUAGAAAUCAUAUUGAGCUAGCCAAACGUUCAUAACGUCUGCAUUUGCUCCUGCAAUAGGUCUGUCACCUAGCGGUGCAUCAAGGACAUAAUUCUUCUGUGCAGCAAUGAGGAUAAACCUCAGAUCACGGACCCAGUCCGCAUCAUUGCUACUAUCGUUUUAAACUUAGUUUUCUCUAGGAACACAUAUAAAACAUAGGGAAGCAACAAUGCGAGCUAUUGAUCUACAACAUUAUUUGCAAAAUACUAUCAGGACUAAGUUCAUGAAAAAUUAAAGUUCAAUUAAUCAUAUUGCUUAAGAACUCCCACUUAGAUAGACAUCCCUCUAAUCAUCUAAGUGAUCACGUGAUCCAAAUCAACUAAAUCAUGUCCGAUCAUCACGUGAGAUGGAGUAGUUUCCAAUGGUGAACAUCACUAUGUUGAUCAUAUCUACUAUAUGAUUCACGCUCGACCUUUCGGUAUCUAGUGUUCCGAGGCCAUAUCUGUAUAUGCUAGGCUCGUCAAGUUUAACCUGAGUAUUCCGCAUGUGCAACUAUUUUGCACCCGUUGUAUUUGAACGUAGAGCCUAUCACACCCGAUCAUCACGUGGUGUCUCAGCACGAAGAACUUUUGCAACGGUGCAUACUCAGGGAGAACACUUAUACCUUGAAAAUUAGUGAGAGAUCAUCUUAUAAUGCUACCGUCAAUCAAAGCAAAAUAAGAUGCAUAAAGGAUAAACAUCACAUGCAAUCAAUAUAAGUGAUAUGAUAUGGCCAACAUCAUCUUGUGCUUGUGAUCACCAUCUCCGAAGCACCGUCAUGAUCACCAUCGUCACCGGCGCGACACCUUGAUCUUCAUCGUAGCAUCGUUAUCGUUUCGCCACCUAUUGCUUCUAUGACUAUCGCUACCGCUUAGUGAUAAAGUAAAGCAAUUACAGGGCGAUUGCAUUGCAUACAAUAAAGUGACAACCAUAUGGCUCCUGCCAGUUGCCGAUAACUUUGUCACAAAACAUGAUCAUCUCAUACAAUAAAAUUUAGCAUCAUGUCUUGACCAUAUCACAUCACAACAUGCCCUGCAAAAACAAGUUAGACGUCCUCUACUUUGUUGUUGCAAGUUUUACGUGGCUGCUACGGGCUGAGCAAGAACCGUUCUUACCUACGCAACAAAACCACAACGAUAGUUCGUCAAGUUAGUGUUGUUUUAACCUUCUCAAGGACCGGGCGUAGCCACACUCGGUUCAACUAAAGUUGGAGAAACUGACACCCUCCAGCCACCUAUGUGCAAAGCACGUUGGUAGAACCAGUCUCGCGUAAGUGUACGCGUAAUGUCGGUCCGGGCUGCUUCAUCCAACAAUACCGCCGAACCAACGUAUGACAUGUUGGUAAGCAGUAUGACUUGCAUCACACACAACUCACUUGUGUUCUACUCAUGCAUAUAACAUCUACGCAUAAAACAUGGCUCUGAUGCCACUGUUGGGGAACAAAGUAAAUUCAAAAAUUUCCUACGCACACUCAAGAUCAUGGUGAUGCAUAUCAACAAGAGGGGAGAGUGUAGUCCAUGUACCCUCAUAGACCGAAAGCGGAAGCGGCAGCACAACGCGGUUGAUGUAGUCGUACAUCUUCACGAUCCGACCGAUCAAGUACCAAACGCACGGCACCUCCGAGUUCUGCACACGUUCAGCUCGAUGACGUCCCUCGAACUCUGAUCCAGCCGAGAUUUGAGGGAGAGUUCCAUUAGCACGACAGCGUGGUGACGAUGAUGAUGUUCUACCGAUGCAGGGCUUUGCCUAAGCACCGCUACGAUAUUAUUGAGGUGAACUAUGGUGGAGGGGGGGCACCACACACGGCCAAGGGGUGCCCCUCUCCCCGUAUAUAAAGGAGUGGAGGAGGGGGAGGGCCGACCCUCUCUAUGGCGCGCCCUAGAGGAUUCCUACUCCCACCGGGAGUAGAAUUCCCCCUUUCCUAGUAGAACUAGGAGCCCUUCCAAGUAGUAGGAGUAGGAGAGAAGGAAAGGGAAAAGAGAAGAGAAGGAAGGAGGGGGUGCAGCCCCUCCCCCUAGUCCAAUUUGGACUAGGCCUUGGGGGGCGUGCAUCCUCCCUUCUCUCUUUCUCUAAAGCCCAAUAAGGCCGAUCUACUCCCCGGCGAAUUCCCGUAACUCUCCGGUACUCCAAAAAAUACCUGAAUCACUCGGAACCUUUCCGAUGUUCGAAUAUAGUCGUCCAAUAUAUCGAUGUUCACUUUGUCAUGUCCCCGAUCUCAUCUGGGACUCUGAACUACCUUCGGUACAUCAAAACACAUAAACUCAUAAUAUAACCGUCAUCGAACUUUAAGCGUGCGGACCCUACGGGUUCGAGAACUAUGUAGACAUGACCGAGACACAUCUCCGGUCUAUAACCAAUAGCGGAACCUGGAUGCUCAUAUUGGCUCCCACAUAUUCUACAAAGAUCUUUAUUGGUCAAACCGCAUAACAACAUACGUUGUUCCCUUUGUCAUCGGUAUGUUACUUGCACGAGAUUCGAUCGUCGGUAUCUCAAUACCUAGUUCAAUCUCGUUACCGGCAAGUCUCUUUACUCGUUCCGUAAUACAUCAUACUAUAACUAACUCAUUAGUUACAAUGCCUGCAAGGCUUAUAGUGAUGUGCAUUACCGAGUGGGCCCAGAGAUACCUCUCCGACAAUCGGAGUGACAAAUCCUAAUCUCGAAAUACAUCAACUCAACAAGUACCUUUGGAGACACCUGUAGAGCACCUUUAUAAUCACCCAGUUACGUUGUGACGUUUGGUAGCACACAAAGUGUUCCUCCGGUAAGUGGGAGUUACAUAAUCUCAUAGUCAUAGGAACAUGUAUAAGUCAUGAUGAAAGCAAUAGCAACAUACUAAACGAUCAAGUGCUAAGCUAACGGAAUGGGUCAAGUCAAUCACAUCAUUCUCCUAAUGAUGUGAUCCCGUUAAUCAAAUGACAACUCAUGUCUAUGGUUAGGAAACUUAACCAUCUUUGAUUAACGAGCUAGUCAAGUAGAGGCAUACUAGUGAUACUAUGUUUGUUUAUGUAUUCACACAUGUAUUAUGUUUCCGGUUAAUACAAUUCUAGCAUGAAUAAUAAACAUUUAUCAUGAAAUAAGGAAAUGAAUAGUAACUUUCUUAUUGCCUCUAGGGCAUAUUUCCUUCAAAAGGUGUGUUCAGCAAGGAUGAUUGUGGCAAACUAAAAAGCAAAGACUCAUAUCGUACAAGAGCUUCUAAGCAAAACACAUAUCAUGUGGUGAAUAAAAAUAAAGCCUCAAGUAAAUUUACCGAUUGAUUGAAGAUGAAAGAGGGGAUGCCAUCUGGGGCAUCCCCAAUCUUAGAUGCUUGGUUAUCCUUGAACAUGACCUUGGGGUGCCUUGGGAAUCCCAAGUUUAGGCUCUUUCCACUCCUUAUUCCAUAGUCCAUCAAAUCUUUACCCAAAACUUGAAAACUUCACAACACAAAACUCAACAAAAAACUCAUAAGAUCCGUUAGUAUAAUAAAAUAAAUCACCACUUUAGGUACUAUUGUGAACUAAUUCUAAAUUCAUAUUGGUGUUAAUCUAUUGUAAUCCGACUUCUUUAUGGUUCAUACCCCCCAAUACUACCCAUAGAUUCAUCAAAAUAGGUAAACAACACAUAGAAAACAAAACAAUCUAUAGUAAUAUGAAAAAUUAGUAUACUUCUAUAACUCUAAAAAUUCCGAAAAAUUAGGACAAUAUAGGAAAUUUGUAUAUAAAUAUGUUGCAAAAGUUUCGGAAUUAUAUCACGCAUCUGAGAAUGUCUAAAAUUCUGGCAAUGAGCACAAAAGUUUCUGUUUUUUAGCAAGAUCAAAUCAACUAUCACCAUAGACCAUCCCAAUGGUCUUACUUGGGCCAAACACUAAUUAAAGCACCAAAACACAAUUACUACAAAGGUAAUAAUGUGUAUUUAUUGAAAAACAGAACCAAAGCAAAAAAACAUAAAAAUAAAAAAUUGUGUUGCCUCCCAACAAGCGAUAUUGUUUAACACCCCUAGCUAGGCAUAAAACAUAGAUCUUAAUUGUUGUAAUAGAAGUGAGGGAGAUCAUCCAUGCUCAUCUCAUACUCCCUCCUCUCGCCAGCAAGCUUUCUUUGUGGCGAGAAAAAAUAAUAAAAGGGGCUAAACUUAAUAGGGCAAGGAUCUAUAAGAUCAAGUUUGGGAGGAAUGGGUUCCUCCUUCGGCCCUUUGUAUUUGAUAAUUAUUUCUUCAUUAUAAACAUUCCUUUGAGUGAAUUAUCUUAGUUUAUCUCUUAGCACAAACCCAAAUAUGUUCUUUUGUAUAGCAAAAUUUACAUUGUGUUCAGAAAUCUUAUCAACCAAAACAUCGGGAGGAACAUUCUUUCUUAAGUUUUCAUUAUAAGCAACAUAAUCCGAAGAUUGCAAUCUCAUUAUUUGUUCUUGAGUAAAAAGGAUCUCCUCUAUGGGAGGAUAACCACCAUUGAUAUUAUAAUGAGCAAACAUUUCACCCGCUUCUUUUAAAAUAAACCUAAAUUCAUGAGCUAGGAAAAUGGUGGCAAUACGCUUGAUAGAAGGGUGAAAACCCUUUGUAUACAUUGAUGCAUGUGAACAAAUUGUCUUUCAAGUUAAAUUAUAAGCAAAGACAUUACAUCCGCAAGGUUAUUAGUUUUAUUAAGAAUUGACCCUCCUAGCAUGGGUAUCAUACCAACACAAGUAAAGAAAUCUUGAAUAACACAUUUUCCAAUAAUAUUUACCGCUACCCACGCGGAGUGUUUUAGUAUGCAUGAUAGUAGGUUCUUCAUGAGGAUCAUUAUUUGCAAAGUCAUCAAAGUUUACCACCAGAUUAUUACUAUCCUUCUCAACAAUAACCUCACCAGAUUCAGACAUGAAAGCAAAACAAGCGAUCUAGCACACAAGCAAACGAAAAGCAGGGCGAAUAAAAAGGCAAAUACUUUUGUGUUUUUUGAAAAUAUUUAAGAAGUGGGGGAGAGGAAAACGAGAGGCAAAUGGCAAAUAAUGUAAGUGCAAGAGAUGAGAGUUUAUGAUGGGUACUUGGUAGGCUUGAUGUAGAACCUCCCUGGCAAUAGCGCCAGAAAUUCUUCCUUCUACUUCUUGAGCUUGCGUUGAUUUUUCCCUUAAAGAGGAAAUGGUGAUCCAGCAAAAUAGAGAUAAGUAAUUCUCUCAGUUAAGAACCAAGGUAUCAAUCCAGUAGGAGGCACAAGCAAGUCUCCAAUAUAUGCACCUGCACAAACUAACAAACACUUGCACACAACGCGAAAAAACGGUUGUCAAGGAUCUCUACUAUUAAAGGGGGAUCUGCAGUCGUUGUGAUGGUUCGACUCCCCACGGGUAUGACUCCACACGCAAAAUGAUCGCAGGAGCAGCCCACGUUCCCUGGAAGCAAGCCUUCCUUCGCGCAAUUAAAAAAACAACCAAGACCCACUACUGUCCCACGUCCCAUGUAUCCUCUCCACCUCUCGCUCCUGAUCCAUCCUCUCUCGAUCUCGUGAGAAAAAUCGCCGCCGCCACCGCCGCCCCCUCACUCGUGUGCAACUGCCCAUCUACAUCACCGUCCGACGCUCAUGUCGGUCGUUGCUGCAUAGCCAAUGUACGCCGCCCUCGUACGAUCUACUUGCCUCUGACACCGCAACAACCGUCGGUUCCAUGGACUACGCCGCCGACGACUUAGGAGGUUGACCCCUUGUGGGGAAGCUGGCGGGAGGCCGACGCCGUCGAGGUGCUCGCCACCGCGAGGCGUAGGAAUGUGGCGGCCUACUGGUAGGUGGCUCCCAGGGCUAGGGCUAUCAGGUAGGAGCGCGACCGCAACCGCCGGUUCCUUGAAGCUGCUCGCCUUGGCUUUCCAGAGCCUCACCGGUGAGCCCGUGUAUGGCACUAGUGCCGCAGUAUUGGGCGCAUUGGGAAGAUCUUUGCGGCCCUUACCGUGUUCUUCCCGCUCGACGAAGAGGCCCGCGCUAGAUUGCCUCCCCGAUAUCUCUCAAGACCCUCGUCUCGGUGCUCUCUCACGGUGACCUUGCCGCGUGGGCCAGCGCCGCCAUCAUCCUCCGCGAGCUCGCCUUGUCCCCCGACCGGCACACCGUCAACGUCAUCUCGAGGACACCCAGCGUGUGCAGCGCGCUCGUUGGCCUUGUCAGGAAACCCAUGUCCCCGCAGGCCACCAAGGUCGCGCUCGUCACGGCCUACAUCUCGUCUCCGGCAGCAACCGCGCGGCCGCCCGCUUUGCCGAGCUAGGGGCAGUGCUCGUCGUUGUGGAUAUCGUCCUGGACGCUGACAAGAGGACUAGCGAGAAGGCACUGGCCAUGCUGGACGGCGUCCUGUGCCCACACCGGCCUCGAGUCCGUGCGUGCGCAUGCGCUGGUUGUGGCGGUGCUAGUCAAGAAGAUGUUGCGCAUGUCCGACAUGGCCGCGUGGUUCGCCGUCUUUGUGCUCUGGCGCCUCUGCCGUGCCGCGGACACUGGCACCAGCGUGUGCUACGAUGAGGCGCUGCGUGUGGGCACCUUCGAGAAGCUGCUCCAGGUGGGUUGCGGCGGCGUGACCAAAGAUCGGGCCAACGAGCUGCUCAAUGGUUUUAGGGACAGCGUAGUGCAUCAAGAUGGUGGACUUCAAGGGGCUCAAGAGGCCAUUUUGCUCGGUGUGAAUGCUGAAUUUUUAGUGUCUGGUUUCACCCUUGUUUCGAUUGUAUUGGGAGCUAGAUUCGAUGUGUAGAUAAAACAUAGUCCAGGAUGACUAGAAUUUUUUACCCCAUAACUAAAUACCCGUAUACAAAAUGAUCAACACAAAAGAGAACUGAAAAUUUUCAUGUUUAUUUAUCUUCAUAGUUUGAAAGUUAUUUCGUGUUAUUUACGAUUUUGAAGUGAUGCACACAUUACAGAAUUCCAUGAAGAGUUGAGAAACAUAAGUCUAUUUUUGUGGUCAUCAUGAUGUUGAUAAACUCCUAUAUGCCUCUUUUUCUGAGUAGUAUGCUCCAAUUUUGUGGUCAUCAUGUGUAUUGCAGCUUCAAUCAUGUUCAGUUCCUCUCUCUACACGUUUGGAAAUCGAUCAUACAUAGUAAGAUAGAAAAUCUAUUUUUAAUUAAGAUGUCCAUAAAAAACAUUUACUUGUGAAUAUUUGAAUAACGGAGCAUAUAUGUACCCUUGCCUUCUCCCUGAAGAAAUGAUGCCCGUUGUGAAUUAUGUCAAUCUCGAACACCAUAUUUACUAUUCAGUAGACCAACAACGUGCUCUUAUCAUAUUUGUGUAUCCUUACUAUUUUUUUAUUAAAGAAAAGAUACAAGAAUGAUGGUGGAGAGCUUAGAAUAUAUUCUGUGUGCACGUAUUCAUCCAGUGUUGCGCUCACUCUUUUCCCAUAGAGGCUCAACCAGGAGAAGCACCUGGGCCUGUCACUCAUGGACAUACCUGUUUAUGCAUAUCAGAGGCAACACUCACCCUGCUUCUUCAACAAAGUGAUCAUACAUGGGCUUUUUCUAGAUGCAAGGAAGGUAGUGAAAGAGACGAUGGCAUAGGAAGUUAAGGACACACUUCUAAUUUGUGAAAUAUACAUUAGGGGUCUCUCUUACUAUUUCACGUUAAAAAAAAGAGACAUGAUAGAGAAAGCAACGGGAGAAAGAAUUGGUAGUUAUUGUUAUAUCGAUUAAUAUCCAUCAUGUUUGGCAUGCCUUUUGAAUUAGAAGAAUGACCGAUGUAUACAUUUUUUUAAGUCCCGUGGCAACGCACAAGCAUUCAGCUAGUAGGUAUAAACGAUAAAUAAAAGACAAAACUAAAGUAAUAUAAAUAAAUUGCAGCAAGGUAUUUUUUGGUUUUUGGUUUAUAGAUCUGAAAAUAUAUGAUGGAAAAUAGACCCGGGGGGCAUAGGUUUCACUAGAGGCUUCUCUCUUGAAAUAAAACAUGCGGUGAGUAAACAAAUUACUGUUGAGCAAUUGAUAGAAAAGCGCAUAGUUAUGACGAUAUCUAAAGCAAUGACCAUGAAUAUAGGCAUCACGUCCGUGACAAGUAGACCGAAACGAUUCUGCAUCUACUACUAUUACUCCACACAUCGACUGUGAUUCAGCAUGCAUCUAGAGUAUUAAGUACAUAAGAACGGAGUAACGCCUUAAGUAAGAUGACAUGAUGUAGAGGGAUAAACUCAAGCAAUAUGAUAUAAAUCUCAUCUUUUUACACUUUAUGGCAACAAUACAAUAUGUGCCUUGCUACCCCUUCUGUCACUGGGUGAGGACACCACAAGAUUGAACCCAAAACUAAGCACCUCUCCCAUUGCAAGAAAAACCAAUCUAGUUGGCCAAAUCAAACUGAUAGUUUGAAGAGAAAUACAAAGAUAUCUUAAUCAUGCAUAAAAGAGUUCAGAGAAGACUCAAAUAAUAUUCAUAGAUAAUCUGAUCAUAAAUCCACAAUUCAUCAGAUCUCAACAAACGCAUCUCGAAAGAAGAUUACAUCGAAUAGAUCUCCAAGAACAUCGAGGAGAACAUUGUAUUGAAGACCAAAGAGAGAUAAGAAGCCAUCUAGCUACUAGCUAUGGACUCGUAAGUCUGUGGUAAACUACUGACACUUCAUCGGAAGGGCAGCAAGGUUGAUGUAGAGGCCCUCUGUGAUUGAAUCUCCCUCUGACAGAGUGACGAAAAAGGCCCCAACAUGGGAUCUCACGGGAAGAGAGGCUUGCGGUGGCGGAAAAGUAUUUUGGUGGACGCUUAUGAUGUUUGGGGAAUAUUUGAGAAUAUAUAGAGGUGGAGUUAGGGUUAAGGGACACCCGAGGGGCCCACAAGCCAGGGGCGCCCCCCUGGGCCUGAGGGCUUGUGGCCUCCUCGGGACUCUUCUGGCUCUCUCUGCAAUUCUUCUGGGUGUCUUCUAGUCCAAGAAAAAUCAUCAUAAAGUUUUAUUCCGUUUGGACUCCGUUUGAUGUUCCUUCUUUGUAAAAGUCAAAAACAAGGAAAAAACAGAAACUAGCACUAGGCUCCAAGGUAAUAAGUUAGUCCAAAAAAUAAUAUAAAAUAGCAUAUUAAUGCAUAUAAAACAUCCAAAACAGAUAAUAUAAUAGUAUGGAACAAUAAAGAUUAUAGAUACAUUGGAAACGUAUCACAGAGCCACGAGGGCCCCACAAGCCUAGGGGGUGCGCCCCUAUGGGGCACGCCUUAGGGCUUGUGGCCUCCUUGUGGGUCUUCUGGCCUCGUCCUGAAGCUUCCUAGUUGUCUUGUUGUCCAAGAAAAAUCAUCAUAAAGUUUUGCUCCGUUUGGACUCUUUUGGUAUUGAUUUUCUAUAGAAUUCAAAAACAAGGGAAAACAACAACUGUCACUGGGCACUAGGUUAAUAGGUUAGUCCCAAAAUAAUAUAAAAUAGCAUAUAAAUGCAUAUAAAACAUCCAAGAUAGAAAUAUAAUAGCAUGGAACAAUCAAAAAUUAUAGAUACAUUGGAGACGUAUCACACACCACUAGCACACGGCACUUAAGAUGAUCAAUGUCCAUGCAAGCUGAAGGUCACUCCAAACACCUUGAAAGGAUUGGCCUGAGAAGCUCUCAUACGUGCCCCACCUCCUCCACCAAAAAAAGGGAGGAAGCCACAUGAUCAAAAGAAGGAUUACAUGAACAUGGGGGGAGGGGGCUGGUAGUCAGCCAACGGUUCAAAAGACCUAGAAACCGGCUGAGAAUGAGAUUGAGGAUAGUCCUACUGUGUUUCGAGGGGUCCUUACCCUGUCAAAAGAAGGAUUACAUGAACAUGGGGGGGAGGGGGGCUGGUAGUCAGCCAACGGUUCAAAAGACCUAGAAACCGGCUGAGAAUGAGAUUGAGGAUAGUCAUACUGUGUUUCGAGGGGUCCAUUACCCUGUUAAACACAUGUCACCUGCUACUUCAUACAACCACAUAUUGUAUGGCGUGAGGUAUCUUCAUGAUGAUAUUCCAAGGAAAGAGAAGGCGUCCAAGGACACAUUUGGUACCCCAUAUGAAAGUCGCCUGGUCUACACAGUGAAGGUGCCACCAGGUGUUGGCUUCCUCGAUGAUUUCCCUGUGGACAUAUUGAUUUUAGGGAAAUCUUCAACCUUACCCACCUCUGCAGUAUAGAGGGGUGCUCCUUGGUAAGGCUAUGGGUGCUACAUCUCUCAGGGAAGGAGAAGGCCGAUAACAUAUCCGUCACGGUGGCGGACCCUUACACUUGCACUAGCACAACCAUAAAGACUGGCAUGGUGUAAAAGUUAUGAUCAAGUUGUUGGGAAAUGUUGCAUGGAAAACAAAAAAUCUAUGCACACGCAGGAUCUAUCCAUGGAGAUGCAUAGCUACGAGAGGGAAGAGCAUCUUCAUACCCUUGAAGAUCGCAAAUCGGAAGCGUUUAUCAACGCGGUUGAUGUAAUCGUACACCUUCACGAUCCGUUUCGAUCAAGAACCAAACAAACAACACCUCCGCGUUUAGCACACGUUCAGCUCGAUCACGUCCUCACCUUCUUGAUCUAGCAAGACGGACGAAGUAAUAGAUGAGUUCGGGCAGCACGACAGCGUGGUGACGGUGUUGGUGAAGAACAAUCUCCGCAGGGCUUCGCCAAGCACAACUGAAACUAUGACGGAGGAUAAACUAGAGCGGACGGGGUUGCUGGCACGCGGCUUGGUGAUUCUUGAUGUGUUCCAGCUGCUAGCCCUGCCCCUCUACUUAUAUGUUGAGCCCUAGAGUCAUAACUUGGAGAAAGAGCCUCUUCAAAGUCGGUUUUGCCCCUAAGGGAGAGUCCUUCACGGACUUCCAGGACCAGACGCCACAAUCCUUGCCGUCUAGCCUAGACGCCAUGGGCCUCGGUGUCUGGUCCAGGGCCAGACGCUAGGGUCUCCAGCAUUGGCCCCUUGCCAUCACAAAACUCCUUUUGCACCGACCUAAAGCCCUGUGGGCUUUACCCCUUGGCUGAACCAUAUCAUCCUAUAUCAAUCUUUACAUCUGGACCAUUCUGGAGCUCCUCGUCAUGUCUGUGAUCUCAUCCGGGACUCCGAACAACAUUUGGUCACCAACAUACAUAACUCAUAUAGUACUAUAUCGUCAACGAAAGUUAAGCGUGCGAACCCUACGGGUUCGAGAACUAUGUAGACAUGACCAGAACACCUCUCCGGUAAAUAACCAAUAGCAGAACCUGGAUGCCCAUAUUGGCUCCGACAUAUUCUACGAAGAUCUUUAUUGGUUGAACCAUUAUGGCAACAUACGUAAUUCCCUUUGUCCAUCGGUAUGUUACUUGCCCGAGAUUCGAUUGUCCGUAUCUUUAUACCUAGUUCAAUCUCAUUACCAGCAAGUCUCUUUACUCGUUCCAUAAUACAUCACCCCGUGAGUAACUCCUUAGUCAUUUGCUUGCAAGAUGUGUAUUACCGAGAGGGCCCAGAGAUACCUCUCUGAUACUCGGAGUGACAAAUCCUAAUCUUGAUCUAUGCCAACUCAACAAACACCUUCAGAGAUACCUAUAGAGCAUCUUUAUGAUCACCCAAUUACAUUAUGACGUUUGAUAGAACACAAGGUAUUCCUCCGGUAUCUGGGAGUUGCAUAAUCUCAUAGUCGAAGGAAUAUGUAUUUGACAUGAAGAAAGCAAAAGUAAUAAACUCAACGAUCAUUAUGCUAAGAUAACGUAUGGGUCUUUGUCCAUCACAUCAUUCUCCUAAUGAUGUGAUCCCGUUAUAAAAUGACAACACGUCUUUGGUUAGGAAACCUUAACCAUCUUUGAUCCAUGAGCUAGUCUAGUAGAGGCUUACUAGGGACACGGUAUUUGUUUAUGUAUUCACACAUGUACUUAAGUUUCCGAUCAAUACAAUUCUAGCAUGAAUAAUAAACCUUUAUCAUGAAUAAGGAAAAAUAAAAUAACAAUUUUGUUAUUGCCUCUAGGGCAUAUUUCCUUCAGUCUACAAAUUGCACUAGAGUCUGUAAUUUAGAUUACACAUAGUAAUUAAUCUAACACCCAUGGAGUCUUGGUGUUGAUCAUGUUUUGCUCGUGGAAGAGGCUUAGUCAACGGGUCUGCCACAUUCAGAUCCGUAUGCAUUUUGCAAAUCUCUAUGUCUCCAUCCUUGACCUUUUCAAGAAUGGAGUUGAAGCGUAUCUUGAUGUGUUUGGUUCUCUUAUGAAACUUGGAUUCCUUCGCCAAGGCAAUUGCUCCAGUGUUGUCACCAAAUAUUUUCAUUGGAUCCGAUGCACUAGGUAUUACACCUAGAUUGCAUAUGAACUCCUUCAUCCAAAAUCCUUCAUUUGCUGCUUCCGAAGCAGAUAUGUACUUUCCUUCACACGUAGAUCCCGCCAUGAUGCUCUGCUUGGAACUGCACCAAAUGACAGCUCCACCAUUCAAUAUAAUCCAUUUCUCGGUUUGUGACUUAGAGUCAUCCGGAUCAGUGUCGAAGCUAGCAUCGACGUAACCAUUUACGACAAGCUCCUCAUCACCUCCAUAAACGAGAAACAUAUCCUUUGUCCUUUUCAGGUACUUCAGGAUGUUCUUGACGGCUGUACAGUGAUCCACUCCUGGAUUACUUUGGUACCUCCCUGCCAAAGUUAUGGCAAGGCACACAUCAGGUCUGGUACAUAGCAUAGAUAGCAUACAUGAUAGAACCUAUGUCUGAGGCAUAGGGAAUGACUUUCAUUUUCUCUCUAUCUUCUGAAGUGGUCGGGCUUUGAGUCUGACUCAAUUUCACACCUUGUAACACAUGCAAGAACCCUUUCUUUGACUGAUCCAUUUUGAACUUCUUCAAAACUUUAUCAAGGUAUGUGCUUUGUGAAAGUCCUAUUAGGCGUCUCGAUCUAUCCCUAUAGAUCUUGAUGCCCAAUAUAUAAGUAGCUUCAUCGAGGUCUUUCAUUGAAAAAUUCUUAUUCAAGUAUCCUUUUAUGCUAUCCAGAAUUUCUAUAUCAUUUCCGAUCAACAAUAUGUCAUCCACAUAUAGUAUCAGAAAUGCUACAGAGCUCCCACUCACUUUCUUGUAAAUGUAGGCUUCACCAUAAGUCUGCAUAAAACCAUAUGCUUUGAUCACCUCAUCAAAGCGUAUAUUCCAACUCCCAGAUGCUUGCACCAGUCCAUAGAUGGAUCGCUAGAGAUUGCACACUUUGUUAGCACCUUUAGGAUCGACAAAACCUUCUGGUUGCAUCAUAUACAACUCUUCUUUAAGAAUUCCAUUAAGGAAUGCAGUUUUGACGUCCAUUUGCCAGAUUUCAUUAUCAUAAAAUGCAGCAAUUUCUAACAUGAUUCAGACAGACUUAAGCAUUGCUACGGAUGAGAAAGUUCAUUGUAGUCAACUCCUUAAACUUGUCGAAAACCUUUUGCGACAACUCGAGCUUUGUAGACCGAUACGUCUCCAACGUAUCUAUAAUUUUUGAUUGUUCCAUGCUAUUAUAUUACCCGUUUGGAUGUUUAUGGGCUUUACUCUACACUUAUAUAUCAUUUUUGGGACUAACCUACUAACCGGAGGCCCAGCCUGAAUUGCUGUUUUUUUGCCUAUUUCAGUGUUUCGAAGGAAACGAAUAUCAAACGGAUUCCAAACGGAAUGAAACCUUCGGGAGUGAUCUUUUUAGAACAAACGCAAUCCAGGAGACUUGGAGUGGAUGUCAAGAAGUAACCGAGGCGGCCACGAGGGUGCCCGGCACGCCCAAGGGGGGUGGGCGCGCUCCCACCCUCGUGGGCCCCUCGUGGCUCUCCUGACCUACCUCCUUCACCUAUAUAUAUCCAUGUACCCCGAAAAUAUCAAGGAGCACCACAAAAAACUAAUUCCACCGCCGUAACCUUCUGUAUCCGCGAGAUCCCAUCUUGGAGCCUUCGCCGGCGCUCCGCCGGAGGGGGAAUCGACCAUGGAGGGCAUCUACAUCAUCUCCAAGGCCUCUCCGAUGAGUUGUGAGUAGUUUACCAGAGACCUUCGGGUCCAUAGUUAUUAGCUAGAUGGCUGCUUCUCUCUCUUUGAAUCUCAAUACAAAGUUCUCCUCGAUCUUCUUGGAGAUCUAUUCGAUGUAACUCUUUUUGCGGUGUGUUUGUCAAGAUCUGAUGAAUUGUGGGUUUAUGACCAAGUUUAUCUAUGAGAAAUAAUUGAAUCUUCUCUGAAUUAUUUUAUGUGUGAUUGGUUAUCUUUGCAAGUCUCUUCAAAUUAUCAGUUUGGUUUGCCCUACUGGAUUGAUCUUUUUGCAAUAGGAGAAGUGCUUAGCUUUGGGUUCAAUCUUGAGGUGUCCUUUCCCAGUGACAGCAGGAGCAGCAAGGCACGUAUUGUAUUGUUGCCAUCGAGGAUAAAAAGAUGGGGUUUAUAUCAUAUUGCAUGAGUUUAUCCAUCUACAUCAUGUCAUCUUUCUUAAUGCGUUACUCUGUUCUUCAUGAACUUAAUACUCUAGAUGCAGGCAGGAGUCGGUCGAUGUGUGGAGUAAUAUUAGUAGAUGCAAGUAGGAGUCGGUCUACUUGUCACGGACGUGAUGCCUAUAUACAUGAUCAUGAAUAGAUAAUAUCAUAACUAUGCACUUUUCUAUCAAUUGCUCGACAGUAAUUUGUUCACCCACCGUAAUACUUAUGCUAUCUUGAGAGAAGCCAGUAGUGAAACCUAUGGCCCCCGGGUCUAUCUUUUAUCAUAUAAGUUUCCUAUCUACUUUUAUUUGCAUCUUUACUUUCCAAUCUAUAUCAUAAAAAUACCAAAAAUAUUUAUCUUAUCUUAUUAUCUCUAUCAGAUCUCACUUUCACAAGUUACCGUGAAGGGAUUGACAAUCCCUGUAUCGCGUUGGUUACGAGGUUCUUGUUUGUUUGUGUAGGUGCAUGGGACUUUUGAGGAGCGUCCUACUGGAUUGAUACCUUGGUUCUCAAAACUGAGGGAAAUACUUACGCUACUUUGCUGCAUCACCCUUUCCUCUUCAAGGGAAAACCAACGCAGUGCUCAAGAGGUAGCAUAGAUAGUAACAUUACCAUCAGCGUCCGUCUUCUUCUUGAAGAUCCAUUUAUUUUCUAUGGCUUGUCGAUCCUCGGGCAAGUCCACUAAAGUCCACACUUUGUUCUCAUACAUGGAUCCUAUCUCAGAUUUCAUGGCCUCAAGCCAUCUGUCAGAAUCUGGGCUCAUCAUAGCUUCUUCAUAGUUCGUGCAUUCGCCUUGGUCUAGUAACAUGACUUCCAACAAAGUAUUACCAUACCACUCUGGUGCGGAUCAUGCUCUCGUCGACCUAUGAAGUUCAGCAAUAAUUGAUCUGAAGUUCCAUGAUCAUCAUCAUUAGCUUCAUAUCUAGUUGGUGUAGGCAUCACGAGAAUAGCUUUCUCUGAUGUACUACUUUUCAAUUCGAGAGAAGGUACAAUUACCUCAUCAAGUUCUACUUUCCUCCCACUCACUUCUUCCGAGAGAAACUCCUUAUCUAGAAAGGUUCCAUUCUUGGCAACAAAGAUCUUGCCUUUGGAUCUGUGGUUGAAGGUGUACCCAAUUGUUUCCUUAGGGUAUCCUAUGAAGACGUUCUUCGAUUUGGGUCCGAGCUUAUCAGACCGAAGCCUUUUGACAUAAGUGUCACAACCCCAAACUUUUAGAAAUGACAGCUUAGGUUUCUUACCAAACCAUAGUUCAUAUGGUGUCGUCUCAAUGGAUUUAGACGGUGCCCUAUUUAACUUGAAUGUGGUUGUCUCUAAUGCAUAACCCCAAAAUGAUGGUGGUAAAUCGGUAAGAGACAUCAUAGAUCACACCAUAUCUAAUAAAGUAUGAUUAUGACGUUUGGACACACCAUUACGUUGUGGUGUUCCAGGUGGCGUGAGUUGUGAAAUAAUUCCACACUAUUUUGAAUGAAGGCCAAACUCGUAACUCAAAUAUUCGCCUUCGCGAUCAGAUCGUAAAAACUUUAUUUUCUUGUUACGAUGAUUCUCCACUUCACUCUAAAAUUCUUUGAACUUUUCAAAUGUUUCAGACUUGUGUUCCAUUAAGUACAUAUACCCAUACCUACUCAAAUCAUCUGUGAAGGCAGAAAAUAACGAUACCCGCCGCGUGCUUCAACACUCAUCGGACCGCAUACAUCGGUAUGUAUUAUUUCCAAUAAGUCAUUAGCUCGCUCCAUUGUUCCGGAGAACGGAGUUUUAGUCAUCUUGCCCAUGAGGCAUGGUUCACAAGUAUCAAAUGAUUCAUAAUUGAGUGAUUCCAAAAGCCCAUCUGCAUGGAGUUUCUUCAUGCGCUUUACACCAAUAUAACCUAAACGGCAGUGCUACAAAUAUGUUGCACUAUCAUUAUCAACUUUGCAUCUUUUGUCAUCAAUAUUAUGAAUAUGUGCAUUACUACAAUCGAGAUUCAACAAGAAUAGACCACUCCUCAAGGGUGCGUGACCAUAAAAGAUAUUAUUCAUAUAAAUAGAAUAACCAUUAUUCUCUGACUUUAAUGAAUAGUCGUCUUGCAAUAAACAAGAUCCAGAUAUAAUGUUCAUGCUCAAUGCGGUCAUGAAAUAACAAUUACUCAGGUCUAAAACUAAUCCCGAAGGUAGAUGUAGAGCUAGCGUGCAUCGUCACCUCGUCCUUAGCUAAUCUUCGUUUAAUCCGUAGCUCCUAUUUCGAGUUACAAAUAUGAGCAACCAAACCAGUAUAAAAUACCCAGGCGCUACUACGAGCAUUAGUAAGGUACACAUCAAUAACAUGUAUAUCAAAUAUACCUUUGUUUUUUUGUUCACUUUGCCAUCCUUCUUAUUCACCAAAUACUUGGGGCAGUUCCACUUCCAGUGACCAGUCCCUAUGCAGUAGAAACACUUAGUUUUAGGCUUGGGUACAGCUUUGGGCUUCUUCCCGAGAGUGUAACUUGCUUGCCUUUCUUCUUGAAGUUCCCUUUAUUUCCCUUGCCCUUUUUCUUGAAACUAGGGUCUUAUUAACCAUCAACACUUGAUGCUCCUUCUUAAUUUCUACCUCCGUGGCCUUAAGCAUUGCAAAGAGCUCGGGAAUUGUUUUGUUCAUCCCUUGCAUAUUAUAGUUCAUCACGAAGCCUUUGUAGCUUGGUGGCAGUGAUUGAAGAACUCUAUCAAUGACACAAUCAACUAGAAGAUUAACUCCUAGCUGAGUCAAGUGAUUAUAAUACCCCAGAUAUUUUGAGUAUGUGUUCACUGACAGAAUUGUUCUCCUCCAUCUUGCAGCUAUAGAACUUGUUGGAGACUUCAUAUCUCUCAAGCAGGGCAUUUGCCUGAAAUAUUAACUUCAACUCUUGGAACAUCUCAUAUGCUCCAUGACGUUCAAAACGUCUUUUAAGUCCCGGUUCUAAGCCGUAAAGCAUGACACACUGAACUAUCAAGUAGUCAUCAGAUCGAGCUUGCCAGACGUUCAAAACAUCAGCUUCUGCUCCUGCAGCAGGCCUUUCACCUAGCGGUGCAUCAAAGACAUAAUUCUUCUGUGCAGCAAUGAGGAUAAUCCCAAGUUACAGACCCAGUCCGUGUAGUUGCUACCAUCAUCUUUCAACUUAGCUUUCUCUAGGAACGCAUUAAAAUUCAGGGGAAUGAUAGCACAGGCCAUUGAUCUACAACAUAGAUAUGCAAAACUAUAAGACUAAGUUCAUGAUAAAUUAAGUUCAAUUAAUCAAAUUACUUAAGAACUCCCACUUAAGUAGACAUCCCUCAAGUCAUAUAAGUUAUACGUGAUCCAAAUCAACUAACCCAUGUCCGAUCAUCACGUGAGAUGGGUAGUCAUCAAUGGUGAAAAUCUCUAUGUUGAUCAUAUCUACUAUAUGAUUCAUGUUCGACCUUUCAGUCUCCGGUGUUCCGAGGCCAUGUCUGUACAUGCUAGGCUCGUCAAAUUUAACCCAAGUAUUCCGCAUGUUCAAAACUGUCUUGCACCCAUUGUAUGUGAACGUAGAGUCGAUCACACCCAAUCAUCACGUGGUGUCUCAACAUGACGAACUGUAGCAACAGUGCAUACUCAGGGAGAACACUUUUUCCUUGAAAUUUAGUGAAGGGAUCAUCUUAUAAUGCUACCGUUGUACUAAGCAAAAUAAGAUGCAUAAAAGAAAACAUCACAUGCGAUCAAAAUAUGUGACAUGAUAUGGCCAUCAUCAUCUUGUGCUUUUGAUCUCCGUCUCCAAAGCAUCGUUAUGAUCUCCAUCGUCGCUGGCUCGACACCUUGAUCUCCAUCGUUGUGUCGUGGUCGUCUCGCCAACUAUUGAUUCUACAACUAUUGCUAAUGCAUAGGGAUAAAGUAAAGCAAUUACAUGGCGUUUGCAUUUCAUACAAUAAAGAGACAACCAUAAGGCUCUUGCCGGUUGCCGAUAAAUUAGAAAACAUGAUCAUCUCAUACAAUAACGUAUAUCACAUCAUGUCUUGACCAUAUCACAUCACAACAUACCCUGCAAAAACAAGUUAGACGUCCUCUACUUUGUUGUUUGCAAGUUUUACGUGGCUGCUAUGGGUUUCUAGCAAGAACCAUUCUUACCUACGGCAAAAACAACAACGGUGAUUUAUCAAGUUUGUUGUUUUAACCUUUUUCAAGGACCGGCUGCAGUCAAAUUUGAUUCAGCUAAAGUAGGAGAAACAGACACCCGCUAGCCACCUUUAUGCAAAACUAGUUGCAUGUCUGUUGGUAGAACCGGUGUCAUGUACGUGGACAUGUAAGGUUUGUCCAGGCCGCUUCAUCUUACAAUACCGUCGAAUCAAAAUAAGACGUUCGUGGUAAGCAGUAUGACCAUCACUGCCCACAACUCUUUGUGUUCUACUCAUGCAUAUCAUCUACGCAUAUACCUGGCUCAGAUGCCACUAUUCGGAAAUGUUGCAUGGAAAACAAAAAAAAUUCUACGCACACGCAAGAUCUAUCCAUGGAGAUGCAUAGCUACGAGAGGGGAGAGCAUCUUCAUACCCUUGGAAAUCGCAAAGCGGAAGCAUUUAUCAACACGGUUGUUGCAGUUGCUAGCCCUGCCCCUCUAUUUAUAUGUUGAGACCUAGGGUGGUAACUUCGAGAAAGAGCCUCCUCAAAGUCGGUUUUGCCCGUAAGGAAGAGUCCUUCACGGACUUCCAGGACCAAACACCACAAUCCUUGGCAUAUGGCCUAGAAGCUAUGGGCCUCAGCGUCUGGCCCAGGGCCAGAUGCCAAGGUCUCCGGCGUUUGGCCCCCUGGCCUCCACAAAACUCCUUUUGCAUUGACCUAAAGCCCCGUGGGCUUUACCCCUUGGCCGAACCAUAUUAUCCUAUAUAUCAAUCUUUACCUCCGGAGCUCCUCGUCAUGUCUGUGAUCACAUCUGGGACUCCAAACAACAUUCGGUCACCAACAUACAUAACUCAUAUAGUAUUAUAUCAUCAAUGAACGAUAAGCGUGCGGACCCUACGGAUUCGAGAACUAUGUCAUGACCGAGACACCUCUCUGCUCAAUAACCAAUAGAAGAACUUGGAUUCCCACAUUGGCUCCUACAUAUUCUACGAAGAUCUUUAUCGGUCGAACCGUUAUGACAACAUACGUAAUUCGCUUUGUCCAUUGGUAUGUUACUUGCCCGAUAUUCGAUCAUUGGUAUCUCUAUACCUAGUUCAAUCUCAUUACCGGCAAGUCUCUUUACUCGGUCCAUAAUACAUCACCUCAUGACUAAUAACUCCUUAGUCAUUUGCUUUCAAGCUUUAUGAUGUGUAUUACCGAGAGGGCGCAGAGAUACCUCCCUGAUACUCAGAGUGACAAAUCCUAAUCUUGAUCUAUGCCAACUCGAUAAACACCUCCGGAGAUACCUGUAGAGCAUCUUUAUGAUCACCCAGUUAUGUUGUGAUGUUUGAUAGAACACAAGGUAUUCCUUUGGUAUCCGGGAGUUGCAUAAUCUCAUAGUCGAAGGAAUAUGUAUUUGACAUGAAGAAAGCAAAAGCAAUAAACUCAACGAUCAUUAUGCUAAGCUAACCGAUAGGUCUUUGUCCAUCACAUCAUUCUCCUAAUGAUGUAAUCCCGUUAUGAAAUGACAACACAUGUCCAUGGUUAGGAAACCUUAACCAUCUUUGAUCCACGAUCUAGUCUAGUAGAGGCUUACUAGGGACACGGUAUUUGUUUAUGUAUUCACACAUGUAUUUAAGUUUCCGAUAAUUAUAAUUCUAGCAUGAAUAAUAAAACUUUAUCAUGAAUAAGGAAAUAUAAAAUAACAACUUUAAUAUUGCCUCUAGGGCAUAUUUCCUUCAGAAGUACCUUGCUGAUGGCUUGAGAAUGUGUUAUAUUUUUCAAGUGAUCCUUAUUUGGUUUUCACCGGAUCUUUGCCACUUCUCAAUUAUUUCUAACGCUAAUCCUUCAAAAGAGAAGAAAAUCCGUGUUUCCAUUGUUUGGCAGAAAAUAUCAUUUACGGAAGGAAACCGAGGAGGAUUGCUACAAACCAAGUCAAAUGGAGCAGCUUUCGUGUGGAGAGCCAAAUCACCAGGUGCACCGGAGCAAAAGACAACCUUCCAUGUGAUCACCAGUGCUCACAUAAGCUGUCGUAUGAGGUGCCAAUAGCUCCACCACAUGUAUACAAGACACUUUCGUGAAGGGACCCAGGGGAGAAGAGAACCCUAGCUGCCGCCACCACAUCCAGAAUAGAAGAGGAAGUGAUGAAGAACCUUCAGAGAUCUUCUUAGUUUUGUUCCUUUCAUCUCCAUCAUCAUCCCAUCCUUCACUAUUGUAAGAGGAAUUCCAAGUUGUGAGAAAAAAGUUUUAACUCUAUUCAUACUCAUUUGGAGAUCAAGACUAUUUGAGUUGUCCAUUUCAUCUCAUUGUGGAUCUUCAUGGUAUUAUUAUUAUCAAUAUGGUUUUCAUGGGUUUAAUAUCUGGUGUGAUUGGUUUCUCUAUUAUGAUGCGUGAAUAAUUCCCCCUAGGCAUGGGAGAUAUAGUGAGUAGUAAGAUUCAUUUGUGCCUGAUCAAUAUGUCAGCAUUCGUGUUUGUAGUCUUAUGAUCGUCUAGUAAGUUGUUAUAUUGUGGUGAAACCUAUGUGUGUUGUCCAAUUUAAGGCCCCGGGAAGCACGAUCUCAAGAACUACACAUGUAACACAUAUUGUUUAGGAAAUCUAGAACCUUUGACAUGAAAGGUGGACACAUCUAUGAGGACCGAAGACAAUAUGAGAUAACGGUUAUCCAUGAAACUUAAUGCUUGGUUCUGGUCUGAGGACCUUUAUUGUGGAUACGGCCACUCUGUGGCAACGGUGAAGCAGGACCAUAGAAUGGAAUUUAAUCCCGCGAGGAGGAGUUCCAUGACUUUAGGGUGAUCUGCCUACGGAACAAACAUGUCAAAUACUACGAAUAUGAUACAAGGUAACUAGUAUUACCGUCGCAUAGGCACACUUGAUGUAUACCAUGAGCUGCAUUCUCCGCGUGCCUAAUCUCUUCAUUACAAGAAGCACCACCCUAAUUUCAUAUUUAUUUAUGUUAUUUACUUUAAAAAGUUUUUACUGUUGUUACUAUAAACAAUUUUCAUCUUUGUUACCCUGGCUAAUUCGUCCACGAGGACAGUAACUGUAUUUGUAGAACCACAUGCAGUUACUUCACAUAAGAAUUGUGACAGAAGUGCAAAUAUAAAUACUCUCAUCUGCUCUUCAUUAUCAUGAUAACUAAUUGGGAUACUUCCAUGGAAGUGCUACAUAACCAUGUAUGUCUUGCAGGCCAUCAAGCAUUUUCUGGCACCGUUGUUGGGGAGCUAAGUGCAGAGUAUUUUCUUCGUAAUUGUUUUUGUAGGUGUUGUUACUGUACAUGCUUCCUGUAAGUGACAGGGGCUCUACUUGUUCUGGAAGAACGUAUUUGCCAGAUUAUAUUGCUCGUUUUCCUCAGGAGCAACAAGUUUCAUUAAUAGAAAAAUACAAAAAUACUCAGACCAUUGAACUUAACACUUUCUUUGCACAGAUGUCGAUUACUCAGAAACCAAAGAAAUUUUUAAGAGAUUAUUAUACUCUAGUUAUGAUUCAAAGAUCUCCUAUAGUGUAUCCUACAAGUUAUGCAAAAGAGUAUUUGAUUGAUUAUGAUCUAUCAUGGAAGUUAAAAGGCAUGCCUUUGCAGGAAUCGAAGAGGAAGACCCUCAAGCACAUCUUAUGUUCUUUGAUACUUUAUGUGGUAUUUUUAAAUUGAAAGAUGUGUCAGGAGAAUUUGUUUUGUCAAGACUCUUUAGAUUUUCUCUUAAGGGUGAUGCUGAAAAUUGGUACAAUCAAUAACCUUAUUGGGGUAUAAUCAGCUGGCUAAUGCGCGCGGAUAAAUUUAUGGCUAAAUUCCUUCCAGGCUCAAAGAUCACUAAAUUACGUAGAAAUCUCACUUUAUCUAUUCAAGAAGAUGGGGAAAGUCUAUAUGGAGCGUGGGAAAGAUAUAACAAUUUUUGAACCUUUGCCCUAACCAUGGUUAUGCUGAACAUGUUAUACUUCAUAUAUUUUAUCAUGGGAUUAAUGAUGAAUCCAAAUCAAUACUUGAUCUAAGUGCAGGAGGAUGUUUCAUGUCUCUAACUCUUGAAGAAGGACAAGCACUAAUAGGUUCAUAACGCGUAGGACCCGACAUCUCCUCCCUUUGUCCCUCCUCCAAGAAAAGGCGACUAGGGUUUCUGCCUCUCAUCGGCGAUGCCGCCGAUCUCCCACGUCUCCUGUGGCCUUAGGGCCAUGGGUGCGCGGUGGAUCCCAGCCCUUACCGGAGGGAGGGUUCUGUUUUCAGGUGCUUCUUCAAGUUUUGUUAGGGUUUGCGUCCUGCUCAAGAAGACGAGAUGACAGCGGCUUCUUGAAGAUGGAAUAAGGUUCUCCCCGCCUAGCCCCCAUCCCAAUGGUGUGUCUAGCAUCGUCGGAGGGCGUGUGGAGGUGUGUCUCCGGCGGAUCUCGCGAGAUUUGGUCGGUGGUUGUCUUGGUGGAUCUGCUCGGAUCCGGUCUUUGCUAGUGUUUGUUCAUGUGUCCUCGGGUUGGAUCCUUCCGAUCUAAAAUUCUCUUCAUCGGUGGCUGUUGCUGUUCUUGGGCGUUGGUCCUAUGGGACCUUAGCACGACGACUUCCUGACUGUCUACUACAACAAGUUGUGCCCGGCUCCAGUGGGGGAGGGGCAAUGACGGCGGCGCGCCUUCGGCUUGCUUCAGUGUUUAUAGUCGUCGCUAGGUGGUCUAUGAAUCUGGAUGCAAUUUUGAUUAUUUCCGGUGUUCGUUGUACUACCAUGAUUGAAGAUGAAUAGAUCAACAGUUUCCCGCAAAAAAAGAAUGAGCACUAAUAGAAAAGAUUAUGAUUGCUAAAGAGCAGUGGAAUAUUGAUGAGCCACCAAAGCCCACCAAAAAAAAUAUCAUAUUGAAGACAUGGAAGAAUUAAAAAAGGUUAUUCAAGAAAAAAGCAAACAUGUUGAACAAGUUAUCAAUGAAAAAGUGGAUAUAUUCAGUAUCUAUCAGCGGGAGGACAAACUUCAAGAAACAAUGAAUAAAUUCAAGUUUCACCAAGACAACUUCAAUAGAGACUUCCGAAGAUGCAUUCACCAUAAUGAGAAGGUUAUAGCCUACCUUUCUGAAGAGGUAGAAGGGUUAAGUCAUGCAGUGAAGAACCUUGAUAAACACUCUCGCAUGAUAGAAACCCAAUGUUUUCAAAUUACGAAACUCAAUCUUUGAUUCUUGCUCAAUUGAACGAUGAAGCUCCCUCCCGCCGCGGGAGGCGCUCGUAUGCAGGAGGCGGCUAAGCUCAGAACAGAGGGAGUAGUGACGGAGAGAUAUUAGAUGCCAUAAGGAUAACAUAGCAUGUCAGGGUAUUUGGUUUGUUAGUUGCUGCUGCUCAAAGAUAAGAUUGCCGAUCUGCCGCGUAUUGUGAAGCAAUGGAUGAUAAGUGAAGAUGUCUGGAACAUCAUCGACUCAAGUGGCCAAGAAACCCAAUGGCACCACCAACAAACAAGAUCAGCAGGUCCCAACCAACCUCUCAUGAAGAGACUCAUGUGUCAACCUCAAAUUUCGCAUUUGUCUCGCACAACAAAACAUAUUCAGGCACACCACUUCACCUUAAAAUAGUAGAGAUUUUGAGGCCAAAAACCUACCCUGCAAUAACUUUGAGACAAGCAAUUUGAUUUAUCAAAUUGAACGAACAGGUUUAAGUUUACCAUUAGGCCAUAAGGCCCAUUACACCCAAUACGAAACAUGAACAGAAACCAUUGCAUAUGUUAUGAUUUUAGCUGUACAAAUCUCACAAGUGCCUUUAAAAUUGCACAUAACUAUGAUAUGUAUGGAGACCAUUCUAAACAUAACCUUCACAUGCAAAUGUAUCAAUACUGUGGCACAUAUAUUCUCAAAGGUACUAAUUGAUGGGGAUUAAACAGCUUGACACCUUAGAAAAAAGAGAAAUUAAAGAGAGCAUAUAAAUUAGAAAAAAAGUAGAUGAGCACAGAACAUCCAGAAAAACUAGUGAAGGUUCAUAAAUAAAUUCAGAUAUCGGAUGAGCAUCCAAUCGAUACAUGCACGAGAUAUGAUCAUUCUUCUCCAAAAGACACCAAAAUAUCUCUAAAAACUAUAGGACAUGAAAGGCUAUUUAUAUUCCAAAGACUCCAAUGAUCUCUGCAAACUAAGGACAAGCCCAGUUCAGGUGGCUAUGUAUUGAGUAACUUGCGGAAGCUUACACAAGAAUCCAAGAUGAGUAUUACUAAAAUUUCCAUGCCUUCUCCAACAUAUCUGCUACGAUAGUCUCCCCCAAAUUAUCUCUAGAUAGAAAGUGGAAGGUGAAGCAUACACUACUUCGUCUCAGGUGGCUACAUGUUAACUAAGCCAUCUAUUCUAAGUUUCUAACCCAGGAUGGACACAAUAAAAUUUGAGAAGCUUCAUAACUCUCUCCAAGAUAUUUACUGAGACAGCAGGGCAUGAUUUCUUCAGGUGCACAUAACCCUGGCUUGCCAACACAUCAUCCAAUCUAUUGGAAGACAUGAUAAAUUGAGCACAAGCAUCUUUUAGCCUGCUGCAGUUAUGCUGAUCAGCUAGAGCUGAUGUUGUCGCCACAGUCUCAACAUCAAGAGUUUCGCAAAGAAUGUCUUCACAUAUCAUCUUCAUCCUUUCCAUCGCAUAUCGAUCAGCAGCCACUAGUAAGUGCCUGACCAUUUUUUUUUCUCUUCAUCAUCAAUUUUGUCGAUGGAAGGCAAUGCAUCCGUGUAGAUAAAGUGCAGCAAUGCCUUGAAAACAGUAGGCUGCAUGUCUUUGACGGUGAUGUUCUGUCCACACUUGCCUCUCAUCGGUCCAUACAGCUCUGCCUUGAAGACUGGGGACCGCGUUGCAAGCACAAUCCCAUGUGCAGGAAAAAUCUCACCUUCAACCUCGAAUGUCACAUCUGCUUCCUCGGCUGCCUCUAGCAAUUUUCUGAAAUUUUUUGCCAAGUCUGAGGGUGGCAUCUGGACCUUAACUGUUAUCCCGGUGUCCGCAACAAGUGGUUCAUUGAUGAUAGUUAGAUCGCACUCAAUUACAAGACGGUCAUCCUGCAGAUAAGCCGACUCCUCCAGCUCACUCUUCUUAAAACUUAUAACACCCCAAAUAUAAUAAUCAUCGGUCCCCCUGGCAUCGAGAGAAUUGAACACUGUCGGUGAUUUCGAGCAGGGCAUCACCGGCGACGAUAGCCCGCUGGCCUGAUUGACCAACCUCAAGUCGUAGAGCACCCUUACCUUUGCACCCUUGCUCAGGAGCUGCAGGUAGACUGAGACGUGGCCCUGGCUUUCGUUGCUCUCUCCGUCUGGGUAGUAGCGGAUGCACCAUUCAUACCCGCCAACAGAGACGGUGGUGGACCGGAUGAAUUUGCCAAUGCCCAUGCCCUCAUGCAGGCUGUACCCGACGAUCUCGAAUACAAGCGUGGCCCGCGCCGUCACAGGGGUGCACCUCGACGCCCUCCUUUCUGUUGGCCUCUUCGAUGCCGCCAUUGUGGGAGUUUCCCUGCGGGCUGAGGAUGGCCGAUGGCGUGGGGUGGGGAUCAACCGAUCAAGGCGGUGGCGAUGGGAGAGCUGGGGGAGGGGGGAACCUCGAUGCGACCUGGGCGUGGGAGACAGCGACACGACGGAGGAAGGUAGGCGGGCGGCGCGAUCGAACCGGAAGACGAGGGUUUGGGCGAGCAACCGGGGACGAGGGCUCCAGAAUUUCAAGCAAAAACCCUCCGUUUCCGAGUAUAUAUCUCUCCUAUUCCGCUGGCUCGACGAAACUGUCCGCCCGAUCGAUCUCAUGUUGCCCACGUGAACAAGGAAAGUGUCCUAGCGACCGGUGGCUCCCGAUCGAUCUCAUACGGAGGUCAUGGAGCGGAAAAAUACACAGGUAUCCACGAUCUGCGGAUCGGCGAUACGAUCCUUCCCACCUAGACGAGACGAGAUCGGCUACGGCGCCGGCCUCUCACCUCCACUCCCCUUUCCCCUCGCGGUAAACAUAUUGUAGAGCAUCCUCUCGCGCACGCCGGUUGGGACGAGUUCCCCGUCGCCGGCGUCCAGCCCCCUACAGCACGUUUUAAAUAGCGCGCUAAGCAUCUUAGCGGCGGACCUCUUUCAAAUGCUAUUCGCUAUAGCGCGCUAUUUAAAAUGUUUGUUCAUUUGUUUGGACCAAAGUCUUUUAGCGCAAGGCCUUUUAUAAACGCUAUAGCGUGCUAUAACGGAGCUAUAGCGGGCUAUUUAAAACAGUGACGAUGGUUCCAUCCGUUAUAGGCGGCGGCAGGUAUCAUACACGCUGCCGGAGGCAACCUCGCGUCAAGCUCAGGGAGGAGUGCGCCUCACUCGGCCUCCCCUCCGUGGACGUGCAGGCCGGACCGCCGGAGCCGCCUACGUCCCGCGGUCUCGCGCUUGGGACACCGAAGCCCGCGCCCGGCUCUCCUGCGCGCCAGGACGGACGGUGCAUACGCUCUCCCGCGUGGGCAAUCUGCUCGACGUCGUUGCACUCUCCUUGUGCCAGCCCACAUGGGUACAAGAGAUGGUGAACUCCUACGAGACUGAAGCGAAUGCGCAAAGAGUGGCUCCAACAGCAUGCCAUCCAUAUAUAGCCCCGACGACGACUAUACAUGGGCAGCAAAAGGUCCACCCGAUCGAGCUGUCUACUACUGUGCACGUACUGCCGGGUUUGUACCCUGUAGUUUCAGAUUGGACAAUAUACAGCACCAUGCCCUUGUGCAACUUCCUCUUUUCCAAUUAUUGCACCAUGUCUCACCUGUACUUUGGAUUUUUCUUAUCCUGUUUUUUCAUCCGUUUUUUUUAGCAAAUGUUUUUUCAUCAAUUGUACUACUCCGAUGCUUUCUUUUGCUUCAGGAAAGGUGGCUACAAUGGUGGCCCACCUGAUUGAGGAACGAACGAUCAGGAACAGCACAAGACCGACUGAACUCGAGCAGCUCUAAAUCACUCUGCCUCUCAUAGCCUAUCUGCUUUUCUGCUUUCAGCUAUCAGAUUACCAAUUGGCAGUCUGCUCGCCAAGUCAACAUACCACCUAACCCUGUCAGGCGCCUUCAAUUUACUUUUUAUCCGAGCUUGAAUACCCAAAGAUUCCACCUAGCUAGCUCUGUCACUUGUUUUUGUUCGAUGCCAUGUUUGGAAUGAAGAAAUUACUCCCUCCGUCCGGAAAUACUUGUCAUCAAAAUGAAUAAAAGGAGAUGUAUCUAGAUGUAUUUUAGUUCUAGAUACACCUCUUUUUGUCCAUUUUGAUGACAAGUUUUUUCGGACGGAGGGAGUACAAGGAUAUGCUCUUGCUAAAAGAAAAACUCGUUGAAACAAAGGAUUAUAGUUUGUAAUUUAUAAACAGGCUUUCUUUAGAAUUUUUUGUGCGAGCAUGCAGGGACUCAUGUGUCAACUUCAAAUUUCGUAUUUGCUAGCUGUGUUUUCAGGCCAAAAAUAGUAUUUCUACUAAACAUAUUGAGGAGAUCAUCUUCACAUUAAAAUAGUAUUUUCAGGCCAAAAACCAAUCAUGACUUUGAGACAAGCAAUAUGAUUUAGCAAACUAAGAACUGCUUUAACCUGCAUAUAUUAUGAUUUUAGUUGUAUAUAUGUCGUAAGUGCCUGUCAAAUCAUACUCAUCCUACAUCUGCAAUUGUAUCAAUAAGGAGGCACAUAUAUUCCCAAAAGGUACUAACUGAUAGGAAUUAAACAUCUUGGCACCUUAAAAAGGAGAAAUUAAAGAGAGCAUAUAAAUUAGACAAAAGUAGACAAUUACAGAACAUUCAGAAAAACUAGUGAAGGUUCAUAAAUUCAGACAUAGGAUGAGCAUCCAAUCAGUACACGCAGUAGAUAUACUCAUUCUUCUCCAGAAGACACCAAAAUAUCUCUACAAAUUAAAGGACAUGAAAGUCUAUUUAUCUCCAAAGAUCUCUGAAUUCAGGUGGUAUUUAGUAACUUGCAGAAGCUAACACAAGAACCAAGAUGAGUAUACUAAGACUUCCAAGACUUACUUGAAUUUUCCAACAUAACCACCAAGUUUGUCUCCUCCAAAUGAUCUCAAGAAAGUGAAAAGUGAAGGAUAAGACUACUUCAUCCCGCAGGUGGUUACAUGUUAACUAAGCUAACUAUUCUAACCCAGCAUUGGUACACUAAAAUUUGAGAAGCUUCAUAACUCUCUCCAAGAUAUUUAAUGAGACAGCAGGGCAUGAUUUCUUCAAGUGCGCAUACCCUUGGCUUGCCAACACAUCAUCCAAUCUAUUUGAAGACAGGAUAAACGGAAAGUUCCUUCCUAGCUCGGCCUACCCGGUACCCUCUAUAUGUACCAUUGGCAAUUCCUGGAGAUAUGUGCUGGAAGGAGCAUCCGCAGGGUAUGCCAUAGACAUUAGUCAGAGAUGCCAGGCUACGUGAAUAGUGACAAGAUUCCAUCGUAGGUCCUGCAUGCUCUACCACCACGCUCUUGUCCGCCUCAUGUCACAGCCUCAGCCUGGAAAGUGGGUUGUCCCGGGGUCCACGCACACGUCUAUUCAGCCGCCCAUAGCAAAGUUGCAUGCAUCCUGUCACAUGCAGCUCAUUGUUCACUGUUCACCUUUCAUCCACCUCAUGCAUAUUCAGAGUCUCGUCUCUCUCUUCCUCCAUAGCGCGCAACAGUCAACAAUUAGAGAGAACAACAGAAGAGGAGAGAGAGUAUGCAAGAUCCAGAAGUUUUCAGAAAUUGGCUCAAAAAGUCAAACUGAAGUGAGAGAGAGUUGCCAGGUGCAAAAUGUUUUCUGGAAUAUUUUUCUGAGUCUAUUUCAUAAAUAAGCUGCAUGCACAUUCAGAGAGACGACACGUUGUUCUUUCCGUUCUCUCUGCUCUUCUUCUCUUCGCAUGUGAUGGUGACUGAUGAGAGAGAAAUAAGAAAGAACAAGCAAAGUUUACGAGGAAGAGAGAACAUGGCUACAGUAGCACUGCAGCAUGACCUGCUAUGGAUGUCAGAUUUUUGUAGGUCUCAUGUCAGUGUAUUAAGCAUAAGAUGGCCCUGACCAGCUGCACAUUUUCAAAGCUCUGCACAUAUCCGCAUGCAUCUACCCAAAAUCUGGACCGUGACGAUAGUGGGUAUCAGGGAGCUCGGCCUAAAAAACACACACUCCAGGAUAAAUUCAGCACACGCAUCUUUUAGCCUGCUGCAGUGAUGCUGAUCAGCUAAAGCUAACGUGGUCGCCACAGUCUGAACAUCAAGAGUUUUGCAAAGAAUGUGUUCACACAUCAUCUUCAUCCUUUCCGUUGCAUACCGAUCUGCAGCCACUAGUAAGUGCCUGACCAUUUCCUUUUUCUCUUCAUCAUCAAGUUUGUCCAUGGAGCCAGAGGAGAGAGAUCUCAAUGCAUGUGCAUCAAUUCUAAGACUCUUUGGGGAGGCUUCGGGCCUCAAGCCAACCUCCGGAAGUGUGCAGCGGUGCAACUCAGAUGUGAUGGCAGAGGUGACCCAAAUCCUAGGAUGCCCAGCAGGCUAUUUUCCUUGCAAAUACCUGGGACUCCCUACGGAAGCCGACGGCCGCACAGCUCACAGGCCUAGUUGAUCAGCUAGCGCGGUGUCUCCCAAGGUGGAAAGAGGCAAAUAUGCCGAAGAUGGGUGAAUGGUUUUGGUGCAGUCCGUUCUAUGUGUGAUACCUAUACAUGCGAUGAUGGCCCUCGACAUACCCAAGAAGACGGUCGUAGCCAUGAAUAAAAUCUGCAGAGACUUCCUGUGGUGCGCCAAAGAUCAGGCGAAUGGAGGGCAGUGCCGUGUGGCGCGGGAGAUCGUGUGCUCGCCAAGAUGGGCGGGAGGUUUGGGCAUCACCAACUUAAAGUGGCUUAACGUUGCCAUGCAGGCAAGAUGGCCUUGGCUCAAAUGUGUGGACCAGACUAGGCCCUGGGCGGAGUUCGAUAUAGCAGUGCUGAAAAGAUCAUUGCAACUGUUUCAGGCGGUCACCCGUGUAAUGGUAGGAAAUGGUGAAAGUACCUUAUUUUGGGAAGAUCGUUGGCUGGACGGCUUCAGGGUGGAGGAUUGGCGCCAUCAAUAUACGGUUCAGUGAGGAAAAGGAUUCGUGACAAUCGCACGGUCAGCCAAGGGGUAGCGAACGGAGCUUGGGCACUGAACGUCGGGCCGGAGGUUAAUACGCAAAUGCUCCAUGAAUACUUGCGGCUCUGGGAUAGACUUGCAAGGGUGCAACUACACCCAGAGGUGGUGGACACGAUUCGGUGGACUUGGGAGGAAAGUGGAUCCUACUCCACAAGAUCAGCAUAUGAGGCGAAGUUUUGGGCAAAGGAAACAAUGCCAACAGCGAAGUUCACAUGGAAGUCCAAAGCACCACUUAGAUGUCGUUUCUUUGCUUGGCUUGCACUACAAAACCGCUGCUGGACUUCUGACAGGUUGGCAAGACGAGGGUUGGACCACCAGGAAAAGUGCCCGUUCUGUGAUCAAGAGGAAGAGAGCAUAAAUCAUAUCCUACUCCAAUGCGUCUUUGCGAGGGAAGUGUGGGCGCGCGUCUGCGCUGCUUGGGAUAGACCAGAUUGGGAACCAACCUCUAUGUCGAACUUGGGAGCAUGGUGCAUGAGCAACACAGACAAGGCUGUGGGAGGCAAGGAUGCAAGGGCCAUGUUGUUGUUGGUCAUAUGGGAGCUUUGGAAGCAUAGAAACAGGUUUUUUUUAUGGAGAUGCUCCUUCGAGCUCUUUUGUAAUUAAACAGAUAGCCGUAGAGUGUAGGGCAUGGAAGGUGGCAGGCCUGUUUAGAUCUAACUUGGAUAGCGUCAUUGCGGUCAUUGAGGUGGGCCAUGAUGCGAGUAGUUAGCCUAGGCAUGCGGGUGGAGUUGGGCUAUGUAACGCUAUGUAGCUCCAACGUGGAGGGGUCUUUUAAUCUCCAUCCUCUUCUUUAAUAUAUAGUAUGCACACUCGUGCGUAUUCGAGAAAAAAGUUUGUCCAUGGAAGGCAAUAAAUUCGUGUAGAUAACAUGAAGUAAUGCCUUAAAAACAGCAGGCUGCAUGUCUUCGACUGUUAUGUUCUGUCCACACUAGCCUCUCAUCGGUCCAUACAACUCUGCCUUGAAGACUGAAGACCGCGUUGCAAGCACAAUCUUAUGUGCAGGAAAAAUCUCACCUUCAACCUUGAAUGUCACAUCUGCUUCCUCGGUCGCCUCUAGCAAUUUUCUGAAAUUUUCUGCCAAGUCUAAGGGUGGAAUCUGGACCUCAGCUGUUAUGCGGCGUUCACAAUAAAUGAUUCCUUGAUGACAGUUAGAUCACACUCAAUUACAAGACGGUCAUCCUGCAGAUAAGCCGACUCCUCCAGCUCACUCUUCUUCUUAAAACUUGGAGCACCCCAACAAUAACCGGUCCCAAUCCCACUGGUGUUGUGGCGAUCGAACACUGCCCGGAUGAACUUUUUGAAAAUUAUGGUUAACAAAUUUUGAAUACAAUGAACAAUUUUUGAAUUAAAUGAUUUUUUUUAUUUUUUAAACUUGAUGAACAAAUUCUCAAUUCAAGACACGUUUUGAAAAUCGGAUGAACUUUUUAAUACUCAGAUGAUUUUUUUUUAAUUUGGUAAACAUUUUGAAAAUUAUGGUGAAUUUUUUUUGAAUUUCAUGAACAUUUCUUGAAUUAAGUGAACAAAAAAUGUUCACGAAAACGAGAAAAAGAAAAAAAACAAAGAAGAAAAAAGGAAGUGAAGAAGAAACAAAAAUCAAAAAGAAAAGAAACUAAAACGAAANNNNNNNNNNNNNNNNNNNNNNNNNNNNNNNNNNNNNNNNNNNNNNNNNNNNNNNNNNNNNNNNNNNNNNNNNNNNNNNNNNNNNNNNNNNNNNNNNNNNNNNNNNNNNNNNNNNNNNNNNNNNNNNNNNNNNNNNNNNNNNNNNNNNNNNNNNNNNNNNNNNNNNNNNNNNNNNNNNNNNNNNNNNNNNNNNNNNNNNNNNNNNNNNNNNNNNNNNNNNNNNNNNNNNNNNNNNNNNNNNNNNNNNNNNNNNNNNNNNNNNNNNUUCUAGGUGUGGGCCCGGCAUGAGUUCAUCUCUGUCGUGACUGGCCGUCCGUCACGCAGAACAUUAGGACGACCACCUUGCAGUUCAAGAUGUAUAUCAGCAAUUUCUCCCUCGACGAGCAUAGCGACCUCCAAGAUGCCGAUUGACUUAGCAUCGGUGUGCCUGGCUACACAUGUAGCAACGCCAUCAAUGUUCCCGUGACAAGGUCCAAGGUGGAGAAGGAGUGGCACGAACAAGUUAUGUGUAAGCAUUUUAUUAUUUCUUCUUGCCAUAUCUAAAUAAUGUUCAAAAAAUGUGAUUUGUAGAACAUAACGUCAACACUAUUAUGAGGUGGACACACACACACACACACUUCAUCACGUAUUUAUUUAAUACUCCCUCCGCCCGUAAAUACUUGUCAUCAAAAUGCAUAAAAUUGGAUGUAUCUAGAUGUAUUUUAGUUCUAGAUACAUCCAUUUUUGUCCAUUUUGAUGACAAGUAUUUUCGGACGGAGGGAGUAAUUGUUUAUAGUUUAGUGCAUAUAUCUUAUAAUCAUUAUUUGCAUCAUCAGGCGGCUUCAGUUUCCUUUUUGUUUGAGCUUGAACAUCCAAAGAUUCCACCUUAGCUAGCUCUGAUAGGCCUAAUAACAUGGUGGUUUCGUCUUCCCGUGAGUCGGCAUCCCAAUACUCAUGGGCAAGAAGUUGAUAAGCGUGCGUGCAUCCCAGGCACACAUUAGAGAAAAGGCUGCUUAGUCUUUUUCAAGUAUUUACCGCAUGAAUUAUUCUGGAGAUAUUAUCACGAGUGUCAGUUGUUGAAGCAGCAAAUUAAAAGCAUCGAUGUGAUUUCACCCUUCACUUUGUCUCUGCAUUAAAAGUUUCAACGCUCCUGUUGCAAUUGCAAGCGUUGUAGACANNNNNNNNNNNNNNNNNNNNNNNNNNNNNNNNNNNNNNNNNNNNNNNNNNNNNNNNNNNNNNNNNNNNNNNNNNNNNNNNNNNNNNNNNNNNNNNNNNNNNNNNNNNNNNNNNNNNNNNNNNNNNNNNNNNNNNNNNNNNNNNNNNNNNNNNNNNNNNNNNNNNNNNNNNNNNNNNNNNNNNNNNNNNNNNNNNNNNNNNNNNNNNNNNNNNNNNNNNNNNNNNNNNNNNNNNNNNNNNNNNNNNNNNNNNNNNNNNNNGGGGGAGCUUUGCUACAUCUACGUAAAAUCUCUUACGAAUCUUGCGUAGAAUCUUGCGUACAAGCUCACCUGGUUUGAUUUGAUUGGAACAAAACAAGGCCCAGGCCCACCCGGCAAAAUCAGGGGGGAGAUGAUUGGAGUUAGGAAGGAAUGUUACAUAGCUUUACGCAACCUGCUACAUAGGUGUAGCAUUUUUGGGGGGUGGGGGGUGAGCCAAACACACAAAACUUCAUAACCUAAGCUCCUUUUCAAAUUACAAUGCACUAAGCUGACCGAGGCUUGCAAGUUGCAACUGAACCAUGGUCCAUGAAACAAGUACGAGUAGAACCAAAAUACCAGUCAAUUUGCCAACCGGCCAAAUAAAUUCUCGUAACAGUGCCAUAGAAGCAUACAACAAAGAGAAGGAAAUGCAAUCUAUACCACCUCAAAAGGAAACUACAGCCUCUUGUACAUGGUAAGUAUAAGAUUUCCACAGAUCUCUAGAUUCCCAUUCCACUCAAUGUUCUUCCCCAUCACACGACUCCCCUCGCCAUAAGCGUGAUGCAGUGCCAUUUCAUGGUCUAGCAUGUACAGUCAAUAUGCAGAGGUAGCAUUGGUUCACUGGCCUGCAUUAGCCACACGUAUUCAUCCAUAUGACCAUGUUUUGUAUGCACCGAUAGCUCGAGAGCGGUUGCGCCCUAGAAUGCCACAUCGUCUAGUCAUAUGGCAUCAUAUCUUGGCCGUUUUCGCAAAUGAGCACUCCCAACUAGUGACACAUGACAGAUUCUGGACGAUUGUCGCACGACGUUGAGCAAAAGUGAACAGCGCCGUUCAAUACUCCAUCAUGCGGAGUUCGGGCGGCUACUGUCGUCCACAGAGCAGUUUCGAAUUAGAUGCCACAAGGAUAAGAAAUAAGAUGGCCGAUUUGCCGCGCACUGUAAAGGAAUGGAUGAGAAGUGAAGAUGUGUUUGGUCUGGACAUGAUAUAUCUUCAAGUAGCAAAGAAAGCCAAUGACACCAGCAAACAAGAUCAGCAGGUCCCAAGGAAUCUCAUACAGGUUUGAACAAGAAGGACAUUUGUAAAAACCUUUCUGCAGCAGUAAGGCCACUGCAAAUCAACAUCAUAUCAGACAAGAGGACUGUUCACAUUAGCUAUUCUUCAAUUCAGGAAAGGUAGGCCUGUUUUUUUUUCUGAACAUAAUAAUAAUACUGAAAGUAAAAUAAUGGCUGUACACUGUAAUUUUACAUUAGCAAUAAUUUGAUAGUAGCAAAUCACGGCUUACAUCCUUAGGCAGAAAAAGAAAAACAUCCUUAACGCAGAGGCUGAACCGUUGAAUGCAAGUUAACUGGGCGCCAUGCAACUGUCACUUGUUUUGUGUGUACUCUGGUUCGAUGCCAUGUUUGGAAUGCAGAAACUGCAAGGAUAUGUUCUUGCUAAAACCAAAAAAACUCGUUGAACAAAGGAUUACAGUUUGAAGUAAUUAAUAAACAUGCUUGCUUUAGAACAUUUUGUGCGAACGUGUAAGGACUCAUGUGUCAACCUCAAAUUUCGCAUUUGACUCUUACUACUAAACAUAUUCAGACCAUCUUCACAUUAAAACAGUAAACCAAUCAUGAAAAUAACUUCGAGGCAAGCAAUAUGAUCUAGCAAAUUAAGAAUUGCUUUAACCUGCAUAUAUUAUGAUUUUAGCUGUAUACAUGUCGUAAGUGCCUGUCAAAUUAUACUCAUCCUUCAUCUGCAAUUGUAUCAAUAAAGUGACACAUAUAUUCCCAAAGGUACUAAUUGAUAGGAAUUAAACAACUUGGCACCUUAAAAAGGAGAAAUUAACGAGAGCAGAUAAAUUAGAGAAAAGUAGAUGAUUACAGAGCAUUCAGAAAAACUAGUGAAGGUUCAUAAAUUCAGACAUAGGAUGAGCAUCCAACCAGUACAUGCAGGAGAUAUACUCAUUCUUCUCCAAAAGGCACCAAAAUAUCUCUAGAAACUAAAGGACAUGAAAAACAAUUUAUAUCUUACAAAGACUCCAAACAUCUCUGAAAACUAAAAGGACAGGACAAGCUGAAUUCAGGUGGCUAUGUAUUCAGUAACUAGCGGAAGCUAACACGAGAAUCCAAGAUAAGUGUAUACUAAACUUCCAAAACUUCCAAGACUUACUUGCCUUUUCCAACAUAUCUACUAAGUUUGUCUCCUCGAUAUGAUCUCUACCUCUCUGGAAAGUGAAAGUUGAAGCAUAAGACUACUUCAUCCCAGGUGGUUACAUGUUAACUAAACUAACUAUUCUAACCCAGGAUGGGACGAUGGGUACACUAAAAUUUGAGAAGCUUCAUAAUACUCUCCAAGAUAUUUACUGAGACAGCAGGGCAUGAUUUCUUCAGGUGCACAUACCCUUGGCUUGCCAACACAUCAUCCAAUCUAUUUGAAGACAUGAUAAAUUCAGCACAAGCAUCUUUUAGCCUGCUAC